This 198760-nucleotide long non-coding RNA is filed under the name Citrus x clementina. RNAcentral's name for it is "Citrus clementina (C. clementina) long non-coding RNA (CCLE_LNC002871)". The stretch from base 56876 to 56982 matches the Rfam family "Plant small nucleolar RNA R71". The record is from RNAcentral. Lineage: Eukaryota; Viridiplantae; Streptophyta; Magnoliopsida; Sapindales; Rutaceae.
UUUGAAUGAUAGCGAAAAAUAAUUUUUUUAAUUAUUGUAAAAAUAAUUAACCAUAACAAAUCCCUUGUGUAAAUAAUAAUCAUUAUUUAAAAGGUAGAAAGAUGGUUAGUGCACAAUCAAAUUUUAAGCCCCUACCUCCUCGGCCCAAGAUUCAAACUUAGAUGAUCAGCCAAAUAAAAUUAUUUGAAAAUCAUUCAAUCAGGUUCUCGGGGAAAAAAUACAAGAUCCGUAUUUGCAUGAUAUAUAUGAAUUAAUGUAAUUUAUUUGAAUUAUCCAAAUUCAUUAGAGAUAAAACUAUAAAAGAUACCAAAAAAGUUAGAAGGAAGGGUGUGCUGGGAUAUUUUACAAACUAUAGGAAUCUGGUGAGAUUUUGAGCCAAACUGUAGGGAGUUGAAGGCAUUUGCCCAAUAUGUUUAGACGUACACUAACCGUUAUUUGAUCUUGUUGUUGGUCAUGUGAACUAAGAUGUAAAUUAAAGAAAAAGUAUAAAAUUAAAAAAAGAUAAGAUUUCUAAAAUGUGUGGAAGGUGAUUCAUGAUUCACUAAAAUUACUUGCCCCACAUAUAAAGGUAAACAUGUCUAAUUUCAUUAAAAAUAGGUGGAAAAAAUUAACUAAUAGAAAGCUACGGAAAUUAACCCCCACAAAAAUGACUUUUUAUAGAAGAAUUUAUGUUUUUUAAAAUAUGUUAUCAAAGUGUAUUUGAUCAAAUCUCAAUUGCUUAGUAUGGUUAGGAUUUUGUGAACAUAACUAAAAAGUGAAAAAUAUGAAUGAUAGGGGUGAUGCUUGCAAUAUGAAUAAAUAAUGGACUGAUUCAAUUGAUGAUUAAAUUUAUAUAUUAUUGAUUAUUUAUGAAUUUUCAGACUUGUUAUGAUGUAUAACUAUGUGAUUUUGAAACUUGAAACCGUGGCAAACAUUGAAAGGAAUUAUAACUUGAAAUCAUGACUCACGGGGUAUGUCAUGAUUCACGUGCACAAAAAAGGUAGAAUUGUGGAAAUUUACAACCCAACGACAAGUACGGAAAGAAAGGAAGAAAAUUAAAAGACUUCGGGCCUAGCCUGCGUGUAUUAAUUAUUAGAUUACUUUUUUUUAUAAGGGUAAUCAUCAAUUUACUCCAUAACAAUCUUUAAUUCAUUUCUUAAAAAUAUCAAAACUUUAAUUUAUCUUUUAAACAUCGUUACCUCUCUAUUGGUUUUAACAGUUCAAAGGGUAAAAUUAUAUUUGCAUAUUUUCUUGACCGCCAACUAAAUGAUAAAACUCAAAAUUCAAUCUUGUUAUCUUGUUUCAAUCCUCUAUCAAUCAAAUAAGAUUUCUAAAAUAUGUGGAAGAUAUUGCAUGAUUUCCUCAACCUACCUGGCCCGAACAUCAAGGUAAAUAUCUCUAAAAUAGUUGAUUAAAUCUCAGUUGCUAAGUAUAGUUAGGAUUGUGUGAACAUCACUGAAAACUAUGAUUGAUAGAAGUGAUCUUUGCAAUAUGAAUAAAUAAUUAACUGAAUCAAUUGAUUUAUAUAUUAAAGUUUAUGAAUUUUCGGGCUUGUUGCGAUAUAAUAAUAGCAUAUGAUUUUGAAACUUGAAACAGUGGUAAAUAUUGAAAGGAAUUAAUUUGAAAGCAUGAUCCGUGGGGAAUGUGAUGAAUCGUGUUUACAAAAAAGGUAGAAUUGUGGAAAUUUAUAACAGAACGAUAAAUAUGGUAAAAAGGAAGAAAAUUGAAAGACUUGGGGCCUGGCCUGGGUGUAUUUUCUAACUAUCCAAUGGACAAAAUUAUAUUUCUAUACUUUCUCUUACCUAAGUUUCAUAGAAUAGCUCAUUUCAUUUUUAUUUUUUAAAUAAUAGCCCAAAAUAUCAUUAUGUUAACUCAUUAUUAGUUGAAUGGCGUUUGUUAGUAAUUCAUUAAGGGUAAAAAAUGAUUUUCUAUCAAAGAGAAAAUUAGAAAAAUAAAUAAAAAUUGAUAUAUAACUAAAAAUUAUUUUAUCUAAUCCCACUAAAUAAGAAAUGCCAAAAAAGAUGAAAAAAUUAUAUUUCAAGCAAUUCUUUUUUCACUUAUUUCUAUUUUGGCAACAUGAAAGCCCUAUAAACCCUAGAUCUAAGUACCAAAAAUAUCACAAUUUUCUUAUUCAUAUAAGUAUACUCUCUAAUUGCAUUGUAAAAUGGCUUGAAUUGAAUUGAAGAUAAAGAAGAUAUUCAGCACAUGCAAGCACAUAAAAAUUGGUGGCAUUUUUGAGUUUUUCUUCCAAUGAUUUAAAGAUAUUGUUUUAAUUACAGUUUGUUCCUUAUGACAAUUAUUCAAUGGCGAUAUCAAACUAUAUCAUCGUUGAUUUCAUUUAAGAAAAAAGUUAAUGAAUUUUGCAUACUUUGUAGUGUUAUUUAAUUGUGUAAAAAAAUUAUUUUAAUAUAGUUUGUAUCGCUUUAAUGAAAAAUCCUAUUUUGCCCUCAAUGAAUUACUGGUUAACGAUUUUACACUAAUGGUGAGUUAAUGGAAAGAUAUUUUAGGCUAUUGUUUGAAAAGUAGGGAUAAAAUGAGCUAUUGCAUUAAACUCUAAGGAUGAAAAAUGAUUUUUCCCUUUUAUUAUCAAUCAACUAUCUGAUAAAAGUCAAAACUCAUAUUUUUUUUUCCCUUGUUUCAAUCCCCUCUCAAUCAAAAAAGUUUCCUUGUCUAAGCAAUGAGGAAUAUGGCUAGAAAGAUUGUUAUUAGAAAGAUUUAUCAAUAGUAAUUAGUUCACAACUGAACAGUUUUAGAUUAUUGUGAGUCAAUAUAGGUCCUGUUUAGGAUUGAAGUGUUGCAGUUUUUAAGCUACAGCUGCUGUAGAAAAAAAAACUAUAAUUAUGAAAUAAGAGUUAAUAAUAUAUAAUAAAUAUAAAUUUUAAAUAAUAAUUUUGACAAAAUUAUUAAAAAUAUAAUAGAUUUUUCAUAAUACAAAUAAAAAAAUCAUAUCAACAUAGCUUGCAAGGUACAACAGUUAGUAUGAUGUUAGUUUAUUUUUGCGUCAAUAUAAGUAGUCAAAUUGAAUAAGUUAGUGAAAUGCUGCCUCACUGUCCCAUUGAAUAUGAUUCAGCUAACAGGGCUAGAGCUUGUGGAUGCCAAUGGCACUGAACAAAGUAUUGGGUGGUAAUUUUAAGACCACGCUAUGCCCAAAACCCAAGUUAGGCGAUUACAAAUACGGGAAUCAAUGUCACUUUGCUAGGAAUGGAGAGGAUAGAUUGCUUAGUGAAAUGCAACUUUGUAGAAUGCUGAGAGAUGUGCUGAGAGAUGAGGAUAGUUGUCGAUUUCUUCAUGUAAAUGCUGAGAGAUGUGCGGAAGUUUCUACUCAGUUUAGGCUUAGUUUAAGAAUAGCCUGGUGAUAAACAUUUUGAGUGGUGGAUCUUCUGUGGAUAACAAAAGUAGGUCUAUUCAAUGGGAACGCGACAAGGGGCUGGCUAACUCGCUCAGGUUGUGCAAAUGUUAAAAGCAGAAUGCCAGUUGUAUGAAGUUAUGUCAUUUUCUUUAUAGAACUAUGAAAGCUUGGAGUCCACGAUUCAAUGGAAUCUCGGGCUGUGCCAAUGAUUGUUUCAAGUACUUUUUCUACUUUCAAUGUCCAGACUAAGACUAUUUCUAAGCAGCAAGUGCAGGAUAUAAAGUGCAAAUCAAAAUAGACAGAAGUGAAGAGGAAGAUACGUGGUAUAUAUGUUGAUUGGAUUGAAGAUAUACCACUUUUGCCUAGUUCUUAGAACAAAGCAGAAAGCUGUAGUUAAAAAUAUACCUUCUGCUAAAGAUAAGUAGUCAAUAGUUCUAUUAGUGCAUAACUUUGCGAUUAAGGAUGAUCGCUGUCUAUUUUAAGAGCUUUUAAUAGAAUUUAGUAGCCCUGAUUUUCAAUCUCAGUGUUUUGCGGCUGUUAUCGACAUCCCUCUGUUACAUUUUUCAAGUUUCAUUGAUAAAUUAGUAGUUAGCCUUAUGAAGAAUGCACACACCAUAACCAUGUACGUUAAAUAGCAAACCUGCAUUUUAUUGAACUGUGAACUACUGAUUCAAUAAAGCUCAACAUAAGCUAACAAGUCUUUGUGAAAUUGCUUCAUGGUACAUUGUUUGAAGUAUUUAAGCUAAUAUAUGAUUAUUAAUGGGCUCGUGAGCCAACCCCAUUAAUUAUAUGUACAUAUAUAUAAUGUUACCAUCAAUAUGAUAUGUGACAUCCCAUAACAGCUAAUUAUAGAUCUUUAUCCAUUUUCAUAAUUUGCCUUCUGGCUUCCACUGCUCGUCACUAAAUUCAAAAUCCAUUGCACCUCAAAACAACAUGAGAAAUCUUAUAGGCAAAUCAUGACCAGUUCAAAGAUAAUAGCGAUUAUAGGGAAAGAAAAUUAAAAUCGAAGACGCAUAUAAAAUAAUCAAGCUACUGAUGAACAAAAUAACAUGAAAGUGUAAGUAUUUAUACUAACCUUCACUUAUUAGGAAGUUUGUUUCGCUAUUGGGUAAGAUCAAGCUCUCUGCAUAUCCUAUUGGCAAAAGGAAAUCACGCACGUGUGAUCUCUCUCUCUCUCUCUACACACGCACACAUAUACACACGCAUAUACAUAUACAUGCAUGGUCAUCAUCUUAGAAACCGAUUGAGAAAUUAUUGUCAGAGUUUGAAUUUGCGCAAUGACUAGUCAUGUUGCUAAAAAGAAAAAAGAUUGAGAUUGAAAGAAAUUCAUUAUCAUCAAAUUGGUCCAAUAUCCACUUCACUGUGUGGAUCAAAUACGUUUUCGAAUAGUGCACUGAUCUACAAUCUACUGCAAUAAUUUGUUAGGACCCUACAUCAACAAAUUAUGGGAUUAGUUGGUUUAUUAACCCUAAUACAUCCGGACAAGUCAAUCCUUUCAUGAGAAACAAAAUGAAUUUUGCAUCCCAUGAAACACAACAUACUCAGCUAGUUGAAAUUGUGGAUAUACGGGGGUAACGUAAGCAUGCUUUCACAAUUUGAAAGAUUUAUUUUUUAAGAUUUAGUAUUUCUGGGAUCCUAUUGAGAUAGAGGGGUGGUGAAGGUCUAUAGAUUUUAACUUGACAGCUUCCUAUAACCAAAGAUACAUAACUAUACUAAAUGAGCAUCAUUGAAUUUCAAAGUUAUUCAUUAUAAAUACUUAAAGAAAGAAAAAUAGAUAUUUUGGUAAUAGUAAUACAUUAUACCUUUUCUCUUUUCCAAAUUUGCUUAACCUUACUACAAGGCAAGCUGAGUCCAAUCAGGUUCUCCAAUUCAAAAUCUGAUGUCAGUAUUUUCAAAAGAUAUUUAUGCCAAUGGAGAUUUCUCAAUUCUAUAGGAAGGCAUUUUUUUUUUUUGAAACUGAUUAAGCAUCAGUUGGUUACUGUAUUACACAGAGAUAUAUACAACUGCUAUGACAGCAGGUCAUUACACUGAUAUUUACAAUCAGAUAUAUACAUGUGACUUAUAUUAUUACAUUUUUAUUCUAUGAAGUACAUGCCCAUCCAAAUACCCCUCACAGAGGAGGGAUGUCUCUACUCCACUCCCAUUGCGCAAGGGAGAAAGACGUUGUAAGAAGUCUCCAUACAAUUAUAUUUAAUUGAGGGAGGUUGAGUCCGUGGGGACUCGAACCAUUGCCCUCAUAGUCAUGCUUAACUUUGAGGGCAAUGAUUCACCACUGGGCUACAAGCCCAAGUGGCUAUAGGAAGGCAUUCUAAACCUCAGUGAAGUUACACCCUGGAGCUUAUAAUUAGAACACCAUCAUACUCGGAUAUAUAAAAUUUCAGCAAUCUAAAAUUUGACAUUGUUUUAAAUGCUCCAGAAUCUAAACGUAUGUCUCUUAUCCUGGAGAAUUCAAGAAUAUACUUUCGGUUGCAUGUGUCCCUUCAGAAAAGAAGCAAAUAAUGAGUUCGCAUAAAUUUUCUCAGGAAAAAAAUCCUAAAAUUUAUAAAGAGCUCCUUAAAUGAAGACAAAACCUGCACUCGCUCAACUCUUUUUUUUUUUUUUUAUGUUGUUCUAGUCUUCUUCAAUCCCCCCCUCUAAAACUUUAAUCCAAGCGUUAAGUGUAAGUAAACUAAAAUAUGAUUUUCGUAUGCAAGUACAACACAACAUACCCAUAAAAAUGAAGAGCGGAAGUUAGAAUCAAACCUCCAGCAAUUGAUAUUUUGCAAACUGAUAUUUGAUUCUUCUGAGACUUAUGUAAUCGUUUUGAUGGUGCAGUUUUUGAAUUAGAUUACAUAGCCUCAGGUACUAAUACCAUUUUCACCAUUUUGUUUUUAUUUCAUCUUUCCAUCAAAGAUGAAGGGGUGGGAAAUUAUCAAAGCAGCUGUUAGAUGACACCUGCUUCUAGACCUGCAAGUAAAACCAAAGAAUGAGCUCCAUUAGAUACAUUUGAGUUAAUAAAAUCCCUUGUUCCUCCUAAUGAUUAUAGACAUUAAUUAGGAGGGAGAAAUGAAGUAAAUUAAAUUAAAUGAAGGACCUUCAUUCUCCACGCAUGCAGCCGGCUAUUUUGUUACCAAGUUGUUGAAAGGAAGUAAAUAGAGAAGCAUUCAGAUACCACUCUCCCAGAUCGAUAUUCCUAGUAAGACCAAGGUGUAGUUGUACCACUCGGCCUGUGGAGUUGCUGCAGUCAACCCUUUCCCUUUGUUCAUCUACCCAGUUUUGAAGUCUAUAAGGGGAAUUGAAGAAAUGUUUAAGCCACAAAAGAUCAAAUUCCUCAUGCUCCAAACAUCCCUCACUCCACCCCCCCCACCCCCCGGCGCCCUCUUCUAAUAUUAUUAAUACGAGAACUAACAUUGUCACCAUUUUGAAUUUUGAACCACCCAUUCUAGCUAUAUCUCUAACUAUUAAAAAACACACAUUCUCUCUUUCUCUAUAACUAUAAAUAACAAAAGGGCUCUAUGUUAUUUAUAACAAACACAUCUAACAAUUUAUACACUCAGGCCCCAGCUAGCUUUCAGUUGUCUUCUUUGGUAGUCUUCAGCCUUCUCAAAGACUUUCGUCAUGCCUUACUUUCAGCCUUCCUUUCCAUAUUUGUCAUUUUGCUUUAAUUUUCCACAAUUCUACCUUGGAUGGUAAUAUUUAAUUCGCCACGAAUUGAGUGAAACGCUGGUCCGUUACCCAUCCCACUUCAAUAUUAACAAUAUUAAUAAUAAUAAAUAAAUUCUUCAAGCAAUUGAGAUUUGACACCCACCCCACUUCAAUAUUAAUAUUAAUGGGAAAUCAUAAAUUCUUCUACAAAUGAGUCAUUAUUUUAAAAUUGUUAUAAGCUUAUUUAUUUAAAAAAAAAAAAACGAGAAGGGGAACUUGUUAUCUUAAAAUUAAAAGAUUCUGGUGUGGCUACCCGAAUCCGCACGUUUUUUAAGAUUUUUUUUCCAAUCUUGUGUACCGUUCAACACCUAUAUAUGCUUUGCAAUUGAUUAGUUAACAAAAUAAAAUUCUUGAUCAGUUGUGCGGUAAAAAUAAUAUUAUUUUACAAAGCUUUACCUGGUGCAGUCAAUACGGCUAGAAAUUAAAGGAUCCCCAGCAUGAUAAUUAAGGAAUAAUUAUUAUUCUAGAUUUGUGCAGUGGCGAAGCUAAUAGCAUUUUUCGUUUUCGAGUGAGCUGAACUUUUUCCCCCCCCUAAUUCAAUACAUUUUUAUCGUACAAUAUAAUUUUGUAAAUAAGAAAUUAUAGAUGCACCUAAUAAUGCGCGACAAAAUAAGCUUUACCUCUCAAAAUAUUUGUUCUAAACAUUAUUUAAAAUAAUUUAGACACAUAUUUAUUCACAAAAUGAUGAACAGACAAGAAUUUGAUGAUAAUUGAAGAGGCAGCAUAACUAAUUAAUAUAAAAAUUUUUAUAUAGGUUUCAAUAAAGGAAAUUUUGUAACUAAAUAAUUUUUUUUCUGAGAAGCCCGGCCUUGCCCUCUCCAAAAUUCGCCACUGAAUUUGUGGGGUGGUUACUGGAGUUCACACGUUUUCAAAUUUUUUUUUCCCGAUCAUUCAAUAGUAAUUUUGCUUUUUAGUUUAUUAUUAUUGUUGUUAUUAUUAUUAACUCAGGCAUUUAUUAAAGCUCGAACACAUAAUCUAAACUUUGAUAUAUUUUUUGCUGAGAGGAGUCAAAAUUUGGGAAUUAUAUGCGCAUCAUAACAUAAUAAACAACCGCAAAGUAUCCUACGGAAACUUUCAGUGCACUCUGACAGCAGCUUUUGGUAGUCAAAUAGUCUUGGAAUCAUUUUUUAGCGCAUAUUCUUUUCGGUAAUGUGAUGAAUUCAUAUCUAAAGAAUCAAAACUAUGAUGUGAAUUUGCUGCAAAAACUGAUCCAAGACUAUUCAUUCAUUAUUAAACAUAUGAUAUCGUCCGUAAGACUGGAGAAAUAUGAAUGAAUUUGUUGAUGAUAACUCAGAAGACGGUUAACGGUUAAAUAUGCUAUGUUGAAAUGCACUGUACAGUCAAUUAAUUUAGUUAGGACUCUGUUUCUAGAAAACAGAGUAUAAAAGAUGACUAACUGUUUUGGGAGAUGCUUUUGGAGGGACUUCUAGAUGAAAUUGAGAGAGAGAGAGUGUGAGAGAAACUCUGUAAAGUCUUCUCCAAUUGGUAACCCCUUUUGUUGCGAAUAAUAAAGCUUCAAGGCUGUUCAUUUAUUUGUACAUAAGCAGGGGGAAAGCCUAUGUAUAGACAGCUUCAAAUGAGGAAACUGCACCUAACUACGCAGCAGCUGUAAUGAAGAAGACAUUGAUGCAUUAGCUUCCUGUUCCGUCUUCUUGGUCUUCGGGGAGGUUGGUAGCAGCAACUUUAAUUGUUCAAAGCAAACACUUAUCUUUCGUUUCUCAUAAAACCUCGUGAGGUAAUGCUUUAGAUGACUGGUAUGCAAUAUUGUCAAUGACAAAAUGUAAUGUUGUAUUCUGCUGAUCAACAUGUAAAAACUACAUAUUACUUGAAUUAGUUUUUUUUUUUUUUAAUUUACUAAAUUUCAGAAUUUGUUAACGAUGUUUGUACUUGGUUUUAACUCGAUUAAAGCUCAUGAAACUUAAUUGAUUAAUUAAUCAUUUAGUUAAAUUUAUUCGCUUUCAUGCUAUGGAUCUUUGCUAUAAUAACAAAUGCUUAAUUAUAUGCGUAUGUGUGAUAUAAUAGCUGCGUCUUACAUAGCAUAACACUACACCAAAUAUGCCCCCCUCAGAUACUAAUUAAUUACACAAAUGUACUUUUAUUCAAUUUAUUAUUUAAAAUAAUAUUUGAAAAAAAAUGGACUUGAGCAGAGCAAAGUAGAGAUAAUAAACAAGGGUAGAUUAUGCAUGCGUCAAAAGAUUUUAAAAAAGAAAAAGAGAAAAUAUACGGAAAACAAGAAAAUUGCGGGGAGCCACUCUUGUCUUUUACUUUGGACUUGAAGUCGUUCCAGGUGGAUAAUGUUUUCCUUUUAAAUAUUUAGAAUUAUAUUGUGGCGCUAUUUAAAAUAAGUUAUAAUUUUCUUAAAAUCAGACUAUGAUUACGGUACUCCAUGGUCAGAGUGUCGUUGAAUAAUGCUGAGUCUAUUGAGUCCUUUUCAAAUCGAAACCAGAACUAAAGAAAAAUCCAGAACUGAAACAAGGGCACGAACCAGCAAGAUUUGAAGGAAAAAUUUACUUCGUUAGUGAUCAACAACUAAUCAAACGUAAGUGGAUUUACAGAAGACUUUGUACAGAUCACAAUGAAACAGAUUCUAUGCAAAUUGACGAACAACUGAAGAAGAAAAAGGAUCGUACAACAGGCACUGCUCAUAAGCUUCUAUUUAUACUGAUGUUUCUGGAAACGUUGUAACAGAUUAUAACUAAUUCGUGCCACGUCAGCAUAAAAUAUCUACUAGACCCAUUUAACUGAAGUCAAUCUGCACAACGACUCUGAACCUCUUCAUAUUUUCCAUUUCAGUCCACAGACUCAACUACACACGUCUCCAAAAAUAAUAAGUUUUAUUUAUUUAUUUUUAUUAAUAAAAUAAAUUUUUAUUAACUUUCGUUGAUUUUGGUAGAUUUUGUUUUUGAGCUGUUACUACACUGUCGGCUGGUGUGUCAUCAUACGUAGUAGCGUCAUCAACCCUCUCAUGACUUUGACGGCCGAAACAUGUUUCAUGGCACAAAUAAUGACAGAUUUGUUUGAGGUACGGCGGAGAUGCCUAUUCAAAUAUUUGAAGCCAGCCCCUCCUUGUUUAACAUUUUUUUUUUUAAAAGGGGAACAACUGCUUUAGCUGUAUAUAUCAAGAAAAUUAGCUAACAGUUUAUGCACUUAAUUAUUUAUUUUGCCACACAUUUGUAAGUGGUCAAUGCUGCCGUAAAAUUAUUAGACCCAAAAUAAAGUGUGAUGAGGGACAGGAAUUAAUGUUCCCAUUAGCUGUAGCACCUAUCUUCCAUCUCUAAUUUUAACUUUCGAUUGAUGAAGUGUUUUCAAAUUUGUCAAAUGUCUGUAAACUGUUUAAUAAUUGAAGAAAGUUAAAAUUCAUUUUCUAAAAAUUAUUUUCAUUCAAAAUUGCGAUUGGAUGGUAAUCAGGGUUAAUAUCAGAGCUUAAGAUACUAUAACCGUGAGAACCUAUUGACUGCCAAUUAAAAUAUCCAUUAAAAUGUCUAGGGAGUUAUGAAGGUGGGGGUAACUUCCAAUUUCUAAGGCCACAGAGUAGACAUCAUCCAGGAUCCUAGGAAAGUCCAGUUAACCUCCUGCUCGAUGCAAUUAAUAAAUUUGGUCAAUGCCACUGAAACCUGCUAACUGACGUCACAAUGCGACAUGAGCACUUCAAAAUGGGACGGACAGUCAGUAGCACUGAAUUUUUCUUGCCUAAGAUUGAGCAAUUGGUCUAACUACUAAUCCCUAUUGUAGGUUGAUCAUUAUUUUUUCAAUUAUGUUCAGUUUGACCCAAAAAGUUGCAGAAUCUUGAGCUGAAUAUUGUCACGGAACACUGUCAAUGUCGCUUAGCAUAGCCAACAAACUUGAUGUUAAAACAAACACACAGUGUGUCUCAUGUCUCACAAAUCAAAUUAUCAUCUGUAAUGAUGGAGAAUUUUUCCAAUGUAUGAAGUAUGCUUUGAUACGUGGGUUACCUUGGAGAAGAUAUCUCAAAAUAAAGAAUAUGGGGAGAAAACAGUUCAGUAGUUUAUUAUUCUGUAGUCAAGUUUUGUCUCGAAAAUGGUCAAAAUUUAAAUGAUUAAGGACAGGGGAUCUUCAUUCUUUUUCCCCUUUUUUAUACCAAGAUAUCUCUCAACCUUUAUAUAAUCCCCACUGGAUAUCUGCUUCUCAUAAUUAAAAUAAAAAUUUCACCGCUCUAACAAUAAAAAGUAACAUCUUUAGUCAAAUAAUUUUGCGGUUCCUCAUCAUCUUAGUGUGAGACUAUCAGUACUUCCAAAAACAUAAUAAAACUGGUUUGAUCCUGUUUAUUAAUGUUUAAAUGUUGUUCAUUGUGACAUGUAGAAAUGAUGAGGCGAAGUUUAUUUGGGCAUCAAUUAGUAAGAUCUUGUUCGAAGUUGUUUUCUGAAAUGAACUGCCAAAUGGUAGUUUUUUGGGGGCAUUUGAUGGCUCUUUUUUUUUCCUCAUUUUCAACAUGUGCCUGCUUGGAACAGGAAGGAUUAGGCUUUAGAGUUGUUAUUUAUUUUGAGAUGCUCUGGUCAUUGCACAAUUUGUUCACACUGGAAAUUAGAAUGAGAAAUUUGUUGAUGCUGUUUUGAGAGAUCUGCAUUCUAUGCACAAUAACAUGAUUAAUGAAAAUGUAUUGUAGGACUGGAAAGAUCUGUGGCAGCCUGAGCUCGCAGGAAGAAUUUCAAUGGUUAAUUCUCCCCGAGAGGUUAUUGGUUCAGUUUUGAAGUAUAGGGGAGCAUCAUACAAUUCAAACGAUAUUGAUUCGCAAGUUGCUGGUGGGAAGAUUGCUGUUCAGCAGAAUCUGGCAUUACUGGCAAACCAGGUACUCUUACAGAAAUGAUAUCUGGUCAUUGCAUGUUAUUGCCUGACAACUGAUUUUGUUUGUAAAAGUCUACUUCUUCAUACAUAUGAAUGCAUAUGUUAGUGUUUUCUUCUCGUUUUCAUACAUAUAAAUGCAUAUGUUAGUGUUGUCUUUUCCUUUUCAUACAUAUUACUACAUAUGUUGGUGUUCUCUCCUGAGAUGGAUGCAAUAAAGGCUUUUGCUCCUAAAUUUAGCUGAAGAAAUGGCAAGGGAUGUGAGAUUCUGUCUCAUUAAAUUAACAAAAACCCAAAGCAAUGAAAAUCCAUAAUAAUGUGGUGUGGGUAAAUUGGCUCCAUUUGGUUCGUUUCCUUAAUGUGAAUGCGCGAGCAAUAGAGACUAACAAAAUGAAGUGACAACAAGAAGUCAGUGUCCUUUGAUGGAUGCAUUUUUAGGCAGAAAUAGGUUUGUAAUUGACCAAAUUUGUCUGGCAUGCCAAUUUCAAAAAAAUUAAAUUAUGUGGUUAUUAGCUGUAAUGAAGGGGGAUAGUAGGUGCAAUCAGGUGGAUCCUGGAAAGUUCAAUAAAGUUUUGGUAUGGCGUAGUGAAAUUGGUUUGUGCAACUCAGGAGUCUUUCAGGUGAACGAUGAUAGGUUUUGAUUUAUGAAUAUUAUAAAUCUACUGUGCAUAGUAUUCUAGUAGAAUCAUCUAUAAGUUCUAGUUAUUGAAAUUGUAUACUUUGCCCGGUUUGAGUUAAGGGCACAUGUAAUAUGAAAGAUAGUUGUCGCAUCUUUUAGGUUACCUAACAUUUGAUCAAUCCUAUUAUGGGGGCUUCAAGAUGUCUAACAAUAUGUAGAAUGCCCAUGCUCCUCCCCAUUGUUUAUCUUCUACAAUAAUUUGUUUUAGAUGCUAAUAUCUUUGUCGAUACCGGUAACAAUAUUACAAUAUCUGCGUUUAUUGGGUUUUACAUAGGUUCGACUGUUUGACAGUACACACUAUCUGAAGGCAUUUGCAAUUGGAGAUGUAUGGGUUGCUGUUGGGUGGAUUAGUGAUGUUCUUCCUGCUGUCAAACAUAUGUCUAAUGUUGCUGUUGUUGUUCCCAAGUCUGGUGCUAGCUGCCUGCCAUUCUACUUCGAUAUUCACAUUGUUAUCUCCUUCAUAUUAGCGAUCAGUAAACACGAUAAUGUGACUAAUAAGUUCGUAUUCUCUUUAUAGGCAAUCCCUGCUGCCUCAAGACUUGAAACAAAACAAAUUGGAGGGCGAGUCGGAGGUCCAUCUCCGUUAAUCCAUCAAUGGAUAGAAUUCUGCUUGCAAACAGCGAGAGCAUUACCUUUCAAGCAAGAGGUAAUCCCAGGUGCAUCUCCCUCUGCCCUUGAAAGUACUCUGGUUAAGUUGCCUGAAGAACUUCUGGAGGGUAAACCAAGUCUGGAUACUAACUUAAUUGCUGGAGUACUCCCGGCUGAAAUUCUGGCCAGAUGUGAGUUUUUGGAGCCAUUAUCUGAAGCUACUUUGUCAGAUUAUGAGUGGCUGGUUGUUAAUCUGCAAAAACCUGCUCCUGUCUUGAUGAAAAGGGUGCAACAUUACUUGUCAUCAUUAAUCCAAAGCUUUCUAGCAAGAGCUACAUUGAAAAGUUAAUGGCGCUGCAUGCCAGUCAUUAUAAUGCUGUCAGGACAAUUGGGUCAGGGCAAUUAGGUCAGAGCAUAACUUCAUUAGGAAAGGGGGCUUCAGCUACGUUAAAUAUUACAGGAUGUACUGAGAUGGCUGAAGUUCUUGAGGUUUUAUGAGAAACGAAAGAUGAGUGUUUGUUUGAACAAAGUUGUUGCCAAUCUUGCAGAGUUUGAAAACAAAGAUCACGGAGCGAAUGCCACCGAUUUCUUCAUCAUUUUAGCCUCCAUAAUUGAAGUUUCCUCAUUUGAAGCUGUUUAUGCAUACGAUUUUUCCCUGCUCUAGUACAGGAAAUUGAAGAAUUAACCAGAUGUGAUAUGCUGAAAGAGGGAAGUUUUCUUCCUUGAAUGUGGCCUUUGUGAUUUGUCUUGAAGGAAUAGGAUGAUCACUGGCAAGAACCCUAUCAAGGUAGAUUUUAUGGUGUUAACAUAUUAUUCAGCAUUUUGUUACAUUAGCAAUGAUGCUUUCAUAGCAUGAAAGUGUUUAAAUUUAACUGAAUGAUCUUGAUUGAUCAAUUAUGAGUUUUAAUCGAGUAAAAACUAAAUACAAUAAUCGUAACAAANNNNNNNNNNNNNNNNNNNNNNNNNNNNNNNNNNNNNNNNNNNNNNNNNNNNNNNNNNNNNNNNNNNNNNNNNNNNNNNNNNNNNNNNNNNNNNNNNNNNUGCUACCUUUUGAUUUUAGUGCUUAAUAUUUAUUGAACUAUGAUGCAGGGAAUUUGAAAUCAAACUCGUAAUACAGAUUAUCUAAUUGCGAGUUGCUGUCCAUAGCUGCUAAUUUGUAGUGAUUAUCUAAUUGACUGAGGUGACAAUAAUUCUUUUAUUUUCAAUAGCACAAUGUGGAAUUCAAUAAUUAAAUUCUCCUGUUUAAUUUGUUUCAAGUUAAAUUAUUAAUUACUUAAACUCGGUUUUAAGUCUUUAAUUUUAUGUGUUUAUGCAGAAUUGGAUUCUUGAGCGUGUUGGACACGACCAACAAUGAAAUUGACAGUAAACAAACAUUAGAACAUGUGGACUCCGGUAAGCACCAAUGAAUUUCUAGCCCCGUUGACUCCGCCAACUAAAGUUUUGUAAAAUAAAAAAAAAUACAUAGAAUUCCACCAAAUGCAAAACGCGUAAAAUUUAAUUUUCGGCCGUGUGGACCAAAACAUAAUUUAACAAAAAAGAAAAAAAUGAUAAGAUUUUUAAAAUGUGUGGAAGGUGAUCCAUAUUUUACUGAAACGACUUGUUAAAUUUUUCAAGGAUUUAGAAUAUUUGGUCAUAAAUUACGUGCAUGUUAAUUUUUCCGCCAUUGACUAUCAUAUUCUAGACUUAAUGGUACCUUUUUUGAUGAAGGGUACUUAGUCUCUCUUCUCCUCUUAUAAAAAUUAUAUUAAUUGAUUUCUUGUUAUAGUUAAUAGUCUUCAAGAACGGAUAGAUUUAUUGUUUUCAUGACCAAAUUAUGCAUGCCUAACGUUGCAACUAUUAAUAAAAUUAAUAUUUAAUAUUUAUGUUAAAAGAUAUAAGAUUUUAUGCAUUCAUUAAUUGUUAUUAGCUAAAGGAUGAAUUAUUUUUUCCCAAUCAGUUGAUGCAUCUGCAAGAGUUUUUUUUUCUUUUAUUGACCAUAAUUAUAUUCCGGGUACAAUAAAUUGUCUUUGGUGCUUGGAAGAUAUGACAUCUCUCUGUCAACUUACUGGAAAUAUCUCCUCAUCUACUCUCAUUUAUCUAAUAUCAAUUGAAGAUCUCAUAUUUCCAAACUAUGACUUCCAAAUCUCAUUAUCAUUUGAGCAUUCAAAACUAAUCAAGUGUGGAAAUAAUCAAAUAUAUGCAAAAAUCGAGUCACAAUCUUUGGCCCCUCAAAAUUCUAAUUAUAUAACUUCUAUAUAUCUCAUACAUUUUCCAAAUUCCUCUUCCAUCAACAUCAUUAGGAGUAUGUUCAUCUCUCACACAUUAACUUGAGUGGAGAGUUUCCAAAUUGAUUGUCAGAAAACAACAAAAGAACUAGACACGCUUGAUCUGUCUAAUAAUUCUCUUUCGGUAAAAUUAAUUAAUUUUAGGGGAAUUCAGCCAACCUCUGUAAUUUUAUAGUGAUCAUUAAUUAAUUAAACAAUACAAAUAUCUAAAGUGAUUAGAUGUUUACUGACAAUACAAGUUCAUGGCUUGAAAUUUGAUCUCUAUCGAUUGGUUUUGUAGUGCUUAAUAUUUACAGAACUCCGGGAAUUUGAAAUCAAACUCGUAACUACAGAUUAUCUAAUUGUAAGUUUUUGUCCAUAGCUGCUGAUUUGUAGUGAUUAUCUAAUUGACUGAGGUGACAACAAUUGUUCUUUUAAUUUUCAAUAGCAUAAUGUGGAAUUCAAUAAUUAAAUUCUCCUUUUUAAUUUGUUUCCAAUUAAAUUAUUAAUUACUUAAACUCUAUUUUAAGUCUUUAAUUUUAUGUGUUUAUGCAGAAUUGGAUUCUUGAGCGUGUUGGACACGACCAACAAUGAAAUUGACAGUAAACAAACAUUACAACGCGUUGAGUGUCGACUCCGGUAGCUGCCCUACAAGUCUACAACUUUACAAAAAAUAAUUGAGUACACACAUUCGAUUCUCGGGACCCUUCAAUGAAUUUCUAACCCCGUUGACUCCACCGACAAAAGUUUUGGAAAAUAAAAAAAAAAUUUAUAGAAUUCCACCAAAUGCAAAACGCGUGGAAUUUAAUUUUCGGCCGUGUGGACCAAAACAUAAUUUAAUGAAAAAAAAGAAGAUAAAAUUUCUAAAAUGUGUGGAAAUUGAUCCAUAUUUUACUGAAACAACUUGUUAAAUUUUUCAAGGAUUUAGAAUAUUUGGUCAUAAAUUAUGCUCAUGUUAAUUUUUCCGCUAUUGACUAUCAUAUUCUAGACACAAUGGUACCUUUCUUGAUGAAGGGUACUUAGUCUCUCUUCUCCUCUUAUAAAAAUUAUAUUAAUUGAUUUCUUAUUAUAAUAAAUAGUCUUUAAGAACGUAUAGAUUUAUUGUUUUCGUGACCAAAUUAUGCCUGCCUAAGGUUGUGACUAUUAAUAAAAUUAAUAUUUAAUGUUUAUGUUAAAAGAUAUAAGAUUUUAUGCAUUCAUUAAUUGUUAUUAGCUAAAGGAUUAAUUAUUUUUUCAACCCAAUCUGUUGAUGCAUCUGCAAGAGUUUUUUCUUUUAUUGACCAUAAUUAUAUUCCGGGUACAAUAAAUUGUCUUUGGUGCUUGGAAAAUAUGACUUCUUACUUCAAGUUUGAUAUGUCUCUCUCCAUAAGCUUACUGGAAAUAUAUCCUCAUUUACUGUCAUUUAUCUAAUAUCAAUUGAAGAGCUCACUUUUUCAAACUAUCACUUCCAAGUCUCAUUGUCACUUGCCAUUCUUGGACCAUUCAAAACCAAACAAGUGUUGNNNNNNNNNNNNNNNNNNNNNNNNNNNNNNNNNNNNNNNNNNNNNNNNNNNNNNNNNNNNNNNNNNNNNNNNNNNNNNNNNNNNNNNNNNNNNNNNNNNNNNNNNNNNNNNNNNNNNNNNNNNNNNNNNNNNNNNNNNNNNNNNNNNNNNNNNNNNNNNNNNNNNNNNNNNNNNNNNNNNNNNNNNNNNNNNNNNNNNNNNNNNNNNNNNNNNNNNNNNNNNNNNNNNNNNNNNNNNNNNNNNNNNNNNNNNNNNNNNNNNNNNNNNNNNNNNNNNNNNNNNNNNNNNNNNNNNNNNNNNNNNNNNNNNNNNNNNNNNNNNNNNNNNNNNNNNNNNNNNNNNNNNNNNNNNNNNNNNNNNNNNNNNNNNNNNNNNNNNNNNNNNNNNNNNNNNNNNNNNNNNNNNNNNNNNNNNNNNNNNNNNNNNNNNNNNNNNNNNNNNNNNNNNNNNNNNNNNNNNNNNNNNNNNNNNNNNNNNNNNNNNNNNNNNNNNNNNNNNNNNNNNNNNNNNNNNNNNNNNNNNNNNNNNNNNNNNNNNNNNNNNNNNNNNNNNNNNNNNNNNNNNNNNNNNNNNNNNNNNNNNNNNNNNNNNNNNNNNNNNNNNNNNNNNNNNNNNNNNNNNNNNNNNNNNNNNNNNNNNNNNNNNNNNNNNNNNNNNNNNNNNNNNNNNNNNNNNNNNNNNNNNNNNNNNNNNNNNNNNNNNNNNNNNNNNNNNNNNNNNNNNNNNNNNNNNNNNNNNNNNNNNNNNNNNNNNNNNNNNNNNNNNNNNNNNNNNNNNNNNNNNNNNNNNNNNNNGUAUUUUACUUGGAAGAUAUGACAUCUCUCUGUCAACUUACUGGAAAUAUCUCCUCAUCUACUCUCUUUUAUCUAAUAUCAAUUGAAGAUCUCAUAUUUCCAAACUAUGACUUCCAAAUCUCUCAUUAUCAUUGAGCAUUCAAAACUAAUCAAGUGUGGAAAUAAUCAAAUAUAUGCAAAAAUCGAGUCACAAUCUUUGGCCCCUCAAAAUUCUAAUUAUAUAACUUCUAUAUAUCUCAUACAUUUUCCAAAUUCCUCUUCCAUCAACAUCAUUAGGAGUAUGUUCAUCUCUCACACAUUAACUUGAGUGGAGAGUUUCCAAAUUGAUUGUCAGAAAACAACAAAAGAACUAGACACGCUUGAUCUGUCUAAUAAUUCUCUUUCGGUAAAAUUAAUUAAUUUUAGGGGAAUUCAGCCAACCUCUGUAAUUUUAUAGUGAUCAUUAAUUAAUUAAACAAUACAAAUAUCUAAAGUGAUUAGAUGUUUACUGACAAUACAAGUUCAUGGCUUGAAAUUUGAUCUCUAUCGAUUGGUUUUGUAGUGCUUAAUAUUUACAGAACUCCGGGAAUUUGAAAUCAAACUCGUAACUACAGAUUAUCUAAUUGUAAGUUUUUGUCCAUAGCUGCUGAUUUGUAGUGAUUAUCUAAUUGACUGAGGUGACAACAAUUGUUCUUUUAAUUUUCAAUAGCAUAAUGUGGAAUUCAAUAAUUAAAUUCUCCUUUUUAAUUUGUUUCCAAUUAAAUUAUUAAUUACUUAAACUCUAUUUUAAGUCUUUAAUUUUAUGUGUUUAUGCAGAAUUGGAUUCUUGAGCGUGUUGGACACGACCAACAAUGAAAUUGACAGUAAACAAACAUUACAACGCGUUGAGUGUCGACUCCGGUAGCUGCCCUACAAGUCUACAACUUUACAAAAAAUAAUUGAGUACACACAUUCGAUUCUCGGGACCCUUCAAUGAAUUUCUAGCCCCGUUGACUCCACUGACAAAAGUUUUGGAAAAUAAAAAAAAAAUUCAUAGAAUUCCACCAAAUGCAAAACGCAUGGAAUUUAAUUUUCGGCCGUGUGGACCAAAACAUAAUUUAAUGAAAAAAAAAAGAUAAAUUUUCUAAAAUGUGUGGAAGGUGAUCCAUAUUUUAUUGAAACAACUUGUUAAAUUUUUUAAGGAUUUAGAAUAUUUGGUCAUAAAUUACGCUCAUGUUAAUUUUUCCGCUAUUGACUAUCAUAUUCUAGACUCACUGGUACCUUUCUUGAUGAAGGGUACUUAGUCUCUCUUCUACUCUUAUAAAAAUUAUAUUAAUUGAUUUCUUAUUAUAAUAAAUUGUCUUUAAGAACGUAUAGAUUUAUUGUUUUCGUGACCAAAUUAUGCUAGAUUAAGGUUGCGACUAUUAAUAAAAUUAAUAUUUAAUGUUUAUGUUAAAAGAUAUAAGAUUUUAUGCAUUCAUUAAUUGUUAUUAGCUAAAGGAUUAAUUAUUUUUUCAACCCAAUCAGUUGAUGCAUCUGCAAGAAUGUUUUCUUUUAUUGACCAUAAUUAUAUUCCGGGUACAAUAAAUUAUCUUUGGUGCUUGGAAAAUAUGACUUCUUACUUCAAGUUUGAUAUGUCUCUCUCCAUAAACUUACUGGAAAUAUAUCCUCAUCUAUUAUCAUUUAUCUAAUAUCAAUUGGAAGAUCGCACUUUUUCAAACUAUCACUUCCAAGUCUCAUUGUCACUUGGCCAUUCUUGGACCAUUCAGAACCAAUCAAGUGUUGAAAUAAGUCGAGAGGGGGGGCAAAAUUAGAGUCACAAUUUUUGGUCCCCCAAAUUCUAAUUAUAUAACUUCUAUAUAUUUCAUUGCCAGGUCACGAACUUGUUGGCACAUUUUCCAAAUUCCUCUUCCAUCAACUCUCACACGUUAACUUAAGUGGAAAGUUUCCAAGUUGAUUGCUAGAAAGCAACGCAAAAUCAGACACGCUUGACCUGUCCCCUAAUUCUCUUUUCUACGUUGAAAAAGAAAAAAAAAAUAUAUAUAUAUAUCUAUGUAAAAAUAAAUAAUAAACUGAAUAAAAGUACAUUUGUUUAAUUAACAUCUGAUCGUGGCAUUUUUGGUGUAAUUUCGUGCUGUGUAAGCCACAACUAAAAUCAAACAGCCCCUUAGCAUACUUCUUCCAUUUUAUCUGGUACUUUUGUGGAUCUUAUAGGGUGGGCAUGUGGACAGAAUUUAAAAGUUUUAAUAGUCUCAAAGAAUAAGAUAUGUUAAAGCUAAAGUUGUUGCACCUUCUAAUUAAAUAAAGUUGUACAAUUUCACCAACUUGGAAGAAUUGACAUUAAUGGACUGGUCCCUUCUCCAUAUAUGAAGCCUUCUUAAAAGUUAAUUUUUAUUUCAGAAAAAAAAAGUUAAAGUUACAUAUAUUAUAGUAAGAUUUUUUGAGACCAAUUCCCUUCUUGAAAUAAUAAUGGAAAAGUAUUAAUUUAAUAAUAAAAUGAAUAUGUAUUGAUUAUAUCUUGAUUUUCAUCGAUUAUAGUGAGAGUUUCUCCAAAUCAAUUCCCUUAUUCAAAUAAUAUCGAAAAAAUAGUAAUUUAAUAGUAAAAUAAACAGGUGUUGAUUAUAUAUUCUAAGUUUCAUCGAUUAUGUGAUCAAAGUGGCAUUGUUGAUUUAUUUCUUGUUCAAUGUUAAUUUUUAGGUUAUCUAAAUUUCAAGGAUUUAAAAUCUUUGAUCAUGGAUUACACGCUUGUUAAUUUUUCUGCCAUUGACUAUCAUAUUCUAGACUUAAUGAUACCUUUCUUGAUCAAGGGUAAUUACUCUCUCUUCUCCUCUUAUAAAUUCCUCUUCCAUUAACAUCACUAGGAGUAUGUUGAUCUCUUACAAAACAACAAAAGAACUAGACACACUUGAUCUGUCUAAUAAUUCUCUUUCGGUAAAAUUAAUUAAUUUUAGGGGAAUAUUCGACCAACCUCUGUAAUUUUAGAGUGAUCAUUAAUUAAUUAAACGAUACAAAUAUCUAAAGUGAUUAGAUGUUUGCUGACAAUGCAAGUUCAUGACUUGAAAUUUGAUCUCUAUCGAUUGGUUUACAAAUGGACAUACUUGUGCCUUUGUGGCGAUAAUCGAACAAGUUCCAAUGAUUAUUAUUUUUUCCAAAAACUUUUUUACAACAAAUUCAUCUCGCCAAAAAUUCUAUGUUGCUAGCUAACAAUAAUUGAGCACUUGGCCGCAUUGACUCCACGUCUCCACCUCUUUCUAAAUUCUAAGUAAAAACAUGGAAAUGUAAUUUCCACAAAAUGCCAAACGUGUGGAAUUUAAUUUUUUGCCUUGUGGAUCAAAAUACAAAUGAAAGAAACAGGAAAAAAAAAAAAGGCCCAAAGACUUCUAAAAGAUGAAGAAGUCUUUGGGCCUUUUUAUAAUGGUGGAUUUUUUAAAAGAAAAAAAUAACAACACUUUUAUGGUUGGUUUUGAUAAUCAUAUGUGCGUAUAUACUCUCUAAUUUUCAAAAUGGACACAUAAAUCUUUUUUUUUCACAAAAUAUAUAUUAUUCAUAUUUUUUAUUUUUUAUUAUCAUAUUUUUAUUUAUUAUAAAUGUUUAGAGUAAAUUUUUAGGUUGAAAUAUAAUAAAAGGGUAUAAUCGUUCUCUUAUUAAACACACAUACUUUUAUUAGUUUCUAUGCAUUUGUCAUCUCAAUCUCUCUCAAUUAUUCUUUAUUGCUAGCUCAAAACACGUUGCUGUUGCAAAUUAUAGCAAAAUGACAAAUAUGGAAAAAAAGGGAAGAAAAUUAAUGCAUGAAAGACUUGGAGAAAACAACAAAAUAAGCCAACUAUGAGCUAGUUGGGUGUAUAAAUUGUUAGAUGUGUUAUAUACAAAUAGCAUAGAGCCCUCUAGUUGGUUCUAGAGACAGAAAGAGCGUGUGUGUUUUUUCACAGUUAGAGAUAUAGUUAGAAUGGGUGGCUCAAAAUCAAAAAUGAUGAUAAUGUUUAUUAUGUUAUUAAUAAUAUUUAAAAGUGGGUGGAGUGAGGGAUGUUUGGAUCACGAGAGAUUUGCUCUUUUGCGACUCAAACAUUUCUUCACUGGUCCUUGUAAUUAUCUUUACGACUGGGUAGAUGGUGAGGGAGCUACUGAUUGUUGUCAGUGGGAAAGGGUUGAGUGCAGCAACACCACAGGCCGAGUGAUAACGCUAGACCUUUUUGACACGUAUGGGGGAGAGCACAACUGGUAUCUGAAUGCUUCUUUGUUUACUCCCUUCCAACAACUUGAGUCACUUGAUUUAACUUACAACAAAAUAACCGGUUGUGUUGAGAAUGAAGGUGCUUCGUUUAAUUUAAUUAAUUUACUUUCUCCCCCCUAAUUUAAGUUGAAUAUCAAGACCGAGCAAUUAUAUGCAUAUUCAUUCAGUUGACAAUUUUGACUUUUUUUUUAAAGAUUAAUUUUGAAAUUACACUAGUAUCUAUGAUCCUUUUUUUUUUUAUUUUACUUGCAGGUAUAGAGAGGCUAUCAAGAUUGAACAACUUGAAGAUGCUUAAUUUAAGUGAUAACUCGUUCAACAAUAGCAUUUUAUCAUCACUAACUCAUCUUUCAUCAUUAAGAUCAUUAAAUUUAUAUGGGAAUAGAUUAGAAGGAAGUAUUGACGUUAAAGGUACAUAAUUAAAACUUCAUCCCUUCUCCAAGCUCUUUCAUUAACUUGCUAAAAUAAGAUUCAAGGCUUUGAAUUCAAUUUUUUUUAUGAUUAGUAUUAAAAAAAAACAGUUUUAAGCAAUUUAUAAAUACAAGUUUUAAUCUUUCUCAUAAUUUCAUCUUGUACUUUCAUGUGUCUUGAAUUUAAGAUUAAAAAGAAAUCUAAUAGCAAACCAAACACCUCCACAACUUAUUAUUAUUAUUAUUAUUAUUUGCGGUGAGGUUUGAAACAUUCAACUCAAUUUGUACUUAUUACAGAAUUUGAUUCUUUGAGAGAUUUAGAGGAGCUAGACAUUGGCGAGAACAAGAUUGACAAAUUUGUGGUCUCAAAAGGUACUACAAAUACCAUAAAAAAAAAUGCUAACUUAUACAAAUUAGUUGGAUUCUUGGCCAUUUGGUUUAUUAUUUUACAGGUUUGAGUAAGUUGAAGUCUCUCUGUUUAAGUGGUAUCAAACUCAAUCGUAGCAUCUUCGCUUCUCUUUCUUCGUUAAGAGAAUUAGAUAUAAGUUAUACGGGAUUCAAAGGAACAUUUGAUGUUCGAGGUAAGUCUAAGCCUUGCUUUCUCAUUUUAUAUAUGCGAACUAGAUUUGUGUAUCAUCGACAUAAUUUAAUAUUUAAUUUAAUAAGUCUGAAGGUAUUACAUGCUAAUUUAAACAUACUUUUAUUUACUUUGUCAAUUAAUUAAUUAAUUAAUUAAUUACUAUUUGGCUUGGUUUGGACGAAAUUCUCAUGAUGUUUUAAUUUCUUUAAAUUAAUUAAUUAAUUAACUCUGUUUUUAAGUCUUAAGUCUGGGCAUGUUUGCAGAAUUUGAUUCCUUCAAUAACUUAGAAGUGUUGGACAUGGGAUACAAUGAAAUCGACAAUCUUGUGGUUCCUCAAGGUAAACAAUUAAAAUAUUAUUCAAUUACAUUAUUUUAAUUCAUUUGAUUAGAGAAGGCCAAAAAGGUCCCAAAAAAAUUAAUAAUAAAGAAACAGAUAAUUUGUAUUAUUUAAAAAAAACAGAAUGUAAUAAAGAUUUGAUUCCAGUUCUUUAAUCUUUAAAGCGAUUGAAAAACAAUGUUGCUCUUUUCCCAAAGUAUAAAAUACGAAUUGAAUGCCAAUUAACUUAAUCAUUCAUUUCGUUUAGCUCUAAAUUUAGACAAUGAAUUUUUAUAUUAUUUCAAAAACAGGACGUAAUAGAAUUUUUUUAAAAACAGAUUGUAAUGAAGAUUUGAUUCCAAUUUUUUAAUCUUUGCAGCGAUUGAAAAACCAUACCGCUCUUUUCCCAAAGCAUAAAAUACGAAUUGACUCCCAAUUAAAUUAAUCAUUUAUUUUGUUCAUCUCUGAAUUUAAAUAAUGAAUUUUGAUCUUCAAUCAUAUUCUAACUACUAUUAAAAAACAAGUUACAAAGGUUUGAGGAAGCUGAAAAGCCUUGAUCUAUCGGAAGUUGAAAUUAGAGAUGGAAGCAAGUUGUUACAGUCGAUGGGAUCAUUCCCAUCCCUCAACACUCUUUACCUGAAGGAUAAUAAUUUUACCGAUAUAGCGACAACUACUACUCAAGGUAAGUAAAAGGUACAGAUGUGGCCAAAUUUAUAAAUAAAUUGUUAAUUAAUUAAUUUUUCCGUAUUAUUAAUUAAGCUAAAUUCGUUGCUCCUUCCUUCUAAAUCUAAACAGAGUUGCACAAUUUCACCAACUUGGAAUAUUUGACAUUGACCGGUUCCUCUCUCCAUAUAAGCCUUCUGCAAAGCAUUGCAUCAAUAUUCCCUUUGUUAAAAAUUUUGCCGAUGAUUGGUUGUGAAGUCAAUGGCAUCCUACGUGGUCAAGGUAAAAGAAAAGCGUUGAAUGUGCACUCACUGAGUGUUGUCCUACGUGUUCAAUAUUUUCAUUUAUUCAUUUUAUUGUUUAAUGUUUCUGCUAGGUUUUACUCAUUUCAAGAGUUUGGAACAUUUGGACAUGGAUUACGCGCUCAUUGCACUCAACACCAGCUUUCUUCAAAUCAUCAGUGAAUCGAUGCCUUCUCUUAAGUACUUAUCACUAUCAAAUUCUACUCUUGGCACUAACAGCAGCAGGAUUCUUGAUCAAGGUUAAUCAGAUGCUCCCACCCCCCUUCUUAAUCUAUAAUAUUAAUUUUCAAUUAAAUAUUUAAUUACACAAACGAAUCACUUAUUAUAAAAGAAUAAUACGCAUUCAUUAAUUUUUAUAUUGUAUUAAUUGAUGAAUUUAAUAAAUUUUCAGGCCUCUGUUCGUUGAUGCAUCUGCAAGAGUUGUACAUUGAUAAUAAUGAUUUAAGAGGUAGCUUGCCUUGGUGCAUGGCAAAUAUGACAUCCCUCCGAUUAUUAGAUGUUUCUUCCAAUCAACUUACGGGAAGCAUCUCCUCAUCUCCCCUCGUUCAUUUGACAUCCAUUGAAGAGUUGAUGCUUUCAAACAAUCACUUCCAGAUCCCAAUUUCACUUGAACCACUUUUCAAUCACUCAAGACUCAAGAUUUUCAAUGCUUAUAACAAUGAAAUAAAAGCUAAAAUAACUGAGUCACAUUCUUUGAUCGCCCCAAAAUUCCAAUUAAAUACACUCUUGUUGUCUUCCAGUUACGGAGACAGUUUCAUAUUCCCCAAAUUCAUUUACCAUCAACAUGACCUGGCGUAUGUUGAUCUCUCACACAUAAAGAUGAAUGGAGAAUUUCCAACUUGGUUGUUGGAAAACAACACAAAAUUGAGCCAACUUUCUGUCGUCAAUGAUUCUCUUGCAGGACCUUUUCGGUUGCCAAUUCAUUCACACAAGCAGUUAAGACUGUUGGAUAUAUCCACCAACAACAUCCGAGGCCACAUUCCAGUAGAAAUUGGAGAUGUUUUGCCACGUUUAUACGUUUUCAACAAUUCCAUGAAUGCUCUAGACGGUAGCAUUCCCUCUUCAUUUGGUAAUAUGAAAUUCCUCCAAAUUCUGGACUUAUCCAACAAUCACUUGACUGGUGAAAUCCCCGAGCACUUGGCCGUGGGUUGCGUCAACUUGCAGGCUCUUGCAUUAUCAAAUAACAACCUACAAGGUUACAUGUUCUCUAGAAAUUUUAACUUGACAAACUUGAGAUGGUUACAAUUGGAGGGCAAUCGAUUCGUAGGUGAGAUCCCACAAAGUUUGUCUAAAUGCUCCUCACUAGAAGGAUUGUAUAUUAACAAUAAUAGUCUUUCGGGUAAGAUUCCACGAUGGUUGGGUAAUCUCACAUGGUUACAAUAUAUUAUAAUGCCCAAUAAUCAUCUUGAAGGCCUUAUUCCAGUGGAGUUUUGUCAGCUUGAUUCGCUUCAGAUUUUGGACAUUUCAGACAACAACAUAUCUGGAAGUUUACCAUCUUGUUUCCAUCCUCUCUCUAUCAAACAAGUUCAUCUUUCAAAAAAUAUGUUACAUGGACAACUAAAAAGAGGUACAUUCUUUAAUUGCUCUUCCCUUGUGACAUUAGAUCUUAGCUAUAACCGCUUGAAUGGCAACAUUCUGGAUUGGGUUGAUGGGCUUUCUCGGUUAAGCCACCUGAUCUUAGGUCACAAUAAUCUUGAAGGUGAAGUGCCAGUUCAAUUGUGCGAAUUGAACCAACUACAAUUGUUAGAUCUUUCUAAUAAUAAUCUUCACGGUCCUAUUCCUCCUUGCUUUGAUAACACCACACUUCAUGAAAGUUACAGCAAUAGUUCUAGUCCUGAUGAGCAAUUUGAAAUAUUUUUUUCCAUCGAAAGCCCUGUGGGAGAUGUAAAAGAGCAAAUCCAUGAAAUUUUUGAGUUAACAACAAAGAACAUUGCGUACAUUUACCAAGGAAAAGUGUUUAGCCUCCUAUCAGGACUUGAUCUUUCUUGCAACAAGCUAAUCGGUCAUAUUCCUCCUCAAAUUGGAAAUUUGACAAGGAUUCAAACAUUGAAUCUAUCGCACCAUAACUUGACAGGAUCGAUCCCAUCAACAUUUUCAAACUUGAAGCAUGUCGAAAGUUUGGAUCUUUCCAACAACAAAUUGAAUGGAAAAAUCCCUUAUCAACUAGUGGAGUUAAAGACAUUGGAGGUUUUCAGUGUGGCAUACAAUAACUUAUCAGGCGAAAUUCCAGAAUGGAAAGCACAAUUUGCAACCUUCAACGAGAGUAGCUAUGAGGGAAAUACUUUUCUUUGUGGACUGCCAUUGCCCAUUUGCAGAUCACCAGCAACUACGCCGGAGGGUUCAAUCGGCAAUGAACGAGAUGAUAAUUUAAUUGACAUGGACAGUUUCUUUAUCACAUUUACAACAUCGUACGUAAUUGUGAUAUUCGGAAUUGUUAUUGUUUUAUAUGUAAAUUCUUAUUGGCGACGUAAAUGGUUUUACUUUGUUGAAAUGUGGAUAACUUCAUGUUAUUAUUUUAUUGUAGACAAUCUUAUUACAACAAGAUAUUGUCAUUGAAAUUAAUUAGCAGUUUAAUUACGAUUCUUUAAGUUCUAAUCAAGUUUGCACUUGAUCGCCUAUUUUACUUUAAAAAAUAAUGAUUAUGGUGCUAUCAUCAUCUUCUUCACUAGCAACAUUAACACCAAAUCCAGCGAUGGACCCAGACAUUUUAUCAAGAUAUCCACCAUAACUUAUACUUCCCUAUACUGUGCAGCCUACUUAAAUAAGAGAACCAUCUCCAAUGUUAAAACCAGCCACUCUAUAACAUUCAUUUAGAAACUAUAUUUAGAACUCUCCAAUCCACCCACCAGAAUUUCAUAUCUCCUCAACAAUUUUAAGAACUAAAGAUAAUUAGGAUAUAACAUUAGUUUUUUAUAUAUUAGUUUCAUAAUUUACAAAUCAAUGAAGAUGAAGAUUAUGUUAAUGAAUUCAAAUUAUACCAUACAUUCUCGAGAUGCUACCAAAAAUUUCUAAGUCAAUCCCACAUAUUUCAUAAUUUUAAGACUAGAAAAUUUCAUUAGGUAGAAGUUUCAUUACCUUCAAGUGGAAGAUGAAGAACAUUAUACAAUUGAUUCAGAUUAUAUCAUACAUACUCCAAAUGCAACUAGAAAUUAACAAGUUCAUGCGCACAGAUUUCAUAACAUUAUGAAUGGAAAGUUUCACAAAGAGAAAUUAUAAAUUCAAUCUCUUGCAUCAAGGUAGUUUGAUUGAUUUGAGUUACUUUCUGAUCAAGCUAUUAAUAUAACAUUCAAGUCAGGGAGAAAGUAAAUUAAAACUGGGAAGAAAUAACAGUAAAAAUUUGUUGCUAAACAUGAUGUGUAUUUUUUUUUUAAGGCAAUUUGGAAACACAGUUGUUACUACAGAUAUUCUCCUCAACUUAGAGAUAAUACAAAUAUUAAAAUGCAUAUGAUCGCACAUAUUACUUUGGAAGCUUAGUAAGAUUUCAUUAAGAGAAGCAAAUCAAACCACUUAUUUCAUUGUUGCAUCGUUCUAUAAGCUAAAAUAGCAAUAUAAUACAAGAAAAAGAACAUAUAGAUACUUGGCAAGAGUUCAUUAAGAAGUCGCAUCACAUUCGGGUGAGUUUGCUUCUGAUAUCUUGCUAGCUGGGGCUUUUUCUUGUCUUUCUAUGUAUGCCGAGGGAAACCAACCAGCUUGGCCCUUGCAUUCACCUUCCGACCAUCCAGUAGGAGCCACCUUGAGAAGUUAUAACUAAAACAGUGAAUUAAACAACAGUUGACCAUUCAAAGACCUAAGGGGAAAACUAAUUCUUUUACGUAGGAAGAGUGAAUUAAUUCUGAUCACUGAAAUAACAGCAUAACUAUGGAAGCCUAAAAAGAUAUAAAUUCACACGUCUAUAAGGGUAAACUGGGUGGUUUAGAACUGAGCUAGCAACCCUACCAUAUUCUGAUUUGCACUUCAAUGUAAAAGGGAAUAUAUGGUAUGAAGAAAGAAAACCAACCAUCAUUUGUUAACCCAUUGCUUUUCAAUCAAAAUUUUAAGAACAAAAUGCCAUGUGCUUUGAACAUCAAAUAAGUAUAAGCAUUAGUUCUAAAUUCCACAUAUCAUAAGUUAGAAGGAUAAGUUAAUAGCAUAGUAGAAAAAUCUGUGUUGUUAUUUAGAGGGGAAAGUACCUGGCGAACCACAACAUAAUCAUCAAUUGAAAGACUUAACUCUCCAUUUGCUUGAGCAUCAAAUGGAUGUAUAACCUGCAAGAUAAUGGGAUAAAUAGAACUUAAUCUCAAAAAAAGCAUAACAAAAGCAGCAACAGUAUCAGCAGCGUUCAUUGUAACCACUAUGAUCAUGGCCAACAAAGAUAUAUUAGAAACAAAAUUCCAUUUUUACUACGGCAUUAAUAUGCACUAUAUGAUAUCAUGACGAUUGGGUUACCAAGAGCUAUCAAAGUCCAAUAAAUUCUGUAUAACUUUAUGUAGUUAUUCAAAUUAUGGAUCAGAUUUUAAAUCUGAAAUUUUGACUGCUCUCCACAAAACAUGGCCUAUGCACAAGAAGGUCAUAGAUAAUGAGGAUUACAAGUGUUUGACAUCUUUAGAGUGAUGGAUUUAAGAUGACAGCUUAUGGUCAGUCAAUUUCCUCCGCCUAGCAAUAUAAGCUUUCUCGGCCGGAUUUAUCAUCAAAUAUAUAGAUUGCCCCCAAGUCACAUCCAUAUAAACAUAGUUUUUCUAGGUAAACCAAGUAAGGAGAAUCAUAAUUCAGACAUAAUCAUAAAAAGGCCCAUCUAACUUAAGAGAAAAUCUCAAAAAGAGGAAUGUUGAGCUAUCAUUCUUGUAUCUAUAAGCAAUAUCAAGACUUUACAUCACCUGCUACAUCGUGAGUGGCUACACAACUUUCAGUGGUUUGUCUUUCUUUGGCAUGCCUAACUCAGCUUUGAUGUUGCUGAGAUAUUGAUGGUAGAGACACAUGAUACUUCUAGCUCAUGCAUUCUAUCUAGCUCAUUCGACAGCUAUCUCUUUUUUAAUUCAUUAGUGUUUGCUAAACCUCAUGCUUAAAAAUCAUGCUGUUCUAAACAAAGUUUCCUAAGAAUGACUUCCUCAGCACCACACUUAGACACUUUUAGAGCAAUUUUAUUUGGGGGAAAAGAAUUUUCAAGGUGUUAACUAAUAAAUUUUAAAAAAUAAUUACAAUUUGUCCUACGAUUAUAUGACAAUUUAUCUAGGAUGAAAGGAUACAGACAGACAUCUUCCACUUUCAAGACUAAUCACUACUUCCGUAGAUGUUUUGCAAUAACACAAAUACUUGACCAGAUGGUAGUGAUGGUAGAAAAUAUUUUAUUGCUCCAAAAUUAAAAUAAGAAUGCAAUAUGUUAAGCAAAAGACUGUGCAACAUCAAAUUAAUUGAUAAGUUUGUAAUUCAGUAAAUUAACAACUUUCAUGGUAAAAUACAACAAAUUUCUUUUCAAAAAAUUUUUUUAAAAGACAGCAUUCAAUUUUGUGCGCAUCUUAUUUCUUAAGAUUUUCCAGGAGGGCAAUAGAGGGACUUUCACCUAUGCAAGAGAGCAGAAGCCUUACUUUCGCUAUAAAGUAGACGUCAUUCUGAUUAAUAUGCGUUUGCAAAUCAACUCCAUUUGAAUCAGUAUUCUGAUAGACACAUGAGGCAUUUACAUCCAUUUCCAAAGUCACAUGUUGCGAGGAGGACUCAUUUGAUUGCUCCUCUAGGAUCAUCUAAUUCAAGUAGCAAGGGUUGGAAGAGAAUAAAAAGUCACAAUUAUUCUUUUGCAUAAGUGAGACGAAAAUGAUAAAUGCACUAUUAUCAGCAGUAAACAAGAAGAGAACACUCCAAGGAAUAGAUAGAUGCGGACAAGCAAGUUAAAAUGCACAGUUCCAAACCUCCGCAUACAACUUCUCUGAAAUAGCAAUAACGUGUUGAUGAUAUGUUUUCUCAGCAUCUACCUUUAAAGGCCCGAGACCAGGAAAACAACAAUAAAACCACUAGCUAAAGGAGAAAGUAAAGAAAGAAAUACACUUGACAUAAAUCUUGACAAGAAGCACAAUUUAAGACAUAACAAACCCCAAUCAUAUUGUUUAGGACUACCAUUCGUUAUUUCGUUAUUGUAGCAUUUAGAACAAGUGUUGACUUAAUUCAACAUUGUUGGAAAGAUAGGCUUUUAGAAGCGGAAGAAAGCCACUCAAACCAAAGUGAUUGCCCUUGAAUUGAUCAAGGGAUGUAAACAUAUUACAUUUCCAGGAUGAGUUUUAAUCACUCCCCUGAUUUAUUUGGGUUGCAGUAAAACUAAGCGAGCAACUGUUUGACUUUCAAGCAACAUCUAAAUCAGCUAUUAAAAUUCAAAUAAAAUCAUAAUAGAAUAAUAACAGGCCAUCUUGCAUCAAAAAUUAAGUUUAAUUUGUGAAUUGUUUUCUAUAGACAUGUUAGUUCCUGCUAUUGAAAUGUUAAAAGCAUUGAAAAAUGAUUCAAUAAAUUAUGCAAACAUUAAAAUAGAGGACAUAUUAAAAAGUUUCUAAUUACAAUGUUAAGAUUUCCUAUAUUUUAGCAUUUGCAUAUUUUAAUUUAUGUAAAAGCUACGUCGAUCAACUUUGGGCGUGAAGAUUUUAGCUUCUACGAGACUUGAUUGGAAUAUGCAUAAGGAAGAGUGUUAAAAUAUGAUGCAUCCAACGAAAGACAAACCACGUGUAGUCUUUUAAUUAAGCCAAAGUAGCAGCUCAAACAAAUGACACUUGGACCAACAUGCAAUCAUGAAGGGGCCGGAAAAAGGACAAAUGCAACUUUGGCUUAAAUAAAAAAUAACAUGUGACUUGACUUUUGCUGGACAUGCAUCAUGUUAUUACAAGACAACAGAAAUCAGUAUGAUAGUACUAAAAGUUGACAAUAACAUGAAGAUAAGAGGCAGAAUAUCAACACAUGCAUAGGCACACACAAGGAAGUAUUAACUUAUAUACCAUAGCAAAAAGUCUUUGAAAUAUCAAUAAAAAAAAAACAAUUAAUUAAAGGUCGAAGAUGGGUCCUUUACAUAUGUUUUUGUUUUCGUAUUAGGUAGGAGGUUAUUAUAUUAUAUCAUGUAAUUAAUUUAUAUUAUAUCAUAUUAUAUCAUAUAUAUAUGAAAAAAAAAAAGAAUUUCAAAGAGAUAGCAACAUACAAUAGACUGAAGCCAUUUGAUCUACUCAUUGAUUUCAGCCUUAAACUUGUAAAUACUUACUGUACGCUAGUGCUCUAAGAAGUGAAAAUGAUGCAAACCCUGAUCCCCUUUUGACUUCCAUUUACUGUCAAAUAUUCUAUUCAUACGAAAAAAAUGUUUAGAUAUCUUACUAUAAAUAUAGCCGUUUGACUGUCUUAAUAAAGUCACACACAACCAUUCUUAUUAAAUUAGCAAGAUCAAACACUGCCCUGGAUCUUGAACAGAUCCACGCAAGUUGCACAACUUACGAUUGAAUCCGGCCAGAAAAAAUCAACUCUUUAGCAAGAAAAAUUAAUCAGAGUCAAGAAACAAGUUUAAUGAAUAUAAACCUAUAAUUGAAACAAACAUAGCCAAGAAACAAAUAGAGAUUUUACAUGUUUCAGUUGUACCAAGGAUGGCACAACCUACACCACGGGAGAAGCUUUCUGGUGACCCCAAUCUGCUUAGUUAAUAAUAGAGAUUUCAGAGAAUAAGCUAUAACCCUCUCUCCCUCUUCAGUCUCUCUCUAUUUUGUUCCCAUUGAUGACCCCAAUCUGCUUAGUUAUCCAGCUUUAUAGCUGCAUCAGUAACAAACCAGCAAACCCAGAUUGAGCAGAUUGACGACACGUGGAUAACGGCUUUAACGAACCUGGUUAAGAACUGCUCACAUGUUCGUCACGCGUGCUGCUUAAAUGAUGGCCAAAACGACUUCAAACAAAUGUCGUUUUGAGGCUUAUGAAUUACAAGUGAUAACACGAGCUUGUCUCAUGACUUUUAAAUGCAACAACGUGCCCACAACGCCGUCGUUUUACUCUGUUGAGUUUGAUUCAUUACUAAGCUUUACGACUGGCAAUGGAGAAGAUGAUAAUUUAAUUGAUACGGACAGUUUUUAUAUCACUUUUACAACAUCCUAUGCAAUUGUAAUAUUGAGAAUUAUUGAUGUUUUAUAUCCUCAUUGGCAAAAACUAGUGGUUUUAUCUUUGUUGAAAUAUAGAUGACCUCUCGUUACUGUUUUAUUAUAAACAUAUAGUUUCAUAAGUGAAACUAUAUGUUUAUAAUAAAAUUAACAUAUAGUUUCGUUACAUUUCUGCCUCAUUAAGAUUCUCAAAUACCAGUCAGGUUUGCUUAAGAAAUAAAAAUUUUCCAUUAAAAUUGCAGUAGUAUUUCCAAGCAUAUCGCAUUUUCUAUGAUUUUUCAUAAAUUAAUUAAUCUGCGGUGCCAAUAUCAGAUUUAGUUUUUCAAACUAAAUAAUCAAGAAAGCAAACAUACAAAUAUACAUACAAAUAUACUAAGCCAGCUACCUCACUAAAUUCCGAUUCGUACAGUGAACUGCAAGAAAUUGAGAAAACAAUGUAUUUAUAAUUUAAUAGAAUCAUAAGAAAACAAUGUAGUCAUUGCUUAAUAUAAGAUGAUUUCGGAGAGCCACAUUGUUUUCAAGUUAAUUUGAACCGUUUAUAAGAGAUGAAGUGGAAUCAAGUUGAAAGUUUAAAUAACAAAUCCCUGUUCUUGAGUUUUACGACGUCGUUACUCCUUCAAGUGGCAGAUUAUGCAAGUGAAUGCAGAAACAUGUGCAGAGCAUGUCAACAUGGCACAUUUAACCAUCAUUCAAGUGAUGAUGGGUUUUAUAAGACUGCUUAUGGGUUUUAUCAAGUUCCUCUGCCUCUAAGCAAAAAAUUAAAUUCGUAAUUUGUAAACGAAUUUUCCUGACAUGUAUAGUAAAUGAAGUUGUUGAUCCUUUCUUUGGAUUAUUGCAGCUCUGGUUGUGGGUCACCGAUGAGCCAAAGUCUUAUGGGUUUUAUCAAGUUCCUCUGCCUCUAAGCAGAAUUACUAUUGAAGGGCCAAAAAGAAAAUGAAAACGUGUGAACUCCAACAACCACCCCACAAAUUCAAUGACGAUGCUCAGAGACGGUUACGUUGGGCCUCUGAGAAAAAAAAUUUAUUUAGUUAAAAAAUUACCCAUAUUGAAACAUGUAUAAAAAUUUUAUAUUAAUUAGUUAUGUUUCCUCUUCAACUAUGAUCAAAUUCUUAUUCGAGCUCAUUAUUUAAUGAAUAAACGCGUAUUUUAAUUAUCUCAAUUAAUAUUUAGAACAAAUAUUUUAAGAAAUAAAGCUCAUUACAUCUCCCAUCAUUAGGUAUCUCUUUAAUUUCUUAUUUACAAAAUUAUAUUGUACAUUAAAAAUGUAUUGAAUUAGAAGAAAAUAAAUUCAACUCACUCCAAAAAUAAAUAAAAAAUGCUGGUAGCUUCGUAAUAAUUACUGUAUUGACUGCACCAGAUAAAGUUUUGUAAAAUAAUAAGUUCCCAUUAGAGGUUUUUAAAUUUUUUUUUCCGGCACACCUGAUCAAGAAUUCUAUUUUGUUAACUAAUCAAUUGCAAAGCAUAAGUGUUGAACGGUACAAAAAAUUUGAAAAAAACACUUAAAACGUGGGGUGGGUAACGGUUCACUCAAUUCGUUAGGUAGAAUUUUGGAAAACUAAAGCGAAAUGAGAAAUAUAGAAAGAAAGGAAGAAAGUUAAGAUAUGAAAGAUCAGCAGUGAAAUUGAUAGUCAUGUUUGAUUCAUCCUUCUAUGAAUUUCUAGCUGUAUUGACCCCAACUGCUAAAGUUUUGUAAAAUAAAAAAAAAAAAAAACUGGAAUUUCAACAAAAUUCAAAACGUGUGAAAUUUAAUUUUUGGCCAUGUGGAACAAAAUGUAAAUUAAGGAAAAAAAGUAUAAAUCUGAAUUGCUUAGUAUGGUUAGGAUUUUGUGAGCAUCACUAAAAAGUGAAAACUAUGAAUGAUAGAGGUGAUGUUUGCAACAUGAAUAAAUGAUGAACUGAAUCAAUUGAUGAUCGUAAUUAUAUAAAAUUUUACAAAAUCAACAAAAGUUAAUAAAAUUUUAUUUAAAUAAUAAAAAAUCAAUAAAAACUUAUUAUUUUACGACGCUCUAACCAUGGAGUACCAUAAUCAUAUUCUUCUUUUAAGAAAAUUAUUCUAGAUAUUUAAAAGAAAACAUUAUCCACCUGGAAUGACUUGAAGUCUAAAGAAAAAGAGAGAAUGGCUCCCCGCAAUUUUCUUGUCUUCAGUAUAUUUUCUUUUUUUUUUCUUUUUUAAAAUCUUUUGCCGCAUACUUAAUCUACCCUUGUUUAUUAUCUCUACUUUGCUCUGUUCAAGUCCUUUUUUUUUUCAAAUCUUAUUUUAAAUAAGAAAAUUGAAUAAAAGUACAUUUGUGUAAUUAAUUAGUAUCUGGGGGGGGGGGGGGGGGAUAUUUGGUGUAAUGUUUUGCUAUGUAAGACUCAGCUAUUAUUAAACAGUUCCUUAACCUGUUUCGCAGUUUAUUUGCUAUCUUUGUGGAUCUCAUAGGCGUUGCAGAAUUUAAUAAUUUUAUUCGUCAGAAGAAUAGGAUAUUGGCUUCAAUAAAUUUAAUUUAAACCAACUUUUAUUUACUCCAUCAAUUAAUUAAUAUUAUGCAUUUAUUAAUUGUUAUAAUCUAAAAAAAAUUAAUUAGUUCAGGUCAAUCUGAGUUGAUGCAUCUGCAGGAGAUUUUUUUUAAAUUUUUUUUUCCCCUUAUUGACCAUAAUGAUCUAAGGGGUAUAAUUCGACCUUGGUUCUUGGGAAAAAUGACAUCUCCUUCAACAUGACUAUUGACUAGGAGCAUGUAAAAACAUGGAAACAGAAUUUCCACAAAAUGCCAAACGUGUGGAACUUAAGUUUUGGCCAUGUGGACCAAAUGCAAAUGAAGGAAAAAUGAUUUCCCCUGCUUAUGUACAAAUAAAGGAACAACCUCGAAGAAAAAGGGGUUACCAAUUGGAGAAGACUUUACAGAGUUUCUCUCACACUCUCUCUGUCAAUUUCAUCUAGAAGUCCCUCUGAAAGCAUCUCCCAAAACAGUUAGUCAUCUUUUAUGCUCUGUUUUCUAGAAACAGAGUCCUAACUAAAUUGAUUGACUGUACAGUGCAUUUCAACAUAGCAUAUUUAACCGUUUUAACUGUUAUUUGAACCGUCUUCAGAGUUAACAUCAACAAACUCAUUCACAUUGGUCCAAUCUUACGGACGAUAUCAUAUGCUUAAUAAUGAACGAAUUGGAUCAGUGUUUUGCGGCAAGAGCAACUCGACACAAUCUGGAUUCAACCUCCUCCUAUCUAACAAGGGAUUUCGAUUUGAGUUACUUUGUGCUCAAGCAAAUUCACAUCAUAGUUUUGAUUCUUUAGAUAUGAAUUCAUCACUUUACAUAUAUCAGAUUAAUGUGUAACAAAAUUUUUAAUUUACUGCGAAAAGAAUAUGCACUAAAAAAUGAUUUCAAGACUAUUUGACUACCAAAAGCAGCUGUCAGAGUGCACUAAAAAUUUCUGUAGGAUAUUUUGUAGCUGUUUAAUAUGUUAUGAUGGGCAUAUAAUUCUCAAAUUUUGAUGCCUCUCAGCGAAAAUCUAUCAAAGUUACAGAUGAUAUCACGUAAAACAUGCAUGGCUCAGGCUCAGGCUCAGGUAAGAAGCCACGGAAAAGGAAAAUCUCACUGUCACGACUCACGUCACGCAUCAUUCAAGUGAUGGAUUUAACAAGACUGCUUAUGUUCUAUCAAAUUCCUCUGCCUCUCAGAAGAUAACUUUUCUGGGCCAAAUUUCUCAUCUAAAGCAUAUUAUGCCCCAAAGUCACAGAUAACAAAAUGGGGCACUACCGAUUAUGAAAGAGAACUAGUAGUUGUCAGAAGCCUAAGUCAAAUUCCGGUAGUAAGAAGAGGCCUUUCUUGAGUUUAGAUUAUGUGUUCGAGUUUUAAUAAAUGCCUGAGUUAAUAAUAAUAACAACAGUAAUAAUAAACUAAAAAGCAUAAUUACUAUUGAAUGGUAAAAAAAAAAAAAUUGUGUGAACUCCAAUAACACCCCAGUGGCGAAUUUUGGAGAGGGCUAGGCCGGGCUUCUUAGAAAAAAAAAAUAUUUAAUUACAAAAUUACCUUUAUUGAAACCUAUAUAAAAAAUUUAUAUUAAUUAGUUAUGAUGCCUCUUCAAUUAUCAUUAAAUUCUUGUCUGUUCAUCAUUUGAUGGAUAAAUGUGUAUUUAAAUAAUCUUAAAUAAUGUCUAGAACAAAUAUUUUGAAUGGUAAAACUCAUUAUGUCUUGCAUUACUAGAUGUAUCUAUAAUUUAUUAUUUACAAAUUAUAUUGUAUGAUAAAAAUGUAUUGAAUUUUUUUUUUAAAGUUCGGCUCACUCAGAAAAAAAAAUGUUAUUAGACUCGCCACUGCACAAACCUAGAAUAAUAAUUAUUCCUUAUUAUAUUGACUGCACCAGGCAAUAAACUAAUAAGUUCUCAUCAGUGGUUUUUAAUCUUUUUAAUUCUUUUUACCGCACACCUGAUCAAGAAUUCUAUUUUGUUAACUAAUCAAUUGCAAAGCAUAUAUUAGUGUUGAACGGUGCACAAAAUUGAAAAAACAAAAUCUUAAAAAACGUGCGGACUCGGAUAGCCAGACCAGAAAUCUAUGACAAUAAUUAGAUUUGAUGCUGGGAAUCUAUUAAUUUCUGGCCGUAUUGACUCCACCAGUGAAGUUUUUAAAAUAACAAGUUCCCAUUCUCGGCUUAUAAUAAUUUUAGAAUAAUGACUUAUUUGUAGAAGAAUUUAUGAUUUCCCAUUAAUAUCAAUAUUGAAGUGGCAUGGGUCAAAUCUCAAUUGCUUGAAGAAUCUAUUUAUUAUUAUUAUUAAUAUUGAAAUGGGGUGGGUAACGGUUCACUCAAUUAAUAUGUGGGGAAUUAAAUAUUACCACCCAAGGUAGAAUUGUGGAAAAUUAAAGCAAAAUGAGAAAUAUGGAAAGGAAGGCUGAAAGUAAGGCAUGAUGAAAGGCUUUGAGAAGGCUGAAGACCACCAAAUAAGUCAACUGAAAGCUAGUUGGGGCCUGGUAUAUAUGUUAGAUGUGUUUGUUAUAAAUAACAUAGAGCCCUUUUGUUAGCUAUAGCUAUGGAGACAGAGAGAGUUUGUGUUUUUUAGUAGUUAAAGAUAUAGCUAGAAUGGGUGGUUCAAAAUCCAAAAUGGUGACAACGUUAGUUUUGUUAUUAAUAAUAUUAGAAGGGGGUGAAGUGAGGAAUGUUUGGAGCUUGAGAGAUUUGCUCUUUUGCGGCUUAAGCAUUUCUUCAAUUCUCCUUAUAGACUUUAAAACUAGGUAGACGAGCAAAGAGAUUGUUGUCAGUGGGAAACCGUUGAGUGCAGGAAAGUGAUACGACUACAUCUUAGUCUUACCAGGAAUAUCGAUCUGGGAGAGUGGUCUCUGAAUGCUUCUCUAUUUACUCUCUUUCAACAACUUGGCAACAAAAUAGCCGGUUGGGUUAAGAACGAAGGUCCUUCAUUUAAUUUAAUUUACUUAAUUUCUCCCUCUUAAUUAAUGUCUAUAACCAUUAGGAGAAAUAAGGGAUUUUAUUAACUCAAAUAUGUCUAAUGGAGCUCAUUCUUUGGUUUUACUUGCAGGUCUAGAAGCAGGUGUGUCAUCUAACAGCUGCUUUGAUAAUUUCCCACACCUUCAUCUUUGAUGGAAAUAUGAAAUAAAAACAAAUUGGUGAAAAUGGUAUUGGUACCUGAGGCCAUGUAAUCUAUUUCAAAAACUACACCAUCAAAACGAUUACAUAAGUCUCAGAAGAAUCAAACAUCAGUUUUGCAAAAUACCAAUUGCUGGAGGCUAGAUUCUAACUUCCCCUCUUGAUUUUUAUGGGCAUGUUGUGUCGUACAUGCAGACAAAAAUCAUAUUUUACUUUACUUAUUUCUUACUUUCACUUGCAACCCAAAGUGGCAAGAAAUAAAUAACAUGCUCCGAUUAGCUGGACAAAAGGAUGAUGACAAUCGAGUCGAUAUUAUAUGCAGAGUUUUCGAGAUAAAAUUAUUCCAACUAAUGCAAGAUCUGAAAAAAGAUCAACCAUUUGGAAAAAUAAUUGCAUGUAAGUUCACUUCAAAUUCGUAUACAUAACAAAUUCAACUCAUUUGUUAUUGAAAAGUGCAGGGAAGAACAAUAAUUUCACAAUUGAAAUCAAUGUUUCUAACUUUUAAAUUUUACUCCAUUUUGUGGCAGGUCUAUAGACAAUUGAGUUUCAAAAAAGAGGCUUGCUGUUGUGCAAAUUUUAAUGUACUCGCAAGCGCACGAAUCUAUUGUAGUAUAGAUCAAUGGUGACGAGUGUCGAUCCCACGAGGAGGUGGAUUUUAAUUGUGUAGAAUUAAUUUUGUGAAUGGGUGAUUGGAUUUUGUGGUGAAGGUGACUUAGAUUAUCCUAAAAUUGGAAUUGAAAUGGCGAGAAUAACUUGAAGAGAAUUCUAUUGAAAUGACGUACUUGGGUAUCUGGAUCCGUAUCAACAUGCAUCAUGGGCUAAAUAAUCUGUAUUAAUGCCAAUUAAAUCAUGAGGGGGGAAUCCACACUUCAUGAACCACGCUCUAAUCAAUAUGGUGCUAAGGGCUUAUCGUGCCAAAUAAUAAUAACCUUGUACUAGAGGGCCGGUGAAACCAAGGCGGUACUAGACAAGAUUAGUAUUAUUUAUCGACGAGAAGUCAAAACAUCCACAAAAACUAGAGGGGAAGAGAAAAUAAAUUUACCAAAUUAAGCCCAUGACACAUGUUGAGACUUCACCUUCAACCCAAGCUUGAAAGAAAAUUAGCCACUCAUAAUUGAACUAGGGGUAAAAUGGGAAUUUAUUACAAUACGAAGAAAAUACAAGAUGGAGAGGGAAUUACAGAAAACAGAGUCCAAAAAUGGAUUCAGAGGUAUCAAAUUAGGGGGGGGGAGGCCCCCUUUUUAUAGAUACAUGGAGUAAAUCAUGGCCAUCGGAUUAAAAACAGUUUGGACGCUCAGGAUUGCGCCACGUCAUCAGUCAACAGUCCACGGUUUGACCACGCGGAUGAACAGUAAUACGGUUUGACUCGGAUGAACAGUAACGUGGUUUGACUCGGAUGAACAGUAACGCAGUUUGGUUGAAAAUAAUCCUGUGUGAUGCAUGUACCGUACGCGAGAUUUUUCAUCCACUGAUAUGCUGCCACGUCACCAUCAACAGUACAUAAGAAUUUUAGCCCAACAGGAUCGUGACACCUCAUCAGUCAAUGCCACAUCAUCGGUCAAUGCCAUGUCAUCGAUCCGUCUAUGUGAACAGUGUUGUGAACAGUAACGUAGAUAGUACCGUACACGUGAAUAGUACCGUACAUAUGAAUAGUGCCAUUUUUCCUUUUAUGCUUCUCCUAAGGUUUUCGACCGUCCUGAGUUCAAAAGUGAUGUUCGUUUUGCCGUCUGAUCUCUCCUUUAUUGUGAAAUGACUAUAAUGCCCCUAAAAUACAUAAAAUACUUAAUUAAAAUAAAACACAUGUAAUUAAAUCACAAGAAGGUUAAAUACAUAAAAGUAAGGGUUGUUAGUAAGACUUGAAAUGUAAAAUGACGGUUUUCUCCUUUAUAAAUAUGCAUUUUCUAACACUCAACACACCCCCCAACCAGCUUAUUGCUAGUCCCUAGCAAAUAAAGCGAAAACAAAAUUUAAUUCAAAAUAUUUUUUUUUUUUAAUAAAAACACUCGUAUUUAUUCCAUCAGAUUAAUGAUAGCAAUCAAAUAAAAGUAUAAGCAUUAUCUCCAGUCUAAAGCAACAUCACACCCACAUCAACCAUCCACAUGAAUCAGCCCAGUAGACUUUUUUAUAGCUACUUUCAAGAAUGACAUGUCAAACCCCAAAAUCUCACUGGAAGUAGUGACACUCUCACAAAGAAAUUAAAACCAAUAAAAAUAGUCACUCCAAUGAAUGGUAAUUGAGAGAGAAAAUAAUAAAGAAGUGAUAUCACAUGCUCUCACCAAGAUGAAAUAAAUAUGCCCUUAGCUUAUAAAUAAUACGAUCUCAAGUCAAACAAAAAUGGUAGUCAACCCAAUUUAUUUAUCUUUUAUUUAUUUAUUUUUAUUAUGCACCACUACAUCUUUUUAGCCCAUAUAACUAGCUUCUACUUCAAACUAUAGUUCCCUAAAAUCAAGAAGGACUUUUAUUAGGACGUAACGUAGGCUAGGGAUAUGGCUAACAAAGAAAGGAAAUAAGGAAAACAAAGUGUAUGUUUGAGAAAAAUGCAGAGAAUUUUUUUUUUUUUUUGGAAGUUGCAAGGUGGAUUUCACCUAUUUUUAUUCUUUUGAAACAACAACUUUUGUUUUUGUUUUUUUUUUUGCUUUUAUUUGGCAUAACUUCACUGAACAAAAUAAUUAUUUACAUUUUCUCAAACAUAAAUAGGUGAUGGAACUUAUAAGAUAUCGGGUAACACUCCAAAUCGGAGUGGGUCAAGAUGAUAAGUUGACAAAGAAAAUGAUUUUUUUUUUAAAGGCUCAAAAUGGUUAACUAUGGAUAUUUAAUAAAAGGGAUGGCUAGAAAGGCUCAAACGGAUCAAAGAUGGCCUUUCCAUCGUCUUUUAGGGCUCUAAAUAAUCAUCCAUAUCUACUAGUUAGAUGGGCCUCCCAAUGUAGCAACACACAUUUUUUUUUCUUUUUUUUUAUUUUACCAUUUUUUUUUAAGGGUUAACGCAAAAGAAAUCUAGAGAUCGUGUAUAAAAUAAUAAACUGUUAAGCUGUAUAAAGAAUGGGCAAAAGGGUUACUCUCCAAGAAAAAUGAUAGGCUCAAAAACUCACUUAGUACUUAUUAUGACAUGUUCAUUCCUUCAAGCAACUCAUAUAUGUCUCCGACAUCAACAUGUAGAGUAGCAAACAUAAUGUAACAUCACUUAAGACCAAAGAUAAUACAAAUACUAAAAUUUGAAAUUAAUCAUGUCAUCCAAUGUUAAAACAAAUCACACAAUUUUUAUUUUUUUAAACAACAUUCUACCCCCCAACCUAUUCUAAACAUGAAAGGAAAAAUAUGCAUGCAGGAAUGUGAAAAUGAUGCAUAAAAACUAAUUAAAAAAAGUUACACUUAAAAUGAUAGAAAACGAAAAUGGGUUUUUUUUUUUUAACUUAGAAGAUGCGUUUCUAGAGGCACUACUCUCCAUAUUCAGCCAUCUUCGACUCAAAAUUUUGAAAAUAUAUAUUUAUAAGGAGAAAUUAAAAAGAAGAAGAAAAAUAAACAUCAAAACAUAAUAAAGAAAAAAAAAAUGUCUGAAUUUUUUUUUUUAGUUUUUUUUUUAAUUUUUUUUUUAAAACGAUGAAGAUGCGUUUCUAGAGUCACUACACUCCAUAUUCAGCCAUCUUCAACACAAAAAGUUAGCAACAGUUAGUUUCUACAACAAAAAAUUAGUAAAAACCUAACCAAAAUUCCACAAUUGUCGACUAUUCCCUCCCCCCAACCAGAAUGAAACAUUGUCCUCAAUGUUUGAAAGGAAAGAAGUAGAGUUUAGAAGACAUCACCUGGGUGGUGCAACACAGAAGAAAAUAUUUACAGGCGGAGAGUUAAAUCUAAUUUGUACUUCUUACUGCUGCUACUGUUACCAUCAUUAUUUGGACGCUCCAACACAAAGGUCCAGGGGUCUGGCUCCGGUCUAUAAGCUUGUAACAGAUCAAGUAGCUCAUUAGCAGUGUGAGCACAAAUAAAGAGUUUUUUCACAUUAGCGGGAAUGAAAUAGUUUUUUAUUGCAUGGUUAAGAAAUGCGAUAAAGCCAUCAUAAAAGUUAUUGACAUUUAACAAACCGAUGGGUUUCUGGUGGAUGUGGAGAUGGGCCCAAGAUGCUAGUGUGAUAAGUGCCUCUAGUGUUGCAAGAUCUCCUGGAAGGAAAAUAAAAGCAUCAGCAUGAUUAAGCAUUUCAGUUAUUCUUUCUUGCAUACCUGAGACAACUAACUCUUCUCCAGUUGAUGAGUCAGACGAACUGCCCAACGGUUUUAGGACUCUUGGGAUGAUGCCUAACACUUGGCUGCCUCUGAUUAAAGCUGCUUCUGAGACCAUUUUUGAUAACCCUCGAUUACCUCCUCCAUACACCAAGUGUAAUUUUCUCUCUGCUAUACUUCGACCAAGAUCUAUGGCUGCCUCAACGAACUCUUUAUGUUUGCCAUAGGUAAAUCCGGAAAGCACACAAAUGUUCUUGAAUUGUCUAUUGGGAGUAGCUACCAUUGCGAUACUUCUCAAAAACAAUUUGUGAGUGCUUGACAAAAGAUAUCACAUUUAAGAGUCUUGGUGAUAGUGGGUCAUGGUUGUGUAUGAGGUAAUAUGUCAGUGUCAAAUAACGCUUAAAGCACGUGGCUCGCAAGUAAAAAAGGAAACAGUAAAAAUGAAAAAGUAAACAGUAAUAAGAAAAAAGCAAACAGUAAUAAAAUUAUUAAGGACAAUAAUACACACAAUAAACAAUAGUGAAAUAAAAUAACAGUAAAGUGAAAGGAUAUUUACAGGUAGUUGCGACUGUGGCUCACAUCUUCCUCUGGUUUUAUGUCCAGAAAUGGCUUGAACGCCCUCUAUGGGUCGAGGAUAGGCUUCCUAUCCAGUUUUCUUAUAAACUGGCAAACAAGGUCGUUUAUAGUCAGAUUCCCAAGACUAUAUCGUGCAUGCUCUUUCUGGAAUAAUGGCCAUAACUGGAGAAUCGCUCCUUGCACAUAUCCACUGGGAUGCGUUUCAAGAGACAAAAGGAUAUCAUCCAAUGACUCCUUAUUCAAGCCAUCCCUAAUGAAUUGAAUCUUAUCUUCCCUGUUAUCAGACAUCAUUCCUAAAGAACAUGGGUUUUUAUUGCAACUCAUUCUGGCACACUUAUGACAAGCAACAGAAAUUCUUCGAGCUCGUCGUUUUCUUGCAUAAUUUCCUUUACCACAACCAGGCAUGUAUGUAAUAAAUUUUGGAGGUAACUCACCUGCCGAUCGUACUUUAGCCUCAAUUAACCAACGGAUGUCAGCAGGUAUGUUAUUCCUCAUAAGUAAUCGCAUGCGUUCGGACCGAGCUUUAUAGACCGUAAGGAGGGCAUUCUGAGGAAGUGAAGGGAAUCGCUUGUGAAGCUUCGCUAGAGUCUCGUUUCUGUCCAUACUUUCGCCUCAGAAUAUCAGUUAUUAUGGGAAACUGAAGUAACCGACUUGAUUGUCACGGAGUACCGUUAUCCGCCACUUCACCGGGGUAACAAACUAAAGCACACAAAUAGAAAAAAAAAAUUAAAACACACAAAGAAAAUUAAAAUCGUCCUCUUAUUGAAUAUACCUCAAGCUCCAACUGGAUGUCGUAAACACUUCUCUCAAUGUCUCUGAGUUGGAGUUCUAAACCCUCAACAUAGGCUACUAACUCUGGUGGUUGUAGAGCCCAAAUGCGUUGUGUUUUACAAAAUUGAAUCUGCCUUUUGAGAUGAGUUUUGACACGUUGAAGUGGUUUAAGAAUGUUCAGGAGGAACGGUCUAAGUAAUGUACUCAUGAUUAAAAAUGAUAAAAGAAAACAUACUAGUUAAACAAAUACACUUAUACAAAAAUAAUUUCAAUUAGCAAAAGAAUAAUAUAAAGAAAGAAAGAAAAAUCAAAUCAACGAAAAGAAAAAUCAAUUCAAAUCUGGUGGGUCACUCAAAUUUAUUUCGGUGUCUUCUCCAUGUGAUUGGUAUUCUAGAUAUGGCUUUAAUCUUUGACCAUUAACUUUAAACGUGACACCGUUCUUUGGGUCCUUAAUUUCAAUUGCCCCAUGUGGAAAAACAGUAUGAACAAUAAAUGGGCCAGACCAACGAGAGCGUAACUUACCUGGGAAUAGGUGCAAGCGAGAAUUGAAUAAAAGCACUUUCUGACCUGGAGUGAAAGAUUUUCUCAUAAUUUGCUUGUCAUGGAAGACUUUCAUUCGUUGCUUGUAAAUCUUGGCAUUUUCGUAUGCAUCAUUGCGAAUUUCUUCAAGUUCUGCCAACUGUAAUCUUCUUUCUGAGCUGGCUUGCUGCAUGUCAAAAUUGAAUUUCUUGAUGGCCCAAUAUGCACGAUGCUCGAGUUCCACAGGUAGGUGGCAAGCUUUUCCAUACACUAGCCUGUAGGGUGACAUCCCAAUCGGGGUCUUGAAAGCCGUUCUAUAUGCCCAUAAGGCAUCAUCAAGUCUUAAUGACCAAUCUUUUCUGUCUGGCCUCACCGUCUUUUCUAAUAUGUGCUUUAUUUCUCGAUUGGAGAUCUCAACUUGGCCACUGGUUUGCGGAUGAUACGGAGUCGCCACUUUGUGUGUGAUUGAAUACUUUGUCAAAAGAGAUUUGAAUGCUUUGUUACAAAAGUGGGCACCACCAUCACUAAUUAUUGCUCGAGGGAAUCCAAAGCGCGAGACAAUGUUGCUUUUCAAAAAUCCUAUCACCACCUUGUGAUCAUUAGUACUGCAUGGAAUUGCUUCUACCCAUUUGGAUACAUAGUCAACAGCAACCAAUAUGUAUUGAUGGCCAAAAGAAGGGGGAAAGGGUCCCAUGAAGUCGAUACCCCAUACGUCAAAAAUUUCAACCACUAAAAUUGGAUUUAAUGGCAUCAUGUUCCUUCGUGUAAUGCUCCCCAUUCGUUGACACCUAUCACAUGAAGAACAAAAAGUGUAAGCAUCUCGAAAUAUAGUUGGCCAAUAGAAACCACAUUGCAAAACUUUAGUAGCUGUUUUCUUAGCACUGAAAUGGCCUCCACAAGCUUGUUCAUGGCAGAAUGAAAGGAUAUUCUGAAUUUCAUUUUCUGGGACACAUCGUCUAACAAUUUGAUCAACACAAUACUUGAACAAAUACGGGUCAUCCCAAAAGAAAUUCUUUAUCUCUGCAAAGAAUUUAGCCUUAUCUUGCUUGGUCCAAUGCUUUGGAAGUUGACCUGUAACAAGAUAAUUCACGAUGUCAGCAUACCACGGUAAUACUUCCACAUUCAUCAAUUGUUCAUCAGGGAAUGACUCAUUUAAUGGUAAUGGCUCUGUAGUUGUGUCAAAAUGGAGACGAGAGAGGUGGUCCGCCACAACAUUUUCUGUCCCUUUCUUAUCUUUGAAUUCCAAGUCAAAUUCCUGCAAAAGUAACACCCAACGAAUUAGUCUAGCUUUUGCAUCUUUCUUUGUGAGAAGAUAUUUAAGAGCAGCAUGAUCCGUGAAUAUAAUUAUUUUACAACCAAUGAGAUAAGAUCGAAAUUUUUCUAAUGCAAACACUACUGCUAGCAUUUCUUUUUCAGUAGUUGAAUAGUUCAACUGUGCAUCAUUCAAUGUCAUACUAGCAUAGUAAAUAACGUGGGGAAUUCGAUCAACUCUUUGUCCUAAUACUGCUCCUACUGCAUAAUCAGAUGCAUCACACAUGAGCUCAAAUGGUAAGUUCCAGUUCGGGGGCUGAAUGAUGGGUGAUGAUGUCAACAAAUGCUUUAAUUUUUCAAACGCAACAAGACAUGAAUCAUAAAAAACAAAAGGUACAUCUUUAGCAAGUAGAUUGCAUAAGGGUCUAGAAACUUUGCUAAAAUCUUUAAUGAAACGUCUAUAAAAACCAGCAUGCCCAAUGAAAGAUCUUACUUCUCUGACUGUUUUGGGUGAAGGAAGAUUAGAAAUGAGAUCCACCUUAGCUUUGUCAACCUCAAUACCUUUGCUCGAAAUGAUGUGACCGAGAACAAUACCUUGUUUUACCAUAAAAUGACACUUCUCCCAAUUUAAGACCAAGUUCUUCUCGAUACAUCUCUGCAGAACUAGUGUUAGAUGAUGUAAACAUUGAUCAAACGAAUCACCAAAGACAGAAAAGUCAUCCAUAAAGACUUCAAGGAAUCGUUCAACCAUAUCAGAAAAAAUGCUCAACAUGCAUCGUUGAAAUGUAGCAGGUGCAUUACAUAAUCCAAAUGGCAUCCUCCUAUAUGCAAAAGUGCUAAAGGGCAAGUGAAAGUAGUUUUCUCUUGAUCUUUUGGUGCUAUGGGAAUCUGAUUAUAUCCUGAGUAGCCAUCUAGAAAGCAAUAAAAUUCAUGGCCUGCCAAUCUAUCAAGCAUUUGAUCGAUAAAUGGUAAAGGAAAAUGGUCUUUACGUGUGACAGAAUUCAACUUUCUAUAAUCAAUGCAUACACGCCAUCCUGUAGUCACUCUAGUGGGUAUCAAUUCAUUAUCAGCAUUGGUAACUACUGUGACUCCUGACUUUUUGGGGAUGACUUGUACAGGACUGACCCAUGAACUAUCAGAAAUUGGGUAAAUGAUACCUGCAUCUAAUAGCUUAAGGACUUCUGUUCUAACAACUUCUUUCAUAUUAGGAUUUAACCGACGUUGCAUUUCCCUAGUAGAUUUAGCAUUUUCAUCGAGGUGAAUGUAAUGCAUGCAGUCUACUGGAUUUAUACCUUUUAUAUCUGCUAUGGUCCAUCCUUAUGCUCCUUUGUGCUCUUUUAAAACAUCCAACAACUUACCUUUUUGUUCGUCAUUUAGGGAUGAUGAGAUGAUUACCGGCAGAGUACUUUCUUCUCCCAAAAACGCAUAUUCCAAAGUGUUGGGCAAUGGUUUGAGCUCGAGUUUCGGUGGUGAUUCUGAUGAUGGGAUGAGUUUCUUCUCUGAUGGUGCUACUCUUGACUUCCAUUUAUUAGUGUCCAUGGAUGGUGCUGAGUCAAGUAGGGCGUUGACCUCAUCGACCGAUCUGUCAAUAUCAAUAUCAAAAUCCAAACCAAAGUGAGUUAAACAUGUUUGUAAAGGAUCACCACUAAGGUUUGAAAGAAAAGUGUCAUCAACUAAUGAUUCAAUUAAAUCCACAUCAACAAUUCCAUCAUCUACACUGUGAGGUUGUUUGGCAAUGUUGAAAAUGUUUAGCUCCAUAGUCAUGUUGCCGAAGGACAACUGCAUAUUUCCAGUCCUGCAUUGAAUGUGAGCAUCCGCAGUUGCCAAGAAAGGUCGGCCUAGGAUAAUGGGGAUGUGCUUCCUUGAAUCCUGUAUUGGUUGAGUGUCAAUUACAAUGAAAUCAACAGGAAAAUAAAACUUGUCUACCUGGAUAAGCACGUCCUCCACAAUACCACGAGGUAUUUUCGUGGACCGAUCUGCGAGUUGUAACACCACUAGAGUUGGGUGCAAUUCUCCAAGUCCAAGUUUCACAAACACAGAGUAAGGCAAUAAAUUUACACUAGCUCCUAAAUCCAACAAAACAUUCUCAAUUGUGUGGUUCCCUAUACUACAUGAGAUAGUGGGGGAGCCUGGGUCUUUGCAUUUUAAAGGAAUUUUAUGUUGGAGUAUAGAACUAACGUUUUCUGUUAAAAAUGCCUUCUUUUGAACAUGCAUAUUUCUCUUUUUAGUACAAAGGUCUUUAAGAAACUUGGCAUAAGAUGGAACUUGCUUAAUAGCAUCAAGCAAAGGGAUGUUAACACUUACCUGUUUGAAGAUUUCAAGAAUCUCACUUGUGGAUUUUCCCUUUUUUCCUUUAGCUAACCUCUGAGGAAAUGGAGCUUUGGGAACAUAUUCCCGUGGGUUGGUUUCUUCUUUCUCCUCCGGUGAUGAGUCUUCAACAUUCACAGGUACAAUUUGAUUUUCUUUUGUCACCGGCAUCUCCACUUUGUUGUCGACUUCUUUUCCUUUUCAUAAGGUCAUGACUGCUUUGACCUCUCCAUGCUGCUGUGAUGAACUGGUACUUGCUUCAUGUACUCCUUUAGGAUUAGGCACUGGUUGACUUGGAAAUUUGCCUUUCUCAACAGUCAUUGCCAAUGUCUGAACUGAAGAAGCAAGUUGUCCCACCAUCUUCUCGAGGCUUGAAACUGAUUGAGCUUGUGAGUUGAAGCCUUCUCUCAACUCAUUUCGUAGUCCAUCAAUGGUGCGGUUCUGUUGCUCAAUCGUGGAGUGAGUAACAUUCCUGAAAUUCUGGAAUUCAUCCUCCCAUGGUCUAGGUUGAGAGUGGUUCUGGUUCUGAUUGUAUGGUCUAAAUGGUGGCUGAGAGGCUUGAGGAACUUGAGGAAUUUGUUGCAUUGGUGGAGCUGGAGCUGCUGGUCCAUUCUGUUGGAAUCCUUGAGACCAUGAAAAAUUGGGGUGGUCUCUCCAUCCAGGAUUAUAUGUGUUGGAGUAUGGGUUGUAAUUUGAUGGUUUUUUCAUUAUACCUAUGGCAUUGGCUUGAUCUGAGUAUGAGUCAAGGUCAUGUGGUUCAGUUGAUUUAGCAGUCGAUAACGAUGCUAUUUGUCGAGCAAGACCUUCAACCAUCUCCUUGACUUCUUUGAUUCCUGAAGUUGAUUCGCCAAUUUAAACCUCAUUCACUCCUUUAAUUCUUCUAGUAGUCCUGAGUGAUCGACUCCGUUGUUGGGAAUUAUCUGCUUGUCGUUGGAAGAAUUCCCAAAUUUCUGAUGCACUUUUUGACAUUAGCUCUCCUCCACUUGUUGCCAUUAGCCAUUCUUGCACAUUUGGUAGUAAUCCCUCCAAAAAGUAUUGGCAUUGGUGCCAUUUCUCGUACCCAUGAUGUGGACACUUCAAGAGUAGCCCAUUAAAUCGCUCCCAUGUUUCGAAAAAUUGUUCGUCCUCUCUCUGGGUAAACUCCGAGAUUUCCCUGCGAAUAGCAUUGGUUUUAUGCACUGGGAAAUAUUUAUUCAAAAAUUUAGUUACCAUUUGUUCCCAUGAUGAAAUGCUAUUAGCAGGUAAAGUAUUUAACCAUGAACGAGCUCUAUCUUUUAAAGAAAAUGGGAAUAGUCUAAGUUUAACAUUAUCGUCUGAAAAAUUUUCAUAUUUAAAAGUUUGACAAAUGGCAUGAAAAUCAUUCAGAUGAUUAUAUGGAUCCUCAUUUUCUAGGCCAUAAAAUGUUGGGAGACAAUUUAGCACACUGGGUUUUAAUUCAAAACUCCUAGCAGCUACAUUUGGGUAUCUUAUGCAUGAUGUGCUCAAAUUAGCUAAGGGACUGAAGUAGUCCUUAAAUGGCCUCUCCUGUGGUUGCAAAUCCAUUUUAUUUUUAAUUUGUUUGUGUGUGCGAAGUGUUCUUUCUAGUUCAAGGUCCAUAGGUUCAAGAUUAGGUAAUAAUGACCUACGACCAUGCAUGCAAAACAAAUAAAAAAAAUAAAGAUGGGAACAAAAAAAUAAAAUAAAAAUAAAGAAGAGGGAGAAAUUACGAUACUAACCUUAUUGCGCUAUUACAAUCUUUCUAUAAAAAUACACAAAAAUAAAUACGUGAAAUAAAUUAACUAAAAAUAAAUUAAUAAGAUAAACAAAAAAAAAUUACAAAGAAAAAUAAGUUGAAAAUGAAAUAAUAGAAUUUUAAAGAAGAGAAAAAGAAAAAAAAAUACUAACCUUUAAAUGUAGGUUCACUUUUUUUUCUUUUUUUUUUAAGAAAAAAAUAUAUAAGAAAACAAAUAAAAGAUAUUAUUCACACAAAUUAAUUCUAUGAAUUAAAAUUACUUACCUCCCCGGCAACGGCGCCAAAAACUUGUUGUGCAAAUUUUAAUGUACUCGCAAGCGCACGAAUCUAUUGUAGUAUAGAUCAAUGGUGACGAGUGUCGAUCCCACGAGGAGGUGGAUUUUAAUUGUGUAGAAUUAAUUUUGUGAAUGGGUGAUUGGAUUUUGUGGUGAAGGUGACUUAGAUUAUCCUAAAAUUGGAAUUGAAAUGGCGAGAAUAAAUUGAAGAGAAUUCUAUUAAAAUGACGUACUUGGGUAUCUGGAUCCGUAUCAACAUGCAUCAUGGGCUAAAUAAUCCGUAUUAAUGCCAAUUAAAUCAUGAGGGGGGAAUCCACACUUCAUGAACCACACUCUAAUCAAUAUGGUGCUAAGGGCUUAUCGUGCCAAAUAAUAAUAACCUUGUACUAGAGGGCCGGUGAAACCAAGGCGGUACUAGACAAGAUUAGUAUUAUUUGUCGAUGAGAAGUCAAAACAUCCACAAAAACUAGAGGGGAAGAGAAAAUAAAUUUACCAAAUUAAGCCCAUGACACAUGUUGAGACUUCACCUUCAACCCAAGCUUGAAAGAAAAUUAGCCACUCAUAAUUGAACUAGGGGCAAAAUGGGAAUUUAUUACAAUACGAAGAAAAUACAAGAUGGAGAGGGAAUUACAGAAAACAGAGUCCAAAAAUGGAUUCAGAGGUAUCAAAUUAGGGGGGGAGGCCCCCUUUUUAUAGAUACAUGGAGUAAAUCAUGGCCAUCGGAUUAAAAACAGUUUGGACGCUCAGGAUUGCGCCACGUCAUCAGCCAACAGUCCACGGUUUGACCACGCGGAUGAACAGUAACACGAUUUGACUCGGAUGAACAGUAACGUGGUUUGACUCGGAUGAACAGUAACGCAGUUUGACUCGGAUGAACAGUAACGCGGUUUGGUUGAAAAUAAUCUUGUGUGAUGCAUGUACCGUACGCGAGAUUUUUCAUCCACUGAUAUGCUGCCACGUCACCAUCAACAGUACAUAAGAAUUUUAGCCCAACAGGAUCGUGACACCUCAUCAGUCAAUGCCACAUCAUCGGUCAAUGCCACGUCAUCGAUCCGUCUAUGUGAACAGUGUUGUGAACAGUAACGUAGAUAGUACCGCACACGUGAAUAGUAAUGUACAUAUGAAUAGUGCCAUUUUUCCUUUUAUGCUCCUCCUAAGGUUUUCGACCGUCCUGAGUUCAAAAGUGAUGUCCGUUUUGCCGUCUGAUCUCUCCUUUAUUGUGAAAUGACUAUAAUGCCCCUAAAAUACAUAAAAUACUUAAUUAAAAUAAAACACAUGUAAUUAAAUCACAAGAAGGUUAAAUACAUAAAAGUAAGGGUUGUUAGUAAGACUUGAAAUGUAAAAUGACGGUUUUCUCCUUUAUAAAUAUGCAUUUUCUAACACUCAACACUUGCCCCAUGCACACAUACUGCUUUUUUUGCAUCCAACAAUGAAAAAUCCUUCUGCAAACCAUAUUGAUAAAAUAAUAAUUGCAGAAAUCCCUAACUUAAAUGUUGAUCCUGAUGGUUAUAAUGCAGUUAACAAAUUUAUGAUUCAUGGACCGUGUGGAAAACACAAUUCUCACUCUCCAUGCAUGAUGCAAGACAAGUGCACAAAACAUUUUCCAAAAAAAUUCAAUGAUCAAACAAUAGUGGAUACAUAUGGCUUUCCAGUCUUUAAAAGGAGAAAUACAGGUAUUCAUGUCGAAAAGAAAGGUGUCUUCUUGGAUAAUCGAUAUGUGGUCCCUUAUCACAGGAAUUUAAUUGUCAAAUUUGAUGCACAUAUUAAUGUUGAGAUUUGUAAUUACUCGAGACCAGUUAAAUAUUUUUUCAAGUAUGUCCAUAAAGGGUCUGAGAGAACAACUGCAACAAUAGAAUCUAUUGACACUACCCAAGAAAUGGACGAGUGAUGGGUGUUGAAGCCAACAAAAAUAAAUUCCUACUCUAAAUAAAUUGUGUAUAGUGAUUGAGCAGGGUCGUGUCCACAGAGAUCGGUAAUUAUUUAAAUCCUUUUGAAACGUAAAACGUAAAAUGGGGGAAUUGUUGACAAUAAUAAAAAUCAAAUUAAAAAUAACAAGAAUGCAAAUUAAAGUUGUAAUUCAAAUUGGAGAAAGCUCUGGUUGAAGGAAUUAACUCAGCUUGAUUCGACUACUGAUCAUUGAUUCAAAUAUAGAUGAUUAUUACUCAUGAAUAGACUGGUUAUAGCUACUGAGACCCUCUAAUAGCCAAUCUCUCCUUAACUAGUCGAUAACCAAGGUACGACCAUUGGUUAUUUCCCUAAUCAAUAGACAACCCUAGAUACGAUCAUAGAAUUUAAUCAAUUGACAGCCUGAAAAACCAGAGAGACCCAAAUCCUAAUCAACACAUAUGAUGAUUCAUUUAAAUUAGAUUGUUUAUUCUCACAACACAACUCUCUGCUAUGUUAUUUGUCACAAGCAUUAAAUUCUUCAUACGAUGAAUCCUUUAAUUGACAAUAGAUUAAGUUGAUAAUUAAAUAGUGGCCAAUUACCUAAUUAACAAACAUAAUCAUGAAAAUAAUUUAGAGAAUAAACAAAUACCCAAAAAGCAAUAAAACAAUUAAAGCACAAGAAAGAUCUCACAGUAGUGAUGAAUCAAAGCUUCGUUAUCCUUCAACUAGAAAAAUAGGUUUAGUUCUUCAUAGAGAGAAGAGAAAAAUUAAAUCUAGGGUUUCUUUCUUUUUCUCCAAUCCAAAAAAUCCCCCCUUUUUCACAAUUGAUUCCUCCCUUAAAUACUCUCUCUCUCUUCUCUUUUAGAGUUCUAUUUAAAAUAAAAUACUAAUAUCUAAAAUAUUAAAUUCGUAAUUACAAAAAUAGCCAAAAAUAUAAAACACGUUAAACUAAAAACUGCAGGUCCGCAAUUGACAGCACGCGCCCACGCCUUAUCAACAAAGUUCUUCUGCCGCUCAUAAUUUCUCCAAGGGAACAAUCAUCCCUAAACAUCAUCUUGUAGCUCAAUUUUAUCACCAAUCAAUAGAAUUGCACCUACAAAAGUAAAUCACAGGUAAAUCACUAUUAUUAAAUGCAAAACAUCGAUAUUAAGGGAAGUAAACAAUGCAAAACUAGUGCAUAAAUUGCACUCUAACAAAUUCCCCCACACCAAGAUGAUGCUUGUCCUCAAGCAUAUAACUCAAGAUUAAUCUCAAAUUUCCACUCAAUUCUCAUCUCAACUCAUCCAAAAACAAUUUUAAGCAAGCAUACCUCAAGAAAUUAAGUCGUUCAACGUUCGAGAGACAAGGAUUUUAAAGCAUAGAAUUUCGUAAGAUAGAAUAAGAACAUUCAACCACCAAGAAGAUCCAUUCAAAACUCAAGUGCAGCAAGAUUUAAUAGCCCUCUCAAUAACUUCACUCCAUGCACUCAAAGUGUUUAGGGUGUCAUUUAUCCACUCAAAUCAAAUCAAAGAAUGCUAUUACCAUAAGCUUGCUCAUAUAUCACAUCUCAAUCCACAAAACAUGAAUAAAAUGCAAAAAUCUAAGGGUCUUAAAAGGGUUGUAAUGGGGUUAAAUUGGAGAAAUGAAAAAGAAAGGUUUAUGAAAGAAAAAGAGAUCAAAAUGAGAAGAAUGAACUCAUUGAAUGAACUUAUGAUAUCAAAAUGCUUAUUUCUACUCAAGUCACCAAGAAUGUAAAAUUUUUUUUUUCGAUUUUUCUUUUUCUUUUUUUUUCUUUUUUUUCUUUUUUUUUCUUCUUUUUUUUUCUUUUUUUUUUGUUUUUGAUUUUUUUUUUGAAUCAAACAAAAGAAACGAACCUUGCACAAUUUAAUUCAAGCAUAAUGCUUGUUGAUCUAAUUGAGAAACUUUAAUACAAGGUAGAAAAAGCAACAAAAUAUAUCCACACAAUGAGUCCAAAAAUCUCCUUAAAUUGAGGCUCAAAAAGAAGAAAAAUGGUUAAGUCGACGGAGAGAAUUAGAUGGGUAAUGGUUAAGGCUCAAACAAAGGUAGCAAAUAAAGGUCUUCGGGUAGAGAAGGAAAAAAAAAUGCGAGAAUAGAAAAAUGGAAUAUGGUUUGCCCUUAUCAUUUUAAUGCAUAAAAUCCCGUAAUGUGGCUUCAACAUGCAUAAUAAAGCAAGUUCUAGAAUAAACAAAGUAGGAUUGAUAUUCACAUAACAAAAAUAAUUAGAGCAAAGUGGUUGCUCAUAGGCUCAAAUCCUCACAAAGUUGGUAAAUUUGCCAUCAAAUCAUGUACACUCUUCAAAUGAAUCAACCAUCAAUAGUGGUGUAGAAUGAGAAGAAGGUAUGAGUGAGAUGUAAAAGGAAAGGUAAAAAUGAUAAGAAGUGAGAAAGAUGUAUGUAGUAAUAUGAAAAGUGAAAGAUAAAAUGUGAGUGAUGAAAGAGUAUGAUAGAAUAAAAAUAGAUGUAAAUAAUUUGAGAUAGAUGGGAAAAGAGUAGUGAGAGAGAGAGGAAAAGAAAAUUAAUAAUAUAUGAAGCAUACUGCAAAAAUCAUUUAAGGAUGAGUAGAGUGAAAACAAUAAUUUCAGACAUCAAUAAUGCAAAAAUCCCUCCCCCACACUAAGAACUGACAUUGUCCCCAAUGUAAGAUAAUCAAAGCUCACAUAAAAAUUAAAGCGUAAGGAUAAAAGAUUAAGGGCAAAAACUUCCUUGAAUUGUGAGCUUUGAUCCUCAUAACGUCUAUGGGCUUGGCGGGAAUGGUGGGAUAAAUCCCACACUCUUGAAGUAUGCGGCCAAAUUCUGCUCCAUCUUGUCACGGAUUUCGAUUCACGGACCUGGAAUGCAGGUCGUAGGCUGGUUGCGUUGCGAUUGCUGCUCGGCUGGAGCUUGCUUGAUGGACGCGGGAUGGCACUGAUUGUGUUGCGCGCGCGCGCUGGGGCUGCUGGAUCUGCGCGUUGCGUGGGCUGUGUUGUGCGCGAGAGCUGGGCUGACGCUGGUGCUGCGUUGCGUUGCGCGCGCGGGACUGAUGCGCUGCGUGAUGGUGAUGGCUGGAGCUUGCUGCGUUGCGCGUGGCUGGUUUCGCUGGUGGGACUUCGUUGCGCGCUGCUGGGCUGCGAGACACGGGAUGCUGGUGCUUGCGCUCACGGGAUGGUGCGUUUUCCGGCGGGUUGGUUUGCUGCUGGUGUGCUGCAAGCGGCUGGAGAAGAAAACAAGUUCUGGAAAAUUAGGGAUUUUGUGAACAGUGAAUAGUGAACAGUGAUUUUCGAUUUUUGGUUUUUUUUUUAAUAAAUAAAUAAAUAAAAAGAAAGAAAGGAACGAAAAAAGAAAAAGAAAAAAAAAUAAUAAAUAAUUUUUUUUUUUUUAUAGUGAUGAAUCACUUUGAGACACUAAAAAUUUCAGAAGUACUUUUCUAAUAAGUACAUGGGCACGCCUUAUAAAAAAUUUUCUUCUGACCAAAAUAAGCAAACACAUUAAAUUUCAGAAGUACUUUUCUAUUAAGUACGUGGGCACGCCUUAAAACUAUGUUACUUUAAAAAUUACAGAAGUACUUAUUAGCUAAGACGUGGGCACGCCUUAUCAAAAAUUUUCUUCUGACCAAAAUAAGCAAAAUUUUUCUUUUUUUUUUUUGAAUUAAAAUUAAAAGAAGAUAUAACAAAAACCAAAACAAACAAAUCAUUUGGGUUGCCUCCCAAAAAAGCGCCUUUGUUUUAUGUCUUUGGCUAGACACAUUUAUGCAUCAAUCUCCAUAAUUGGGACUCUCGAGAGCCACAUCCUCCACAAUAUUCACCGAAAAACCUUCAUAAAAAGGUUUUAAGCGAUGACCAUUAACCUUAAAAACUUUGUCAGAGGUCGGGCUCCGAAUCUCAACUGCACCAUAAGGAAAAACAUUAGUAACAAUAAAAGGUCCAACCCAACAAGAACGUAAUUUACCCGGAAAAAGUUUAAGCUUAGGAUGAAAAAGAAGAACUUUUUGACCAACAGAGAACUCCUUUCUCAAAAUCAUUCUAUCAUGAAAUGUCUUCGUCUUUUCCUUGUAAAAAAUUUCCUGCGCUAUAGGGUUAAUAACAUCCACAGAAAAUACCGAAUGUUCCUCACUAGGAUAUUUCAUGGCAUCAUUCAUAUUGAAUUCUAUAACCUCUCCAUCAAACUCCAUAGUGAGAGUCCCUUUAUGUAUAUCCAUUUUAGUCCUAGCAGUCUUAAGAAAAGGUCUUCCUAGCAAAAUUGGGAUAGAAUUAGAGGAGUUAUCAUCUUCCAUAUCAAGUACAUAAAAAUCAGCAGGAAAAACCAACUCAUUAACUUGUACUAAGACAUCUUCUAAUACCCCAUCAGGAUAUGCAUUAGACCUAUCAGCUAGUUGAAUUAUCACACAAGUUUCUUUUAAUGGACCAAUAUUCAAAGAUGAAUAAAUGGAACGAGGCAUGACAUUAAUAGAAGCUCCUAGAUCUAACAAAGCCUUUUCAACUCUAACACUACCAAUUUUACAAGGGAUAGUAAACAUACCUGGAUCCUUGCACUUAGGAGGUAGUUUCUUUUGAAGAACUGCUGAAACAUUCUCCCCCAUGUGAACUUUUUCAUCUCCUCUUAAUUUUCUCUUGGAGGUGCACAGUUCCUUAAGGACUUUAGCAUAUCGAGGUAUUUGUUUUAUAGCAUCUAAUAAAGGAAUAUUUACCUCAACCUUGCGAAAUGUCUCAAGGAUGUCUUUCUCUUGUUCCUCCUUCUUGGAUUUUACAAAUCGGCUUGGAAAAGGAGGAGGUAUCACAAUAGGUAGGGGUUUCGCUUUGGUGGGUUGCGCAUCUUGAGAUUUAGGUAUCAAUUCAUUCUUCUCAAGCUCAUCUUCUACAUGCUUUGUCACUUUCUUACUAGGCUCUUGCAACUCCUUCCCACUUCUAAGGAUGACAGCACUAACGUUUUGCUUUGGAUUCACCUCAGAUUGUGAAGGCAAUCUUCCUAAUACUUGAGACUCCAGACGGCUUACUGUAGUCGCCAAUUGACUCAUUUGGUUCUCCAAGUUCUGAAUGCUUGUUGUAGUUGCCUGCUGAAAUUGUUGAGUGUUAGUCGCAAGUGAUUUAACAAUUUCUUCAAGAGAUAUACCUGACUUGGAGUUUGACUGUGGAGGUGUUGGUUGUCUUGGUGGAUACUGUUGUGGGAAUCCUGACGGCCUAAUGCCAUAGCUGAAGUUUGGAUGAUCCUUCCAUCCCGGAUUGUAUGUUUGUGCAUAAGGAUCAUACCUCCUCUGAGGCAUGCCUGGAAAUCCUCCAACUGCAUUGGCUUGUUCAACGGGUUCUUCUUGAAGUGUAGGACACAUAUCAGUUGAAUGACCCAUAUUGUAACAAAUACCACAAGUCUUCACCUGUUGCACAUUACCUACAACAAACUUUUCCACAAGAGAAGUGAGUUUAUCUAAACGUUGUUCAACAGAAGAAAUAUUUACCUCAUUCACAUUCCUUAAGGUGGCAUCUUGUCUGCUGCCAAAUUGUUGUGCAUUGGCAGCCAUAUUUGAUAUCAACUCCCUUGCUUGAGUAGGAGUCUUGUUCACCAACACACCUCCACUAGCAGCAUCUAUCAUACUCCUAUCCAUCAAUGAUAGUCCUUCGUAAAAAUAUUGAAUAAGAAGUUGAUCAGAAAUCUGAUGCUGAGGACAACUGGCACACAAUUGUUUGAAUCGCUCCCAAUACUCAUACAAAGUCUCCCCAGGAAGUUGUCUGAUCCCACAAAUAUCUUUUCUGAUGUUGGCAGCUCUUGAAGCAGGAAAGUACUUCUCGAGGAACUGCUUCUUCAAACCAUUCCACGUUGUAAUCGAUUCAGGAGGCAAGUAGUACAACCAAUCUUUAGCUAGCCCAUCUACAGAGAACGGAAAAGCACGCAGCUUAAUCUGCUCUUCAGUCACGCCUUGUGGCCUCAUACUUGAGCACACAACAUGAAACUCCUUGAGAUGUUUAUGAGGAUCUUCACCUGCAAAACCAUGAAACUUGGGUAAUAAGUGAAUAAGACCAGACUUUAAUUCAAAAUUUACCUCCAAGUCUACAUAUUGAAUGCAGAGUGGUUGUUGAUUCAAGUCUGGGUCAGCUAACUCUCUAAGAGUUCUUUCUACAGGUGCAGGUCUAUCCAUCACUUGUUCUUCUGAAUCGCUAGAUGAUUCAACUAAAUCAGGCACCGUAUCUGUUUCAGAAAGCAAAGGCGACGAGGAUCGUUGCUUAGCUCGUUUUGUCUGCUGUCUCAGCUGGCGAGCUGUCUUCUCAAUUUCAGGAUCAAACGAAAGUGUACCUGUACGAGAAGAACGAACCAUACACCAAGUAAAACGUAAAAAGGAUUAAAUAAAUGACACCAAUCCCCGGCAACGGCGCCAAAAUUUGAUGGGUGUCGAAGCCAACAAAAAUAAAUUCCUACUCUAAAUAAAUUGUGUAUAGUGAUUGAGCAGGGUCGUGUCCACAGAGAUCGGUAAUUAUUUAAAUCCUUUUGAAACGUAAAACGUAAAAUGGGGGAAUUGUUGACAAUAAUAAAAAUCAAAUUAAAAAUAACAAGAAUGCAAAUUAAAGUUGUAAUUCAAAUUGGAGAAAGCUCUGGUUGAAGGAAUUAACUCAGCUUGAUUCGACUACUGAUCAUUGAUUCAAAUAUAGAUGAUUAUUACUCAUGAAUAGACUGGUUAUAGCUACUGAGACCCUCUAAUAGCCAAUCUCUCCUUAACUAGUCGAUAACCAAGGUACGACCAUUGGUUAUUUCCCUAAUCAAUAGACAACCCUAGAUACGAUCAUAGAAUUUAAUCAAUUGACAGCCUGAAAAACCAGAGAGACCCAAAUCCUAAUCAACACAUAUGAUGAUUCAUUUAAAUUAGAUUGUUUAUUCUCACAACACAACUCUCUGCUAUGUUAUUUGUCACAAGCAUUAAAUUCUUCAUACGAUGAAUCCUUUAAUUGACAAUAGAUUAAGUUGAUAAUUAAAUAGUGGCCAAUUACCUAAUUAACAAACAUAAUCAUGAAAAUAAUUUAGAGAAUAAACAAAUACCCAAAAAGCAAUAAAACAAUUAAAGCACAAGAAAGAUCUCACAGUAGUGAUGAAUCAAAGCUUCAUUAUCCUUCAACUAGAAAAAUAGGUUUAGUUCUUCAUAGAGAGAAGAGAAAAAUUAAAUCUAGGGUUUCUUUCUUUUUCUCCAAUCCAAAAAAUCCCCCCUUUUUCACAAUUGAUUCCUCCCUUAAAUACUCUCUCUCUCUUCUCUUUUAGAGUUCUAUUUAAAAUAAAAUACUAAUAUCUAAAAUAUUAAAUUCGUAAUUACAAAAAUAGCCAAAAAUAUAAAACACGUUAAACUAAAAACUGCAGGUCCGCAAUUGACAGCACGCGCCCACGCCUUAUCAACAAAGUUCUUCUGCCGCUCAUAAUUUCUCCAAGGGAACAAUCAUCCCUAAACAUCAUCUUGUAGCUCAAUUUUAUCACCAAUCAAUAGAAUUGCACCUACAAAAGUAAAUCACAGGUAAAUCACUAUUAUUAAAUGCAAAACAUCGAUAUUAAGGGAAGUAAACAAUGCAAAACUAGUGCAUAAAUUGCACUCUAACAACGAGAUCAAAACAUAUUUGGAGUGCAGAUAUAUAUCAGCAACCGAAGCUUGCUAACGAAUCUUCUAAUUUGACAUACAUUAAAGAAAGCCGGCAGUUGAAAGAUUGCCGUUCCAUUUACCGGGAGAGCAUACAGUAAUAUUCGAAGAAUCCAAGUGCUUAGAAAAUGUGCUUACCAUACCUGGAAUAGAAAAAACAAAGUUCACAGAAUGGUUGCAGGCAAACAAGAAUUAUGAUGAUGCACGAGAGCUAACUUAUUCUAAUUUCCCUACAUGUUGGGUAUGGAAUUCAAAAGACAAAACUUGGACUAGGAGAAAAAAUGGCUUAGCAAUUAGAAGAAUUUACUUUGCACAUCCUUCAAGUGGAGAACGAUUUUAUAUGAGAAUGUUGCUCAAUUUUGUAAAAGGAAGCACUUCAUUUGAAAGUACUAGAACAGUAAAUGGAGUGACAUAUCCAACUUUUAAAGCUGCGUGCUAUGCUUUGGGAUUAUUAGACGAUGAUAAAGAAUGGAUCGACUGCUUGACUGAAGCUGCAAUAUGGGCGACUGGAAAUGAAUUAAGACAUCUUUUUGUCACGAUACUCAUUCAUUGUCAGGUUUCUGAUGCAUCCCAACUUUGGAAAUCUAAUUAUACUAGUUUAUCAUAAGGCAUAACUUCAUUGCAAAGGAAAAGAUUCAGAUUGAAAGAUCUUCAGUUAACCGAGCAACAAGUUGAAGCAUACACAUUGUUGGAGAUUGAAACUAUCAUGUUGAAAAUGGGAAAAAGUUUAAGAGACAUAGAUGGAAUGCCACUUCCUAAUUCUUCUUUGAUAAGAGAUUCAGGUAACCGAUUGGUCAAUGAAGAGCUUGAUUAUGAUCGUGAUCAAUUAAAGAAGUUGCAUGAGAAAUCAUUUACUGCUCUAAAUGCUUGCAAAAAAUCAGCCUAUGAAGCAAUAAUGCAUUCUGUUGAGAAUGAAGAAGGGUGUUUAUUUUUUAUCAAUGGACAUGGUGGUACUGGUAAAAUAUUUUUGUGGAAUACAAUUAUUGCAAAGCUCAUAUCACAUUCUAAAAUAGUCUUGCCUGUUGCAACUUCAGGUAUAGCAGCUUUGUUAUUGCCUAAUGGUAGGACAGCUCAUUCGCGAUUUCAUAUUCCUUUGGAUGUGAUAGCAGAGUGCACUUGUGAAAUCCGACAAGGCACCUUAUUAGCUGGACUUCUUAUGAAAACUUCUUUGAUCAUUUGGGAUGAAGCGCCUAUGGCACAUAAGUUCUGCUUUGAAGCUUUGGAUAAGACCUUGAGAGAUAUUCUAAGAACAAGGUAUGAAAAUACUUCUAUCAAACCUUUUUGAGGACUUACAAUAGUAUGUGGUGGUGAUUUCCGUCAAAUAUUGCCAGUUGUGCCAAAGGGGACAAGAGCAGACAUUGUUGACGCUUCACUUAACUCAUCCUACUUAUGGCCAUUUUUCAAAAUUUAUGAGCUCAAACAAAAUAUGAGGCUCUAUAAUGGAAGCAUGAGUGGCUCUGAGGCUGCUAAAAUAGCUUCUUUUGACAAAUGGUUGUUACAGAUUGGAGAUGGUUCAUUAUAUGAUGACAUUGAUAGAGAGUUAGUUAAACUACCUUCUGAUAUCUGUAAGAAACCAUAAAAAAAUCUAAUGAAAUCAAUAGUCGACACUAUCUACCCAUCAAUUCUACAUAAUUACAGUGAUCCAACAUAUUUGAAAGAAAGAGCAAUAUUAACGCCAAAAAAUGAAAUGGUGCAUGAAUUGAACGAGAUGAUUAUGAAUAUAAUACCUGGUCAAGGGAGAACCUAUUUUAGCUCAGACAGUAUAUGCAAAGCAAGCGCAAACACAAAUGAUGAAGAUGUUCUGUAUCCAACUGAAUUUUUGAAUAGUUUGAAAUUCAAUGGCAUCCCUAAUCAUGACAUACGACUUAAGGAAGGUGCUCCCGUAAUGCUUCUCAGAAAUCUAAAUCAAAUAGAAGGCCUAUGUAACGGCACAAGAUUGAUUGUAACUCGUCUUAGUAAAUGGUCCAUUAGAGGUGACAUCAUUUCUGGAACAAAUAUUGGACAAAAUGUCACAAUUCCAAGAAUUGUUAUGUCUCCUAAUGAAUCAAGAUGGCCAUUCAAGCUUAACAGACGGCAACUUCCUUUGGCACCAUGUUUUGCCAUGACGAUCAACAAAAGCCAAGGACAAUCUCUUAAACAUGUUGGCUUGUAUCUCCCUAAGCAAGUAUUCACACAUGGUCAAUUAUAUGUCGCCGUAUCUCGAGUUACCACAAGAGAAUGAUUGACCAUACUAAAUGCUGAUCAAGAGGUAGAAGACCGAACCUUCAUAAAAAAACAUUGUCUACAAAGAAGUAUUUCAAAAUAUUCACACAUUAGCUCACAAAAUCAAGGUAUCACAUUUUUAGAUUAUAUUUUAAAAUUUAAUUUAUACAUUGCAAGCUCUUACUUCACCCUAUAAUAAUGAUUUUUAUUAUGUGUUUUAAUUAUUCAGUAGACAAAUGAAUAAAUCAAAGGAACUAUCGAGACAGCAAAAUGGUAGUUUGGUUGAGUUUUCCAAGCUAUUAUGGAGAAUUUAAUCGCCAAAGAACAUAGUACGUGAAGAAGCAUUCCUUUUUACAUCAACUAUUUCUCCUUUCAUUCUCUCUAAUCCAUGGAGACAUGGUUUAUAUACAGAUAAAGAACAUUUUGGCACUAGGUGUUGCUGAUCCCCAUUGGAACUUGCCAUAGCUGCAAGCUUGAUAUAAACAACUGCUCACCUACGCAGCUACAAACGAUGCAAAAUAACUUACAGAAGUCUUUACAUGUAUUUUACUUAUUUCUUUUAUAAUUCAACGCAUUGCUAAGGAUCCUCAAUUACAAAAUUUAAUUUGGAACUUAUCAACUACAAAAGGUAUAAGGUCUGUACACCUAGACUAUACACGUUAAUAUAUAUAUUUAAAGUUAACAAAAAAAUAGUUAACUUUCAUAAAUAACAUUAGUUUUAUAAGGCUACCUCAUUUUAAAAAAAAUCAAUUUAUAUUUUUUAUCAGUUUUAUUGAGUAUAAAGAAAGAAAAAUUGAUAAUACUAAAUUCAUUUUCUAAAGCCGCGCGAAGCGCGGUUUUAUUUCCUAGUAUAUAUAUAAAGCUGGGACUAUAAGAGGUGAUGUGACAUCACCAUUUCUCAUCUUUGUAUAUUUUCUAUUAUCUAAUAAAUAGAGAAUUUUUCUUUCAAAUUUGGCUUUUCAUCUUCUCAUAAUUAAUUUGAUUGUUAUUACAAUUAUGUAAAUGUUUUAAUGAGGCAUAUUCUUUAUAAUGAACAUCCAAUGGGGAGUGUUAUAAAUUUAUUAAAAUAAAUGUGGAUGUUCAUAACAUAUAUCUCUUAGUCUCUCCACUAUCUCUCAUUAGCAACCUUUAGCUUCUCUGUAACUCCCACAAUCUCACAAGGAAUUAUGAUCCAUAAUUUUUCAUUAAUUUCAUGGAGUGAUUAUGUAACUACAAAAGGAGAGCUCAUCUUUUUGUUUUGUAUACACAAUUGGAAUGAAUAAAAUCACUCUAAAAUAUAUUCUCUCAUUUUAUUCUUUAUCUUGCGUUGCUUCUUUAUUUGUGUUGUUGGCUAAUAGUUUUUUUUUUAUUUAAACCACCCGGUUUCCGACGACCGCAUUGGAUACUUCUACUGCAUUCAACAUUUCUAAUUUUUAUUGGUUGAUAUACGUGUGAAUGACAACACAAUCCUCUGAGGUAUUUUUUUAAUUAUUAAUGUUUGUUAAUCUUUAAGUGUAUAUUAGAAAUUAUUGAUCCUUAUGUUUUAACAUAUUUAUGUUAUUUUCCCAUAAUAUUACAGAUGUUGUCGGAAGUUUAUGUGGUGUGGGUGAUAUUGAGAUUGUUGGAGCUGGUUGGAAAAAAAGACAUAUAAAAGUUCUAAAAGAUUAGCAAGUUGAAUAUAAUUUGGAACUUAUCAACAACUACAAAAGGUAUAAGGUUUGUACACUUACUAUACACAUUAAUAUAUAUAUAUUUAAAGUUAACAAACAAAUAAUUAACUUUAAUAAAUAACAUUAAUUUUAUAAGGUUGCCUCAUCUUUAAAAAAAAUCAAUUCAUAUUUUUUAUCAGUUUCAUCAAGUGUAAAGUAAGAAAAAAUGAUAAUACUAAAUUAUUUUUUUAAAGCCGCGUGAAAUGCGGUUCUAUUUUCUAGUAAUUUAUAAACCGAGGCCGGGCCCCAAGUCUUUUAAUUUUCUUCCUUUCUUUCCAUAUUUGUCGUUGGGUUAUAAACUUCCCCAAUUCUACCUUUUAUGUGCACGUGAAUCAUGACAUACCCCUUGAGUCAUGCUUUCAAGUUAUAAUUCCUUUCAAUCUUUGCCACGGCUUCAAGUCUCAAAAUCACACAGCAAUACAUCAUAACCCGAAAAUUUAUAAAUAAUCAAUAAUAUAUAAAUGUAAUCAUCUAUUGAAUCAGUUCAUUAUUUAUUCGUAUUGCAAGCAUCACCCCUAUCAUUCAUAGUUUUCACUUUUUAGUGAUGUUCACAAAAUCCUAACCAUACUAUGCAAUUGAGAUAUGAUCAAUAACACUUUGAUAACAUAUUUUAAAAAACAUAAAUUCUUCUAUAAAAAGUCAUUAUUCUGGGGGUUAAUUUCCAUAGGUUUCUAUUAGUUAAUUUUUUCCAACUAUUUUUGAUGAAAUUAGAUAGAUUUGCCUUCAUAUUUGGGGCAAAUAGUUUCAGCGAAUCAUGAAUAAGCUUCCACACAUUUUAGAAAUCUUAUCUUUUUUAAUUUUAUACUUUUUCUUUAAUUUGCAUUUUGGUUCACAUGACCAAAAAUUAAGUUCCAUGCGUUUUUCAAUUUGUGGAAAUUCAGUUUUUUUUUUUUGUGGAAAUUUCGGUGGAGUCAAUAUGGCUAGAAAUUCGUAGAAGGAUGAAUCAAAAUACUCAAUUAUUGUUGUAGACUUGUAAGGCAGCUAACGGAGUCCACACGUUUCAAUGUUUGUUUACAGUUCAGCUUUCCCUUUGAUUAGUUAUCAAAAUAGAAACAUGAUUAUCAAUUUCAACUGUAUGUCUUUCAUGCCUUAACUUUCUUCCUUUCUUUCCAAAUUUCUCAUUUUGCUUUAAUUUUCCACAAUUUACCUCCACGAAUUGAUUGACCUGUUACCCACCACACUUCAAUACUAAUAAUAAUAAAUAAAUUCUUCAAGCAAUUGACAUUUGACCCACCCCACUUCAAUAAUAAUGCUAAUGGGACAUCAUAAAUUCUUCUAUUCAAAUAUAAUACUCAUGACUUUGACGGCCGAAACAUGUUUCAUGGCACAAAUAAUGACGGUUUUGUUUGAGGUACGGUGGAGGUGUCUAUUCAAAUAUUUGAAGCCAGCCCCUCGUUUUAUCUAAACCACAAGCAGGCUCAGCCGAAAUUGUUUAAUAUUUUUAUUUUUUCAAGAAACUCUCACUAUAAGGCUUAUGUGAAAAUUUGGUUGACAGUUUAUGUAUUUAAUUAUUUAUUUUACCACACAUGUCAUGUGUAGGUUUUAUUUACCUUGAGCAGUGGUCAAUGCAUUAGACCCAAGAUAAAGUGUGUUGAGGUAGGGGAAUUAAUGAUCGCAUUAGCUGUAGCACCUAUCUUCAAUCUCUAAUUUUAACUUUCUAUAGAUGAAGUGUUUUCAAAUUCCUCAAAUGUCUGUAAUCUGUUUAAUAAUUGAAGAAAGUUAAAAUUCAUUUUCUAAAUUUAAGGUUAAACUCCCAAUAAAAAAUUUUAUUUUCAUUCAAUAUUGUCAUUAGAUGGUAAUCACUUUGUACGAGAGAUUCCAAAAAAUUUGUCUCAUUGCUCCUCACUAGAAAGAUUGUAUCUUAGUGAUAAUAAUCUCUUGGUAGGAUUUCACAAUGGUUGGAUAAUCUUUCAACAUUACAACAUUUUAUAAUGCUCAAGAAACACAUUCUUGAAGGUCUUAUUUCAAUGGAGUUUUAUCAGCUUGAUUCUCUUCAAAUUUUGGACAUUUCAAACAAUAAUGUAUUUAAGAGUUUAUUAUCUUGUUUACAUAAAAAUAUAUGCCUAUAGGCAGGUAAAAGAAGGUACAUUUUUUAAUUACUCUUCCUUAGGGACAUCAUAUCUUAGCUAUAGCCACUUGAAUGAGAUCAUUUCAAGUUGGGUUGAUAGGCUUUCUCAAGCAAGCCACUUCAUACUGACCCACAAUAAUCUUAAAGAUGAAGUAUCUGCUCAGUUGUGCCGAUUGAACCAAUUGCUAUUGAUAAAUCAUGCUGAUAACAGUCUUUCCAGCCAUAUUCUUCAUUGCUUAAACAAGUGAACUUGUUUCAUUGAGAGAGUAGUGAAACAAGGAAAAAAAAAAGUUUUGACUUUUAUCAGUUAGUUGACUGUUAAGUAAAAAGUAUGCAAAUAUCAUUUUAUACUUUAGAUUGUUAAAAACUAAUGGAAAAAUAACGUCAUUUGAGGAUAAAUUGAAAUUUUCAUACUUUUAAAAAGUAAAGUGAAAAUUAUCAUUCUAAGUGUGGAUAAAUUAAAGUUACACUCAUAAAAAACACAUCUAAUAAUUUAUACACCAAGGCAGGCCCAAGUCUUUCAAUUUUCUUCCUUUCUUACCAUACUUAUCGUCCUGUAAUAAAUUUCCACAGUUCUACCUUUUUUGUACACAUGAUUCAUGACAUACUCCAUGAGUCAUGCUUUCAAGUUAUAAUUCCUUUCAAUAUUUGCCACGUUUGCAAGUUUCAAAAUCACAUAGUAAUAUGUCAUAACAAGUCCGAAAAUUCAUAAAUAAUCAAUAAUAUAUAAAAGGAAAUUAUCCACCGUCUAUCCGUUUUUUCAACUUUUUCAAAAAUACACAAUUUUUUUUUUUUUUGCUGGAAUCCACCUGAAGUUACAUUUCUUUUCACUUUUCCACUUCCGUUUGGAAUCCGUUAAGGAAAUUAAGGGAAUAUUGUUAAAUGACUUUUUUACCCUCAAAUGUAAAAGAUAAUUUAUCCAUCGACCACUUGUUUUUUCGUAUUUUUUCAGAAAUACACAAUUCUUAAUUUUUUUUUUGCUGACCUCCACUCGAAGUUGUAUUGUUUUACACCUAUCCACCACUGUGUCGUUGUAAAAUGAUGAUUUACCCUUAUAAUGUUAGCAAAGUUAUAACGGUCUCCAAACGGAAGUGGAAAAGUGAAAAGAAAUGUAAUUUCAGGUGGAUUCCAGCAAAAAAAAAAAAGAAUUGUGUAUUUUUGAAAAGCAGUGAAAAACGGGUGGAUGGUGGAUAAUUUCCCAUAUAUAAAUAUGAUCAUCAAUUGAAUUUGAAUCAGUUCGUUAUUUGUUCAUAUUGCAAACAUCACCUCUAUCAUUCAUAGUUUUCACUUUUUAGUGAUGUUCACAAAAUCCUAACCACACUAAGCAAUUGAUAUUCAAUCAAAGACACUUUGAUAACAUAUUUUAAAAAACAUAAAUUCUUCUAUAAAAAGUCAUUAUUCUAGGGGUUAAUUUCUGUAGGUUUCUAUUAUUUAAUUUUUUUCCAAUUAUGUUUUAUGAAAUUAGAAGAUUUGUCUUCAUAUCUAGGGUACUUAGUUUUAGUAAAUUAUGCAUCACCUUCCACACAUUUUAGAAAGAUGAUCUUUUUUUUAAUUUUAUACUUUUCUUUCAUUUACUUUUUGGUUCAUAGGGCCAAAAUUUAAGUUCCAUGCAUAUGCAUUUUGUGGAAAUUCAGUUUUUAUUUUUUUAUUUUGUGGAAAUUUCGGUGGACUCAAUACGGCUAGAAAUUCUUAGAAGGAUGAAUCUAGGGCAGCUAGCAGAGUCUACGAGUUUUAAUGUUUGUUUACAGUUCAAUUUUCCAUUUGAUUAGUUAACAAAAUAGAAACAUGAUUAUCAAUUUCAACUAUAGUUCUUUCAUGCCCUUAACUUUCUUCCUUCCUUUCCAUAAAUUCUCAUUUUGCUUUAAUUUUUCACAAUUCUACCUUGGAUGGUGUUGAUUCAAAUUUUUUCUCAAUGUACAAUGAUUGAUUUGUGUUUCGGACAUUCUUCUAAAUCGAGUUCUGUGGCAUAUUUUUUUCCUUGAGGCGAGUGUCUCAAAUCAUAUGUCUCCUUGUGGUUAAUUAUUUUGUAAAAAGAAACAAUUAUCAAAGGGUGCCGACAUGCCGGCAAUAACCCUCCGACACUCAAGUUAGUUCUUUUUACUCAAGUUUUAAAGAGAGAGAAUCUAGAGCAAGAUGGGCAGAGUUUUGCUCGCAUUUUAUGCCUUUUUUCCUCUUACUUUCAAAUGCCGGUCUUGGCCUUUAUAUAGACAACUUAGAGUCAAUUGGAGAGAUUAUGUGGCACUUUUCUUGUGACAAGUGUCAGCCAAAGUCCAUGCAUGGCGACAUAUAUUCAUAUGUGUCAAUACUUGCUCAUGACAAAUAAUCUUUGGACAUUUGUCAUGUUUUUGGGCUAUUAACCUUUAAUGGACUUUAGCUUAAAUUCGGCACUUAUAUUGGUUUCUUACAAAGAGGAUUGAUUUUGCAACAUUUUGCCCAUAAGCACAUUCCGCAAAAUGUUUGUUAGCCAGUAGGUGUUGAGUGUUAGAAAAUGUAUAUUUAUAAAGGAGAAAAUCAUCAUUUUACAUUUCAAGUUUUACUAACAAUCCUUACUUUUAUGUAUUUAAGCUUCUUGCAAUUUAAUUAUGUGUGUUUGAUUUUAAUUAAGUAUUUUAUGUAUUUUAGGGGCAUCAUGGUUAUUUCACAAUAAACGAGAGAUCAGACGGCAAAACGAAUAUCACUUUUGAACUUAGGACGGUCGAAAACCUUAGGAGGAGCAUAAAAGAAAAAAUGGCACUAUUCACAUGUACGGUAUUAUUCACGUGUACGGUACUGUUUACGUUACUGUUCAUAAUACUGUUCACAUAGACGGAUUGAUGACGUGGCAUUGACUGAUGAGGUGUCACGAUCCUGUUGGGCUAAAAUUCUUAUGUACUGUUGAUGGUGACGUGGCAGCAUAUCAGUAGACGAAAAAAUCUCGCGUACGGUACAUGCAUCACACAGGAUUAUUUUCAACCAAACCGCGUCACUGUUCAACCCAGGUCAAACCGUGUUACUGUUCAUCCACGUGGUCAAACCGCGUACUGUUGACUGAUGACGUGGCGCAAUCCUGAGCGUCCAAACUGUUUUUAAUCCGAUAGCCAUGAUUUACUUCAUGUAUCUAUAAAAAGGGGGCCUCUCCCCCCUAAUUGGAUAGCUCUGAAUCCAUUUUUGGGAUCCAUUUUUUGUAAUUCCUUCUCCAUUUUGUAUUUUCUACAUAUUUUAAUAAUUCCCAUUUUGCCCCUAGUUCAAUUAUGAGUGGCUAAUUUUCUUUCAAGCUUGGGUUGAAGGUGAAGUCUCAACAUGUGUCAUGGGCUUAAUUUGGUAGAUUUACUUUCUCUUCCCAUCUAAUUUUUGUGGAUGUUUUGACUUCUCGUCGACAAAUAAUACUAAUCUUGUCUAGUACCGCCUUGGUUUCACCGGCUCCGUAGUACAAGGUUAUUAUUAUUUGGCACGAUAAGCCCUUAGCACCAUAUUGAUUAGAGUGUGGUUUAUGAGGUGUGGAUUUCCCCCUUAUGAUUUAAUUGAUAUUAAUAAGGAAUAUUUAGCCCAUGGUACAUGUUGAUACGGAUUCAGAUACCCAAGUACGUCAUUUCAAUAGAAUUCUCUUCAAUUUAUUCUCGCCAUUUCAAUUCCAAUUUUAGAAUUUAUUCUCGCCAUUUUAAUUUAAAUUUUAGCAUAUUCCAAAUCAUUUCCACCACAAAUCCAAUCACCCAUUUACAAAAUUAAUUCUACACACAAUUAAAAUCCACCUCCUCGUGGGAUCGACACUCGUCACCAUUAGUCUAUACUACAAUAGAUUCGUGCGUUUGCGAGUACAUUAAAAUUUGCACAGCAGUAGGCUCGCUCCGUGGAAUGUUUGUUGGCCCGUUGGCACAUUCCAUAAAAUGCAUAUAUUUGCCCGUAUGCACAUAUUGUAGAAUGUAUAUUUCUUCGUAGGCGCAAUCUGCCCGUAGCCGCCAUCCGUAGAAUGUGUAUUUGUCCAUAGGCCUAUUGCAUAGAAUGUGUGUUUGCCUGUAGACCCAUUCCGUAGAAUGUGCAUUUGCCCGUACGCCCAUUUCGUAGAAUGUGUAUUUGCCCGUAGGCUCAUUCUAUAGAAUGUAUAUUUGCCCGUAGGUGCACUCCGAGUAGCUCAUGUGCUCUUAGAAAUAUUUUUGAAGUGUCUAGAUCAUGAACGGACCUAGGUCAUUUUUUGUGAGGAAUGGACCUAGGUCGUUCUUUGUAAAAAAUAGACCUAGGUCCUUCUUUGUUGAAUCAUGCCUUUGGCACUUUGUGAAGACUCGUAAGGAAUGGACUUAGGUCAUUCUUUGUAAGCAAUGAACGUAGAUCAUUCUUUAAGACUUAGGUUUUUCUAUGAUAAAUCACGCUUUUGGCUUUUUGUCGUGUCUUGCAUUUAGACACUUUAGUUAGAAUUGUAAAUACCUUGGCCAUUCUUAUAGAGAACACACAUGGGUUAUUUUAUAUAAAAUAAUUUUAUUGGGCCUAUAUUUUUUGUGGGUUUUGGACCUUUCAUAAUUUGGGCUAACAGAGGCCCCCGAAGUCUUACUUUUCAAUUUUGAGAAGUGAGACUUUUUUUGUACUUUUUUUUAGGCUUUUCUUUGGCUUUUCUUAUUACAAAUUAAAUUUUAAGGCUUGAAAUUUCUCUAAGGCACCUAUCCUAUUAAAAUUAGUCUACAACCAAUCUCACAUACUUCAUUUAAUGAUUUGUAGCUCUCUACAAUCUAUCUUAAUUUAACAAUUAUUGAAAAGUAUAAAAAUAAGGAGUUAGUAAAAGUAUCAUUUAAAAAGAGAUACUUGACUUUUUCUAAAUAGUAUGUGAGAAUUUUCUGACAAUUCUUUGGCGAGCUACUGUUGAAGCUCUUCGAGUGCUCAUCGAUCUAAGAAGCAAUGCCAAAUCUUUUCCUGAAAGGUCAUCUUUGAAACUGAAUUGCUUCAAUGGUAAACAUUUUUGUAGAUAGCGAUCCCAGUCAAUUCUCAUAUAUACUUACCCUUAGGCAUUUUGGUUGAGAUCAACCAAAGCUGUAGUCAACAUCCGCCCUUGGAAGAUUUAGUCAAUAGUUGCCCCUAAGCUUUUUGACAUUGGCUUUAAGGUGUUUCUCGUCAACACUAACUCUCGGACGUUUUUAUCUAAAACAUGUCAUUAGGUGUUUCAGACAAUCAUUUGCCUUUUAAUGUUUCACUUAGAAUAUUUUCCCUCAGGUCUAUUAUUAUAAUUCGCUUGUGGACGGUUUCCUUCAAAAAUUAAUUUGAAGUAAUUGGACCUAGGUCAUCCUUUAAAAGAAAGGACCUAGGCCCUUUUAUCAUAAUUUACUCGUGGGCAGUUUCGUAGAACUUAGCCCGUAAGCAUUCUCUUUAGAAUGAUUUUUCUAAGAAUUGGACCUAGGUCAUUUUUUACAAGAAUGGACCUAGGUCUUUUUAUUAUAAUUCGCAUGUGGGCACUUUUUAUAGAAUACUAAUUCUAAGUGAUUGGACCUAGAUCAUUCUUUGAAAGAAAGGACCUAUAUCUUUUUAUCAUAAUUCAGCCAUAUAUGGUUUCCUUAGAAGAUUAAUUCUAAGUAAUUUGACGUAGGUCUCUUUAUUAUAAUCCGCCCGUAGGCACUUUCCUUAGAAAAUUGAUUUUAAGUAAUUGGGCUUAAGUCUCUUUUUAAAGGAAAUGACGUAGGUCUCUUUUUAAAUUGAUUCUAACUUUGUCACUACUUUGAUUGCAUCAAGUGAUGAAUAAUGUCGUAAUCAGAAUUUUCAAGGGGGUAUUUGGGAAUAUUGCCCCCUUCAGAGUUUUAAAAGCCAGAGAAAGAAGACUUUUUGUAUUGUAUGGUACCAUGGUAUGCCCCGUAUGCCUUUCUUAAUGAUAAAGUAGCAGAUUCUCCUUCAAUUUAAUUUCUUUUUGUUCCAAGCCAAAAUAAAAAAAUUUCUGCUCACUAGCCGUACUCUGUUCUUGAUGAACAUUAGGAGGCAGUUCAAGACAUGGAUUCUCAAAGUCAAUUGUAUCGAUGAUACUUGGGUGUGUAUGACAUUUUUAUUAAUAAUUUUAAUCAUUCAUUGAUAAAUUCUUCUAUUAACAAAAAUAAUUUCUCCAAAAUUAAUUUUUCUACUCGCAGACCAUACUUUGUUCUUGAUGAACAUUAGUUGGUACUUCAAAACGUGGAUCCUCAAGUCAAAACGGUAAAUUUUUUUCAUCAGUGAAUCAUUAACUAAACAAGUGAUCUUAGAUUUCAUUCUUGUGUCUAUGAUAUGUGGGUGUGACUGACAUUUGAGGAACAAUUACAAGAGUGAAAAAGGAGAAUACAUAAUAUAUUCAACCACUAAAAAUAAAAGUCAUUUUUAUUUUAUUCCAUCUUACUCGAAUUUGAUACAACUAGUGGGUGUGUUGUAACUAAUCUUAUUUGUCCCUUUGAAAUAACCGAUAAUAAUCUUAUCACCGAAUGUUUAACAGACUCGUAACGUCAUAACGUAACUACCACGUCAAGCAAACACGUGGACUCAGCCGUGAACUACAACCGCAUAACCGUUACAUAUAUAGACUAGUAUGAAGCGGUGGAGUUAAAGCAAGCGUUUAAGAAGUGAUUUAAGCUGAUGCAAGCGUAAAGUAUGAGACGAAUAAAACAACAUACAAUUCAACAAAAGUCUAACAUGCCCUGUUCAAACUUAUAAUUUUCUACUAUUACCUUACCCGACAAUACAAUCCAAGUAGCUGGCAGCCACACCGCAAACUUCCACUAUCAUCUUCUCCUUUCAAACUUAUAAUUUUCUUUUUUCUUUUUUAUUUUCUGGAAAGAGCUGGCUUUCCUUGAUUUUUGCUUUUUGUCAACAAUUAUUCAUGCCUUUUUAUUUUUCUCCAUCACACUUUUUUUCUUUCCCAACUUCCACGAGCUGAGCCGUCGUCGCUUUUUGAAAGAAACAGUAUGGAAGCUAUCAAGAAACAGGCAAUCAAGCUCCGAGAACAAGUCGCCAAGCAGCAGCAAGUCCGUUUCUUUUCUUUUUUUGUUUUUAAAUUAUUUAGACUUUUAAUUAGUGAAAUUUCUCGAUUUUAUUUAUUUUUCAUUAGUUUUUUAUGGUUUGUACAGGCAGUAUUGAAGCAUCUGCUCCAUCUUGGCAUUGAAAAUGUUGCGGUUGAUAAAGCUGACAUUGAGUGUCACCAACAACUUCAAAAUCUAUACAAUUCCACCAGGGCAGCUAAGGCACCAUCCUCCUUUAGCUAAUAAUAAGACUCUGUUUGAUAUUGAUUUAUUGUGGCUUUUGGUAAUUAGAUAUGAUUUUUAAAUAAUAAUUUUGUCAAAUAUGGUACAAACAACUGUAUUUUCUAGACUGAAGUUGCAAGUAUUUACCAACGGAGCUUAAUGUAUGUUGAACAAUUAUGAUGGUUUGUAUGGUUUUAUCUGAACAAUAAUUUGGAAUAUAUGCUCUGUAGCGCAGCAUUUUCAGAGGAAUAUUGUCCGUGGCGUUGAAGGGUUUGUUGCAGUAAGCUUGAAACAAAUGGAAAUAUGUUGUUUGUUUGCUCUUGCUCUUGUUAUAAUAUUUGAUUUUUUUUUAUUUAUUUUCUUGACUAGUUCUUGUGUACAAUAUUUUUGUAUUCAAAUAUUGUAGCGAGAAAGUUGGCCGAAGAUUGUUGCAAGUAUGGAGCGGAGAAUCAAAGUGACAAUUCUUGCGUUGCAAGAGCUGCUCUUCAAUUUGGCACUUCACAUGAUUUGAUGGAAAAUGAGAGGGAAACUUUGCUUGGGAUUCUUCAUGAUCAGGUUAGUUCAUCCCUAACUAGAAAAUAAUUCAAAUAUAGAAAAUUAUAUGUAAAUUACUACGGAAACUAUUAUCUUCUCAUAAGGAAAUUUAGUUCUAAGAUAUUGAAUAAAAGAAUCCAUUUUAAAGUUACAACUCUGAAAUAUUUAAUGUUUUAUAUUAAAAUCAUUGCUAGUGACAUCCAUGACUUGAUAGUUUUAUUGGUUCAAAUGUUGAAGAGACCUUGUACUUCUUACAUCACUAGCGAAGACUGGCGUGGGACAAGUUAUUGGCCGUGAGUUCUCUCAAUUGACUCCAAGCAUUUUGGAUAAAGACAUUUGCAUCUGUAGUAAAAUCAAAUCCAUGAGACUGAAGGAUGCAUGGGGAAGUCUUACAACCUUUAUUUGCAUAGGUAGAUGCUGAGAAAACAUAUCAUCAACACGUUAUUGAUAUUUUAGAGAAGUUGUAUGCGGAGGUUUGGGACUAUGCAUUUUAACUUGCUUGUCCCCAUCUAUCUAUUCCUUGGAGCGUUCUCUUCUUGCUAUUUUCGUCUCACUUAUGCAAAAGAAUAAUUGUGACUUUUUAGUCCCUUCCAACCCUUGCUACUUGAAUUAGAUGAUCCUAUAGGAGCAAUCAAAUGAGUCCUCCUCGCAACAUGUGACUUUCGAAAUGGAUGUACAUGCCUCAUGUGUCUAUCAGAGUACUGAUUCAAAUGGAGCUGAUUUGCAAACGCAUAUUAAUCAGAAUGACGUCUACUUUAUAGCAAAAGUAAGGCUCCUGCUCUCUUGCAUAGGUGAAAGUCCCUCUAUUGCCCUCCUCCUGGAAAAUCUUAAGAAAUAAGAUGCGCACAAAAUUGAAUGCUGUCUUUUAAGAUUUUUUUUUUUAAAAAAAAAGAAUUUUGUUGUAUUUUACCAUGAAAGUUGUUAAUUUACUGAAUUACAAACUUAUCAAUUAAUUUGAUGUUGCACAGUCUUUUUCUUAACAUAUUGCAUUCAUAUUUUAAUUUUGGAGCAAUAAAAUUUUUUUUCUACUAUCACUACCAUCUGGGCAGGUAUUUGUAUUAUUGCACAACAUCUACGGAAGUAGUGAUUAGUCUUAAAAGUUGAAGAUGUCUGUCUGUAUCCUUUCAUCCUAGAUAAAUUGUCAUAUGAUCGUAGGACAAAUUGUAAUUAUUUUUUAAAAUUUAUUAGUUAACACCUUGAAAAUUCUUUUCCCCCAAAUAAAAUUACUCUAAAAGUGUCCAAAUGUGGUGCUGAGGAAGCCAUUCUUAGGAAACUUUAUUUAGGAGAACAGGACUUUUAAGCAUGAGGUUUAGCAAACACCAAUGAAUUAAAAAAGCGAUAGAUGUCGGAUGAGCUAGAUAGAAUGCAUGGGCUAGAAAUAUCAUGUGUCUCUACUAUCAAUAUCUUAGCAACAUCAAAGCUGAGUUAGGCAUGCCAAAGAAAGGCAAACCACUGAAAGUUGUGUAGCCACUCACGACGUAGCAGGUGAUGUAAAGUCUUGAUAUUGCUUAUAGAUACAAGACUGAUAGCUCAACAUCCCUCUUUUUGAGAUUUUCUCUUAAGUUAGAUGGGCCUUUUUAUGAUUAUGUCUGAAUUAUGAUUCUCCUUACUUGGUUUACCUAGAAAAACUAUGUUUAUAUGGAUGUGACUUGGGGGCAAUCUAUGUAUUUGAUGAUAAAUCUGGCCGAGAAAACUUAAAUUAUUAGGCAGAGGAAAUUGACUGACCAUAAGCUGUCAUGUUAAAUCCAUCACUUAAAAGAUGUCGGUCACUUGGAAUCCCCAUUAUCUAUGACUUUCUUGUGCAUAGGCCAUGUUUUGUGGAGAGCAGUCAAAAUUUCAGAUUUAAAAUCUUAUCCAUAAUUUAAAAAUGGAAUUUUGUUUCUAAUAUAUCUUUGUUGGCCAUAAUCAUUGUAGUUACAAUGAACGCUGCUGCUACUGCUGCUGCUUUUGUUAUGCUUUUUUAAAGAUUAAGUUCUAUUUAUCCUAGUAUCUUAUAGGUUAUACAUCCAUUUGACGCUCAAGCAAAUGGGGAGCUAAGUCUUUCAAUUGAUGAUUAUGUUGUGGUUCGCCAGGUACUUUCCCCUCUAAAUAACAACACAGAGAUUUUUCUACUAUGCUAUUAACUUAUCCUUCUAACAACUUAUGAUAUGUGGAAUUUAGAACUAAUGCUUAUACUAAUUUGAUGUUCAAAGCACAUGGCAUUUUGUUCUUAAAAUUUUGAUUGAAAAGCAAUGAGUUAACAUAUGAUGGUUGGUUUUCUUUCUUCCUACCAUAUAUUCCCUUUUAUAUUGAAGUGCAAAUCAGAAUAUAGUAGGGUUGCUAGCUCAGUUCUAAACCACCCAGUUUACCCUUAUAGAUAUGUGAAUUUAUAUCUUGUUAUGCUUCCAUGGUUAAUGUUGUUAUUUCAGUGAUCACAACUAAUUCACUCCUCCUACGUAAAAGAAUUAGUUUUCCCCUUAGGUCUUUGAACGGUCAACUUUUGUUUAAUUCACUGUUUUAGUUAUAACUUCUCAAGGUGGCUCUUAUGGAUGGUCGGAAGGUGAAUGCAAGGGCCAAGUUGGUUGGUUUCCCUCGGCAUACAUAGAAAGACAAGAAAAAGCCCCAGCUAGAAGGAUAUCAGAAACAAACUCCUCACCCAAAUGUGAUGCGACUUCUUAAUAAACUCUUGCCAAGUAUCUAUAUGUUCUUUUUCCUGUAUUAUAUUGCCAUUUUAGUUUAUAGAACGACUGCGACAAUUGAUAAGUGGUUUGAUUGCUUCUCUUAAUGAAAUCUUACUAAGCUCCAAGUAAUAUGUGCGAUCAUAUGCAUUUUAAUAUUUGUAUUUAUCUCCUAGUUGAGGAGAAUAUUUGUAGUAACAACUGUGUUUCCAAAUUGCCAAAAAAAAAAAAAUACACAUCAUGUUUAGCAACAAAUUUUUACUAUUAUUUCUUCCCAGUUUUAAUUUACUUUCUCCGUGAAUUGAAUGUUAUAUUAGUAGCUUGAUCAGAAAGUAACUCAUAUCAAUCAAACUACCUUGAUGCAAGAGAUUGAAUUUAGAAUUUCUCUAUCUUUGUGAAACUUUCCAAUCAUAAUGUUAUGAAAUAUGUGGGCAUGAACUUUUUAAUUUCUAGUUGCAUUUGGAGUAUGUAUGAUAUAAUCUGAAUCACUUGCAUAAUGUUCUUCAUCUUCCANNNNNNNNNNNNNNNNNNNNNNNNNNNNNNNNNNNNNNNNNNNNNNNNNNNNNNNNNNNNNNNNNNNNNNNNNNNNNNNNNNNNNNNNNNNNNNNNNNNNUUCUAACUAAUGAAAUUUUCUAGUCUAAAUUAUGAAAUAUGUGGGAUUGACUUAGAAAUUUUGGUAACAUGUCGAGAAUGUAUGGUAUAAUUUGAAUUCAUUAGCAUAAUCUUCAUCUUCAUUGAUUUGUAAAUUAUGAAACUAAUAUAUAAAAAACUAAUGUUAGAUCCUAAUUAUCUUUAGUUCUUAAAAUUGUUGAGGAGAUAUGAAAUUCUGGUGGGUGGAUUUGAGAGUUUUAGCUUUGAGAAUAUUGCUUCAUCUCUACUUUGAUGUUGUUGUGCCCCUUGUUGUGGCGAGGCAUUAAUCUUCCUAAAUUUUUUGUCAAGCUUCAACUUUAUUAUAUAUAUACCUUUCUUGAUAAAAUGUCUGGGUCCAUCGCUGGAUUUGGUGUUAAUGACACUAGUGAAGAAGAUGAUGAUAGCACCAUAAUCAUUAUUUUUUAAAGUAAAAUAGGCGAUCAAGUGCAUCUAGGUGUUUCAUUUCUUGUGUAUGAUUAUAAAACUAUUCUGAAUAUAGUUUCUAAAUGAAUGUUAUAGAGUGGCUGCUUUUAACAUUGGAGAUGGUUCUCUUAUUUAAGUAUGCUGCACAGUAUAGGGAAGUAUAAGUUAUGGUGGAUAGAUAUGAGUUUGGAAGUGUGGAGACAAAUGUGAAGUGCUUGGAAGUUGGAAGCUAUAUAACGCUAAAUACUUCUACAAUUUUAAUAAAAAAUAAAAAUAAAUUUAUUUCCUAAGCAAACUUGAUUAGUACUUAAAGAAUCAUAAUUAAGCUACUAAUUAAUUUCAAUGACAAAAUCUUGUUGGAAUAAGAUUGUCUACAACAAAAUAAUAACAUGAAGUUAUCCACAUUUCAACAAAGUAAAACAAUUUACGUCGCCAAUAAGAAUUUACAUAUAAAACAAUAACAAUUCCAAAUAUCACUAUUACGUACGAUGUUGUAAAUGUGAUAAAGAAACUGUCCGUGUCAAUUAAAAUGUCUGGGUCCAUCGCUGGAUUUGGUGUUAAUGUUUCUAGUGAAGAAGAUGAUGAUAGCACCAUAAUCAUUCUUUUUAAAAGUAAAAUAGGCGAUCAAGUGCAUCUAGGUGUUUCAUUUCCUGUGUAUGAUUAUAAAACUAUUCUGAAUAUAGUUGGCGAUCAAGUGCAUCUAGGUGUUUCAUUUCUUGUGUAUGAUUAUAAAACUAUUCUGAAUAUAGUUUCUAAAUGAAUGUUAUAGAGUGGCUGCUUUUAACAUUGGAGAUGGUUCUCUUAAAUAAAGUUUGCUGCACAGUAUAGCGAAGUAUAAGUUAUGGUGGAUAGAUAUGGGUUUGGAAGUGUAGAGACAAAUGUGAAGUGCUUGGAAGUUGGAAGCUAUAUAACACUAAAUACUACUACAAUUUUAAUAAAAAAUAAAAAUAAAUUUAUUUCCUAAGCAAACUUGAUUAGAACUUAAAGAAUCGUAAUUAAACUGCUAAUUAAUUUCAAUGACAAUAUCUUGUUGCAAUAAGAUUGUUUACAACAAAAUAGGAACAUGAAGUUAUCCACAUUUCAACAAAGUAAAACCAUCUACGUCGCCAAUAAGAAUUUACAUAUAAAACAAUAACAAUUCCGAAUAUCACAAUUAUGUACGAUGUUGUAAAUGUGAUAAAGAAACUGUCCAUGUCAAUUAAAUUAUCAUUUUUUGUUGGGGGGGGGAAAAAAGGGGCCCCCAAAAAAAAAAAAAAAAAAACUUUUUUUUUUUAAAAAAAAAAAAAUUUUUAAAAAUUUUUGGAAGGCGUUAAAUGUUGCAAAUUGUNNNNNNNNNNNNNNNNNNNNNNNNNNNNNNNNNNNNNNNNNNNNNNNNNNNNNNNNNNNNNNNNNNNNNNNNNNNNNNNNNNNNNNNNNNNNNNNNNNNNNNNNNNNNNNNNNNNNNNNNNNNNNNNNNNNNNNNNNNNNNNNNNNNNNNNNNNNNNNNNNNNNNNNNNNNNNNNNNNNNNNNNNNNNNNNNNNNNNNNNNNNNNNNNNNNNNNNNNNNNNNNNNNNNNNNNNNNNNNNNAUCAGCUUGUUGCAAGAAAGAUCAAGUCCUGAUAGGAGGCUAAGCACUUUUCCUUGGUAAAUGUACGCAAUGUUCUUUGUUGUGAACUCAAAAUUUUCACGGAUUUGCUUUUCUACAUCUCCGUCAGGGCCGUCGAUGGAAAAAGAUAUUUCAAAUUGCUCAUCAAGACUAGAACUAUUGCUGUAACUGUCAUGAAGUGUGGUGUUAUCAAAGCAAGGAGGAAUAGGACCGUGAAGAUUAUUAUUAGAAAGAUCUAACAAUUGUAGUUGGUUCAAUUCGCACAAUUGAACUGGCACUUUACCUUCAAGAUUAUUGUGACCUAAGAUAAGGUGACUUAACUGAGAAAGCCCAUCAACCCAAUCCGGAAUGCUGCCAUUCAAGCGGUUAUAGCUAAGAUCUAAUGUCACAAGGGAAGAGCAAUUAAAGAAUGUACCUCUUUUUAGUUGUCCAUGUAACAUAUUUUUUGAAAGAUGAACUUGUUUGAUAUUGAGAGGAUGGAAACAAGAUGGUAGACUUCCAGAUAUGUUGUUGUCUGAAAUGUCCAAAAUCUGAAGCAAAUCCAGUUGACAAAACUCCAUUGGAAUAGAACCUUUAAGAUGAUUCUUGUGCAUUGUAAUAUGUUGUAAACUUGUGAGACUGCCUAACCAUCGUGGAACCUUACCCGAAAGACUGUUAUUAUUAAGGUACAAUCCUUCUAGUGAGGAGCAUUUAUAUAAACUUUGUGGGAUCUCUCUUAUGAAGUGAUUGUCCUCCAAUUGUAACCAUAUUAAAUUUGCCAGGUUAAAAUUUCUACAGAACAUGUGACCUUUUAGGUUGUUGUUUGAUAACGCUAGAAACUCCAAGUUAACGCAACCGACGGCCAAGCGCUCAGGGAUUUCACCAGUCAAUUGAUUGCUGGAUAAGUCCAAAAUUCUGAGGAAGUUCAUUUUACCAAAUGAAGAGGGAAUGCUACCAUGCAAGGCAUUCGUGGAAAUGUUAAAAGAAAAUAAACUUGGUAAAAUAUCUCUAAUUUCUACUGGAAUAUGGCCUUGGAAGUUGUUGUUGGAGACACCCAAGAAUCUUAACCGCCUGUGUGGAUGAAUUGGCAAUUAAAAAGGUCCUCCAAUAGAAUCAUUGAUGAGAAAAAGAGUUUCUAAUUUUGUGUUGUUUUCCAACAACCAAUUUGGAAAUUCUCCAUUCAUCUUUAUAUGUGAGAGAUGAACAUCCUCCAGGUCAUGUUGAUGGUAAAGGAAUUUGGGGAAUGUGACACCAUCUCCACAACCGGAAGACAACAAGAGAGAUUGUAAUUGGAAGUUUGGGGCGGUCAAAGAAUGUGACUCAGUUAUUUCAGCUUUUAUUUCAUUGUUGUAAGCCCAUAAGCUCUUGAGUCUUGAGUGAUUGAAAAGUGGUUUAAGUGAAAUUGGGAUGCAGAAGUGAUUCUUUGAAAGUAUUAGCUCUUCAAUGGAUGUCAAAUGAACGAGGGGAGUGAUAACUCUAGGAAAUGAGAGUUAUUACAUCAAUUCUAAACUUGAAUCAGGAUCUUUUAGAGAACAAAUAAGGUGUUUUUAUUACAUUUUGCUUAAACAUUCAUUUUAGUUGAGUAUUAAUAAGUUUUGCUUGAAUUAUAGUAAUUUGUGCUAAAAACAUAUGCAUAAUUGUAGGUUCUUGGAAAGUCUUAAUUCAUGAGGGGAUGUUGAGGCAUUAGAUGAGCAAGAGGAGGAAAUAAGCCAGUCAUAAAAGAACAAAAGCACAAUCGGGAGUAAUGCAGUGCUGUUACGGAUGUUAGAGCAACCCGUUCUGUAGCAAUCUGGAAGUAAAUGCGAGAGAAAACUUGGGCGCGGGUCAGCACAUGUUUCUUAAUUUAACGCAUGCACACUCAUAGGCUUGUGUUUACCCUAAUUUGCAAUAUAAAAGGGAGGCAAUACCACAAAGAAAGGCGGCAAGGAAAUUAUCACUAGAAUAAUCACAAAGGAACGAAGAAGAAGAAGAUCAGAAUUAAAGAGUUUUGUUUUGGAAACAUUGGAGAAUCGUGCAGAAUUACUUGGCUUUGAUUUUCGCCGUGCUCAACUUAUAUUUAUCUUCUUCCUUUAAUUAUUUUGAUGUAUUCCGGGAUCAAUAUAUUUAUGAUUAUUUUUGUCAUCCAGAUUAUGAACUAAAUUUACUUGUAGUUGAGUGACAAAUAAUCCAAUGGGUUCUUGAUUGUUCUUAUAUGUUGUUAUGGUAAUGCUGUAGCAUUUUACUCUAGUAGUUUUUAUGAGUAUAACUGUUAUUUCGGUUGACCACCCAUUUAAUAGUUUCAGUUAAGAGCAGCAAAGGGGCAUGUCUUAGCGGACAUUAUUAGAGUAUUACUUGUUCUUAAAUUGAGUUUCCUGGAUUAGGUUAUCUUGAAUCCCAUAAGGGCAAUACUUGAAGUUAAGAUUUGUGACACUCUGGACAUAGGUGUUCACCUUGUAGGGUAGAGAGAUUAAAGGAUAUAAUGACGUACCAUAAAUAUAUGAGCAACUGGUCAUUGUUAGUAGAUUUAAAGGUAUGAGAUUUCUAACAUGCGAUAGCUGAGGAUGCAGAUUUAUUCUGCCCAGUGCUGCAGCACUUAUUGUAACAACUGGUGCUAAUUUGGUAAACACCAAUCACCCCAUUAGGAGAGUUUGAUUAUUCAACUACUAUAUUCUCAAUUGAAUCUUAGACACAGUUAACUUAGUUUAUUUCAUUACAGUAUUGUUUUAUUUCCAUCUCUCGCAAUUAUUAAUUACGAUAGAAUUAUUUAACAAUUGUUUGUUUCGGUUUUAGUUAAUUUGCACUAUUGUGAUUGCUUUAGCAUUUUGAGUAACAUCAAUCCCUGUGGAGACGAUCUUGAAUACUCAUCACUUUAUUACUUGUUGUGUAUAUGAUGAAGAGUAGGAAUCCAUAUUAUACUAGGAUUAGUUUCCUUAUUAACUAAAGUUUAAGACUUUUAAAUUCCUUUCUAAUUUAGAAUUUUGUUUCCCUUUCAAUUUAGGAUUUUGUUUUUACUUCAUGAAUUAGGAUAAUUACUACUACUAUAAAUAGCUUCCUCUUGUAACCUUUGAAUGCAUAAUUUUGAGUUCAAUAAUAUUUCAAUUUUCAAAUCUCUUUGUGAGUAUUUGAACAGUUAACUCUCGGUAUUCUGCGGAAUCAACGAGUCUUAAUCCCUAAAUUCACGGUAUUCUUUUGAAUCAACGUGAAUUUAAUUAUUAUUUUGUUCCGGUAUUCUCUAGAAUCAACGGAAUAUUUUGAACAUUAAACUUCCGCUGCAUCAGUAUAUUUGCACAUCGGCAUUGGUAGUAAUUGAUUAUAAAAAUAAAUCAAUAAGUGUUUGGGGUCGUUGCCGGGGAUUGAUUGUUUAUUUUUAAAGUGUAAAGUAAAUCUUGAUAGCGCCAAAUUUGAUUUGAUUUAUUCUAUUUAUUAGGAGAUCGGUACAUGCAUGCGCAAAGACAGGUCUGUGGUAUUCUAAUUCGAUCCUGAGAUUGAAAGGACUGUCAGGAGAUUGCGAAGAGAACAAAGGAAUUCAGAAAUUGAUUCAAGCAUGAAUAAUUUGCAGGAUGCGGGAAAUUUGAAUCCUCACGGGCCCUUACAACCAGUAAACAUUCAAGGAGAGCAGAAUGAACAUGUUAACGGGAGACAGCCAGGCAAUAACAAUAUUAUUUACAUGGCUGAUGACAGAGACAGAGCUAUAAGAGAUUAUGCUGUGCUAACUCCUCAAGUUGUACAUCCUGACAUCAUCAGACCUGAAGUAGACGUUGCAAAUUUUGAGUUAAAGCCAGUGAUGUUUCAAAUGUUGCAAACAGUUGGUCAAUUCAAUGGAUUGCCAGAUGAAGAUCCUCAUCUCCAUCUUAAAUUGUUCUUGGAAGUAAGUGAUACUUUCAAGAUUGCUGGAGCAAUACAAGAUGCUUUAAGGCUGAGACUCUUUCCUUAUUCCUUAAGAGAUCAAGCAAGAGUAUGGUUAAAUUCGUUACCAUCUGAUUCCAUCACUACAUGGAAUGAAUUGGCUGAUAAAUUCCUAAUGAAAUAUUUCCCACCAACAAAAAAUGCAAAGUUGCGGAAUGAGAUUACUUUCUUCCAUCAACUUGAAGAUGAAAUGCAAAAAAUGCAAAAAAUGCAAUGUUAGUUAAUGAGUGACCUCAUUAACUAACAUAGUAAAGGCCUUGACAUCUGCUCCAGCAACAGUAAAGCAAGUUACUGAACUUUCUUGUGUAUACUGUGGUGAAGAGCAUAACUUUGAUAAUUGUCCUGGAAACCCAGCUUCAGUAAACUAUGUGGGUAAUUUCAGUUGAUAACCUCAGAACAACCCAUAUUCAAAUACUUACAACCCUGGCUAGAAGCAACACCCAAAUUUUGCAUGGAGCAGUCAGAAUCGAAAUGCUCCAGCAUUAAAUAGACAAAAUAAAAACACACAACCACUUGGUUUUCAUCAGCAGAGUCAAGGGCAAAAGCAUAACAGUCAGGAUCCAAUCACUUCACUGGAAGCACUGAUUAAAGAGUACAUUGUAAAGAAUGAAGCAAUUGUGCAGAGUCAAGCUGUAUCCUUGAGAAACCUGGAAAACCAAAUGGGACAACUAGCCACAGUAAUAAGCAGCAGAACUCAAGGAAGCCUACCUACCAACACAAAAGACCCUAGGAGGGAGGGCAAAGAACACUGCAAAGUAAUUAAUUUGAGGUCUGGAAAGAAUGUUGAUAUCCCAGCUGAUGUAACAAAAAAUGGGAUGGAAUUCAAUUCAGCACAAAAAUUACCUCAAAAGGGAAGCAUGUUACAACAACCUCCUCUUCAAGACACUGGUUACAUGGGCCAAGUUACAGCAACUACAGAGGAAAUUCAACCAAAACAUGUUGAAAAAGAAAUUGCAACACCAGUAGUCACAACCUGCACCAAACCAAACAAACAGAGUUUGAUAUCUCCUGAAGCUACCUAGCAGUUUAGACAUCCACCACCUUUCCCACAAAGGAUCCAGAAGCAAUAACAAGACAAGCAGUUUAGCAAAUUCCUGGAAGGGCUGAAACAACUGCACAUAAAUAUACCUUUUGUGGAAGUUUUGGAGCAAAUGCCAAAUUAUGUGAAAUUUUUAAAAGAUAUCUUAGCAUGAAAAAGAAAGCUGAGAGAGUUUGAAACUGUUGCUUUAACACAGAAGAGCAGCCAUAUGCUCAAGAGUAAAAUUCUCACAAAAGUAAAAGAUCCAGGGAGUUUUACAAUACCCUGCGCUAUAGGAACUAGGUAUGCUGGCAAAGCACUUUGUGACUUGGGAGCUAAUAUUAAUUUGAUGCCAUUAUCUGUAUUUAAGCAGCUGGGAGUAGGGGAGUGCAGACCAACAACAGUCACUCUGCAAUUAGCUGAUAGAUCUCAUGCAUACCCUGAAGGAAAAAUAGAGGAUGUAUUGGUGAAGGUUGACAAAUUCAUUUUUCCAGUGGAUUUCAUUGUACUGGACUUUGAAGUUAAUAAAGAGGUACCCAUUGUAUUGGGAAGACCUUUUCUAGCAACUGGAAAGACUUUGAUAGAUGUGCAGAAAAGAGAGCUCACCAUGAGAGUGAAUGAUCAGCAAGUCACAUUUAAUGUCCUAGAGGCUAUGAGAAACCCCGAUGAAGUAGAAGAUUGCAAUUUCCUAAGUGCAGUGGAUUUUGUUGUAGCAAACAAAAUGGACAGAUGCUACAAUAAUGCACUUGACAAAGUCACCACCUUUGAAGAUGUUGCAGCAAUCCAAACAUAUUAGAUGGACAAACAGCAAUCUAAUAGGCACAACAUGUUUAUUGAACACCUGAAUGUUUCAGACAGGGAAGUAAAAACAACUUUACCAUCUAUUGAAUCACCUCCUAGUUUUGAAUUAAAACUGUUACCUUCACAUUUGAAGUAUGCAUAUCUUGGUCAAAACAACACACUCCCUGUAAUCAUUUCUUCUACUGUGGAUGCAGGUCAAGAACAGAGUCUAGUAGAUUUACUGGGAAAAUACAGAAGAGCAAUUGGAUGGACCAUGGCAGAUAUAAAGGGGAUAAGUCCAUCAAUAUGCAUGCAUAAAAUCCUGUUAGAAGAUUGUUCCAACAAUUCGGUGGAGCACUAGAGAAGGAUGAAUCCUAUUAUGAAAGAAGUGGUGAAGAAGGAAAUCAUCAAAUGGUUGGAUGCUGGAAUCAUAUACCCAAUAUCGGACAGUUCAUGGGUAAGCCCAGUUCAAUGUGUUCCAAAGAAAGGAGGGAUAACAGUAAUGGCUAAUGAAAAGAAUGAACUUAUUCCUACAAGGAUAGUGACUAGAUGGAGAGUGUGUAUGGAUUACAGGAAACUCAACAAAGCCACAAGGAAAGACCAUUUCCCACUUUCAUUCAUAAAUCAGAUGUUGGACAGACUUGCUGGAAAACAAUACUAUUGUUUCUUAGAUGGGUACUCAAGUUACAACCAUAUUGCUAUAGCUCUAGAAGAUCAAGAGAAUACUACAUUUACUUGUCCCUAUGGAACAUUUGCCUUCAGAAGAAUGUCAUUUGGGCUAUGCAAUGCUCUAGCAACUUUUCAGAGAUGCAUGAUGUCUAUAUUUUCUGAUAUGGUAGAGCAGACUUUGGAAGUUUUCAUGGAUGACUUCUCAGUUUUUGGAGAAACAUACAAUGAUUGUUUACACAACUUGGAAGAAGUUCUUAAAAGAUGUGAGAUGACCAACUUAGUACUCAAUUCGGAAAAGUGUCAUUUCAUGGUGCAAGAAGGAAUAGUGUUGGGUCACAAGAUAUCCAAGGAUGGUAUUGAGGUAGACAAAGCUAAGAUAGAGGUAAUAGAUAAACUGCCACCUCCAACUUCAGUAAAGGGAAUUAGGAGUUUUUUGGGCCGUGCUGGAUUCUACAGAAGAUUCAUUAAGCAUUUUUCCAAAGUAGCUAAACCACUGUGUUCAUUGCUGGAGCAUGACAAACCGUUUCACUUUGACAAAGAUUGCCUUCAAGCAUUUGGAGAAUUAAAGAAAGCUUUGAUCACUGCUCCAGUAGUUAUAUCUCCAGACUGGACUUUACCAUUUGAAUUGAUGUGUGAUACUAGUGAUCACUCUGUGGGGGCAGUAUUAGGGCAAAGAAAGGAUAAAGUUUUUCACUUCAUCUACUAUGCAAGAAAACUCUCACUCAAACUCAAAUCAAUUACACCACUACAGAGAAAGAGUUGCUAGUAGUAGUAUUUGCUUUUGACAAAUUCAGAGCCUACUUAGUAGGCACUAGAGUGACUGUAUAUACAGACCAUGCAGCAAUCAAAUACUUAAUUUCAAAGAAGGAUGCCAAGCCAAGAUUAAUUAGAUGGAUUUUAUUGCUUUAAGAAUUUGAUCUGGAAAUUAAAGAUAGAAAGGGGACUGAGAAUCAAGUAGCAGACCACCUGUCACGGCUGGAUGCAGACACAAGCACAUUGACCAGAAACGACAUCACUGAAACUUUUCCUGAUGAACAGCUGUUGGUAGUACAAUAAGCACAGAUGCUGCAGCAGUCAGAAUCUCCAUAGUAUGCAGAUUUUGCUAACUAUUUAGUAAGUGGGUUGCUACCACCUGAGCUAAAGUUUUAAGAGAAAAAGAAAUUUCUUCAUGAUGUUAGAAGUUAUCAGUGGGAUGACCCACAUUUAUAUAAGCUAUGCUCAGAUCAAGUAAUAAGAAGAUGUGUUGCAGCAGAAGAGAUACCCCAUAUACUGGAGUCAUGUCAUGCUGCAGCAUAUGGAGGACAUUUUGGUGGUCACAGAACAGCUGUCAAAGUUCUGCAAUUAGGUUAUUAUUGGCCCACUAUUUUUAAAGAUACUUAUGAAUUUGUUAAAUGUUGUGACAGGUGUCGAAGGACAGGGAACAUAAGUAGAAGACAUGAAAUGCCACUGACCAACAUCCUGGAAGUGGAAGUUUUUUAUGUCUGGAGAAUAGAUUUUAUGGGACCCUUCCCGCCAUCUUUUGGGAACUUAUAUAUCCUUGUUGCUGUGGAUUAUGUCUCCAAGUGGGUAGAAGCUGCAGCAUUACCUACCAAUGAUGCUAAAACAGUUGUGGCUUUUCUUCAGAAAAAUGUUUUCUCUAGGUUUGGCACUCCUAGAGCAAUUAUUAGUGAUGAGGGCACACAUUUUACAACAAAAUCUUUGCUGCAGCAAUGAUGAAAUAUGGAGUCAGGCUGAAGUGUCCAACAGAGAAAUUAAAAAGAUCUUAGAAAAAGUGGUGAAUCCAAUAAGGAAGGAUUGGUCUUUACACUUGCAUGACUCUCUAUGGGCCUACAGAACAGCAUACAAAACUCCACUCGGAAUGUCUCACUACCGAAUUGUUUAUGGCAAAGCUUGUCAUUUGCCACUAGAGCUAGAGCAUAAAGCACAUUGGGCACUGAAGAAAUUAAAUUGGGAUAUGCAUGCUGCAACAGAGCAAAGGAAACUUCAACUUUGUGAGCUUGAUUAAUUACAACUAUUUUCAUAUGAAAAUGCAAGAAUCUAUAAAGAGAGGACAAAACACUGGCACGACAAGCAUAUUCAGCACAGGAAAUUCAACCCUAGUCAAUUAGUGUUGCUCCACAAUACAAGACUAAGAUUAUUUUUGGGAAAGCUCAAGUUACGAUGGUCUAGCCCGUUUAAGUUGUUAAAAUCUUAUUCUCAUGGAGUUGUUGAUCUUCUAGAUGAACAAACAGGCCACGAAUUCAAAGUUAAUGGACACAGGGUUAAGCAUUACAUACAUCCAGCAGUAGAAUGUUCAAAGGAGAUGUUACUCCUUAAAGAACCCAGCUAUUGAACAAUGAAGGAAGGUCAGGCUGAAGGACCUUAAAUCAAGCGCUCCAUGGGAAGCAGCCCAUUUGGGAGACAACCACUUCAAACCAAUUUUGAUCUCCUUUGGUUUAGUUGACAGCUCUCCCUCCUUACCAUUUUAUUUAAUUUUGUUCUUUCAUUCUAGCUAUUUAAUUUUAUCUUUUCAAAUUAUUGCAUUCUUUAAUUUUGCUAUCAUUUAAUCUAUUUAUUUUUAAAUGUUAGAAUUAAUUUGAAUUUGUGGGAAGUAUGUGUAACAAUUGAAUUCCAUACUGACAAGUGAGGUUGUAUGGUGGCAGAGUAUAGAGGUGAGCCACGUGUCAGAGGCUUUAGUGUGGAGUAUGUACCGUUGCUAGAGUAAGCGAAUGGGUGCUGCAGCAACCAAUUUUACCGUUGCAAUAAAUUGAAAGAUGAAGCCUCUCACUUACCGUUGGAGAUAAAUCAUGACAGAUGGAGGCUUGGAUGUGGAUAGAAAUUGCAAAUAAAUCUCUGAAAUUAAUGCCUUAAAUUACCUAGCCGAUGUUUUUGGGAUACGCGCUUUAAAUUAAAAAAUAUUUUCUUCCCUCAUUUAUCUUUAGUUACCGUAUUUAUCUCCAAUUAAAAGUCCACUAUAAAAAAGUCAUUGUACUUAGUGCUCUACACCACUAUUCCCCAUCUCCUUCGCAAAUCCAACUCUCCUAAUUCUUAGCCUCUUCUUCUCUUUUUACUCUCAGGAACAGUAGACUAAAUUUGUUACUGCUACAGUAAUGCCGAGAUAUAAGAAAACAGCAAGCCGCCUCAAAGAUCCGUCACGAUUCUAAAGUUACCACGCCGAAAAAAAAUAUGAAGAAUUCAUAGAGCCGCGUAGGAUUCUGGAAGAAAAAAGGUUUCAAUUUCCAGACCAACUCACGGGAAUUGUGCAAACAAUUCAUAAUGCUGCAGCAAAGCGAGGAUGGCUAGAGUUUUACAAACACCCUCGGGAUCCUGUGCUGCCUGUAGUAAAAGAAUUUUACGCCAAUUUGGUAAGCCCUGAUCAGCACAACAUUUGGAUAAGAAAUACACUUGUCCCAUUAGACUCUCGUGUUAUCAAUGCUUUUUAUAACUUACCUGCUGAAAUUACUUGUGAGUAUGCUAAGUUGCGUGAUAAGUUAACCCCGAAAAAGUGGAACACCAUUUUUACAACUCUUACAAUCGAAAGAGCAUCAUGGGCUAACAAGGAAGGGCGUGUAGUUAAUAGGAUAGAUUUGAAACCUAUUGCUAAGAUGUGGGUGAAAUUUCUGAAAUCUAGGCUUAUGCCCACCACUCACACUACUACAGUUUUGCAAGAAAGGUUGGUCUUGUUAUAUGUCAUAGUUCGCGGGCUUCCCAUAGAUGUGGGUAGCAUCAUCGCAAAAGAAAUCCGAGAUUGUGCAGUCAAGACUCACCGAACUGCUGCUUUGCUAUUUCCAUCACUCGUUACUAGCAUUUGUGUAGUUUCAGGUGUUCAUCUUGACGCCAGAGAUGACCAUGUCAAUAAUGAUGGUGCCUUUACGGCAUGAACCAUUGAGAGAGUUGCUGGUGAGAGUGCUGGAACAACCACUGAACCAGCUGCUGAGACAGGAGCAAGAUGAGCUAUUGGCUUAGAAAAGACCAUCCAGGCACUCAGCACAAGUAUAACUCAAUGUACGGAACCACAGCAGUGGGAAAACGAUCGAUUUUGGAGCUAUCUCCAGCACCUGGACAACCAACUACACCAAUUUUCUCUGUACAUGAAACGCACUCACCGGAACUUCCUUGAUGCACUGCUCCAGCAGUACAAUUUUGACACCAACACCACAAAUGCAUCAACAGAGGCUAGUGCAGAAGCCACUGCCACAGAGGAACCAGCAGAAGAUGCUACAGCCGAACCUCAAGCAGAGGAAGAAUCAGAAGAUGCUGAACCAUCUGAUUAGCCUGAGGAAGAAGGUGACAAGUCUGAGAUUGAUAGCUCACCUACAGAGGAAGAAGACAACUCGGAGAAAGACCGUGAGGAACCAACCAUCCUAACCCAGCCCAAAACCAGAAAAAAAAAAAGCACGUUAUUCAAGAAAAUGAGGAGGAAGACCUUGAAGAGGAGCCGUAUAUUCCAGUCCUUGCAGGCAAGAGAAAGGACAAGGGUAAAGCAAAAAUGGCAACAACUCCAGCCUCUGAAGAUGAGAUGGAGCAAGUCGAUGCUAAGCUGGCUGCUGCAGCAGCCAGAGCUAUGCCUACACCUAAGCAAGCUAAGCAACUACUUGCGGUUAUUGCUGCCAUCACAACUGAGGGCCAGGCAGCUGAUGCAUUAACUCAACAACCUCCACAGCAAACUCCUAGCCAGCCUAUUCGCACAAGUCCAAGACAAUCCAGCAAACAAAAAGGCAGUACGUCUACAAGUACUUCUACAGCAACCCCAGCCACAACUCCUCUCACCAGCCGCGCAGUGAAAAAGACAAAGACAUUGCCAGCUACUUCCCCAAAAGCUUCACCAAAGGAUGAGCUGCGCAGUGCAUCCAAGAAGUGCUGAUAGCAUCCCGUCAUGCACUCCAGUCCCCACCACAGGGGAGUACUCUAUCCUUACUAGUUCAUAUUUAAAAAAAAAAAAUUAUGUUUGUCAAUUUGUAUGCCUUUGUUAUGUAUGCUUGUGAGGACACAGCAUCUCUCAAGUUUGGGGGGAUUGUGUCCGAAUGCAUGUGUUUAUGUAUGUGUUUAUGUUUGUGUUGUGUGAAGCUCUGUUAUCUGUUAUUUGUGUAUGGAUUUGAAAACCUAAUAAAGAUAAAUUGAGUGUUAUUCAGUAUUUAUGAGAAUGCCAAGUAGAGAUAGUUAUAGAUAGAAGUGAAAUUAUGUCCCAACACUUAGACUUUGGUUGAAUUGUAUGAGACUGUUAGAGCAAAGCCAAAAGAAUAGAAAAUAUCUUAAGUUUGAAGGGAGAAGCAAGUUGAUUGACUGUGAUAUUUAUGAGAUAAAACUCUACUCCAAUGGCUCAAGUUGCUGAGUAACCAAAUCUGAGUAUGUACCCCAUAUGCAGAAUUGUGUAAAAGGUAGCAAGAGUUAUGAGCAAUGCUGUAGCAAAUAAAAAAAAAAGUCCUAUGUCUAAGGCAUUGAGUAGUCAGGUCUGUUCAUGAACCCCAUGUUCAGCCUUGAGUAAAAGAUACCUUUAGAUGAGAUUAUACCGCAAAUAUUGCUGCAGCAACUCUGAUCUGGGCAUGGUUUAAGUAAUUGGGUGUCAUCAUUACAAGUGAUUGACAUUCACAUGAAAGAUAAAUGUUACAGUAAGGAGGUUGAUUACUCCCCAGUUUAUCAAUGUAAAACAAUCACAGUUUGAAUAUGUGAAAUUUAUGCUACCCCAUUUAUGAAUGAAGUAUAUCACUGCUGAAAUUUAUGCAGUCCUUUGGUGAUGUUACAGCAUAUCUGGAAUUCAAUCAAAGGAAGCACACACACACAAUGGACAGAAAGAAGCUUAAGUCUAGAACUGAUUUACUAUGGCAUUUUGUAUGAUUGGGAUUGUGAUCUGAAGGUGGAAGAAUCCUUGCAAAUUUGAUAAAAGAGCUAAAGUUGUGUGCAUGUUUGUUUGCGGAAAAUGUUAGUAUGUGUCAUUACUUGAAGGCAAGUAAUGGUUUAAGUUUGGGGGUGUGAUAACUCUAAGAAAUGAGAGUUAUUACAUCAAUUCUAGACUUGAAUCAGGAUCAUUUAGAGAACAAAUAAGGUGUUUUUAUUACAUUUUGCUUAAACAUUCAUUUUAGUUGAGUAUUAAUAAGUUUUGCUUGAAUUAUAGUAAUUUGUACUAAAAACAUAUGCAUAAUUGUAGGUUCUUGGAAAGUCUUAAUUCAUGAGGGGAUGUCGAGGCAUUAGAUGAGCAAGAGGAGGAAAGAAGACGGUCAUAAAAGAAGAAAAGCACAAUCGGGAGUAAUGCAGUGCUGUUGUGGAUGUUAGAGCAACCCGUGCUAUAGCAAUCUAGAAGUAAAUGUCGGAGAAAACUUAGGCUCAGGUCAGCACAUGUUUCCUAAUUUAACGCACGCACGCUCAUGGGCUUGUGUUUACCCUAAUUUGCAAUAUAAAAUGGAGGCAAUACCACAAAGAAAUGCGGCAAGGAAAUUAUCAUUAGAAUAAUCACAAAGGAACGAAGAAGGAGAAGAUCAGAAUUGAAGAGUGUUGUUUUGGUAACAUUGGAGAAUCGUGCAGAAUUACUUGGCUUUGAUUUUCACCGUGCUCAACUUAUAUUUAUCUUCUUCUUUUAAUUGUUUUGAUGUAUUCCGAGAUCAAUAUAUUUAUGAUUAUUUUUGUCAUCCAGAUUAUGAACUAAAUUUACUUGUAGUUGAGUGACAAAUAAUCCAAUGGGUUCUUGACUGUUCUUAUAUGUUGUUAUGUUAAUGCUGUAGCAUUUUACUCUAGUAGUUUUUAUGAGUAUAACUGUUAUUUAGGUUGACCACCCAUUUAAUAGUUUCAGUUAAGAUAGAGCAGCAAAAGGGCAUGUCUUAGCGGACAUUAUUAGAGUAUUACUUGUUCUUAAGUCGAGUUUCCUGGAUUAGGUUAUCUUGAAUCCCAUAAGGGCAGUACUUGAAGUUAAGAUUUGUGACACUCUAGACAUAGGUGUUCACCUUGUAGGGUAGAGAGAUUAAAGGAUAUAAUGACGUACCAUAAAUAUAUGAGCAACUGGUCAUUGUUAGUAGAUUUAAAGGUAUGAGAUUUCUAACAUGCGAUAGCUGAGGAUGCAGAUUUAUUCUGCCCAGUGCUGCAGCACUUAUUGUAACAACUGGUGCUAAUUUGGUAAACAACAAUCACCCCAUUAGGAGAGUUUGAUCAUUCAACUACUAUAUUCUCAAUUGAAUCUUAGACACAGUUAACUUAGUUUAUUUCAUUACAGUAUUGUUUUAUUUCUAUCUCUCGCAAUUAUUAACUACGAUAGAAUUAUUUGACAAUUGUUUGUUUCGGUUUUAGUUAAUUUGCACUAUUGUGAUUGCUUUAGCAUUUUGAGUAACAUCAAUCCCUGUGAAGACGAUCUUGAAUAUUCAUCACUUUAUUACUUAUUGUGUAUACUUGCACAUUGGCAUUGGUAGUAAUUGAUUAUAAAAAUAAAUCAACAGGGAGAUAAGGAGAUGCUUCCAGUAAGUUGAUUGUAAGAAACAUCUAAUAUUCGGAGGGAUGUCAUAUUUGCCAAGCACCAAGGCAAGCUACCUCUUAAAUCAUUGCUUGCAAUGUACAACUCUUGUAGAUGCACCAACGAACAGAGGCCUGAAAAUUUAUUAAUUCAACCAUUGGUACAAUAAAACAAUUAACAAAUGCAUAACAUUCUUUUAUAAGUGAUUGGUUUGUGUAAUUAUAUUUUUAAUUGAAAAUUAAAAUUAUAGAUCAAGAGGGGAGGGUGGGAGCAUCUGAUUAACCUUGAUCAAGAAUCAUGCUGCUGUUAAUGCCAAUAGUAGAACCUGACAGUGAUAAGUACUUGAGAGAAGACAUCGAUUCACCGAUGCUUUGAAGAAAGCUGGUGUUGAGUGCACUGCGCAUGAAUUCCAUGUCCAAAUGUUCCAAACUCUUGAAAUGAGGAAAGCCUAGCAAAAACAAUAAAAUAAAUAAAUAAAAAUGUUGAACACUUAAGACGACAUUGAGUUCACAAUCAACACUUUUCUUUUACCUUGACCACGUACGACACCAUUGACUUCACAACCAAUCACCGACAGAUUUUUUAACGAAGGGAAUAUUGAUGCAAUGCUUUACAGAAGGCUUAUAUGGAGAGGGGAAUCGUUCAAUUUCAAAUAUUCCAAGUUGGUGAAAUUGUGCAACUCUGUUUCGAAGCAAUAAUUUUAGCUUUAUUAACAAUACGGAAAAAUAAUUAAUUAUUUAACAGUUUAUUUAUAAAUUUGGCCACAUAUGUACCGUUUAUUAAUAAUAUGGAUAAUUAAUUAAUUAAUUAGCUGCUUAUUUAUAAAUUUGGCCACAUUUGUACCUUUUACUUACCUUGAGUAGUAAUUGUCACUGUUUCCGUAAAAUUAUUAGACGAAAGGUAAAGAUUGUUGAGGGAUGGGAAUGAUCCCAUUGACUGUAACAACUUGCUUCCAUCUCUAACUCCAACUCUCGAUAGAUCAAGGCUUUUCAACUUCCUCAAACCGCUGUAACCUAUUUAAUAACAAUAAUUAGGAUAGGAUUUAAGAAAAUCAAAAUUCAUUGUCUAAAUUUAGAGCUAAACGAAAUAACUGAUUAAUUUAAUUAGGAGUCAAUUUGUAUUUUAUGCUUUGGGCAAAGAUCAGUAUCAUUUUUCAAUCGCUGCAAAGAUUAAAAAAUUAAAAUGAAAUCUUUAUUACAUUUUGUUUUUGAAAUAAUAAUAUUACGUCCUAUUUUUGAAAUAAUAUAAAUUCUAUGUUUCUUUAUUUUUAUUUUUAUUUUUUUGUACCUUUUGGGCCUUCCCUAAUCAAAUGAAUAAAAUUUAUGUAAUUGAAUAAUAUUUUAAAUGUUUACCUUGAGGAACCACAAGAUUGUUGAUUUCAUUGAAGCUCAUGUCCAACAAUUCUAAGUUGUUGAAGGAAUUGAAUUCUGCAAACAUAAACAGACUUAAGACUUAAAACAGAGUAAAUUAAUUAAUAAAUUUAAAGAAAUUAAAACGUCAUUAGAAUUUCGUCUAAACCAAACCAAAUAGUAUUUAAUUAAUUGAUUGAAAAAGUAUGCUUACUUUGUAUGUAAUUCCUUCAGGCUAAUCAAAUUAAAUAUUAAAUUAUGUCGAUAAUACAGAAGUCUAGCUGGCAUAUAUAAAAUGAGAAAGCAGGGCUUAGACUUACCUCGAACAUUGAAUGUUCCUUUGAAUCUCGUACCACUUAAACUAAGAGACUUCAAUUUACUCAAACCUGUAAAAUAAUAAACCAAAUGGCAAAGAAUCCAGCUAAUUUGUAUAAGUUAGCAUUUUUUAUGGUAUUUGUAGUACCUUUUGAGACCACAAAUUUGUCAAUCUUGUUCCCGCCAAUGUCUAGCUCCUCUAAAUCUCUCAAAGAAUCUAAUUCUGUAAUAAGUACAAAUUGAGUUGAAUGUUUCAAACCUCACCAAAUAAUAAUAAUAAUAAUAAUAAUAAGUUGUGGAGGUGUUUGGUUCACUAUUGGAGUUUUUUUUUAAUCUUAAAUUCAAGACAUAUGAAAGUACAAGAUGAAAUUACGAGAAACAUAAAAACUUGUAUUUAUAAAUUGCUUAAAACUGUUUUUUUUAAUAUUAAUCAUAAAAAAAUUGAAUUCAAAGCCUUGAAUCUUAUUUUAGCAAGUUAAUGAAAGAACUUGAAGUUUUAAUUAUGUACCUUUAACGUCAAUACUUCCUUCCAAUCUAUUCCAAAAUAAAUUUAAUGAUCUUAAUGGUGAAAGAUGAGUUAGAGAUGAUAAAAUGCUAUUAUUGAAUGAGUUUCCACUUAAAUUAAGCAUCUUCAAGUUGUUCAAUCUUGAUAGCCUCUCUAUACCUGCAAGUAAAAUAAAAAAAAGAUCAUAGAUACUGGUGUAAUUUCAAAAUUAAUCAUUUAAAAAAAAAGUCAAAAUUGUCGACUAAAUGAAUAUGCAUAUAAUUGCUCGGUCUUGAUAUUCAACUUAAAUUAGGGGGGAGAAAGUAAAUUAAUUAAAUUAAACGAAGCACCUUCAUUCUCAACACAACUGGCUAUUUUGUUGUCAGUUAAAUCAAGUGACUCAAGUUGUUGGAAGGGAGUAAACAAAGAAGCAUUCAGAUACCAGUACUCUCCCCCAUACGUGUCAGAAAGGUCUAGCGCUAUCACUCGGCUCAUGGUGUUGCUGCACUCAACCCUUUCCCACUGACAACAAUCAGUAGCUCCCUCACCAUCUCCCCAGUCGUAAAGAAAAUUAUAAGGAUCAUUGAGGAAAUGUUUGAGUCGCAAAAGAGCAAAUCUCUCAUGAUCCAAACAUCCCUCACUUCACCCACCUUCAAAUAUUAUUAAUAACAAAACAAACAUUAUCACCAUUUUUUUAUUUUGAACCACCCAUUCUAACUAUAUCUUUAAGUUUUAAAAAACACACACACUCUUUCUAUCUUUGUAACCAACCAGAGGACUAUACGCCAUUUGCUUAUAACGCAUGUAACUAUUUAUACACCCAACUAGCUUAUAGUUGACUUUUUUAGUUGUUUCUCCAAGUCCUUCAUGCAUUAAUUUUCUUCCCUUUUUUUUUCAUCUUUGUCAUUUUGCUAUAAUUUGCAACAGCAACGCGUUUUGAGCUAGCAAUAAAUAAUAAUUGAGAGAGAUUGAGAUGACAAAUGGAUAGAAACUAAAAGUAUGGGUGUUUAAUACGAGAACGAUUAUACCCGUUUAUUAUAUUUCAACCUAAAAAUUUACUCUAAGCAUUUAUAAUAAAUAAAAAUAUGAUAAUAAAAAUAAUAAAAAAAUAUGAAUAAUAUAUAUUUGUAAAAAAAAAAGAUUUAUGUGUCCAUUUUGAAAAUUAGCGAGUAUAUGUAAAUAUAAUUAUCAAAACAAACCAUAGAAGUGUUGUUAUUUUUUCCUUUCAAAAAAUCCACCAUUAUAAAAAAAGCCCAAAGACUUUGACAUCUUUUAGGAGUCUUUGGGCCUUGUUUUUUUCCCUCUUUUUCUUUCAUUUGCAUUUUGAUCCACAAGGCCAAAAAUUAAAUUCCACACCUUUGGCAUUUUGUGGAGAUUACAUUUCCAUGUUUUUACUUAGAAAGUAGGUGGAGACGUGGAGUCAAUGCGGCCAAGUGCUCAAUUAUUGUUAGUUAGCAAAAUAGAAUUUUUGGCGAGAUGAAUUUGUUGUAAAAAAGUUUUUGGAAAAAAUAAUAAUCAUCGGAACUUGUCUUGUGUCUUUAUAACAAUUUACUACUGCGAAAUCUUUACAACUUCACAUCUUUGAUUCAAUUAUCGCCACAAAGGCACAAGUACGUCCAUUUGUAAACCAAUCGAUAGAGAUCAAAUUUCAAGCCAUGAACUUGUAUUGUCAGCAAACACCUAAUCACUUUAGAUAUUUGUAUCGUUUAAUUAAUUAAUGAUCACUCUGAAAUUACAGAGGUUGGCCGAAUAUUCCCCUAAAAUUAAUUAAUUUUACCGAAAGGGAAUUAUUAGACAGAUCAAGUGUGUCUAGUUUUUUUGUUGUUUUGUAACAAUCAAUUUGGAAACUCUUCACUCAAGUUAGCAUCUUAGAGAUCAAGAUAAACAAACUCCUAGUGAUGCUAAUGGAAGAGGAAUUUAUAAGAGGAGAAGAGAGAGUAAUUAUGCUUGAUCAAGAAAGGUACCAUUAAAUCUAGAAUAUGACAAUUAAUGGUAGAAAAAUUAACAAGCAUGUAAUCCACGAUCAAAGAUUUUAAAUCCUUGAAAUUUAGAUAACCUAAAAAUUAACAUUGAACAAGAAAUAAAUCAACACUGCCACUUUGAUCACAUAAUCGAUGAAACUUAGGAUAUAUAAUCAACACCUGUUUAUUUUACUAUUGAAUUACUAUUUUUUCUGUAUUAUUUGAAUAAGGGAAUUGAUUUGGAGAAACUCUCACUAUAAUUGAUGAAAAUCAAGAUAUAAUCAAUACAUAUUCAUUUUAUUUUUAAAUUAAUACUUUUCCAUUAUUAUUUGAAGAAGGGAAUUGGUCUCAAAAAAUCUUAUUGUAAUAUAUGUAACUUAAACUUUUUUUUUCUGAAAUAAAAAUUAACUUUUAAGAAGGCUUCAAAUAUGGAGAGGGGACCAGUCCAUUAAUGUCAAUUCUUCCAAGUUAGUGACAUUGUGCAGCUUUAUUUGAUUAGAAGGUGCAACAUCUUUAGCUUUAACAUAUCUUAUUCUUUAAGACUAUUAAAACUUUUAAAUUAUGUCCACAUGCCCACCCUAUAAGAUCCACAAAAGUAGCAGAUAAAAUGGAAGAAGUACGCUAAGGGGCUGUUUGAUUUUAGUUGUGGCUUACACAGCACGAAAUUACACCAAAAAUGCCCCGACCAGAUUUAAUAAAACAAAUGUACUCUUACUCAGUUUAUUAUUUAUUUUUACAUAGAUAUAUUUUCUUUUUUUUCUUUUUUUUUCUUUUUCAACUUAGAAAAGAGAAUUAGGGGACAGAUCAAGUGUGUCUGAUUUUGCGUUGCUUUCUAGCAAUCAACUUGGAAACUUUCCACUCAAGUUAACAUGUGAGAGCUGAUGGAAGAGGAAUUUGAAAAAUCGUGACUCUAAUUUUGCAUAUAUUUGAUUAUUUCAACACUUGAUUGGUUUUGAAUGGUCCAAGAAUGGGCAAGUGACAAUGAGACUUGGAAGUGAUAGUUUGAAAAAGUGAGAUCUUCAAUUGAUAUUAGAUAAAUGAGAGUAGACUAGGAUAUAUUUCCAGUAAGCUUAUGGAGAGAGACAUAUCAAACUUGAAGUAAGAAGUCAUAUUUUCCAAGCACCAAAGACAAUUUAUUGUACCCGGAAUAUAAUUAUGGUCAAUAAAACAAAAAACUCUUGCAGAUUCAUCAACUGAUUGGGUUGAAAACAUAAUUCAUCCUUUAGCUAAUAACAAUUAAUGAACGCAUAAAAUCUUAUAUCUUUUAACAUAAAUGUUAAAUAUUAAUUUUAUUAAUAGUCGCAACCUUAUGCAGGCAUAAUUUGGUCAUGAAAACAAUAAAUCUAUCCGUUCUUAAAGGCUAUUAACUAUAACAAAAAAUCAAUUAAUAUAAUUUUUAUAAGAGGAGAAGAGAGACUAAGUAUCCUUCAUCAAGAAAUGUACCAUUAAGUCUAGAAUAUGAUAGUCAAUGGCGGAAAAAUUAACAUGCGCAUAAUUUAUGAUCAAAUAUUAUAAAUCCUUGAAAUUUAACAAGUCAUUUCAUUAAAAUAUGGAUCACCUUCCACACAUUUUAGAAAUCUUAUCAUUUUUUUUCUUUUUUCAUUAAAUUAUGUUUUGGUCCACACAACCGAAAAUUAAAUUCCACGCAUUUUGCAUUUAGUGGAAUUCUAUGUAUUUUUUAAUUUUACAAAACUUUAGUCGGUGGAGUCAAUGGGGCUAGAAAUUCAUUGAAGGGUCCCGAGAAUCAAAGGUGCUUACUCAAUUAUUAUUUGUAAAGUUGUAGACUUGUAGGGCAGCUACCGGAGUCCACACGUUGUAAUGUUUUGUUCACUAUCAAUCUCAUUGUUGGUCGUUUCCAACACGCUCAAGAAUCCAAUUCUGCAUAAACACAUAAAAUUAAAGACUUAAAACAGAGUUUAAGUAAUUAAUAAUUUAACUGGAAACAAAUUAAAAAGGAGAAUUUAAUUAUUGAAUUCCACAUUGUGCUAUUGAAAAUUAAAAAAAAAAAUUGUUGUCACCUCAGUCAAUUAGAUAAUCACUACAAAUAGUUCUUUAUGUAGAUGAUAUUCUUCUAAUUGGAAAUGAUAUAGGAAUAUUGACUACAAUAAAGAGUUGGUUAGCAAAACAAUUUGAUAUGAAAGAAAGACAUGAGAGAAGCAAGUUAUAUUCUUGGUAUCAAAUUACUACGAGACCGGAAGAAUAAAACUUUAGCCUUGGCUCAAGUGGUCUAUAUCGACAAGAUAUUGGUUAGAUUUAGCAUAGAAAAUUCCAAGACUGGUUUAUUACCAUUUAGACAUGGAAUUGUAUUCUCUAAGGACCAAUCACCUAAAACAUCUAAAGAGAUGGAGAAAAUGAGACGAGUUCCCUAUGCAGAAGUUGUGGGAAGUCCCAUGUAUGUCAUGCUUUGCACUAGGCUAGACAUCUGUUUUGUGGUAGGAAUGGUUAGCAGAUAUCAAAUCCUGGACCUGAACACUAGACUGUAAUCAAGCAUAUAAUGAAGUAUCUUAAAAAAACUAAAACUUAUAUGCUUGUGUAUUCUAGUGAUGAACUCAUUCCAGUGGAUUCUAGAAAAUCAACUUUCGGCUAUAUGUUUACAUUAGGAAGUGGAGCUAUUAAUUGGAGGAGUGUGAAACAAUUUGUAUCACAGACUCCACAACUGAAGCUGAAUAUGUGGAUGCAUCUGAAGCUGCAAAAGAAGUUGUAUGGCUUUGCAAGUUCCUACAAAAUCUUAAGGUGGUACCUGUUGUAACUGCACCCCUUAAACUAUUUUGUGAUUAUGGUGGUGCAGUAGCUCAAUCUAAGGAACCACAAGAAACAAAAACAUAUUGAGAGGAAACAUCAUCUUAUAAGGGAAUAGUAUAGAAAGACUAUAUGACAGUACCCCAAAUGACAUUAGAUGCUUUAUGGUAGAUUUUAUUACAAUGGCCAUUAGUGGGAAACCUUUAUAACCUGCACUUAGAGCCCCUAGAGCAUGUGCAAUAUGCCAGAUAUGCUUUAAAGAGCUAGUGGGAGAUUGUUGGGAUUAUGUGCUCUUUUAAAAGUAUUAUUAAUUUAUUUUCUGAUUAAUAAAAUAUUUGAGAUAUUUCAAUUGCAUAAAUAUAUUGAAUAAGGUCCGUUUAAUCAUAUUAUAUUUUCUCUUGCUAGUUGCUUUUAGUAGUGAUAAAAGCACCCACACGUCAAGUGCAGAUCAAACUUGAGUCAUAACCCAGAAGAUUAUUUGGUGACAGAUCGUGAUCUAACAAGCGUGGUGGUGACAGAUCGUGAUCUAACAGGCGUGAUGGUGACGGAUCAUGAUCUGGGAAGCCUGGAUUAAUUUCAAUUGUUCAUCUUCUCAGUUGCACUCAAUGUGUAUUAGAAUCCACGAAGGUCCGAUCCNNNNNNNNNNNNNNNNNNNNNNNNNNNNNNNNNNNNNNNNNNNNNNNNNNNNNNNNNNNNNNNNNNNNNNNNNNNNNNNNNNNNNNNNNNNNNNNNNNNNAACGUAGAACCCUGUAGUUGGUUGCAGAGAUAGAAAGAGUGAGUGUGUUUUCCAUAGUUAAAGAUAUAGUUAGAAUGGAUAGUUCAAAAUCAAAAAUGGUGAUAAUGUUUGUUCUGUUAUUAAUUAAAUUUGAAGGUGGGUGGAGUGAGGGAUGUUUGGAUCAUGAGAUAUUUGCUCUUUUUCGACUCAAAUAUUUCUUCAAUGAUCUUCAUGAUUGGGUAGAUGAUGAGGGAGCUACUGAUUGUUGUCAAUGGGUAAGGGUUGAAUGCAACAACACCACAGAUCGAGUGAUAGCACUAGACCUUUCUGAUACUAGGAAUUGGGAUUUGGGAGAGUGGUAUCUGAAUGCUUCUUUGUUUACUCCCUUUCAACAACUUGAGUCACUUGAUUUAAGUUGGAACAAAAUAGCCGGUUGUGUUGAGAAUGAAGGUGAAUUUACUUCUCCCUCCUAAUUUAAGUGGAAUAUCAAGACUGAGCAACUAUAUGCAUAUCGAUUCAGUUGACAAUUCUGACAUUUUUUUUAAGUGAAUAAUUAAUUUUGAAAUCACACAAGUAUCUAUAAUCCUUUUUUAUUUUACUUGCAGGUCUAGAGAGGCUAUCAAAAUUGAACAAUUUGAAGAUGCUUGAUUUAAGUGAAAACUUGUUCGACAAUAGCAUCUUAUCAUUUGUAGGUCGUCUUUCAUCAUUACGAUCAUUAAAAUUAUCUUACAAUAGAUUGGAAGGAAGUAUUGAUGUUAAAGGUACAUAAUUAAAACUUUAUCUCUUCUCCAAGCUCUUUCAUUAACUUGCUAAAAUAAGAUUCAAGGUUUUGAAUUCAAUUUUUUAAUGAUUAAUAUUUUAAAAAAAUAGUUUUUAGCAAUUCAUAAAUACAAGUUCUAGUGUUUCUCAUAAUUUCAUCUUGUACUUUCAUAUGUAUUGUAUUUAAGAUGAAAAAAAAAUUCUAAUUGCGAACCGCACACCCCCACAACUUAUUUUUUUGUGAGGUUUGAAACAUUCAACUCAAUUUGUACUCUUUACAGAAUUAGAUUCUUUGAGAGAUUUAGAGGAGCUAGAUAUUGGCUGGAACAAGAUUGACAAAUUUGUGGUCUCAAAAGGUACUACAAAUACCAUAAAAAAUAUAAACUUUUACAAAUUAGCUGGAUUCUUUGCCAUUUGUUUUAUUAUUUCGUAGGUUUGAGGAAGUUGAAGUAUCUCGGUUUAAGUGGCAACAAACUCAAUCAUAGCAUCUUAUCUUCUCUGACUAUCUUUUCUUUGUUAAGAGAAUUAUAUCUACGUGAUACGGGAUUCAAAGGAACAUUUGAUGUUCGAGGUAAGCCUAAGCCUUGCUUUCUCAUUUUAUAUAUGUCAGCUAGACUUGUGUAUCAUCGACAUAAUUUAAUAUUUAAUUUGAUUAGUCUGAAGGAAUUACAUGCUAAUUUAAACAAACUUUUAUUUACCCUGUCAAUCAUUAAUUAAACACUAUUUGGUUUGGUUUAAACCUACUUUUUUAUUUUAUAUGCUAGCUAGACUUAGAUACUAACUAUUUUGAUGAGUCUGAAGGAAUUAGAUACUAACUAAACAUACUUUUAUGUACUCCCUCAAUUAAUUAAUUAAUUAUUUCACUUGGUUUGGACGAAAUUCUCAUGAUGCUUUAAUUUCUUUAAAGUUAUUAAUUAAUUAAUUCUGUUUUUAAGUCUUAAGUCUGGGUAUGUUUGUAGAAUUCAAUUCCUUCAAUAACUUAGAAGCGUUGGACAUGAGCAACAACGAAAUCGACAAUCUUGUGGUUCCUCAAGGUAAACAAUUAAAAUAUUAUUCAAUUACAUAAAUUUAAUUCAUUUGAUCAGGGAAGACGCAAAAGGUACAAAAAUAAUAAUAAUAAAAUAAAGAAACAGAGAAUUUAUAUUAUUUCAAAAACAGGACGUACUAGUUAUUUCAAAAACAGAAUGUAAUAAAGAUUUGAUUCCAGUACUUUAAUCUUUACAGUGAUUGAAAAACGAUACUAAUCCUUUCCCAAAGUAUAAAAUACGAAUUGACUCCCAAUUAAAUUAAUCAUUUAUUUAGUUCAUCUCUAAAUUUAAACAAUGAAUUUUGAUCUUCAAUCCUAUUCUAAUUACAAUUAAAAAACAGGUUAUAGAGGUUUAAGGAAUUUGAAAAGCCUUGAUCUAUCAGAAGUCGGAAUUAGAGAUGGAAGUAAUUUGUUACGGUCAAUGGGAUCAUUCCCAUCCCUCAACACUCUUUACUUGACUUCUAAUAAUUUUAUCGAUACAACGUCAGGUACAGAUGUGUCCAAAUUUAUAAAUAGGCUGUUAAUUAAUUAAUUAAUUUUCUGUAUUGUUGAAAAAGCUAAAUUUGUUGCUUCGAAACAGAGUUGCACAAUUUCACCAACUUGGAAUAUUUGGCAUUGGACUCUUCCUCUCUCCAUAUAAGCCUUUUACAAAGCAUUGCAUCAUUCACUUCGUUAAAAAUAUUGACGAUGACUAAUUGCGAAGUCAAUGGCGUCCUAAGUGGUCAAGGUAAAAGAAAAGUGUUGAUUAUAAAUAAACUAUUAAUUAAUUAAUUAAUUUUCCGUAUUAUUGAUAAAGCUAAAUUUGUUGAUCCUUCCUUUUAAUUCUAAACAGAGUUGCACAAUUUCGCCAACUUGGAAUAUCUGGCAUUGGACUUUUCCUCCCUCCAUACAAGCCUUCUGCAAAGCAUUGCAUCAUUCACUUCGUUAAAAAAAUUGUCGAUGACUAAUUGUGAAGUCAAUGGUGUUCUAAGUGGUCAAGGUAAAAGAAAAGUGUUGAUUAUGAAUAAGCUGUUAAUUAAUUAAUGUUGUUGCUCCUUGCUUCUAAAAUGAGUUGCGCAAUUUCACCAACUUGGAAUAUUUGAAUUGGACUCUUCCUCGCUCCAUAUAAGCCUUCUGCAUCUGCAAUUGCUUGAAGAAUUUAUUUAUUUAUUUAUUAUUGUUGUUGUUGUUGUUGAAAUGGGGUGGGCAAGCGUUCACUCAGUUAAUAUGUGGUGAAUUAAAUAUUACAAUCCAAGUUAGAAUUGUGGAAAAUUAAAGCAAAAUGAGAAAUAUGGACAGAAAGGAAGAAAGUUAAGGGCAUGAAAGACUAGGAGAAGACUGAAGACCACCAAAUAAGUCAAUUGAAAACUAGCUGGGGCUUGGGUGUACAAAUUGUUAGAAGUGUUUGUUAUAAAUCACAUAGAGCCCUCUUGUUGGUUGCAGAGCCAAAGAGACAAAGAGUGUGCAUUUUAUUAAUUAAAAAAAUAUAUAGAAUGGGUGGUUUAAAAUCCAAAUGGUGAUAAUGUUAGUUUUGUUAGUAUUAAUAAUAUUAGAAGGGGGUAGCGUGAGGGAUGUUUGGUGCAUGAGAGAUUUGCUCUUUCGAGACUUAAAAAAUUUCUUCAAUUCUCCUUAUAAUUUUUGUCACGACUGACCAUUGUCAAUGGGAUGGGGCUGGGUGCAGCAACACCACAGGGCGAGUGGUAUCUGAAUGUUUCUUAGUUUACUCUUUUUCAACAAAUUGAGUGGGUUAAUUUAAGUUGGAACAAUAUAGUUGGUAGUGUUGAGAAUGAAGGUGUUUCGUUUAAUUUAAUACUUUCUCCCUCCUAAUUUAAGUCGAAUAUCAGGAUUGAGCAACUAUAUGUAUCUUUAUUCAGUUGACAAUUUUGACAUAUUUUUUUAAAUGAUUAAUUUUGAAAUUACAUCAAACUGAUGUGAUCUCUGUUUUGAUUUUACUUGCAGCACUAGAGACGCUCUCAAGAUUAACCAACUUGAAGAUGCUUGAUUUAAGAGGAAACUUGUUCAAUAAUAGCAUUUUAUCAUCUCUAGCUCAUCUUUCAUCAUUAACAUCAUUAGAUUUAUCUGAGAAUAAAUUGGAAGGAAGUAUUAAUGUUAAAGGUACGUAAUUAAAAUGUCAUCGCUUCUCCCAACUCUUUCAUUAACAUGCUAAAAUAAGAUUCAAGGCUUUGAAUUCAAUUUUUUUUAAUGAGUAAUAUUAGAAAAAUAGUUUUAAGCAAUUCAUAAAUACAAGUUUCAAUGUUUCUCAUAAUUUCAUCUUGUACUUUUGUAUGUCUUGACUUUAAGAUUAAAAAAAAAAAUUAUUCUAACUGUGAAGCAAAUACCCCACGACUAAUUUAUUAUUUUGUCUAGUUAAAAAUGAUAAAAUUUAUUAUUUGCUUAUAUUGAUUAAUUAACUCUAUUUUUAAGUCUUAAGUCUUGGCGUCUUGGCAUGUUUGCAGAAUUUGAUUCCUUGAGCAACUUAGAGGAGUUGGACAUGAGCGGCAAUGAAAUAGACAAUUUUCAGGUUCCUCAAGGUAAACUAUUAAAAUAUUAUUCAAUUACAUUAAUUUAAUUCGUUUGAUUAGGGAAGGCCAAAAGGUACAAAAACAUAAUAAAAAACUAAAGAAACAAAGAAUUUAUAUUAUUUCAAAAAAUAAAAUGUAAUACUAUUAUUUCAAAAAUAGAAUGUAAUAAAGAUUUGAUUCCGGUUCUUUAAUCUUUACAGCAAUUGAAAAACAAUGUUGCUCUUUUUCUAAAGCAUAAAAUAUGAAAUGAGUCAUAAUUGAAUUAGUCAUUUAUUUUGUUUAGCUCUAAAUUUAGAUAAUAAAUUUUGAUUUUUUUCAAUCCCAUCCUUAUUAUUAUUAUUAUUAUUAUUAUUAUUAUUAUUAUUAUUAUUAUUAAACAGGUUACGGAGGUUUGAGGAAGCUGAAAAGCCUGCAUCUAUCGAGAGUUGGAAUUAGAGAUGGAAGCAAGUUGUUACGGUCAAUGGGAUCAUUCCCAUCCCUCAACACUCUUUACCUUUGGGGUAAUAAUUUUACGGAAACAAUGACAACUACAACUCAAGGUAAGUAAAAGGUAUAGGUUUGGCCAAAUUUAUAAAUAAAUUGUUAAUUAAUUAAUUUUCCACAUUAUUAAUGAAGCUAAAUUCCUUGCUCCUUCUUUGUAAUUCUAAACAGAGUUGCACAAUUUCACCAACUUGGAAUAUUUGACAUUGGACCAUUCCUCUCUCCAUAUAAGCCUUCUGCAAAGCAUUGCAUCAAUAUCCCCUUCAUUAAAAAAUUUGUCGAUGUGUGGUUGUGAAAUCAAUGGUGUCGUACGUGGUCAAGGUGAAAGAAAAGGGUUGAAUAUGAACUCACUCAAUGGUGUCCUAUGUGUUCAACUUAUUUAUUUUUUUAUUAAUUUUAUUUUUUAAUGUUUCUACUAGGUUUUCCUCAUUUCAAGAGUUUGGAACAUUUGGAGAUGGAUGACGCGCGCAUUGCACUCAACACCAGCUUUCUUCAAAUCAUCGGUGAAUUGAUGCCCUCUCUUAAGUACUUAUCACUAUCAUAUUCUACUCCUGGCACUAACAGCAUCGAGAUUCUUGAUCAAGGUUAAUGAGAUGCUCCACUCUCCCCGCUUAAUCUAUAAUAUUAAUUUUUGAUUAAAUGUUUAAUUACACAAACGAAUCACUUAUUUUAAAAGAAUAAUACGUAUUCAUUAAUUUUUAUAUUGUAUUAAUUGAUGAAUUUAAUAAAUUUUCAGGCCUCUGUUCGUUGAUGCAUAUGCAAGAGUUACACAUUGCUCAUAACGAUUUAAGAGGUAGCUUGCCUUGGUGCUUGGCAAAUAUGACAUCCCUCAGGAUAUUAGAUGUUUCUUCCAAUCAACUUACUGGAAGCAUCUCUUCAUCUCCCCUCAUUCAUUUGACAUCCAUUGAAGAGCUGAGGCUUUCAGACAAUCAUUUUCGGAUUCCAAUUUCACUUGAACCACUUUUUAAUCACUCAAGACUCCAGAUUUUCGAUGCUUACAACAACGAAAUAAAUGCAGAAAUAACUCAAUCACCUUCUUUGACCCCAAACUUCCAAUUAUCACAUCUCUCAUUGUCUUUCGGUUAUGGAGAUGGUGUCACAUUCCCCAAAUUCCUUUACCAUCAACAUGACCUUGUGAAUGUUGAUCUCUCACACAUAAAGAUGAAUGGAGGAUUUCCAAAUUGGUUGUUGGAAAACAACACAAGAUUAGAAACUCUUUCUUUGGUCAAUGAUUCUCUUGCAGGACCUUUCCGAUUGCCAAUUCAUUCACACAAGCAGUUAAGACUGUUGGAUGUCUCCAACAACAACUUCCAAGGCCACAUUCCAGUAGAAAUUGGAGAUAUUUUACCAAGUUUAAUAUCCUUUAACAUUUCAAUGAAUGCUUUAAACGGUAGCAUUCCCUCUUCAUUUGGUAAUAUAAACUCCCUUCAAAUUCUGGACUUAUCCAACAAUCAAUUGAUUGGUGAAAUACCCGAGCACUUGGCUGUGGGUUGCGUCAACUUGGAGUAUCUUACAUUAUCAAACAACAACCUAGAAGGUCAUAUGUUCACUAGAAAUUUUAACCUGACAAACUUGAGAUGGUUACAAUUGGAAAGCAAUCACUUCGUAGGAGAGAUCCCACAAAGCUUGUCUAAAUGCUCUUCACUAGAAGGAUUGUAUCUUAAUAAUAACAGUCUCUCGGGUAAGAUUCCACGAUGGUUAGGUAAUCUCAAAGGGUUAAAACAUAUUAUAAUGCCCGAGAAUCAUCUUGAAGGUCCUAUUCCAAUGGAGUUUUGUCAACUUUAUUCGCUUCAGCUUUUGGACAUUUCAGACAACAACAUAUCUGGAAGUUUACCAUCUUGUUUCCAUCUUCUCUCUAUCGAACAAGUUCAUCUUUCAAAAAAUAUGUUACGUGGACAGCUAAAAAGAGGUACAUUCUUUAAUUGCUCUUCCCUUGUGACAUUAGAUCUUAGCUAUAAUCGUUUGAAUGGCAGCAUUCCGAAUUGGGUUGAUGGGCUUUCUCAACUAAGGCACCUUAUCUUAGGUCACAAUAAUCUUGAAGGUGAAGUGCCAGUUCAAUUGUGCGGAUUAAACCAACUGCAAUUGUUAGAUCUUUCUAAUAAUAAUCUUCAUGGCCAUAUUCCUCCUUGCUUUGAUAACACCACACUUCAUGAAAGUUAUAGCAAUAGUUCUAGUCUUAAGCCAUUUGAAAUAUCUCUUGUCAUGGAAAGCGGGAUGAUCUAUGCAGAAAAGCAAAUCCAUGAAAUUUUUGAGUUCACAACAAAGAACAUUGCGCACAUUUACCAAGGAAAAGUGCUUAGCCUCCUAUCAGGACUUGAUCUUUCUUGCAACAAGCUAAUCGGUCAUAUUCCUCCUCAAAUUGGAAAUUUGACAAGGAUUCAAACAUUGAAUCUAUCACACAACAACUUGAUAGGAUCGAUCCCAUCAACAUUUUCAAACUUGAAGCAAAUCGAAAGUUUGGAUCUUUCUUACAACAAAUUGAAUGGGAAAAUCCCUCAUCAACUUAUGGAGUUAAACGCAUUGGCUGUUUUCAGUGUGGCAUACAAUAACUUAUCAGGCGAAAUUCCAGAAUGUAAAGCACAAUUUGCAACCUUCAACGAGAGGAGCUAUGAGGGAAAUACUUUUCUUUGUGGACUGCCAUUGCCCAUUUGCAGAUCACCAGCAACUAUGCCAGAGGCUUCAAUUGGCAAUGAACGAGAUGAUAAUUUAAUUGACAUUGACAGUUUCUUUAUCACAUUUACAACAUCAUACAUAAUUGUGAUAUUUGGAAUUGUUAUUGUUUUAUAUGUAAAUUCUUAUUGGCGACAUAGAUGGUUUUACUUUGUUGAAAUGUGGAUAACUUCAUGUUACUAUUUUGUUGUAGACAAUCUUAUUCCAACAAGAUUUUGUCAUUGAAAUUAAUUAGUAGUUUAAUUACGAUUCUUUAAGUACUAAUCAGGUUUUCUUGGGAAAUAAAUUUUUUUAUUUUUUAUUAAAAUUGUAGUAGUAUUUAGCAUUAUAUAGCUUCCAACUUCCAAGCACUUCACAUUUGUCUCUACACUUAAAAAGCGAGUGAUCAUGUUUUGUAGAUCUGGAUUUGGAGCAGGAUGGAUCCAAACCCAUAUCUAUCCAUCAUAGCUUAUAGCUUCCCUAUACUGUGCAGCAUACUUAAAUAAGAGAACCAUCUCCAAUGUUAAAAGUAGCCACUCUAUAACAAUCAUUUAGAAACUAUAUUCAGAAUAGUUUUAUAAUCAUACACAAGAAAUGAAACACCUAGAUGCACUUGAUCGCCUAUUUUACUUUGAAAAAGAACAGUUAUGGUGCUUUCAUCAUCUUCUUCACUAGCAACAUUAACACUAAAUCCACCGAUGGACCCAGACAUUUCAUCAAGAAAGGUAUAUAUCUAAUAAAGUUAAAGCUUGACAAAAAAUUCAGGAAGAUUAAUGCCUCGCCACAACAAGGGCCACAACAACAUCAAAGUAGAGAUGAAGCAGUAUUCUCAAAGCUAAAACUCUCAAAUCCACCUAGGGGUGUUUAGAAUCCAAUUUGAUCCGCUCAAUCCGUCUAAUCCAUAGAAAUCCAAUUUGUAAAAAUCUGAUCCGUGGAUUGGUGGAUUAGAUUAGAUUGAAAAUUUGAUAAUCCGCAAUCGGUGGAUUAGAUACGGAUCUACUUCUGUAAAUCUAUAAAAAUCUGUGAAUCCGCAAAAAAAUAAAAAGUAUUUAUUUAAUUAAAAAAUAAAACUUGUAAAUAUGGUAUUAGUACUUACUAGUACAUAAAUAAGUUAAAAUAUAGUUAUAUUAACAGUAUGUUAUAUCUUAUCCGAUAAUAAUAAAAAAUAAAAAAAUAAUUAAAUAAACAAAUAUAGCUUUCUAAAUAGUUAAUUUCUAUGUACUGAUCUAAACGAAUGAGAUUUUUUUCGUUUUGAUGUGUUAUAUUUCGAAACUUUAAAUGAAUUUUUUAAGCUUUAUUUAAACAAUUAAUUUAUUUAAAUCUUAUUUAAUUUUAAAUUUGAAGUCCGUAAACCAAUCCGCAAAAUAUUAGAUUUGGUCAAAUCUGCAUCCGAUCCGUAGAUGUAUGGAUUGGAUUUGGAUUGAAUUUUACCAAUCCGUGGAUUGAAUUGAAUUGAAGAUUUAUAAUCCGCAAAAUCGUAGAUCGGAUAUGGAUUGAGGUCUAAUCCAUAAAAUCCGAUCCACGAACACCCUUAGUUGGAUUCUUGAGUGAGAACAAUUCCUAGGCCAAAUCCAAAUUGUCUACAAGAAAUCCAACGUCCUCAAGAGAUCAUAUAUAGUUUUCAAAUUGCGGGAAAGCUCUAAAACUUGUGAAUUGAGAAAUUGUACAUGCAUGUCAAGCUUUAACCAAUGAAUUUGCUUUAAUUUAUCAACAAUAAGAAUAUAAGAUGAGAUUUGACCUAGUUGUUACUCUUGUGAAUAAAAAAAUUGUGUGCCUGAACAUGAUUUAACUAAUGAAAUGAAUUUUCUUUAAUUUUUUUUAAUAAUAGGAUGAGACUUUCCUGAAACGAAAAGUACGGAUAUAUAAUUUGUUGGCUUUAGUUACCUUACAUAAUAAUGUAUGGUACAUAACCGUUUGAUGAAAAUCCAACAGUCGUGGAAAUAAUAAAAUUUUAUUAUCUUAUAUUUUCACAACUGUUGGAUUUUCAUCAAACGGUUGUGGAAAAUCAAAUGGUUGUGGAAGAGUCAUUUACCUUACAUUAUUAUGUAAGGUAACAAGCUCCUAAUUUAUUUAGUAUGAUUGAAAAUUAUGAAUGAAAAUAGUUUUGCCAAAAUUGACAAAAUCAAAAUCUUUAAAUUAGUGAAAAGUCUUCAAGUCCUAUGUGAUAUAAACACGUAUUUGGCCUACUUCUUAGAACUCUUAUGGCUAUAGUCAAGCUAGAUGAAAAAGAGAUUUACUAAUUCUGAGUUAGAGAUCAUGAUGGUAACAUCUACACCUUACUCAAUAAAAUUCUUUGCUUAUUUUUUUAUUACUUAUGGUUGAAUUAGAAAUUCAAUUAUUCUUUUAUAACGUGGUUUAAAAUAUUUAAUAAAAGGAAAUUCUUAAAUACUUUGGAGAUUUCAGAGCUUUUUUUUUAAUUUUUAAAAAAGAUAGAGAUGUGACAAAACUAAAAAAAAAAAAUUAAACUCAGAUGACCAACUAAAAGUUAUCUGAUCACUUUAUUUGAACGAAAACUUUAAUGCUGUUAUGAAAAUGUGUAGAUCAAGCAAUGAAAAAUUCCAAAAUAUUGGUAAUAACUUCAAAUUACAACGACGGAGGUAGGUUGACGGCGACCUUAUGUAGCGGAGGCAGCCAUAAAUUUUAAAUUUUGUUUGCGUUGAAGUCAAAAUUCAACUGUCGCCGACCCAUUUGGUUUGAACUCUAUGUCAAUCGGGUCUGCCCAAAACCAAACACAACCCAAACCAUAGCCAGCAUAGGUGCUAAGAAGAUUCUUUUACUUUGUCACUUGUCGCCUACAAUGAAAUUGACAUUAAACAAACAUUAAAACGUGUGGACUCCGAUAGCUGCCCCACAACUGUACAAUAAUAAUUGAGUAUGCACUUUUGAUUCUCGGGACCUUUCAAUGAGUUUCUGCCCCGCUGAUUCUAUCAACUAAAGUUUUGUAAAAUGAAAAAAAAAAAGUACAUAGAAUUCCACAAAAUGCAAAACGUGUGGAAUUUAAUUUUUGGCCGUGUGGACCAAAAUAUAAUUUAACGAAAAAGGGCAAAAAUGGUAAGAUAUUUAAAAUGUAUGGAAGAUGAUCCAUAUUUUACUGAAACGACUUAUCUCGAACAUUAAGAUGAUUGAUUUUUUCUUUUUGAAUAAUAUCAACUUCCAUAUCUUUCUACCGGAGAACAUGCUCACAUUAAAGUCUAUCUUACUAAUUUGAAAAAGAAAAUCAAAUCAACACCAAAGCAAUGAAAAGUAAAGCUUUUGAAUUUUAACUCCGGCUGGCAAACGUAUUCAGGAAUUCUUCCCAUUGCAUAUCUUAUUCCUCCAUCAAUGCAAUAUUAAGUAAUUUUUCUUUAUCAUAUUCUUUUCUUUGCAUUUCUUCUUCCUCUAUCAAUGCAAUAUUUGAACAAUUAAGAAAGAGUUUAAGAACAUAAAAGAUCUCCUAGAUUUAUACGGUAUAACAAAUUUAAAUUCUCAAUUAUAAUGGAUAAUAAUUAAACUAAUAAUUAUUUAUUUACUUAUUUUAAUAGUUUCACCUAAGAAUAAUAUUGUAAUUAGAAAAAAUCUAAAAAGCGGGGUGGUUUUAUACAAAAUCAAUUGCAUACACAUAUCCAGAAGCAUAUGCGGAUGCAAAUAAUAUUUUUUAUUCUUUUUUUAUAAGAAAAUUGUGUAUUGAGAUGAAUAAAAUGUUUAAUUUAAUUAAUUUCCUUACUUUCAUAUACAUUGUCUUUCUAUCUAAAGAAAGCUCAUGUUUGUUAGUAUUCAUUCUUAGAGAGGUGAAAAAAUUACAAAUCUUGAACAACAAGGAGUAGUUUAAUUGCCACUAACUUUACUUGGCCUUCUUUAGUUGGAGCUGUGUUUUCUGAUAAGCCAAAGAAUUAGUAGCUGUUAGAAAGCUGAAAUGAGAUUGUAAACUUUGUUUGGAAGCUAAGAAAAUGAAAAGAAAAUGUUCUGGAAAUUUCUUGAUUUUAUUCAAUUUUUCUCAUUACAUAACAAAUACAAUCACGAUAGUAUUUAUACUAAAUCAAGUCUCUAAAACAAAAAUAAUAGUUUGCUUAACAGCUGACGAACAGGACGUAAUGCAUGCUUAACGGAAUUGCUGAGCUGGCUUCUUUUCUUAACUAACUGCUGACGUGUCAUUGGCACACACGUGUUGAAUAUGCAGCUCCCUUUUGUACAAUGUGUGCUUCCUUAACAGCCCCCCUCAAACUCAAGGGGCAGGGAUGCACAUUGAGUUUGCUUCUAAAGUAGUUAAAGUGAAUGAAUGUGAGAGGCUUGGUCAAGAUGUCUGCAAUCUGCUCUUCACUGGGAAUGUAAUUGAUCUCCAGCUCUCUUGCCAACACUUUAUCUCUUAUGAAGUGCAUGUCUAGUUCAAUAUGUUUAGUUCUCGAGUGGUAGACAUGAUUUUUGGCUAGCUCAGUUGCACUUAUAUUAUAGCACUAUUUUGUAGGCACUGAAACACAUUCUAUCUUGAUCGUCUUGAAUAAUGACUGCAACCAUGUAAUUUCUGCACUUGCAAAAGCAAGAGCUCUGCACUCACUCUCUGCACUUGAUCUUGUGACUAUUGAUUGCUUCUUGGAUGACCAAGAUAUCAAAUUAUGCCCCAAGUAAAUGCAGUAUGCCCCUAUUGAUUUUUCUAUCAUCAACAUCAUAUGCCCAAUCUGCAUCUGCAUAUUCUAUUAGCUUUAUUUCUCCACCAGCUGUACACUUUAAUCCAUAGUCUUCUGUUUCUUUCAAAUAUCUAAGUAUCCUCUUACAAGCCAUGAUAUGUUGAAGUGUUAGUGUAGACACAUAUUGACUUAAUUUGUGCACUGCAAAAGCAAUUUCUAGCCUAGUCAGGACUAAAUACUGUAACUCUCCAAUCAAGCUUCUAUAACUAGUUGCAUCUUCAACAUACUGACCCAAAGAUCCCUUAACUUCUUUAUGAAGUUUUGUUCUUGUAACCAUUGGAGUAUCACACCCUUUGCAGUCAAGCAUAUCAACUUUUCUCAGCAAGUCUUUAAUAUAUUUUUUUUUGGGACAGAUAUAUAUCAUUCUCAGUAUAAGAGACUUCUAUACCAAGAAAAUAUGAAAGCUUUCCUAAAUCUUUUAAUGCAAACAUUUUGCUCAAACCUGAGAUAAAUUUUUCAAGUUCAUCACUAUUAGGUCAUGUUAUCAAUAUGUCAUCAACGUAAAUCAGGAUUAGUAUCAUUGAAUUCUGUUCUCCCUUGAAAAAUAGUGAAGUGUCGGCUCUGGAAUUUUGAAAACCCCAAUUUGUAACCAAACAACUCUUCAGUUUGUCAAACCAUACUCUAGGAGAUUGUUUCAACCCAUAUAAGGCCUUCUUCAACUUGCAUACAUAAUCAGGUCUUAUCUCAUCAACAAAUCCUUCAGGUUGGCACAUGUAAACAUCCUCUGUCAAGUCUCCAUUUAGGAAAGCAUUACUAACAUCUACUUGUCUGAUCAUCCACCUAUGCAUUACAGCCAAGCUCAAUAUAACUCUCACUGUAGAAGCCUUUAUAACAGGGCUAAAUCUUUCAAAAUAAUUGAUUCCUUUAGUUUGUUGGAACCCUUUUGCAACCAACCUAGCUUUAUAUUUGGCAAUACUGCCAUCACUAUUUUGUUUGACUCUAAACACCCAUUUGUUUCCAACAAUUUUGUAUUCAGCUGGAGGUGGUAUAAGAGACCAAGUCUCAUUUCUGAUCAAGGCUUCAUAUUCCUCUUUCACGGCCUUAUACCAGUGUUUAUCAUUAAGAGCUUCUCGAACUGUGUUAGGUUCUUUGUUGAUCAAGGUGGUUGUGUACAACUUAGGCUUGAAUAUUCCAGACUUCGAUCUAAUGGUCAUUUUGUGUGUGGGUUGUGAAGUCAGAAUUCUGUUUGGACUGAGUUCAGUUUGUUGUUGACUGGUUACAUGUGGUUCAAAUUGUGUUUGAGUUGGUUCAGGAAUAUGACGGAUAGUUUGUGAUGUUGAUGAUUUUGAUAUGAAUGACUAGAUGAUUCUUGUUGAUGCUGAUUAUUUGUAUGCUCAGGUAAUACAGGUGUUUGUUCAUUACUCGGUACUCUUGCUGAGUAAGUAUCUUCAAAGCUGCUGUUGAGUAAGGGUAAUGUUGAGAGAUGAUAGAUUUGUUGUUUAGAGAAAUUUGACACUGGAGUUUCUGAUUGGAUGACAUUUUCAGAAGAAGAAGUGGCAAAGAUUGUUGCAUAUGGAAAUACAGUCUCAUCAAAGACAUCAUGCCUAAGAAUAUGAACUUGACCUGAGCUUGUAAGACAUUUGCAUCCUUUAUGAGAUGAGCUAUAUCCAAUAAAGAUGCAUUUGCUAGUAUGAAAAUCAAACUCAUGUCUGUUAAAGUCUCUCAUGUAUGGAUAACAAAGACAACCAAAUCAUUUAAGGAAAUUGUAAUCAGGUUUAUGCUUGAAAAGUUUCUGAUGUGGGGAUAAGAGUCUCAAUACAGGUGUUGGCAACCUGUUUAUGUGAUAUACUGCUAUAUGAACAGUUUCCCACCAGAAUUUGAAAGGAAGAUCAGCUUGAGUUAAAAGAGUCAAGGCCAAUUCAAUUAUAUGCCUAUGUUUUCUUUCUACCAGUCCAUUCUGGUGAUGAGUGUAAGGGCAUGAGUGUUUGAAAAUGAUCCCAUUUUGGUUCAAAAAAUCAGUGAAUACUCAAUAUUCUCCCCCUAGUCAGAUUACAUCAUCUUAAUUGUUGUAUUGAACUGAUUCUAUAAUUCUGUCUUUAGAAAUGCAACUAAAUUUUUAAUCUCUUACUCUACAUAAAAUUGAAAUUCGAGUGGCUUAUCAAAUAAAAUUAAAACUAUUAAUUAACCAAAUAAAAUUAUUUAAAACCAUUGGGUAUGGUAGCAGGAGUUCUUGAAACUAUCGAUGCCAUGAAAUUUACUGGCGAAAAGGGUUUUAGAUGUCUAUUUUAUAAAUCUUUUAAUAAUUUUUUUAUUUACCAUUUUACUAUCCAUGGUAAAAGUGUCGCAUCGACAUUGAACAGUUCAACAUAUCAGUCAUUUCUCAUUCAGUCAUUAAGAAUUUACGUUUGGGGUAUUUUUGUAAUUAUGAGAAGGUAAACUAAUCGCAAAAUUCAUUUGGCUUGCACUUGCUCGCCUUUGCUGUGUGUUUGGUUAUGGCGUUAUCAUUAUCAUCUUCUCCACUCCUGCUGACACCAGACCUUAACCGUUCAGAUUCCCUUUCUCGACUGUCAUACCCUACGCCCCGUCUCCGUGUCUCCGAUAAACAGUGCUCAAUUAAGACCAUCAGAUUAUCCCGGACCCACAUUAAUCCAACGGCUCACAAUGACCGACAACCUCUCCAUCUCCAUUACAAGCUCCCUCUUCAGCUGGCUUCUUCUUCCGUCCUACUCUUUCUCGGAUUCGGAGCCCGUAUAUGCUCGGCUGGUCCCACGCAGCUCCCUCUCACUCCAGCUGUCAACCAACAAGACCAAUUGCUUGAUCAAGACACAGAACAAAAAGAGGAUGAGAAAUUGAAUCAAGAAUUUGAGAAUUGGAAAUGGAAGACGUACGCAUUGACCGUGCCUUUGAGAGUCGUUUCUCUUCAGAAUUCAGUGCCUCAAUCUUGGGUUAAGGAUUUUAUGCGAAGUCAAGGAAAGAGAUUGAAGUUUCAGAUGAAUUUGUGUGCUAGCAUUGAUGGGAUCGUUAACAAUUUAUCUACGCCCUUUAACAAAGUUAAGGCUAAGUCAGCUUCGUAUAUGGCUGCUGAUUUGGUUAGUGUUGGUGAUUCAUGGCUCAGUUUUGCGAUUAAAAAGAGAUUGAUCGAGCUAAUAGCUGAAGCUGAAGAUCAAGAUUGGUUCAAAUGCUUAAGUCACAAAUGGAAGGUAACAUCUUUAUCUUUUACCCGAUAAUUUUUAUUGUCUUACCUUGAAAUUUGGUAAUGUAAUUUGUUCUCUAUCUGUGUUACCCUUUAUAGUCAUUUUAUUUAUUUGUUUAUUGCUUUUAUUUGCACUAACGAAAUCUCAGGUAUAUCUACGCAGCAAUGAUGCAGGAGAAAUUGAUCCUCGAGGUCAAAUAUGGGCGGCACCAUACAGGUGGGGCACAAUGGCGAUAGGCUACAAGAAAAGUAAAUUUCAAAACCAUAAUUUGGCUCCGAUUGAGGUAAUAAUUGUACUUAAACUCAUUUAGUUUAAUAUCAAGCAAAAUCAAGACUGCCUUUCUCUUCAAUAUUUUCAAUGAUAAUAUCUUUAGAAGCAUCUCAUUGACGGGUAACAAUGGUAUCCCUGAAAGAGUCUAUAAACUCAAUGAUAUUAUCUUCUACAAUGGCUCAUUAAACUUUGUCGUUGCAGUCAAAUGUACACUCAGAGCAAUGAAAAGCUAUGCCACUGUAGCAUGUAGUGAUGGCACUUAAUAAGUGAAUUGCUAGGAUGUGAACUAGAAAAAUUAAAUAUUGUCUCCUUGGGUAUGCUAGCUCGUAAGUCAGGGUUACUAUUAGAGCUUAAGAUACUAUAACCAUGAGAAGCUAUUGACUGCCAAUUAAAAUAUCCAUUAAAAUGUCUAGGGAGUUAUGAAGGUGGAGGUAGCUUCCAAUAACUAACUUGAGUUUGGUAAAACAAACAGACAGUGUGUCUCAUGUCUCACAAUUCAAAUUAUCAUCUGUAAUGAUGGAGAAUUUUUCUAAUGUAUGAAGUAUGCUUUCAUACGUGGAUUAGCUUGGAGAAGAUAUCUCAAAAUAAAGAAUAUGGGGAGCGAAUGGGAAAAAAACAGUUCAGUAGUUUAUUAUUCUGUAGUCAAGUUUUGUCUUGAAAAUGGUCAAAAUUUAAAUGAAUAAGGACAGGGGAUCUUCAUUCUUUUUUCCCUUUUUUAUACCAAGAUAUCUUUCAACCUUUAUAUAAUCCCCACUGGAUAUCUGCUUCUAAUAAUUAAAAUAAAAAUUUCACCCACACAAAUAAAUACUGACCAAGCUCUAACAAUAAAAACUAACAUCUUUAGUCAAGUAACAUCUUUAGUCACGUAAUUUACAGUUCCUCAUCAUCUUAGUGUGAGCUAUCAGUACGAUCUAAAAACAUAAUAAAACUGGUUUGAUCCUGUUUAUUGAUGUUUAAAUGUUGUUUAUUGUGACAAGUAAAUUAGUAAGAUCUUGUUUGAAGUUGUUUUCCGAAAUGAACUGCCAAAUGGUAGUUUUUUUGGGGCAUCUGAUGGCUCUUUUUUCCUCAUUUUAAACAUGUGCCUGCUUGGAAUGGGAAGGAUUAGGCUGCAGAGUUGUUAUAUAUUUUGACAUGCUCUGGUAAUUACACAAUUUGUUCACACUGGAAAUUAGAAUGAGAAAUUUGUUGAUGCUGUUUUGAUAGAUCUGCAUUCUAUGCACAAUAACAUGAUUAAUGAAAAUGGAUUGUAGGACUGGAAAGAUCCGUGGUGGCCUGAGCUCGCAGGAAGAAUUUCAAUGGUUAAUUCUCCCCGAGAGGUUAUUGGUUCAGUUUUGAAGUAUAUGGGAGCAUCAUAAAAUUCAAACAAUAUUGAUUUGCAAGUUGCUGGUGGGAAGAUUGCUGUUCAGCAGAAUCUGGCAUUACUGGCAAACCAGGUACUCUUAAAGAAAUGAUAUCUGAUCAUUGCAUGUUAUUGCCUGACAACUGAUUUUGUUUGUAGAAGUCUGCUUCUUCAUACAUAUGAAUGCAUAUGCUAGUGUUUUCUUCUCCUUUUCAUACAUAUGAAUGCGUAUGUUGGUGUUGUCUUUUCCUUUUCAUACGUAUUAAUAAUACAUAUGUUGGUGUUCUCUCCUGAGAUGGAUGCAAUAAAGGCUUUUGCUCCUAAAUUUAGCUGAAGAAAUGGCAAGGGAUGUGAGAUUCUGUCUCAUUAAAUUAACAAAAACCCAAAACAAUGAAAAACCAUAAUAAUGUGGUGUGGGUAAACUGGCUCCAUUUGGUUCGUUUCCUUAAUGUGAAUACGCAAACAAUGGAGACUAACAAAAUGAAGUGACAACAACAAGUCAGUGUCCUUUGAUGGAUGCAUUUUUAAGCAGAAAUAGGUUUGUAAUUGACCAAAUUUGUCUGGCAUGCCAAUUUCGAAAAAAUUAAAUUAUGUGAUUAUUACCUGUAAUGAAGGGGGAUAGUAGGUGCAAUCAGGUGGAUCCCGGAAAGUUCAACAAAGUUCUGGUAUGGUGUAUUGAAAUUGGUUUGUGCAACUCAAGAGUCUUUCAGGUGAACGAUGAUGGGUUUUGAUUUAUGAAUGUUAUAAAUCUACUGUGCAUAGUAUUCUAGUAGAAUCAUUUAUAAGUUCUAGUUAUUGAAAUUGUCUACUUUGUCCGGUUUGAGUUAAGGGCACAUGUAAUAUGAAAAAUAGUUGUCGCAUCUUUUAGGUUACCUAACAUUUGAUCAAUCCUAUUAUGAGGGCUUCAAGAUGUCUAACAAUAUGUAGAAUGCCCAUGCUCCUCCCCAUUGUUUAUCUUAUACAAUAAUUUGUUUUAGAUGCUAAUAUCUUUGUCGAUACUGGUAACAUUAUUACAAUCUCUGCUUUUAUUGGGUUCUACAUAGGUUCGACUGUUUGACAGUACACACUAUCUGAAGGCAUUUGGAAUUGGAGAUGUAUGGGUUGCUGUUGGGUGGAGUAGUGAUGUUCUUCCUGCUGUCAAACGUAUGUCUAAUGUUGCUGUUGUUGUUCCCAAGUCUGGUGCAAGCUUAUGGGCCGAUCUUUGGGUAUUCCCAUGCCUGCCAUUCUACUUCGAUAUUCACUUUGUUAUCACCUUCAUAUUAGUGAUCAGUAAACACGAUAAUGUGACUAAUAAGUUUGUAUUCUCUUUAUAGGCGAUCCCUGCUGCCUCAAGACUUGAAACAAAACAAAUUGGAGGGCAAGUCAGAGGUCCGUCUCCAUUAAUCCAUCAAUGGAUAGAGUUCUGCUUGCAAACAGCAAGAGCAUUGCCUUUCAAGCAAGAGGUUAUCCCAGGCGCAUCUCCCUCUGCCCUUGAAAGUACUCUGGUUAAGUUGCCUGAAGAACUUCUGAAGGGUAAACCAAGUGUGGAUACUAACUUAAUUGCUGGAGUACCCCCCCGCUGAAAUUCUGGCCAGAUGUGAGUUUUUGGAGCCAUUAUCUGAAGCUACAUUGUCAGAUUAUGAGUGGCUGGUUGCUAAUCUGCAAAACCUGCUCCUGUCUUGAUGAAAAGGGUGCAGCAUUACUUGUCAUCAUUAAUCCAAAGCUUUCUAGCAAAGCUACAUUGAAAAGUUAAUGGCACUGCAUACAAUCAUGAGUUUUAAUGGAGCAAGAACUAAAUACAAUUAUCGCUAACAAAUACUGAAAACACAACCCACACAGGAAAUCACCCUUCGCGUGGGGAUGGAGAUGUUUACUGGAGCGAUAUUGAAUAUGUGCAAGGUGUUGUCCACUGCUCUUUGGGUUAUGGUGUGACUUGCGAUUUCAAGAUUGCCCAGAAACAAUGGAAAAGAUUAACAUAUCCUCCCAUGAGUGAAAACGGCUUGACUAAUUCUAAUUACCGAAUUGACUCAGGAUCAGGUAGCAAUAAUAACAGUUAACUAACAUUGCACAGUCCCGAGUACUUUUCCAGGAUCAGAUACAACGUGGUCUAAUGUUGAUAAUAAUACCUUAUUAAAGGACAAAUCAUUGUUCUUGGGUGUUGAUAGUAAUAGCUUAUUAAAGUAGAAGAUGAAGGUUGUGCAGGUGAUUUCAGAAAUAAAAUACAUUCUGAGAGAUGAUGGUCUACUAUUGCAAGCCCCCAGAUUUCAGAAUCUUUUGAUUGCGGCAUUUGGCAACGAUUCCACAAAUUCUAGAUUCCAACUGAGUUAUCAAUUGAAAAUGAAGUUGAAUUGAAAAAGAACAACAAAUACACAGUGAAGUUGAAUUGAAAAUGAAGUUGCAAGUUGCGCCCAUAGCUGCUGACUAAUAAUAAAACGAGACAAAUUAAUUAAACUCAGAUCUCUAUGUACAUGUCAACCUAACUUUACUUUUCCUUGUUUGUUAUAUUCACUUAACACUUGAUGCCUAAACCAUUAAAACCAAAUGACCAUAGAGGUAUUUGUAAUAUGUAAAAACAAACAAAAACACGUAAAAAAUUUUAAAAACAAUUAAUAAUCACACUCUAAAUUUACCACUCAACUCUAAAUAAUAACCAUACUCAAACAAUUUACAACUUUUGACGGGAGUAGCUAUGAGGAAAAUCCUUUCUCAAUGGAUUGCCAUUGCCCAAGAGUUGCAAUGAAAACGUACCACCUGCAGCUGUGCCGGAAGAUUCAACUAGGUCUGAAAAAGAUGAUAAUUUAAUUGAUAUGGACAGUAAUUGUGAUAUCGGAAAGCAUUAGUAUUCUAUAUGUGAACCAUUAUUGGCGACAUCGAUAGUUUUAUAUUAUUAAAAUGUGGAUGACUUCCAUUUACUAUUUUGUUAUAGACAAUCUUAUUCAAUUAACAUAUAGUUUUAAACUAUUAUGUAAAUCAAUCUAUUAAUUUUCAUGAUAUUUAACUGAGUUAAAACUAAGUGCAAUCAAUAAAUCUCUUUUCCUUUAAAAAACCGCUACGUUUUAAUUUUAGUGCUUAAUAUUUAUUGAACUCUGAUACAGGAAAUUUGAAAUCAAACUCGUAACUACAAAUUAUUUAAUUGCGAGUUGCUGUCCAUAGCUGCUGAUCUGUAGUAAUUAUCUAAUUGACUGAGGUGACAACAAUUUUUUUUUUUUUCGGAAAAAUGUCAAUAGCACAAAUUCAAUAAUUAAAUUCUCAUGUUUAAUUUGUUUCAAGUUAAAUUAUUAAUUACUAAAACUCUGUUUUAAGUCUUUAAUUUUAUAUCUUGGCGUAUAUGCAGAGUUGGAUUCUUGAGUGAGUUGGGCAUUAAAAUGUGUGGACUCCGGUAGCUGUCCCACAAGUGUACAACUCUACAAUAAUAAUUGAGUACACACUUUUAAUUCUGGGGACCCUUCAAUGAAUUUCUAGCCCCGUUGACUCCACUGACUAGAGUUUUGUAAAAUAAUAAAAAAAAAGUACAUAGAAUUCCACCAAAUGCAAAAGCAAAAUGUGUGGAAUUUAAUUUUUGGCCGUGUGGACCAAAAUACAAUUUAACGAAAAAAGAAAAAAAAAAUUGUAAGAUUUCUAAAAUAUGUGGAAAGUGAUUCAUGUUUUACUGAAAUGACUUGUCUCAUGAUUGAUUUUUUUUUUUUUUUGAAAAAUAUCAACGUCCAUAUCUUUCUACCCUAGAACAUGCUCACAUUCAAGUCUAUCUUUGCUAAUUUGAGAAAGAAAAUCAAAUCAAAUCAAUACCAAAGCAAUGAAAAGUUAAGCUUUUGAAUUUUAACUUCAGCUAGCAAACGUAUUCAGCGUUUUCAAAUUCUUCCCAUUGCAUAUCUUCUUCCUCCAUCAAUGCAAUAUUAAGUACUUUUUCUUCAUUAUAUUCUUUUCUUUGCAUUUCUUCUUCCUCCAUCAAUGCAAUAUUUGAACAAUUAAGAAAGAGUUUAAGAACAUAAAAAAUCUUCUAGGUUUAUACGGUACAACAAAUUUAAAUUCUCAAUUAUAAUAGAUAAUAAUUAAACUAAUAAUUAUUUAUUUACUUAUUUUGGUAAUUUCACCUAAGAAUAAUAUUGCAUUAGAAAAAAUCUAAUAAGUGGGGUGGUUUUAUACAAAAUCAACUACAUACAGUAAUAAGUGAGUACGCACCUUUGAUUCUCGGGACCCUUCAAUGAAUUUCUAGCCCCGUUGACUCCACGGGCUACGGCUAAAGAUCUGUAAAACAAGUAAAUAGAAUUUCCACAAAAUGCAAAACUUGUCGAAUUUAAUUUUUGACCAUGUGGAUCAAAAUGUAAAUUAAAGAAAAAGACAAAACAAAAAGAGGUAAAAUUUCCAAAACGUGUGAAAGAUGACUCAUGAUUUAUUAAAACGACCUGCCUCGAAUAUCAAGACGAUUAAUCUUUUUAAAUUUUUUUUUUUGAAAUAAUAUCAACUCUCAUAUUUUUCCACUCGCAGAACAAGUUCACAUUCAAGUCUAACUUGCUAAUUUGGAAAACGAAAUCAAAUCAAAUCAAUAUCAAAGCAAUGAAAAGUAAAACUUUUGGAUUCUAACUCCAGCUAGCAAACGUUGGAAUGCAAUAAUUAAAUUCUUCUGUUUAAUUUGUUUUAAGUUAAAUUACUAAUUACUUAAACUCUGUUUUAAGUAUUUAAUUUUAUGUGUUGGUGGGUAUGCAGAAUUGGAUUCUUGAGUGACUUGGACAUGACCACAAUGAAAUUGAUGGCAAACAAACAUUAAAAUGUGUGGACUCCGGUACCUGCCGCACAAUUCUACAAUAAUAAGUGAGUACGCACCUUUGAUUCUCGGGACCCCUUCAAAAAAUUUCCAGCCUUGUUGACUCCACUGGCUAAGGCUAAAAUUUUGUAAUAGAAAAAAGGUCAAUUCUUGUGGAAUUUAAUUUUUGGCCUUGUAGACCAAAAUGUAAAUUAAAGAAAAAGACAAAAAAGAAAAGGGGCAAGAUUUAUAAAACGUGUAGAAGGUGGUCCAUGAUUUAUUCGAAUAACCUGCCUCGACUCGAAUAUUGUAAUGAUUGAUUUUUUUUAUUUUUUUAAAAUAAUAUCAAUUCUCAUAUCUUCCCACUCCUUGAAAAUGCUCACAUUCAAGUCAAAUUAAAUGGACACCAAAACAAUGAAAAUUGAAAAGUAAAACUUUUGAAUUCUAACUCUAGCUGGCAAACGUAUUCAGUAUUUUUAAAUUCUUCGAAUCGCUUAUCUUCUUCCUCCAUCAAUGCAAUAUCAAGUAUUUUUUUCUUUUUCGUAAUCUUUUCUUUGCAUUUCUUUUUGCUCCAUUAAUGUAAUUUAACUUCUUUUUUUAUUUGAACGGCUCGGAAAGAGUUGAAGAACAUAAAAAAGCUCUUGGUUUUAUACGGUAAAACAAAUUUAACUUAUAAUUAUUCAACUAACAAUUAUUUAUUUACCUAUUUUAGUAAUUUCACCGAAGAAUAAUAAUCUAAUUACAAAAAAUCUAGUCAGUUGGGUGGUUUUAUACAAAGAGUAAUGAUAUAGCCACAAACUCUUGUACAAACUUAUUUUGUACAAACUGAUGUGGCGUUAAUUCAUUGGUUGAAUUAAAUAUCUCUUGGCCCACAUGAUUUGUUUAUAUUAUUUUAUAUUUCUAUUCAACCAAUGAAUUAAUGCCACAUCAGUUUGUAUAAUAUAAAUUUAUACAAGAGUUUGUGGCUGUAUCAUUACUCUUAUACAAAAUCAACUACAUACCCAUAUACAGAUGCAAAUGCAAAUAAUAUUUUUAAAUAAGAAAAUUGUAUAUUGAGAUGAAUAAGAUGUUUCUAUGAUUCUAUCUUAGGAAAGCUCGGUGGUGGUAACGACAUGAAGUUGCGAGUUGCCGCACACAGUUGCUAGUAAUAUAAUAAAACAAGACAAAUUAAUUAAACUCAGGCCUUUACGUAUAUGUUAUCUUAACUUUACUUGCCCUUGUUUGAUGAUAUUCAUUCUUGGAGCUAAGGGCGCAUGUAAUAUUUGUAAUUGUAUUAAGUAUAUAUUAAUGUGAUUUUCAAAAUCAGGUUUUAAAAUCUGUAGGAUAGGCUGAUUUUGGUAGUUUUGGGUCGGCCGUUGCAGUCAUUGGGACUGACUUAUUAUUAUUAUUAUUAUUAUUAUUAUUAUUAUUAUUAUUAUUAUUAUUAUUAUCAUCAUUAUUAUUAUUAUUAUAAUUAUAAUAUCAACUUCCAUAUCUUUCUAAACCCGGAAUAUGCUCACGUCACGUUCAAGUCUAUCUUGCUAACCUGAAAAAGAAAAUCAAAUCCAAUCAACACCAAAACAAUGAAAAUUAAAGCUUUUGAAUUUCAACUCCAGCUAGCAAACAUAUUCAGCGUUCCCAAUUUCUUCCCAUUGCAUAUCUUCUUCCUCCAUCAAUGCAAUAUUAAGUACUUUUUCUUGAUCAUAUUCUUUUCUUUGCAUUUCUUCUUCCUCCAUCAAUGCAAUAUUUGAUCGAUUAGGAAAGAGUUUAAGAACAUAAAAAAUCUCCUAGGUUUAUACGGUAUAGCAAAUUUAAAUUCUCAAUUAUAAUAGAUAAUAAUUAAACUAAUAAUUAUUUAUUUACUUAUUUUAGUAAUUUCACCUAAGGAUAAUAUUGUAAUUAGAAAAAACUAAUUAGAACAAUUUAAUUUUUGGCCGUGUAGACCAAAAUAUAAUUUAACGAAAAAGGAAAAAAAAAAGGGUAAAGAUUUUUAAAAUGUGUGGAAAGUGAUCCAUAUUUUGUUCGACUUGUCCCGAACAUCACGACGAUUGAUUUUUUUAUUUUUUUUUUAAUAACAUCAACUUCCAUAUCUUUCUACCCUCAGAACAUGCUCACAUCCAUAUUUUUUAUGUACUUAUUUUAGUAAUUUCACCUAAGAAUAAUAUUGUAAUUAGAAAAAAAUCAAAUAAGUAGGGUGGUCUUAUACAAAAUCAACUGCAUACAUAUAUGCAGAUGCAGAUAAUAAUUUUUAAUUCCUUUUUUUAAUAAGAAAAUUGUGUAUUGAGAUGAAUAAGAUGUUUAAUUUAAUUAAUUUCCUUACUUUCAUAUACAUUGUCUUUCUAUCUAGAGAAAGCUUGGUGCUCAGAACGACAUGAAGUUGCGAGUUGUCGCCCAUGGCUGCUGAUUAAUAAUAAAACGACACAAAUUAAUUGAACUCUGGCCUCCAAGUAUAUGUUAUCCUAACUUUACUUGCUCUUGUUUGUUAAUAUUCAUUCUUAGAGAGGUGAAAAAAAUUACAAGUCUUGAAUAACGAGGAGUUUAAUUGCCUCUAACUUUACUUGGCCUUCUAUAAUCUCAUUAAUAAUACAGAGAAUUAAUUAUCUUUUUAUUAUUAAACCAAAGAAUUAGUAGCAGUUAAUAUUAAUAUUGCCCACCCAAGAAAUAUGAGUGAAUUAAAGUAUUGGCAAGAGUUCGCUCAGAGGAGCAUUUAAACCACUUCCUUAUCAAUUGCGGCAGCCGUCUAUUAACUAAAACGCCAAUCUAAUACACGAAGAAAGAACAUUUACAGACUUGGCAAUUGAGUUCAUUAAGAAGUAGCAUCGCAUUCGGGUGAUGAGUUUCCUUUUGUUAAUAAUUUUAGUCUAAUUUCCAUUGUACUGAGAUCGCUUCUCGAGGUAAGUGAAAGUUACAGAUGUGGCAAAAUAAAUAAUUAAAUUAACAAAAUGCUAACUAAUUUUCCUAAAUACCUAGGGUUGUACAAUUUCAUCAACCUGGAAGAAUUGACAUUAAUGGACUGGUCUCCUCCCCAUAUAAUUAUAAUCCUUCUAGAAAGCUAAUUUUUAUUAAAUAUUUUCUUUUAAGUUAAUUUCAAUUAAAAUUUUUUUUAAGUUAUAUAUACUCUAAUGAGAUUCUGAAUUCCUUUCUUCCAAUAAUAAUGAAAACGUAUUAAAUUAGAAAUGAAAAAAUUGGUGUUGAUGAUUCAACCUGUUUGGAUAGAUUACGCGAAUAAAAUUGAAAUUUUGAUUUAAUUUUUGUUUAUUGUUAAUUCUCAGGCUAUCUUAAUUUCAAGAAUUUAGAAUGUUAAUUUGGUCAUGGAUUUCAACCCAUGAGUGUCAUAUUCUAGACUUAAUGGUACCAUUCUUUGAUUGAGGGCAAUGACUCUCACUCCUCUUGUAAAAAACUAUUUUCAACUAUUUUGAUGACUUAAAAAUUGAUAGAUUUAUUGUUGUCAUGACCAAAUUAUUCAUUUUAAUUAAACAUAAUUAAUGCAUCAAAGUUACCAGGUUUAUGUUCUAUCUUAAUGCGCUUUUUUUUUUUUUUCAGUUAUCAGCUAUGCCCCUGAGGCAUUUUGUAGAGUAUAGCUUCUGCUUACCUCUGUUUCAUUUUUUUUAAUAAAAAAAACAAGGGAAGGUUUUUCCGAGUCGUCCAUUAUUUGAUUACCGUCAAUCAAGAAAACGACCAAAUUAAUUUCUCUCCAAAAUUUCCAAAAGCUAGAAAAUUUUGUUAUUUGAAAAUAACAUCAUUAAUUAUAGAGUGGAUCAAACCGCGUUAUUGUCUUUUAUAAAAUUGAUGUCUUUUUAAGAGUCAAUGCAUUUUAUUUACACAAACCAGUCGACAUCAACUUGAACUUCCAUAUUUUUAUUAUUAUGUUAUUUAUUUUAAUCCCCGAUUAUUUGAUUAGCCACUAUAUAUAUCAAGAAAGCGACAAAAUUUAUUUCUCAUGACUUCCAAAAACUAGAAAACAACAUCAUUUAUUAUUUUUUUGCAACCCUAAUUGACAUCAACUUUAACUUUAUUAUGUUAUUAUUUCAAUCCCCCAUUAUGACCUUUCUAAUCCUCCAUUAUGCAUCUUUUAUAGUGCAAAUUUAAUUGCACAUCUAAAUAAAUUGAUUAUUGUCACUCCACCACCAAUAUUUCAAAUAGUCACUAGACCAUUUCUGCCUUUAAUUUUCCCUUAACUAUUGACUGUUUUUAGCAUCUUAAAAUAUACAUUUAUUCCUUGAUUAUGUGAUAAAAUUAUGAAAAUAUCCAUUUUAGCUUAAAUUAAUUGAAAUAACCAUAAGCGUAACUUAAAUUAAUAGAACAAAAUUAUCAAGUGUAUGUUCUAUGUUACAUUUUGAAGAAUUUAACAUAUACAAUGCUAUACUAUUAAUUCAUUUAUCAUUUAAUAUAUAUGUUCAAAUAUUUUAUAUAUUUAUUAAUUGUUAUAUAGUCAAAGGAUGAAUGAUUUUUCAGGUCUACAUGAGUUGGUGCAUCUGCAAGACUCAAUUUUGACAACAAUGAUCUAAGGGGUAAUUUACCUUGGCGUUUGACAAAUUUAACCUCUCUUCAAGAUUUACUUCCAAUCUACUUACUGUAAAUAUCUCCUCAUCUCCUCUCAUUUAUAUGAUAACCCUUGAAGAUCUCACAUUUUCAAACAAUCAUAUUAGGGUUUUUAUUAUUAGCAUCAUCGUGUCAAUAAUAUAUGUUGCAGUAAGAUUUUUUCAGACCAAUUCCCUUCUUCAAAUAAUAAUGGAAAAGUAUUAAUUUAAAAAUAAAAUGAAUAUUGUAAAAUAAAGAACAGAGUUUAUGAAUAAAACUCUUGUAUUCCUUGCAUUAACGUUGCUACAUAUAUAUAUAGAUGUACAACCCUAAAGAAUAGAAUCCCAGGUAGAAAAGCAUUACAGAUUCAUAAUAUAUAUACAAAUCUAAUUGCUUUAAAUAUGAAACCGAAUUCUAUACGACUUCUAUAUACAAAACCGAAUGCUAUACGAAUUCUAUACGUUAAUAAAUAUGCAUUGAUUAUAUCCUAAUUUUCAUCAAUUAUAGCGAGAGUUUCUCCAAAUCAACUCCCUUAUUCAAAUAAUACAGAAAAAAUAGUAAUUUAAUAGUAAAAUUAACAAGUGUUGAUUAUAUAUCCUAAGUUUCAUCGAUUAUGUGAUCAAAGUGGCAUUGUUGAUUUAUUUCUUGUUCAAUGUAAAUUUUUAGGUUAUCUAAAUUUCAAGGAUUUAAAAUCUUUGUUCAUGGAUUACACGCUUAUUAAUUUUUCUGCCAUUGACUGUCAUAUUCUAGACUUAAUGGUACCUUCCUUGAUCGAGGAUAAUUACUCUAUGUUCUCCUCUUAUAAAUUCUUCUUCCAUUAACAUCACUAGGAGUAUGUUGAUCUCUCAGACGUUAACUUCAGUGGAGAGUUUCCAAAUUGAUUGUCACAAAACAACACAAAAACUAGACACACUUGAUCUGUCUAAUAAUUCUCUUUCGGUAAAAUUAAUUAAUUUUAGGGGAAUAUUCGACCAACCUAUAUAAUUUUAGAUUGAUCAUUAAUUAAUUGGACGAAAAAAGUACUUGUGCUUUUGUGGCGACAAUUGAACCAGAGAAGUGAAGCUGUAAAGAUUUGGCAGUAGUAAAUUGUUAGAAAGACAUAAAGACAAGUUCCCAUUAUUAUAAUUUUUUCAAAAAACUUUUUUACAACACAUGCACCUGGCCAAAAAUUUUAUUUUGCUAACUAACAAUAAUUGAUUAGCUGACCGAAUUGACUCCACCUACUUGCUAAAGUAAAAAAAUAGAAAUAGAAUUUCCACAAAAUGGCAAACAUGUAAAAUCUAAUAUUUGGCCGUGUGGAACAAAAUACAAAUGAAAAAAAAAAUAGAAAAAAGGCCUAAAGACUUUUAAAAUGUGUGGAAGUCUUUCUGCCCUUUUAUAAUGGUGUGUUUUUCAAAGGAACAAAUAAUAAUAAUGACACUUCAACGGUUUGUUUUGAUAAUCACACCUAUACUCUUUAAUUUGAUAAAUGGUUACACAAAUUUUGUUUACAAAAAUAUAUUAUUCAUGUUCUGUAUUAUUUUUUAACAUCAUAUUUUUAUUUAUUAUAAUUGUUUAAAGUUAAUUGUUGGGUUGAUAUAUAAUAAAAAUGUAUAAUCGUUCUCUUACUAAACACACAUACUCAUAGUUUCUGUUCAUUUGUCAUCUCAAUCUAUCUCAUUUAUCCUUUGUUGAUAGCUCAAAACGCGUCACUGUAGAAAAUUAUAGCAAAACGACAAAUAUGGAAAAAAUGGGAAGAAAAUUAAUGCAUGAAAGAGUUGCAGAAGACAACCAAAUAAGUCAACUAUACGCUAGUUGGGUGUAUAAAUUGUUAGAUGUGUUAUAAACAAAUAGCAUAGAGCCUUGGUUGGUUACAGAGAUAGAAAAAGUGUGUGUUUUUUAGAACUUAAAGAUAUAGUUAGAAUGGGUGGUUCAAAAUCAAAAAUGGUGAUAAUGUUUGUUCUGUUAUUAAUAAUAUUAGAAGGUGGGUGGAGUGAAGGAUGUUUGGAUCACGAGAGAUUUGCUCUUUUGCGACUGCAACAUUUCUUCAAUGAUCCUUAUAAUUAUCUUCCCAACCGGGUAGAUGAUGAGGGAGCUACUGAUUGUUGUCAGUGGGAAAGGGUUGAGUGCAGCAACACCACAGGCCGACUGAUAGCGCUAGACCUUUUUGGCACGUAUUGGCGAGAGUACAGCUGGUAUCUGAAUGCUUCUUUGUUUACUCCCUUCCAACAACUUGAGUCACUUGAUUUACAUGGCAACAACAUAGCCGGUUUUGUUGAGAAUGAAGGUGCUUCGUCUAAUUCAAUUAAAUUACAUUUCGCUCUCCUAAUUUAAGUCGAAUAUCAAGACUGAGCAGCUAUAUGCAUAUUCAUUCAAUUGACAAUUUUUACAUAUUUUUUAAAAUGUUUAAUUUUGAAAUUACACCAAACAUCAUAUGUGAUCUUUGUUUUGAUUUUACUUGCAGGUCUAGAAAGAUUGAGCAACUUGAAGAGGCUUGAUUUAAGUUAUAACUUGUUCAACAAUAGCAUCUUAUCAUCUGUGGCUCGUCUUUCAUCAUUAGCAUUAUUAUAUUUAAGUGGUAAUAGGUUGGAGGGAAGUAUUGAUGUUAAAGGUACAUAAUAAAAACGUCAUCUCUUCUCCCAACUCUUUCAUUAACAUGCUAAAAUAAGAUUCAAGGCUUUGAAUUCAAUUUUUUUUAUGAGUAAAUAUUAGAAAAAUAGUUUUAAGCAAUUCAUAAAUACAAUUUUCAAUGUUUCUCAUAAUUUCAUCUUGUACUUUUGUAUGUCUUGACUUUAAGAUUAAAAAAAAAAUUACUCUAACUGUGAAGCAAAUACCCCAUGACUAAUUUACAAUUUUGUCCAGUUAAAAAUGAUAAAAUUUAUCAUUUGUUCAUAUUGAUUUAUUAACUCUAUUUUAAGUCUUAAGUCUUGGCGUCUUGGCAUGUUUGCAGAAUUUGAUUCCUUGAGCAACUUAGAGGAGUUGGACAUGAGCUACAAUGAAAUAGACAAUUUCGAGGUUCCUCAAGGUACACAAUUAAAAUAUUAUUUAAUUACAUUAAUUUAUUUCGUUUGAUUAGGGAAGGCCCAAAAUGUACAAAAACAUAAUUAAAAAAAAUAAAGAAACAGAGAAUUCAUAUUAUUUCAAAAAACAAAACGUAAUACUAUUAUUUCAAAAAAAGAAUGUAAUAAAGAUUUGAUUUCGGUUCUUUAAUCUUUACAGCAAUUGAAAAACGAUGUUGCUCUUUUCCUAAAGCAUAAAAUAUGAAAUGAGUCAUAAUUGAAUUAGUCAUUUAUUUUGUUUAGAUCUAAAUUUAGACAAUAAAUUUUGAUUUUUUUUUCAAUCAUUUCCUAAUUAUUAUUAUUAAACAGGUUACAGAGGUUUGAGGAAGCUGAAAAGCCUGCAUCUAUCGGGAGUUGGAAUUAGAGAUGGAAGCAAGUUGUUACAGUCAAUGGGAUCAUUCCCAUCCCUCAACACUCUUCACCUUUCGUUUACUAGUUUUACGAAAACAGUGACAACUACUCGAGGUAAGUAAAAGGUACGGAUGUAGCCAAAUUUAUAAAUUAAUUGUUAAUUAAUUAAUUUUUCCGUAUUAUUAAUUAAGCUAAAUUUGUUGCUCCUUCCUUCUAAAUCUAAACAGAGUUGCACAGUUUCACCAACUUGGAAUAUUUGAGAUUGGACGACUCCUCUCUCCAUAUAAGCCUUCUGCAAAGCAUUGCAUCAAUAUUCCCUUCAUUAAAAAAUCUGUCGAUGUUGGGUGGUAAAGUCAACGGUCUCCUACGCGGUCAAGGUAAAAGAAAAGCUUUGAUUGUGAACUCACUCAAUGGUGUCCUACGUGUUCAACAUUUUUAUUUAUUUAUUUUAUUGUUUAAUGUUUCUGCUAGGUUUUCCUCAUUUCAAGAGUUUGGAAUAUUUGAAUAUGGAUUUCACGCGCAUUGCACUCAACACCAACUUUCUUCAAAUCAUCAGUGAAUCGAUGCCUUCUCUUAAGUACUUAUCACUGUCAGAUUCAUAACAGUAAAAAUUUGUUGCUCAACAUGAUGUGUAUUUUUUUUCAAGGCACUUUGGAAACACAAUUGUUACUACAGAUAUUCUUCUCAACUUGGAGAUAAAUACAAAUAUUAAAAUGCAUAUGAUCACACAUAUUACUUCGAGUUUAGUAAGAUUUCAUUAAAAGAAGCAAUCAAACCACUUAUCAAUUGUCGCAGUCGUUCUAUAAACUAAAAUAGCAAUAUAAUACAAGAAAAAGAACAUAUAGAUACUUGGCAAGAGUUCAUUAAGAAGUCGCAUCACAUUCGGGUGAGGAGUUUGCUUCUGAUAUCUUGCUAGCUGGGGCUUUUUCUUGUCUUUCUACGUAUGCCGAGGGAAACCAACCAGCUUGGCCCUUGCAUUCACCUUCCGACCAUCCAAUAGGAGCAACCUUGAGAAGUUAUAACUAAAACGGUGAAUUAAACAAAAGUUGACCGUUCAAAGACCUAAGGGGAAAACUAAUUCUUUUACGUAGAAUGAGUGAACUAGUUGUGAUCACUGAAAUAACAACAUAACUAUGGAAGCAUAACUAGAUAUAAAUUCACAUGGCUAUAAGGGUAAACUGAGUGGUUUAGAACUGAGCUAGCAACCCUACUAUAUUCUGAUUUGCACUUCAAUGUAAAAGGGAAUAUAUGGUAGGAAGAAAGAAAACCAACCAUCAUUUGUUAACUCAUUGCUUUUCAAUCAAAAUUUUAAGAACAAAAUGCCAUGUGCUUUGAACAUCAAAUAAGUAUAAGCAUUAGUUCUAAAUUCCACAUAUCAUAAGUUGUUAGAAGGAUAAGUUAAUAGCAGAGUAGAAAAAUCUAUGUGUUGGUAUUUAGAGGGGAAAGUACCUGGCGAACCACAAUAUAAUCAUCAAUUGAAAGACUUAGCUUUCCAUUUGCUUGAGCAUCAAAUGGAUGUAUAACCUGCAAGAUAAUGGGAUAAAUAGAACUUUAAAAAAGCAUAACAAAAGCAGCAACAGUAGCAGCAACGUUCAUUGUAACCACUAUGAUCAUGGCCAACAAAGAUAUAUUAGAAACAAAAUUCCAUUUUUACUACGACAUUAAUAUGUACUAUACGAUAUCAUGACGAUUGGGUUACUAAGAGCUAUCAAAGUCUAAUAAGUUCUGUAUAACUUUAUGUAGUUAUUUAAAUUAUGGAUCAGAUUUUAAAUUUGAAAUUUUGACUGCUCUCCACAAAACAUGGCCUAUGCACAAGAAAGUCAUAGAUAAUGAGGAUUACAAGUGUCCGACAUCUUUUGAGUGAUGGAUUUAACAUGAGAGCUUAUGGUCAGUCAAUUUCCUCUGCCUAGCAAUAUAAGCUUUCUCGGCCAGAUUUAUCAUCAAAUACAUAGAUUGCCCCCAAGUCACAUCCAUAUAAACAUAGUUUUUCUAGGUAAACCAAGUAAGGAGUAUCAUAAUUCAGACAUAAUCAUAAAAAGGCCCAUCUAACUUAAGAGAAAAUCUCAAAAAUGGCUACAUCGUCUUGUAUCUAUAAGCAAUAUCAAGACUUUACAUCACCUGCUACAUCGUGAGUGGCUACACAACUUUCAAUGGUUUGUCUUUCUUUGGCAUGCCUAACUCAGCUUUGAUGUUGCUGAGAUAUUGAUAGUAGAGACACAUGAUACUUCUAGCUCAUGCAUUCUAUCUAACUCAUCCAACAACUAUCUCUUUUUUAAUUCAUUAGUGUUUGCUAAACCUCAUGCUUAAAAGUCCUGUUCUCCUAAACAAAGUUUCCUAAGAAUGACUUCCUUAGCACCACAUUUGGACACUUUUAGAGCAAUUUUAUUUUGGGGAAAAGAAUUUUCAAGGUGUUAACUAAUAAAUUUUAAAAAAUAAUUACAAUUUUUCCUACGAUCAUAUGACAAUUUAUCUGGGAUGAAAGGAUACAGAUAGACAUCUUCCACUUUCAAGACUAAUCACUACUUCCGUAGAUGUUGUGCAAUAAUACAAAUACUUGAUCAGAUGGUAGUGAUGGUAGAAAAAAAUUUUAUUGCUCCAAAAUUAAAAUAAGAAUGCAAUAUGUUAAGCAAAAGGCUGUGCAACAUCAAAUUAAUUGAUAAGUUUGUAAUUCAGUAAAUUAACAACUUUCAUGGUAAAAUACAACAAAUUUCUUUUGAAAAAAAUAAAUCUUAAAAGACAGCAUUCAAUUUUGUGCGCAUCUUAUUUCUUAAGAUUUUUCAGGAGGAGGGCAAUAGAGGGACUUUCACCUAUGCAAGAGAGCAGAAGCCUUACUUUCCCUAUAAAGUAGACGUCAUUCUGAUUAAUAUGCGUUUGCAAAUCAGCUCCGUUUGAAUCAGUAUUCUGAUAGACACACGAGGCAUUGACAUCCAUUUCCAAAGUCACAUGUUGCGAGGAGGACUCAUUUGAUUGCUCCUAUACGAUCAUCUAAUUCAAGUAGCAAGGGUUGGAAGAGAAUAAAAAGUCACAAUUAUUCUUUUGCAUAAGUGAGACGAAAAUGAUAAAUGCAAUAUUAUCAACAGUAAACAAGAAGAAGAUGAUAGUGGAAGUAUGCGGUGUGGCUGCCAGGUACUUGGAUUGUAUUGUCGGGUAAGGUAAUAGUAGAGAAUUAUAAGUUUGAACAGAGCAUGUUGGACUUUUGUUGACCAAAUUCAAAAGCCCAAUGGCACGGCCCGGAAGCUUUUGAAUAGAAAAACUUGCUAGAAAGCAUCAGUUUAAAUCACUACUUAAACGCUUGCUUUAACUGCACCACUUUGUACUGUUUUAUGUGUGUAGCGGUUGUGCGGUUGUAAUUCACGGCUGACGCUACGUGUUUGUUAGGUCAAAACUAUGAUACAAUAGUGGUACGGUACCAUUGUUACUUUCAAUCAUUGGAUCUAUAGUUGUACAGUUGCAUUAAUAAGAUCUAAUGGCUGAAAACAACAGUGGUACCAUACCACUGUUGCAACAUAACAGGACCCUAUUAGUUAUUUCAAAGGGAUAAAUAAGAUUGCUUACAACAAACCUACUAAUUUUAUAAAAUUCAAGUAAUAUAGAAUAAAAUAAAAAAAUAAAUACAAAAUUGACUUUUAUUUUUUAUGGUUGACUAUAUUUUGUGUUCUCUUCGGGCACUACUACAAUUCUUCCCUAUAUAUCAAUUACACCACAUACUAUCGACACAAGAAAUGAAAUCUAAUAUCACCCGUUUAGUUAAAAAAUCACUCAUGAAAAAAUUUUACCAUUUUGAUUUGAGGAUCCAUAUUUUAAACUGCAAGCUAAUGUUCAUCAAGAAUUACUGAUGGCCGUUGAGUAGAAAAAUUAUUUUUGGACAAAUUAUUUUUGUUGAUAGAAGAAUUUCUUUAGGGACUACUAAAUUAUUAAUAAAAAUGUCGAACACACCCACAUAUCAUCGACACAAUUGAUUUUGAGGAUCCAUGCUUUGAACUGCAGCCUAAUGUUCAUCAAGAAUAGAGUAUGGCUUGUGAGUAGAAAAUUUUCUUAUUUUGGCCCGAAAUAAAAAGAAAUUAAAUUGGAUGAGAAUCUGCCACUUUCUCAUGAAGAAAGGCAUACGGAGCAUACCAUGGUACCAUACAAAAUAAGGAGCCUCUAUUCUUUGGUUUUUCAAACUCUAAAGGGGCCAAUAUUGCCAAAUUCCCCCUUGAAAAUUCUGAUUACGACAUUAUUCAUCGCUUGAUGCAAUCAAAGUAGUGACAAAGUUAGGAAAAAUAUGAGUCCUAAGUAAUUGCUAGGCAGGGUUCCUGAGAGCAAAAUUGUCCUAAGCAUUAUAUGCAUACAUGGUGCGGUACAUAGAGCACGUUGAAUUCCCCACUAUAACACAAACCCAGAAAGACAAGUAAUAACUCAACUGAUAUAAAGACAAAAAGAAGAUAAAAUGAUAUAGAAAAAAGAAUUCAAAGAGACAGCAACAUACGAUAGACUGAAGCCACUUGAUCUGCUCAUUGAUUGCAGCCUUAAACUUGCAAAUAGUUACUGUACGCUAGUGCUCUAAGAAGUGAAAAUGAUGCCAGCCCUGAUUCCCUUUUGACUUCCAUUUACUGUCAAACAUUCUAGUAAUACAAAAAAUUGUUUAGAUAUCUUGCUAUAAAUAUAGCCGUUUGACUGUCAUAAUAAAGUCACAAAUAACCAUUCAUAUUGAUCUACUGUCACACAGCAUGCUUUAUGCAUACAACAGCUGUAUGUAUACCAACUCCUAACCUUAUCAAUACAUUUGGCAAAAACUUAAGAAGAAAGCUAUUUCUCCAUCUCUUUUUUGAAAUUUCACAAUAACCAGCACAAUGUGAAAGCUAUGUUCUAACCUUAUGAUAAAUGCUCCAGACUCCAAAAGGAUUUUAUAUAUGAGAGUUUGUUGCAGCAGAUAUAUUGACUUAUCAAGUAUGAAUCAUUGUCUGGAUGAACUAUCUUUAGAUAAAAGAAUAUUAGAACCACUGUAGAAUAUCUUUACGCUGCUGGUUCUAACAGGAAUCUGCAUGUGGCAACAAUUGCUAGAUCCACAAUUCCCCAACUUGAAAUACAUAGUUGCACACCAUGAGAUAGUGCUACAAUCUACUGAGAUCUAACUUAUAUGGUACUUUAAGCUACUAAUGUUUGCAUAUUUCUACAUGUUAAAUUAACACUAUCAUCUAUAAUCACUCCAAAACAACAAAUGAUAAGCAGCUUUUGGCCACUUAUUACUAGCAUCCACAAUUAUAAAUAAGAGAUCAUGGGUUUACUUGUUGCACCUACUUAAUUAUCUGCAGUUGACAUCCUGAAGCAAGGUUUAAAUAGUGACUGCUUAGAACCCUUGUAGUUGGAUCUUGACCUCUCCCAUUGUAGCCAAGAUUGGUUACUCUGGUAAUGAAUCAACACUCUCCUGCUCAGGGCCAUGAAGAUCUGAAAGCUCAGCACUAGUGGAGAACUUCAUCAAUCUCUUCUUCUCAGCACACUUGAGACAAGGCUGCAUUACGAGACCAAUCACCACAGCACCAACGCUUAAAACUGCAACUUUUAAAGAAGAAAGAGCCAACACAACACAACACAACACAACACAAAUCAAUAUGGUUGGAGGAAUACACAUGAUAAUGGCUCCAACAGUGCCAGUGGGUAUCUUGUAGGGACGAGAUGCAGCAGGAUAUUGUAUCCUUAACCAUACAAAUGCUAUGAACUCCAUAACCAUUCCAAAACAGUACAGGAAGUUCUCUGCAGCUACAAUAUCUCGAAAGCUCAGCCAUGAUAGCAAAACCACACCAGAUGCUGAGAAUAUGAUUCCAAUCAAAGGAGUCCCAUAACAAGACCUCUUAGCAAAAAACUCAGGUAGCAUUCCACACUCAGCCAUCCCCAAAAGUUGGAAAGAGUUGCUGCUCAUCUCAGCCACAAACAUGCCCAUAUUGGACAUUGCUGCAGCCCCCUGGAUGCAUUAUCUCAACCAAACUCCUCCAAGCACUUUAGCGAUAUCUGAAAAGUAACCAUCGGUCCACAAGUCGCGAUCUAAUGGAAUAGCUCCAGUUCCAACUAGAAGGGGAAAGAAAUACCCAAAAAUGACCAAGAUCAAAGCAUAAAACAAAGCCUUUGGAAGAGUCUUCUUGGGGUUAUCCACCUCUCCAGCUAGUGUACUUAUUGAGUCCCAGUAGUUGAGAUUCCAAAACAGGGUGUUCAAAUACAAAUUCCAAUCCACUUCACCUAAAUUUACUACAAGCCAUCUUGAAGGCUCUAACUUGGGAAGGGACACAAGUCCCAUAACCACAAAAGGAAGGAGUGAGAAAAUCCCUAAAAGAACAGCAGCCCAUCCCACAAUGGUUAGACCCCUAUAGUUCAUGAAAGUGAGAACAAAAGUCAAAGCUAACGCCGCAAAGGCUCUAGGUAACCCAUUGCCCAACGCAGGGAUACCAGACUUCAAGUAGUCAAGAAACAGAACUGGGUAUAAAGCAUUAUCAAUAACCCCACUUAGCCAUUUCAUCCAACCUUGCUGAAAACCCCAAUAUGGGCCUAAGGCAGAUGAAACCCAAACCACAUAACCACAAUUUUCAGAAAACACGGUACCCAUCUCGGCAGUAAUUAAAGCUUCAGGGACACUCCAUAUAAUCGGAAACACCAAGAAACCAAGAAGUGCUAAAAGAGGACCAGCUGCCUUUACACUAUCCUCAACACCAAACGGCCCCCCAGAAACCUCAUAGAAUAUAAGGAAAAUAAGUGGCAAGAUUGAUACUUUUUUAGUGCCAUGGACUCUAGGAGAAGAUGGUUGGUCAUUGAUAUUAACAUAUUCAACAGCAUCAGACUGCCCCAUUUCUACUGAAACUUGCCUAUUUACAGUGUUCCUCAAUUUCUGCAUCAAGUUUUAGCAUAACUAUCAAAAGGGUAUCCGCAUGUAAAUUAUGAAACAAAAUGAGCAUUUACUUUUUAAAAAAAAAUCAAAAAACAGAAAUGGAUUUCGCAGAGCACAUGAAUUUAAGUUCAACAUUAAACAGGCGCUUAAGAAAACAAAAGGGUCUGUUCGUAAAGCCAUCAGAUUGCAAGAUUGAACAACAUUAACGGAAUCAAUAGAAUAGAUGUAAAGAGAUCUGAAAAGAAAAUAAAAUAAAAGAUGAAGAGAGAUAAAACGAACCAUCAAAUAAGUGCAUGCAGAGCAGAGAGGCAGAUACUAGAGAAGCUCCGUCAUGUUAGAGAGAGCCUAAAUCAAUCAGAGCUCACUGAGUUUCUUUUCAACCGACCGGCAAAUUUGGAGUGGCACAAAAUAAUAUUUUUGCUUUUAAUUUUUGGAACACUUUUGAAUGGAAUUUUUUGUUUUUAAAAAAGGUAAGGGAGAUUAGGGCAUCAUAAAAAGAUUUUUUAAAUAAAAUUUUAUUAAUUAUUUAAAAAAUUAUUUUAAUAUUUAAUAUUUUAAAAAAUAUUUUAAUUAAAAUUUUUUAAAUAAAAAAUAAUUUUUUUUAAAUUUAGAGAAUUAAUUUUUUUUAUAAUUUUUUUUAUUAUUUUUUAUUGAAAAAAAAGAGAUAAAUACUUUAAUUGUUAUUAUUUUUUUUAAAUAAUUAUUUGAUUAAAAUAAUAUUAAAUUAUUUUUAUUUGAAGAGUUUUUUAAAAAAUAUCAUAUUUUUUUAUCCUUCUAUUUGCCACAUGAGUAAACAAAUAGAUAUUUAAAGAAUAAAAUUUAUAUAAUCUUUUGGAAAUGCUCUUAAUAUUUAUUUAGUCUUAUAUUUUUUAAAAUAUUUUUAAAAUAUUUUUGUCGUUAAAAUAUUGAUAUUAUUAUUAUUUUUUUAUAUUUUUUAAUUUAUUUUUAUAAUAUUAUUUUUAUAAUAAUUUUUUAUUUAGAUAUUAAUAAAAAAAUAAUUUAAUUAAUAAUUUAAUCCUAAAAUAAAUAAACACGUGUUUGGUUUUGGGCCUUUUCUUUUGUUCGUUUAAUAUCAUCUGGCUCGCUGAUUUGUGACUAAUUAUCAACGGAAUCCCGUUGGUUUCUAAAUUGAAAUAAUAGAAGGUCAUGAGACUAUUUACUCCAUUUAGCACUGCAGACUUAGAGUAUAUUGAAAAAGCUUUGUCAAAUAGUAGUAAUAGGGGCAUAAGAAAUAAAUUAUAGCUAUCACAAAUUCGUUAGGAGAAUUUCAAUUUUUUCCGUCAAUAAUGGCUAUGAAGCAAAAUUACCUUAGGUUAUAUUGCAACACUAAUACUUCAAAUCCUGAUAAGGGGUGAUAAAAUUAAGGUUGUUCAAAUCCCUUAAAAUGCUCCUUUGUUUAGUUUAAAAGUUGUUCUUAAAAUGGAAACGAUGACUUAUUUAGAAGAAAUGGUAAAUUUAUAAUUUGUAAUAUUAUUUGCACAAACAAUAAUAAUGAAGUGUUAAUUACCACUUAACAUUUUUAAUUAAUUUCUAAAUUUAAAACAAAUAUGAAAGUUGAUUGCUUCGAAGGUUGGAUCGACAAAUUGACAUUUGAAAAGAGAAGUAGGGAAUGUAUAUUCUGAUGAAAGGGACAAGAUUAAGUAAGGGGACAAUAUUCUCUAUUGGACCUACAAAUGGGGGGAAAGAUAUAUAUAUAUAUAUAUAUAUUCUUAUUUGUGGAUUGGGCAUCACGUGUAACUAAUAUAAAAGGAGAAAAUUUAGCAUGGUUUUAACAUAUAUAAGAAGAGAAAAUUAAUUGUUCAAACAAAUUAGAAGCAAAUUCUUUCAUAUCUUUCUUUAUUUUUCCGCUUACUUUCUUAGCAUCCAAACAAGUUAAAGUUAAAACGCUGUUGAGCCAACAAUAUGCAGGCAUCAAUAAGCAUAGUAGUUUUGUAUAUGUAUUCUAUACGAUAUUCUGGGGAUGUCAAUUGUAGAACAUUUUGUGGUAACUUUUUUACAUUAAUUAAUGUUUGAAGAACUUGUUAAAAAGAAAAUGGUAAUUUUAUUAUUUUGAAAGACAAAAAAAAAUAAAAAUAAAAGAGUGAAAGUGGCGUUACCUCAUGGUCAUUAGAGACUUGUUGCAAUGAUAGCUCAAAAUUAAAAAUUUGUGAAGAAUUAGUAGACAACGACGAUACUAUAUUUAUAUAGUCACCAACAUGUUGAUUUUUGUUUAAUGUUUGAUCGAUAGAAACUUUUGUCGUCGUCGUCGCCGUUGUUGAAUUCAUGCUUAGAAUACCACAAGAGAAGAAGAAGGGAUGAAAGGGAAGAGAAGAAGAGAGAAGUAGUGGAUAGCAAAUAUGAUAUGCUAGCUACACACAGGCCUUAGAGAGUUUUUUUUUUAAUAUUUAUUGUAUUUUUGUUUUUGUUAUUGGUUUGUCAUAUGCUUCCAAGGCAGCAAUGUGUUACAUCAUAAAUUGCACCUUUUAGGGGAGGUGGUAAAAAACAUGAGAGGAAUGCAUUCUAGCGCAUACAUGCAGAAAGAGUUUCCAAAUUUUCAAAAGUUUGUUAUUUCUUCCACCUUUUUUUUGCUUAAAAUAAAUUUUAAUUGUAUUUUGCAUUAACUUAGAGAAAAAAAAAAUCAAGUUCUAUGCAUAAACGCAUACAUUGAUUAGAAAAUGAGUUUUAUGGACACAAAGGGACAAUAUAAGAGAUUCUUUUUGUUUAUUAGAAGUAACAUAACUAGUUAGUGUAACAUGUAAUUAUAAGCUACCAAGAAUUUGCACUGAUGAUAAUUAACGGUAUAGAUUUUGAGCUAUGAAUGUCUUGUGGCUAGUUUAAUUGGAUUUUCGAGUUUUCAGCAGAUCUAUUUUAAUGAUUAUUAAAUUAUUUUCACUUCUUAUGCUUUAAUAAAAAAAAUUCAAUAUUUUUUGCUGUAUUCUAUAUUUUAAAACUUAAUUUUUAAUUCUUUAUAUUGCAAACCAAACUGAGUCAAAUAGAGUAUGCUCGAAUUUUUCCAAUGCCUUCAAGAAGAAUUCAUUUUAUUUUUAUAUAUUAAUUUAACACAUGUAAACCGGGCCGUUGGAUUGCACAUAAAGCAAAUGAUCAAACCGUUACAAGACCGGCCCAGGCCCACCGACUCUAUUUUCUUUCAUUUGACCAUUAAAAAGCUUUUGGCCACCCCCACCAAAUAAAUAAGCUCUUGUUCUCUUUUGUUUCCCUCUCAAAGGAAAAUAUCUGAUCACCGGAUAAUGAUUCCGGUGACACAAAAGAUCGAAACACCCCCCUAAAUUCCCUAAAUUUACAAUAAUACCCCACCAUGGAUGAUUCCGUUGAAAUGCCGCCUUACGAUGAAAGGCCUAAAAAGGGUUUUAACUUCACCUCCAUGCGCUUGAUCUUAACCCUCGUUUUCCCAAUUUUAACUUGCUUUUUGUUGGCAUUUUUUAUUGGAAUCGUAGCUGUUUUAUUCGGCGAAUCAUCAGUUUCCAGUUCCAUUUUUGUCCCUUCCUAGUGCAAAAUAGUGUCCAGCAGUAAGCUUUUUUUAACAUUUUCAAUUUUUUUUCCAUUUAUGAAGUCCAAAAAUUUUAUUAAUUUUGAUUUUUUUGAAUGAUUUUGCAGGUGUUGAUAUAAGGUCAUCAAAAGUUCGUGAACUUGGGGUGUUGAAUUAUAAGGCGAAGCGUGCGUUUUAUCCAUUUGAAGCAAUUAAAUUUCGCUGUCGGUAUGAUUACUAUUGGGCUUCUAUCUUCAAGGUAUUCAUACAUUUUCCCCUGUACUAUAAGCUUCUUAGUGGCGGUCUUGUGAGCGGAAGUGAGCGGUGUGGCUGACAGCUUCUUGAAAAUUAUGAACAGAGCAUGUUAGACUUUUGUUGACCAAAUUCAAAAGCCAAAUGGCACAACUCAGAAGCUUUUGAAUUGAAUAACUUACUAGAAAGCUCCAAUUUUUUGUUGGCUACAGUAAAAGGAUGUUGUUUUAUUCUUCUUAUACUUUACGCUUGCAUCAGCUUAAAUCACUUCUUAAACGCUUUGCUUUAACUCUACCGCUUCAUACUGUUCUAUAUAUGUAUCGGGUAUGCGGUUGUAGUUCAUUGCUGAGACUACGUGUUUGUUUGACGUGGUAGUUACGUUCCGAGUCUGUUAAACAUUCGGUGAUUAAAGUAUUAUCAGUUAUUUCAAAGGGGCAAAUAAGAUUAGCUACAACACACCCACUAGUUUUAUAAAAUUCGAAUAAGAUGGAAUAAAAUAAAAAAAUAAAUAAGUAAAUUGACUUUUAAUUUUUGUGGUUGAAUAUAUUUUGUAUUCUCUCAGGGCACUGCUGUAAUUGUUCCUUAAAUGUCAGUCACACCCACAUGUUACAGACACAAGAAAUGAAAUCUAAGAUCACCUGUUUAAUUAAAGAAUCACUCAUAAAAAAAUUUUGCCAUUUUGAUUUGAGGAUCCACAUUUUGAACAACCAACUUAUCUUCAUCAAGAACAGAUCAUGGCCUUUGAGUAGAAAAAUUAUUUUUGGACAAACUAUUUUUAUUAAUAGAAGAAUUUCUCAAGGGACUAUUAAAAUUACUAAUGAAAAUGUCAGACACACCCACGUACCAUCGACACAAUUGACUAUGAGGAUCCAUGUUUUGAACUGCCACUUAAUGUUAAUCAAGAACAGAGUAUGGCUUGUGAGAAGAAAAAUUUCUGAUUUUGGCCUGGAACAAAAAGAAAUUAAAUUGAAGGAGAAUCUGGUACUUUCUCAUUAAGAAAGGCAGACGGGGCAUACUAUGGUACCAUACAAUACGAAAAGUCUCCGUUCUCUGGCUUUUAAACUCUAAAGGGGGCAAUAUUCCCCAAUUACCCCGUGAAAAUUCUGAUUACGACAUUAUUUAUUGCUUGAUACAUAAGUAAAAGUAGUGACAAAAUUAGGAAAAAUAUGACUCAUAAGUAAUUACUAGGCAGGGCUCUUGAGAGCAACAUUGUACUAGGCUUUAUAUGCAUACAUGGUGUGGUACAUAGAGCACGUUGAAUUCCACACUAUAACAUAAACCCAGAAAGACAAGUAAUAUCUCAACAUAUAUAAAGACAAAAAGAAGAUAAAAUGAUACAGAACAAAGAAUUUCUAAGAGACAGCAACAUACAAUAGACUGAAGCCAGUUGAUCUGCUCAUUGAUUGCAGCCUUAAACUUGCAAAUGUUUACUGUAGCCUGGUGCUCAAAGAAGUGAAAAUGAUGCAAACCUUGAUUCCCUAUUUACUUCCAUUUACCAUCAAACAUUCUAUUCAUAAGAAAAAAAAUGUUUAGAUAUCUUGCCGUAAAUAUAGCCAUUUGAUUGUUUUAAUAAAGCCACACACAACCAUUCAUAUUGAUCCACAUUGCCACAUAGCCUGAUUUAAGCAUACAACAGCUGAAUGUAUACCUGACUCCUAACCUUAUCAAUACAUUGGCGACAACUUAAGAAGAAAACUAUUUCUCCAUCUCUUUUUUGAAAUUUCACAAUAAAACAGCACAAUGUAAGAGCUGCAAUGAAAAUGGACCGUCUGGAACUAUGGCGGAAGCUUCAACUAGUGUAGUGAUUUGACCUUCUUAUUAACCUGGCAAGAUCAAACACUGCCCUUGAUCUUGAACAGAUCAAUACGAUACGCACAACUUAUGAUUGAAUCCAGAAACCAUCAAAUCUUUAGCAAGAAUAAUUAAUCAGAAUCAAGAAACAAGUUUAAUGAAUAUAAACCUAUAAUUGGAACAAACACAGCCAAAGAACCCAAGAAUGACACAACGUACACCAAGGGAGAAGCUUUCCAGUGAGAUUAUAUUGAUGAUCAAAGAAGAAUCUUUUUACAAAGGUAACAAAAGUGAUUUCAGAGAAUAAGCUAUGACCCUCUCUCUUUUCAAUCUCUGUCUAGUUUGUUAACAGUGAUGACCCCAAUCUGCUUCGUUAGCCAGGUUCAUAACUGCGUCAGUGACAAACUAGCAAACCUAGAUUGAGCAGACUAACGACACGUGCAUAACGGCUUUAACGAACUUGGUUAAAGAACUGCUCACAUGUUCGUCACGCGUGUUGCUUAAAUGAUAGCCAAAACGACUUCAACCAGAUGCCGUUUUGAAGCUUAUGAAUUAUAAGUGAAAACACGUGCUUGUCUCGUGACAUUUAAAUGCAACAACAAGCCCAAAACACUGUCGUUUCACUAUGUUGAGUUUGCCAUCUCCAAGCUUCACAACUAGCAGCGAACAAGAUGAUAAUUUAAUUGACAUGGAGAGCUUUUAUAUCACUUUUACAACAUUCUAUAUAAUUGUGAUAUUGGGAAUCGUCGGUGCUGUAUAUGUGAACCCUCAUUGGCGACACUGGUGGUUUUAUCUUUGUUAAAAUAUGGAUGACUUUUCGUUACUAUUUUGUUGUACAUAACCUUAUUCCUACGAGAUUUAAUCAUUGAAAUUAUGUUAGUUUCAUUAGAAGGCUGAGUGGUUAGUGCUGCUACCCUCCAAUUUGGAGGGCAGUAGUUUGAACCCCCACAAGCGCAAUGUGGGGGUAUUUCCUUCUUUAAUUACAUUGUAUAAUUGAGUAAAGGUAAUUUUCUCUCUUACCCAAGUGUGAGUGGAGUAGACAUCCCUCGAUGGUUAAAACCUGGGCAGAGCUUCAUAAGUAUUGAUGUAAGUUGGUCCCAGUAAUAGUCUGAUUUGUAAAUAUCAGUUAUAGUCUCAUGUUUCCUUCCUUAAUUAUAUUGUAUAAUUAAGUAAAGGUACUCUUUUCCCCUACCCAAGUGUGAGUGGAGUAAAUAUCCAUCGAAUAUUAGUGAGGGUUAAAAUCUGGGCAAAGCUCCAUAAGUAUUGAUGUAAGUUGAUCCCAGUAAUAGUAUGAUUUGUAAAUAUCAGUUAUAGUCUCAUGUAAUAUGAGUUGUAAUUUGAGCAAUAGUUUCAUGUAAUUAAAAAAAAUGUUACUUUCAUUACAUUUUUCUUCGUUAAAAUUCUCAAGUAUCAAUUAUGUUUGCUUAAGAAAUAAAAUUUUGUCAUUAAAGUUGUAGUAGUAUUUCUAAGCAUCUCACAUUUUCAAUGAUUUUUCAUAAAUCAAUUAAUAUGUCGUACCAAUAUCAUGUUUAGUUUUUCAGACUAAAUAAUCAAGAAAGCAAACAAAUUCACAGUUUAGAGGGGUAAACUAGCUUUUAGAUUUUAGAACUAGGCUAGCUACCUCACCAAAUUCCAGUUUGUACAGUGAACUACAAGAUUGAGAAAAUAAUGUAUUUAUAGUUUAAUUGAAUCAUGACAAACAAUGUAGUCAUAGCUCAAUCGGACAUGAUCACGGAGAGGCAUAUUCUUUUCAAGUUAAUUUGAUCCAUUUAUAAGAAAUGAAGUGGAUCGAAGUUAAAAGUUCAAAUAAAAAAUCCUUGUUCUUGAGUUUUACGACGUCGUUACUCCUUCAAGAGGCUGAUUAUGCAAGUGAAUGGAGAAACAUAAUGCAUUUAUAAUUUUUUUAAUAAUUAUAAAAAUAAUUAACCAUAACAAAUCCCUUGCGUAAAUAAUAAUCAUUAUUUAAAAGGUCCAAAGAUGGUUAGUGCACAAUCAAAUUUUAAGCCCCUACCUCCUCGGCCCAAGAUUCAAACUUAGAUGAUAAGCCAAAUAAAAUUAUUUGAAAAUCAUUCAAUCAAGUUCCGGGGCAAAAAUACAAGAUCCUUAUUUACAUGAUAUAUAUGAAUUAAUGUAAUUUAUUUGAAUUGUCCAAAUUCAUUAGAGAUAAAACUAUAAAAUAUACCAAAAAAGUUAGAAGGAAGGCUGUGUUGGGAUAUUUUACAAACUAUAGGGAUCUGGUGAGAUUUUGAGCCAAACUGUAGGGAGUUGAAGGCAUUUGCCCAAUAUGUUUAGACGUACACUAACCGUUAUUUGAUCUUGUUGUUGGUCCCGGAUGAGCUGUAGUCUUAUUUUAAUUUUAUUUAAACUCACCAUAAGAUUCGCGGAGCUCCUAACUAACUUAAAUGACUCUGCAGAGCAUGUCAACACAUACCAUGUUUAACCGUUUUAUUUGUAGAAGAAUUUAUGAUUUCCCAUUAGCAUUAUUAUUGAAGUGGGGCAGGUCAAAUCUCAAUUGCUUGAAAAUUUUAUUUAUUAUUAUUAGUCUUGAAGUGGGGUGGGUAACGGUUCGCUCAAUUCGAGGGGAAUCAAAUAUAUCAUCCAAGGUAGAAUUGUGGAAAAUUAAAGCAAAAUAAGAAAUAUGGAAAGACAAGAAGAAAGUUAAGGCAUGAAAGACAUAUACAGUUGAAAUUGAUAAUCAUGUUUCUAUUUUGUUAACUAAUCAAAUGGAAAGCUGAACUGUAAACAAACAUUAAAACGUGUGGACCAAGCUCGCUGUCCUACAAGUCUACAAUAAUAAUUGAGUACUUUGAUUCAUCCUUCUAUGAAUUUCUACCCAUAUUGACUCCACCGAAAUUUCCACAAAAUAAAAUUAAAAAAAAAAACUGAAUUUCCACAAAAUACAAAACCCGUUGAACUUAAUUUUUGGUCAUGUGAACUAAGAUGUAAAUUAUAAAAAAAAGUAUAAAAUUAAAAAAGAUGAGAUUUCUAAAAUGUGUGGAAAGUGAUUCAUGAUUCACUGAAAUUACUUACCCCAGAUAUAAAGGUAAACCUAUCUAAUUUCAUUAAAAAUAGUUGAAAAACAUUAACUAAUAGAAAGCUACGGAAAUUAACCCCCCACAAAAAUGACUUUUUAUAGAAGAAUUUAUGUUUUUUAAAAUAUGUUAUCAAAGUGUAUUUGAUCAAAUCUGAAUUGCUUAGUAUGGUUAGGAUUUUGUGAACAUCACUAAAAAGUGAAAACUAUGAAUGAUAGGGGUGAUGCUUGCAAUAUGAAUAAAUAAUGGACUGAUUCAAUUUCUGAUUACAUUUAUAUAUUAUUGAUUAUUUAUGAAUUUUCAGACUUGUUAUGAUGUAUAACUAUGUGAUUUUGAAACUUGAAACCGUGGCAAACAUUGAAAGGAAUUAUAACUUGAAAGCAUGACUCACGGGGUAUGUCAUGAUUCACGUGCACAAAAAAGGUAGAAUUGUGGAAAUUUACAACCCAACGACAAGUACGGAAAGAAAGGAAGAAAAUUAAAAGACUUUGGGCCUAGCUGCGUGUAUAAAUUAUUAGAUUACUUUUUUUUUUAUAAGGGUAAUCAUCAAUUUACUCCAUAAAAAUCUUUAAUUCAAUUAAAAUUUAUGGUAUUUUAUAUAUUAAAAAUUCUAAAAUAAUUAUGUAUUCACUUGAAUAUAGUUUUAGUUAUAAAUGUUAAAAUAUUGUGGUAUUUAAUAUAUUAUUUAUUUGACAUUCAAAUUUAAUAAGGAUACAAAUGUAAAAGUAUAUAUUUUUCAGCUUUUUAAGUUGAAAAAAACAAACAACUUAAUACUUAUUUUUUGAGAUUCAGACAAAAAAAUAAACAUAUUAUUCAGAUUCAGACAUUCAGAUCUAUUCAGAAUUCUCACUAAUUCAGAUCUAUUCAGAUUUCAGAUAAAAAAAAAAAAAACAAAACGCCACCUAAGUAUAGUUAGGAUUGUGUGAACAUCACUGAAAACUAUGAUUGAUAGAAGUGAUCUUGGCAAUAUGAAUAAAUAAUUAACUGAAUCAAUUGAUUUAUAUAUUAAUGAUUGUUUAUGAAUUUGCGGACUUGUUGCGAUAUAAUAAUAGCAUAUGAUUUUGAAACUUGAAACAGUGGUAAAUAUUGAAAGGAAUUAAUUUGAAAGCAUGAUCCGUGGGGAAUGUGAUGAAUCGUGUUUACAAAAAAGGUAGAAUUGUGGAAAUUUAUAAUAGAACGAUAAAUAUGGUAAAAAGGAAGAAAAUUGAAAGACUUGGGGCUUGGCCUGGGUGUAUUUUCUAACAGUCCAAUGGACAAAAUUAUAUUUGUAUACUUUCUUUUCAGGAAAAAGUUAUUCUCAUCCCUAGGUUUCAUGCAAUAGCUCAUUCCAUCCUUAUUUUUUAAAUAAUAGACCAAAACAUUCUUCCGUUAACUCACUGUUAGUUGAAUGUCGUUUGUUAGUUAUUCAUUAAGAGUAAAAAAUGAUUUUCUAUCAAAGAGAAAAUUAGAAAAAUAAAUAAAAGUUGACAUAUAACUAAAAAUGAUUUUAUCUAAUCCCACUAAAUAAGAAAUACCAAAAAAGAUGAAAAUUUUAUAUUUCAAGCAGUUCUUUUUUCACUUAUUUCUAUUUUGGCGGUAUGAAAGCCCUAUAAACCCUAGAUCUAAGUACCAAAAAUAUUGCAAUUUUCUUAUUCAUAUAAGUAUACUCUCUAAUUGCACUAUAAAAUGACUUGAAUUGAAUUGAAGAUAAAGAAUAUAUUCAGCACAUACAAAGCACAUAAAAAUUGGUGGCAUUUUUGAGUUUUUCUUCCAAUGAUUUAAAUAUAUUAUUUUAAUUACAGUUUGUUCCUUAUGACAAUUAUUAAAUGGCUAUAUCAAACUAUAUCAUCGUUGAUUUCAUUUAAAAAAAAAAGUUAAUGAAUUUUGCAUACUUUGUAGUGUUAUUUAAUUGUGUAAAAAAAUUAUUUUAAUAUAGUUUGUAUCACUUUAAUGAAAAAUUCUAUUUUGCCCUCAAUGAAUUACUAGUUAACAGUUUUACACUAACGGUGAAUUAACAUAAGGAUAUUUUAGGCUAUUGUUUGAAAAGGAGGGAUAAAAUGGGCUAUUACAUUAAACUCUAAGGAUGAAAAAUGCUUUUUCCCCUUUCUUAUCAAUCAACUAACUGAUAAAAGUCAAAACUCAUAUUUUUUUUUCCUUGUUUCAAUCCCCUCUCAAUCAAAAAAGUUUCAUUGUCUAAGCAAUGAGGAAUAUGGCUAGAAAGAUUGUUAUUAGAAAGAUUUAUCAAUAGUAAUUGGUUCACAAUUGAACCGUUUUAGAUUAUUGUGAGUCAAUAUAGGUCCUGUUUGGAAUUGAAGUGUUGCAGCUCUUAAGUUAUAGAUGCUUUGGAAAAAAAACUAAAAUUAUGAAAUAAGAGUUAAUAAUAUAUAAUAAAUAUAAAUUUUAAAUAAUAAUUGUGACAAAAUUAUUAAAAAUAUAAUAGAUUUUUGAUAAUACAAGUAAAAAAAUCAUAACAACAUAGCUUGCAAGCUACAACAGUUAGUGUUUAACAAAUACUUUAAUACUGUGGCUUUUAAGUUACAGCUGUUCAAUACCUCAAUUCCAAACGCACCUAUAAAAUGGCUUGCUUCAAAAGUCUAUCAACCCAACUUGGAAUGCUCUCAUUCAAGUGGCUAUAACUAAGAUAAAACUUCGCUAAGGAAGAGUAAUUAAAAAAUGUAACUUUAACAUGUCCAUAUAGCAUUUUUGUUUACAAGUGAAUUUGUGUGAUAGAGAGAGGAUGUAAGCAAGAUAGUAAAGUCCUAAAUAUAUUAUUGUGUAUAAUGUCUAAAAUUUAAAGAGAAUCAAGCUGAUAAAACUCCAUUGAAAUUAGACCUUCAAGAAUACGGUUCUUGGGCAUUAUAAAAUGUUGUAAUGUUGAGAGAUUACCCAACCAUUAUGGAAUCCUACCAAGAUGAUUGUUACCACUAAGAUACAAUCCUUCUAGUGAACAACAAUCAGAUAAAUUUUUUGGGGAUCUCUCUUACAAAGUGAUUACCAUCCAAUCGCAAUUUUGAAUGAAAAUAAAUUUUUUUUAUUGGGAGUUUAACCUUAACAUUAAAUUUAGACAAUGAAUUUUAACUUUCUACAGUUAUUAAGCAGAUUACGGACAUUUGAGGAAUUUGAAAACAUUUCAUCCAUCGAAAGUUAAAAUUAGAGAUGGAAGAUAGGUGCUACAGCUAAUGGGAACAUUACUUCCUGUCCCUCAUCACACUUUAUUUUGGGUCUAAUAAUUUUACGGUAGCAUUGACCACUGCUCAAGGUAAGUAAAACUUACAAAUGUGUGGCAAAAUAAAUAAUUAAGUACAUAAACUGUUAACCAAUUUUCUUGAUAUAUACAGCUAAAGUAGUUGUAUAUUAGUGUCCUGAAACAUGUUUAUUAUGAUAGACACCUCCACCGUACCUCAAACAAAUCUGUCAUUAUUAGUGUCCUGAAACAUGUUUCGGCCGUCAAAGUCAUGAGAGGGUUGAUGACGCUACUACGUAUGAUGACACACCAGCCGACAGUGUAGUAACAGCUCAAAAACAAAAUCUACCAAAAUCAACGGAAGUUAAUAAAAAAAUAUUUUAUUAAUAAAAAAACUUAUUAUUUGUGGAGAUAUGUGUAUUUGAGUCUGUGGACUGAAAUGGAAAAUAUGAAGAAGUUCAGAGUCGUUGUGCAGAUUGACUUCAGUUGAGCGGGUCUAAUAGAUAUUUUAUGCUGACGUGGCACGAAUUAGUUAUAAUCUGUUAUAACGAUUCCAGAAAUAUCGGUAUAAAUAGAAGUUGAUGAGCAGUGCCUGUUGUACGAUCCUUUUCUUCUUCAGCAGUUCGUCAAUUUGCAUAGAAUCUGUUUCACUUAUGUUUGAUUAGUUGUUGAUCGAUAACGAGAGUAAAUUUUUCCUUCAAAUCUUGCUGGUUCGUGCCCCUGUUUCAGUUUUGGGUUUUUUUUUUUUUUUAGUUCUGGUUUCUUAAUUCAAUUGAAUUUCUUGGUGCUUAAUUCAUCAAGAUUCAGUGGAAUUGACUUGAAAAGGACUCAAUAGACUCAACAUUAUUUAACGACACUCGGACCGUGGGGUACCGUAAUCAUAAUAUUAAAAGAUUUAAAAUUUUAUGCAUUUAUUAAUUGUUAUAAUCUAAAAAAAAAUUAAUUAAUUCAGGUCAAUCUGAGUUGGUGCAUCUGCAGAGCCUUUUUUUUUUUUCCCCUUAUUGACCAUAACUUUCGACUUAUUAAUAGUUAUAUCAAAGGGUGUGGGUGUUUUACCUCAUCAUGUCUUCAAGCGGAAGAUGAAGACUAUGCAAGUGAAUACAGUGCAUUUCAACAUAGCAUAUUUAACCGUUUUAACAGUUAUUUGGACCGUCUUCAGAGCUAACAUCAACAUACUCAUUCAUAUGCUUAAUAAUGAACGAAUAGUCAUGGAUCGAUGUUUUGCAGCAAGAGCAACUCGACACAAUCUGGAUUCAACCUCCUCCUUUCUAACAGGGUGAUACGCCGCGGAGGUCGUCAAGGAUUCCAAAGCCUAGCAACAAGUAUGCUGGGUACAUUUGAAUUAUGCAUGGAUGCUUGGAAGUCGAACGGUCACAUGGCUCAAGACUUAUGCAUACGUUACAUGCAACAUGCAGCACGUUGGAAGAAUGGUCAUUGGAGCAGUCUACAUGGAUCAUGGGGGGGAUUCGGUCAACAUGGGAUCACUUGCUGAUUUAAUGGAGAUUUAUCAUUUGGUUUAAUUCAUUUUCGGUUGUUUAGUUAAGCUAAAAGAAUAAGUUAAGUUGUUAGCUUAGGACCUGCCUACAAUCUCGAGUGAUAGUUAGAUUGUUUGGCUAAGUUGUUUUAAGUAUAAAUAAGCUCCAACGGACUUGAAUAAAGGGCAUUGACUAUUAUCCAAAAAUCAAAUAUCUUGUGGUCUUAUUUCUCACCCUAAGUAGAAAUAUAUUCAACCACUUACGCUUUGACUGGGACCCCUAUCAGUGGUAUCAGAGCGAGGUUACUAUGUCAACCAACAAGGAACGCAUAGAGCGUGUGGAAGCCGAGAUCGGAAGCUUGCAAGAUGGAAUGAAGCGUAUGGAACUAGGGCUUACUGACAGAUUGCACCGCCUAGAAGAAACAAUGAGCAAACUGGUAGAUUCACUUCCAACUUCAAAAGGGAUGCCAAGUCACAACAAUUCUGAUCACGUUGGAUCCUCACAGCCUAGCCGUGGAGAUAGUGAAGGGAGCCGCCAUCAGCUAGCAUCAAGACUUACCAAACUGGAGUGUCCACGAUAUUCCGGCGACGACCCAACGGAGUGGUAUAAUAGGAUCAUGCAAUUUUUCGAGUACCAGAAAGCAACCAAUGAACAGAAAGUCUCCUUAGCUUCUUUUCACCUCGAAGGAGAGGCCAACCAAUGGUGGCAGUAGAUGCGACGAACUUAUCAAGAAGACGAAAAAAUAGUAACGUGGGAAAUUUUUGUGGAGGAGCUUUGGGCACGGUUUGGCCCUACUGAGUGCGAAGAUUAUGAUGAGGCGUUGUCCAGGGUUAAGCAGACAGGGUCACUACGUGAUUAUCAGAGGGAAUUCGAAAGGCUUGGGAACUGGGUACGAGGCUGGACGCAAAAGGCCUUGGUCGGGACCUUUAUGGGAGGAUUGAAGCCGGCAAUCUCAGAGGAAAUUCGGAUGUUUCGGCCCAAAACUUUAAAAGAAGCUAUAAGCCUCGCACGUAUGAAGGAUGAUCAAUUAACGCGACAAAGGAAGUUGCUACGACCACAGUACCUCAACCGUACACCACCAACACCAACAAACAAUACCCGUGCCCAACCAACGAGACCCAUCAAACGGCUGACUUGGGACGAAAUGCAGCGGCAUCGAGUAAUGGGACUUUGCUUCAAUUGCAACGAUCGGUUUACAGCAGGUCAUAAGUGCACCCAACCUCAGCUAUUGCUCCUUGAAAGUGAGACAAUGAAUGAUGAAACUACAUAUGAGGGAAUUCCUGAAGUCUUAUGAACAAAACCUGACACUAAAGAGCCUACCGAUCCAAAAAUCACUUUCUAUGCCCUCACUGGAUGGGCAGCCCCAAGAACCAUGCGGGUCACGGCAACGGUAGGACCAUAUGAGAUUAUGGUUCUGAUCGAUAGCGGUUCAACUCACAAUUUCAUCAGCUCCCGAAUGGCCAACAUGUUACGGCUGCCAAUCAUUCCCACAGCAGGAUUUUUGGUGCGAGUGGCAAACGGAGAAACGCUAUCGUGCAAGGGAAAAUUCGAACGGGUUCAGGUAUUAUUACAAGAAGUUCCAUUCACUUUGACUCUUUAUUCACUUCCAAUUACAGGGUUGGAUAUGGUGCUUGGAGUCUAGUGGCUUGAGAUGCUAGGCUCAGUGGUUUGCAAUUGGAAACAACUUACCAUGGAUUUCACUUGGGAGAACAAAAGUUGCCGGUUACAAGUCAUCGGGCCUCAAUCAAUCCAAACAGCAUCCUUGACCGAAAUUACCAAAGAGCUGAGACAAGGGCAGUCCGGUUUUGCUAUUUGUUUCCAUGUGAAUGUAGAAGACUCUCUCAACACAACAACUCCAGAUAUGCAAGACUUGUUAAAGGAAUACAACACUUUAUUUCAAAAGCCAACAAAACUGCCACCUAGACGAGAAAUCGACCAUAACAUCACAUUGAAAGAGGGAACUGAGCCAGUCAACGUACGGCCAUACCGUUAUGCCUAUUUCCAGAAAGCCGAAAUUAAAAAACAAGUCCAGGAGAUGCUGAAUUCGGGACUCAUUCGGCCUAGUACCAGCCCUUUUUCAUCACCAGUACUACUUGUCAAAAAAAAAGAUGGAAGUUGGCGAUUUUGCACCGACUAUCGGUCUCUCAAUAACGCCACUGUUAAAGACCGAUUUCCAAUCCCUACAGUCGAUGACAUGCUGGACGAGUUACAUGGAGCAGCAUACUUCACUAAAUUGGACCUAAGGGCCGGAUACCAUCAGGUACGUGUAAACCCAGCCGAUAUCCACAAAACGGCUUUUCGUACAUACAAUGGACAUUACGAAUACUUAGUAAUGCCGUUUGGCUUAUGCAAUGCACCAUCGACAUUCCAGGCCAUCAUGAACUCUAUCUUCCGUCCCUAUCUCAGGAAAUUUAUCCUUGUUUUCUUUGACGAUAUAUUGAUAUACAGUCCCUCUUGGUGUAGCCACCUUACUCAUGUUAAGCAGGCAAUGGAGGUUCUUAAACAACAUCAAUUUUUUCUUAAAGCAAGCAAGUGCACUUUUGGCCAACAAGAACUCGAGUACCUUGGCCACAUAAUUACCAGCCAAGGGGUAAAAGUAGAUGAGACAAAAAUUGCGGCCAUGGUCUCCUGGCCUCAACCGAAGAACAUCUCAGAGUUACGGGGAUUCCUUGGCCUUACAGGUUACUAUAGAAAGUUCGUCCAAGGAUAUGGAGUUUUAGCUCGGCCACUCACGAAUCUUCUAAAAAAAGGACAGUUUGAAUGGAAUGCAGAAGCGGACAAAGCUUUUAUCAAUUUAAAAAAGGCAAUGACAAGUACACCCACAUUAGCCAUGCCUAAUUUUAAUGAAACUUUUAUUAUUGUGACAGAUGCAUCCGGUGACGGCAUCGGCGCAAUACUCCAGCAACAAGGGCAUCCCAUCGCAUUUAUGAGUCGUGCCUUGGGAGUCACAAAAAAAUCUUAGUCCACAUACGCAAAAGAGAUGUUGGCGAUUAUAGAAGCUAUCCGUGUGUGGCGACCUUAUCUGGUGGGACGAAAGUUUAUCAUCCAAACCGAUCAACGCAGCCUUAAGUACCUUUUGGAACAAAAAAUAACGACACCCGAAUAGCAACAGUGGCUGGCCAAAUUGAUGGGGAUUGAAUAUGAAAUCCAAUAUAGGCCCGGCCGUGAGAAUGUUGCCGCCGACGCCCUUUCACGACGACCUGACAGUUCUGCUCUUAACAGUUUAUUUGUGGCGCAGGUAUCUAUUUGGAAUGAAAUAAAAACGGCUGCCCAAGAUGAUGAUUACAUGCAGCAAAUUACACAUCAGGCUCUGACUCAACCUACUGGCCCUUAUUUCAUGCGUAACGGGCUAAUUUUCUUCAAGGGCCGAGUUGUAGUUCCUCUUCGACUCCGUCAAUCUUUAAUUUUUUAAGCCCAUGACACUAAGAUGGGAGGUCAUUCAUGAGUUCUACGUACUUACAAACGUUUGAAACAACAAUUCUAUUGGCCUUCAAUGUUUCAAACGGUUCAUGACUAUGUAGGUAAAUGCGAGAUUUGUCAAAAAACGAAAGCAUCAACCCUUAAGCCUGCGGGUCUCCUCCAGCCCUUGCCAAUUCCUUGCCAAGUGUGGGAUGAUAUCACGCUCGACUUCAUUGAAGGGCUGCCAAACUCACACGGUAAAAAUUCUAUUCUAGUGGUGGUGGAUCGGCUCAGCAAGAGUGCACACUUUAUGGCCUUGACUCACCCAUUCACAGCAAAAACAGUGGCUGAGAAGUUUAUUGAUGGAGUGGUAAAAUUACAUGGCAUGCCGAAAUCAAUAAUCAGUGACCGAGACCCUAUUUUUAUUAGCAAGUUUUGGCAGGAGUUUUUUCAUAUGUCCGGUACACAACUCAAUAUGAGUUCUGCGUACCAUCCGCAAACCGACGGUCAAACGGAAGUUAUUAAUAGAUGUCUUGAACAAUACCUGCGAAGCUUUGUUCACCAAUGGCAGAAGCAAUGGAACUCUUACCUACCUUGGGCAGAAUACUGGUACAACACAACGUACCAUGAGUCCACAAGCAUGACUCCUUUUUUGGCUUUGUAUGGGCGACAUCCACUGGUAGUACCAAUGUAUCAUGUGGAAUCUUCUCCAGUGCACAAGGUAGAUCAAGCUUUGUUGUCUAGGGAUGAGCUGCUGCGACAAUUAAAACAGAAUUUGAAAAUGGCAACCAAUCGCAUGAAACAAUUUGCGGAUACAAAAACGCGCGACGUGGAGUUUAAGGAGGGUGACAUGGUAUUCCUAAGACUUCCACCGUAUAGGCAGACUACUGUAUUCCGUCGUGCUCAUCAGAAGUUGACCAGCAAAUACUCUGGGCCAUAUCCAAUUCUGCGAAGAGUGGGACAAGUGGCUUAUGAGCUUAAACUACCGACGGGAUCUCGAGUGCAUCCGGUAUUUCAUGUGUCCUUACUCAAAAAAUACGUUGGUGAGAUGCCUCAAUUCAGUGCAGAUCUUCCAUAUGUCAAUGACGACGGAGUACUCGUUUUAGAACCGGACAAAAUUAUUGAUGUUCGUUGGCUUAAAAGAGGUGGCAAGUUGGUGGAACAAAGUCUUGUCCGUUGGAAACGCCUUCCACAUGAGGACGCAACAUGGGAAGAUUCAGAGUUCCUGGCAAAGCAAUUCCCUCACCUGACCCUUGAGGACAAGGGUCCUCUUCGUGGAGGCGGUAUUGAUACACCGCGGAGGUCGUCAAGGAUUCCAAAGCCUAGCAACAAGUAUGCUGGGUACAUUUGAAUUAUGCAUGGAUGCUUGGAAGUCGAACGGUCACAUGGCUCAAGACUUAUACGUUACAUGCAACAUGCAGCACCUUGGAAGAAUGGUCGUUGGAGCAGUCUACAUGGAUCAUGGGGGGGAUUCGGUCAACAUGGGAUCACUUGCUGAUUUAAUGGAGAUUUAUCAUUUGGUUUAAUUCAUUUUCGGUUGUUUAGUUAAGCUAAAAGAAUAAGUCAAGUUGUUAGCUUAGGACCUGCCUACAAUCUCGAGUGAUAGUUAGAUUGUUUGGCUAAGUUGUUUUAAGUAUAAAUAAGCUCCAACGGACUUGAAUAAAGGGUAUUGACUAUUAUCCAAAAAUCAAAUAUCUUGUGGUCUUAUUUCUCACCCUAAGUAGAAAUAUAUUCAAUCACUUACGCUUUGACUGGGACCCCUAUCACAGGGGAUUUCGAUUUGAGUUACUUUGUGCUCAAGCAAAUUCACAUCAUAGUUUUGAUUCUUUAGAUAUGAAUUCAUCACAUUACAUAUAUCAGAUUAAGUGUAACAAAAUUUUUAAUUUACUGCGAAAAGAAUAUGCACUAAACAAUGAUUUCAAGACGAUUUGACUACCAAAAGCAGCUGUCAGAGUGCACUAAAAAUUUCUGUAGGAUAUUUUGUAGCUGUUUAAUAUGUUAUGAUGGGCAUAUAAUUCUCAAAUUUUGAUGCCUCUCAGCGAAAAAUAUAUCAAAGUUUAGAUUAUGUGUUCGAGCUUUAAUAAAUGGUCGGAAAAAAAGCUGCUGUCAGAGUGCACUGAGUGAAUAAUAAUAACGACAAUAAUAAUAAACUAAAAAACAGAAUUAAUUACUAUUGAAUGGUCGGAAAAAAAUUUGAAAACGUGUGAACUCCAAUAAUCACCCCACAAAUUCAGUGGCGAAUUUUGGAGAGGGCAAGGCCGGGCUUCUCAGAAAAAAAUUUAUUUAGUUACAAAAUUAUCUUUAUUGAAACCUAUAUAAAUUUUUUUUUAUAUUAAUUAGUUAUGUUACCUCUUCAAUUAUCAUCAAAUUUUUGUCUGUUCAUCAUUUGGUGAAUAAAUGUGUGUCUAAAUAAUUUCAAAUAACAUUUAGAACAAAUAUUUUGAGAGGUAAAGUUUAUUUUGUCUCCCAUUAUUAGGUGCAUCUAUAAUUUCUUAUUUACAAAAUUAUAUUGUACGAUAAAAAUUUAUUGAAUUAGGGGGAAAAAAAAAGUUCAGCUCACUCAAAAACAAAAAAUGGUAUUAACUUCGCCACCGCACAAAUCUAGAAUAAUAAUUAUUCCUUAUCAUGCUGGGGAUCCUUUACUUUCUAGCCGUAUUGACAGCACCAGGUAAAGCUUUGUAAAAUAAUAAGUUACUCAUUAGUGGUUUUUAAUCUUUUUAAUUCUUUUUACCGCACACCUGAUCAAGAAUUUUAUUUUGUUAACUAAUCAAUUGCAAAGCAUAUAUAAGUGUUGAACGGUACGCAAGAUUGGAAAAAAAAAUCUUAAAAAACGUGUGGAUUCGGGUGGCCACACCAGAAAUCUAUUACAAUAAUUAGCUUUGAUGCUGGGAAUCUUUUAAUUUCUGGCCGUAUUGAAAUUUUUAAAAUAACAAGUUCCCCUUCUCGUUUUUUUUUUUAUAAAUAUAUAAGCUUAUAACAAUUUUAGAAUAAUGACUCAUUUGUAGAAGAAUUUAUGAUUUCCCAUUAAUAUUAAUAUUGAAGUGGGGUGGGUCAAAUCUCAAUUGCUUGAAGAAUUUAUUUAUUAUUAUUAAUAUUAUUAGUAUUGAAGUGGGGUAGGGAACGGACCAGCAGUUCACUCAAUUCGUGGCGAAUUAAAUAUUACCAUCCAAGGUAGGAUUGUGGAAAAUUAAAGCAAAAUGACAAGUAUGGAAAGGAAGGCUGAAAGUAAGGCAUGACGAAAGGCUUUGAGAAGGCUGAAGACUUACCAAAGAAGUCAACUGAAAACUAGCUGGGGCCUGAGUGUAUAAAUUGUUAGAUGCGUUUGUUAUAAAUAACAUAGAGCCCUUUUGUUAUUUAUAGUUAUAGAGAAAGAGAGAAUGUGUGUCUUUUAAGAGUUAGAGAUAUAGCUAGAAUGGGCGGCUCAAAAUCCAAAAUGGUGACAAUGUUAGUUCUCGUAUUGGUAAUAUUUUGGGUGGGGGGGGGGGGGGGGGGGGGGGGGGGUUGUGAGGGAAGGAAGGUCCACAGGCCGAGUGGUACAACUACACCUUGGCCUUACUAGGAAUAUCGAUCUGGGAGAGUGGUAUCUGAAUGCUUCUCUAUUUACUUCCUUUCAACAACUUGGUAACAAAAUAGCCGGCUGCAUGCGUUGAGAAUGAAGGUCCUUCAUUUAAUUUAAUUUACUUAAUUUCUCCCUCCCAAUUAAUGUCUAAUGGAGCUCAUUCUUUGGUUUUACUUGCAGGUCUAGAAGCAGGUGUCAUCUAACAGCUGCUUUGAUAAUUUCCCACCCCUUCAUCUUUGAUGGAAAGAUGAAAUAAAAACAAAAUGGUGAAAAUGGUAUUGGUACCUGAGGCUAUGUAAUCUAAUUCAACAACUGCACCAUCAAAACGAUUACAUAAGUCCCAGAAGAAUCAAACAUUAGUUUGCAAAAUAUCAAUUGCUGGAGGUUAGAUUCUAACUUCCGCUCUUGAUUUUUAUGGGCAUGUUGUAUUGUACUUGCAUACGAAAAUCAUAUUUUAGUUUACUUACACUCAAUGCUUGGAUUAAAGUUUCAGGUGGGGAAAAUUGAAGGAGACUAAAAUGACUCAAAAAAAUAGUUGAAUGAGUGAGGGUUUUGUCUUCAUUUGAGGAGCUCUUUAUAAAUUUUAGGAUUUUUUUUCCCGAGAAAAUUUAUGCCAACUUAUUCUUUGCUUCUUUUCUGAAGGGACAAAUGCAACUGAAAGUGUAUUCUUGAAUUCUCCAGGAUAAGAGACAUAUGUUUAAUUAGAUUCUCGAGCCUUCAAAACAAUAUAAAAUUUUAUAUAUCUGAGCAUGAUGGUGUUUGACAUGACUUAAAAUUGUUUAAUUUACUCUCACGUACAAGAAUGCCUAGUUAUAUUGUCGCUCAGAGUCCGAGGUUAAUCCAUAAAGAAAUGAUUUAAUUUGUUUAUUUAAGAUUAUCCCAAAAAAUAAAAAUAAAAUUUAAAUAUAUGUAAUUUAAUUUGAAAAAAGUUAUGAAAUUAAAUUAUUUAGAGUCAUGGAUCCACUCUUAGUAAUAAAUACAAUUUAAUAAAUUCUUUUUAUUUUUAUUUUAUUGCCCAAAAGAUUAAUUAUAUAAAUUAUAAUUAUUUUUCCAUUAAUUUUAUUAUGGAUUAAGUACUUAAUGUGCCAAAACUUAACUUGUCUACAAUAUGUCAAAAUACCAUUUUACCAUACUUUAUGCUAAGAUAUUAAGAAUUCAUGUGCCAAACUCCCAUGUUUGUCUACAAUAAAUCCAAAUUUCAAAACAUAAAAUAUGGAUCAAAUUAAAUAAAAAAUAAUUUAAUUUAUAUAAUUAAAAAUAGAAUUUGAUUAAAUCAUAUUUUUCUACUUAGAGUUUUACCUCACCCUAACUAUUAGUAUUUAGCUAAACAUAUUUGAAAUAAAUGAAAUUAUUAAAAUUGAAAAAUACAUAAUUAAAAAAAUGGUAUUUGAAAAUUAGAAAUAAAACUAAUUUUAUUUAUUGAAAAUGUAUUACAAAGAGAGAUGAGAAGAAGAAUUUGAGGGAAAAGAAGAGAAGAAAAUGUGUGGAGAGGUGUGUGAAAUUAUAUUGUAAAGAUGUUACACAAACAAAUGAAUAAAAAAAAACUAAAUGAAAAUUACACAAAUUAAAAAGAAAAUGAAAAUUAAAUAAAAAAGAUAAAUGUGUAAGAAAAAAAUGCGCAAUAAAAAUAAAUAAACUGAAAAGUAAUUAACUAAAAUUAAAAUAACUAAAUAGGCGGUAAACAAAGUAAAUGCCAAAAAUAAAAUAAGUGCGAAAAUUAAAUUACAGAAAUUAAAAGAAGAAAGAAAGAAAAAAAUAAUUAUCUCAAAGUGUAAACUCUUUUUCUUUUUCUUUUCAAAUUUUAAAUAUUACCAGCCAAUUAAGUGAUUAAUUCAAAUUAUUAGGCUUUAAUAGUAAUUUUUAAAAUCAAUAUUCAGUUUAUUGAGUCCAAAUAAGGUCCAAAGAAGUUCAAGUUGUUGGUCUAAAAUUGAGAAUUUUGGGAAAUAUUGGCAACGGACCUAUUCAAAAAGCUCUAUAAUUUUGUGGUCAAACUGCAAUUAUGAGAAGAAUGAUCCAAAAAUUAGAAUUUUUGGGGUGAGUGAGAUUUAGAAAGAUUUUGUGGAUAUAACAUAAUUUAAGAAAGAAAAAGGAGGUAAAUGAAAAUUUACACAAAAAGUAUAAAAAGAAAGAAAAAAGAAAACAAAAUAAAUACCUCUCCCAGCAAUGGCGGUAAAAACUUAACACGACUUAAAAGCAUUUAAUUUACUCUAAAGUAUAAGAGUACCUAGUUAUAUUAUAUCGCGAGAAGUCCGAGAUCGAUCUACAGAAAAAUGAUUUAAUUUAUUUAUUUAAGUUUAUCUAAAAAAUAAAAAUAAAAUUAAAUACAUGCAAUUUAAUUUGAGAAAAACUAUGAAAUUGAAGUAGUUAGGAUUAUGGAUCUACUCCUAGUAAUAAAUGUAAUUUAAUAAAUUCUUUUUAUUUUUAUUUUAUUGACCAAAAGAUUACUUGUAUAAAUUACAAUUAUUUUCCCAUUAAUUUUAUUAUGGAUUAAGUACUUAAUGUGCCAAAGCUUAACUUGUCUACAAUAAGUCAAAAUACUAUUUUACCAUACUUUAUACUAAGAUAUUAACAAUUCAUUGUGCCAAACUCCCAUGUUUGUCUACAAUAAAUCAAAAUUUCAAAAUAUAAAAUAUAGAUAAAAUUAAAUAAAAAAUAAUUUAAUUUAUAUAAUUAAAAAUAGAAUUUGAUUAAAUCAUAUUUUUCUACUCAGAGUUUUACCUCACCCUAACUAUUAGUAUUUAGCUAAACCUAUUUGAAGUAAAUGAAAUUAUUAAAAUUGAAAAAUACAUAAUUAAAAAAAUAGUAUUUGAAAAUUAGAAAUAAAACUAAUUUUAUUUAUUGAAAAUAUACUACAAAAAGAGAUGAGAAGAAAAAGUUGAGGGGAAUGAAGAGAAAAUAAGGUGUGGAGAGGUGUGUUCCUCCCCCCACUUCUCUAUUUAUACUAAUACAUGAUUAAUCUAUACCACACAAAUAAAUAAAACUAAUUACAUCUUAGGCAUACAUUUGUCCCACUAACAAAAUAUAAACCUAAGUUAAUCCACUUAAGCACAUCCAACACAUUUCACUAACAAUUACCACACCUAACAUGAUAAAAACUUAUAAUUUCACAAUUACCACAUUUACUUUUACAACAAAAACCACGAAUCUUCUCGACAAUAACCUAAUUUCUCGGACUUUCGGAAUCUAAAAAUUUAAAUAAUAUUAAAUUUAUCUAAUAUAAUUAAAUGUAUUAAAUAAAAUAAUGUUUCAUUUUAUAUUUACCCUCCUUUUAUUAAAUUUACUAUAAUUAUAUUUAAUAAAAUAAAUAAUAUUAUAUAUUUAAAUAAUAUUAGUUAUAUUUAACUAAAUUAAAGCAAAAUGACAAGUAUGGAAAGGAAGGCUGAAAGGAAGGCAUGACAAAAGGCUUUGAGAAGGCUGAAGACUACCAAAGAAGUCAACUGAAAGCUAGCGGGGGCGUGAGUGUAUAAAUUGUUAGAUGUGUUUGUUAUAAAUAACAUAGAGCCCUUUUGUUAUUUAUAAUUAUAGAGAAAGAGAAUGUGUGUUUUUUAAUAGUUAGAGAUAUAGCUAGAAUGGGUGGCACAAAAUCCAAAAUGGUGACAAUGUUAGUUCUCGUAUUGAUAGGGGGGGGGGGAGAGGUCGAGUGAGGGAUGUUUGGAGCAUGAGAAAUUUGAUCUUUUGCGGCUGGAUGUUUGGAGCAUGAGAAAUUUGAUCUUUUGCGGCUUAAACAUUUCUUCAAUUCCCCUUAUACACUUCAAAACUGGGUAGGUGAACAAAGGGAAAGGGUUGAGUGCAGCAACUCCACAGGCCAAGUGGUACAACUACACCAUGGCCUUACUAGGAAUAUUGAUCUGGGAGAGUGGUAUCUGAAUGCUUCUCUAUUUACUUCCUUUCAACAAUUUGGUAACAAAAUAGCCGGCUGCAUGCGUUGAGAAUGAAGGUCCUUCAUUUAAUUUAAUUUACUUAAUUUCUCCCUCCCAAUUAAUGUCUAAUGGAGCUCAUUCUUUUGUUUUAUUUGCAGGUCUAGAAGCAGGUGUCAUCUAACAGUUGAUUUGAUAAUUUCCCACCCCUUCAUCUUUGAUGAAAAGAUGAAAUAAAAACAAAAUGGUGAAAAUGGUAUUGGUACCUGAGGCUAUGUAAUCUAAUUCAAAAACUGCACCAUCAAAACGAUUACAUAAGUCCCAGAAGAAUCAAACAUUAGUUUGCAAAAUAUCAAUUGCUGGAGGUUUGAUUCUAACUUCUGCUCUUCAUUUUUAUGGGCAUAUUGUGUUGUACUUGCAUCCGAAAAUCAUAUUUUAGUUUACUUACACUCAACGCUUGGAUUAAAGUUUUAGGGGGGGCAUUGAAGAAGACUAAAAUGACACAAAAAAAGAGUUGAGCGAGUGCGGGUUUUGUCUUCAUUUAAGGAGCUCUUUGUAAAUUUUAGGAUUUUUUUCCUAAGAAAAUUUAUGCCAACUCAUUCUUUGCUUCUUUUCUGAACGGACAGAUGCAACCGAAAGUAUAUUCUUGAAUUCUUUAGGAUGAGAGACAUACGUUUAGAUUCAUCGAGCCUUUAAAACAAUAUCAAAUUUUAGAUUGCUGAAAUUUUAUAUAUCUGAGUAUGAUGGUGUUCCAAUUAUAAGCUCCAGGGUGCAACUUCACUAAGGUUUAGAAUACCUUCCUAUAGAAUUGAGAAAUCUCCAUUGGCAUAAAUAUCCUUUGAAAAUAUUGCCAUCAGAUGUUGAAUUGGAGAACCUGAUUGAACUCAGCUUGCCUUGUAGUAAGGUUAAGCAAAUUUGGAAAAGAGAAAAGGUAUAAUGUAUUACUAUUACCAAAGUAUCUAUUUUUCUUUCUUUAAGUAUUUAUAAUGAAUAACUUUGAAAUUGAAUGAUGCUCAUUUAGUAUAGUUGUGUAUCUUUGGUUAUAGGAAGCUGUCAAGUUAAAAUCUAUAGAUCUUCACCACCCUCUGUAUCUCAAUAGGAUCCCAAAAAUACUAAAUCUUAAAAAAAUAAAUCUUUCAAAAUGUGAAAGCAUGCUUACGUUACCCGCGUAUAUCCACAAUUUCAACUAGCUCAGUAUGUUGUGUUUCAUGGGAUGCAAAAUUCAUUUUGUUUCUCAUGAAAGGAUUGACUUGUUCGGAUGUAUUAGGGUUAAUAAACCAACUAAUCCCAUAAUUUGUUGAUGUCGGGUCCUAACAAAUUACUGCAGUAUAUUGUAGAUCAAUACACUAUUUGAAAACGUAUUUGAUCCACACAGUGAAUGUUUGAGGGUGCAUUUCUCGCGAACCAGCCAUACCCUAAACGAGGAGCCGGUCUCCUUGUAAUUGAGCAGGCAGGUGAAGUCUGGUAGCAAAUAUCCAAGAGCAGGAAUUCUAUGCUCAAUCACAAGGACAUCCUCUUUUGGACUAUAAUUCGAACAAGGUUCCUGCUAGGAGCCGAGAGCCUUUCCUGCUGGAGAGCGGGGUCGGCAGGCCUAGUCUAUAACGGUUAGCGAGACGUGCACUCCUAUUCGAGAAUCUAGGCACGAAACCAACUCAGCUGCAACUACGACAUUCAGGCAUCCACUUCCGUAAGCUGAGGGAGGUGAUGGACGUGGAUCGUAGGGCGUCGGAUUUGUAAGACGGCUAUAAAACGGUAAUCAACGAAGGUAAAGGGGUUAGACACUUUUACACUAGAACUUAAGAAAUAAGACCAUUUACUAAAAAAGGAGAGAAACACUCAUAGGUGUUCCACUGCCUAAGAGAUCAUGAGAGAGCCACGAGAUCAGUGGCCGAGUUUCCCAAAAAGUAAACCUAAAUUUCUGACUUGAGCGUAGGAGGAUUUUUCCGGCGUGCUCUGACAAGUUUUUGUGUGCGCAUGAGUCUGCUAAGUCAUACAAGGCAUAGCUUUGCUCGGUUAGAAGAGUUACGUGAAGUAUCCUAGGUUGGUCGUGAGUUCGGGAGUUAAGGAGAGAUCCUGGUUGCAGACGAGCAGACACCAGAAUCUCGCAUCAACAGUGAAGAUGAUUCAAUAUUAAGCAUGUCAUAUAAUCUAGAAGUGGAUAUUGGACCAAUUUGAUGAUAAUGAAUUUCUUUCAAUCUCAAUCUUUUUCUUUUUAGCAACAUGACUAGUAAUUGUGCAAAUUUAAACUCUGAGAAUGAUUUCUCAAUCGGUUUCUAAAAUGAUGACCAUGCAUGUAUACGUGUGUGUGUGUAGAGAGAGAGAGAGAGAGAUCACACGUGUGUGAUUUCCUUUUGCCAAUAGGAUAUGCAGAGAGCUUGAUCUUACCCAAUAGCGAAACAAACUUCCUAAUAAGUGAAGGUAUAGUAUAAAUACUUAUACUUUCAUGUUAUUUUGUUCAUCGGUAGCUUGAUUAUUUUAUAUGCGUCUUCGAUUUUAAUUUUCUUUCCCUAUAAUCGCUAUUAUCUUUGAACUGGUCAUGAUUUGCCUAUUAGAUUUCUCAUGUUGUUUUGAGGUGCAAUGGAUUUUGAAUUUAGUGACGAGCAGUGGAAGCCAGAAGGCAAAUUAUGAAAAUGGAUAAAGAUCUAUAAUUAGCUGUUAUGGGAUGUCACAUAUCAUAUUGAUGGUAACAUUAUAUAUAUGUACAUAUAAUUAAUGGGGUUGGCUCACGAGCCCAUUAAUAAUCGUAUAUUAGCUUAUAUACUUCAAACAAUGUACUAUGAAGUAAUUUCACAAAUACUUGUUAGCUUAUGUGGAGCUUUAUUGAAUCAGUAGUUCACAGUUCAAUAAAAUGCAGGUUUGCUAUUUGAAGUACAUGGUCAUGGUGCGUACAUUCUUCAUAAGGCUAACUACUAAUUUAUCAUUGAAACUUGAAAAAUGUGAUAGAGAGAUGUAGAUAACAGCCGCAAAACACUGAGAUUGAAAAUCAGGGCUACUAAAUUCUAUUAAAAGCCCUUAAAAUAGACAGCGAUCAUCCUAAAAUAUUAAUUGCAAAGUUAUGCACUAAUAGAACUAUUGACUACUUAUCUUUAGCAGAAGGUAUAUUUUUAACUACAGCUUUCUGCUUUGUUCUAAGAACUAGGCAAAAGUGGUAUAUCUUCAAUCCAAUCAACAUAUAUACCACUUAUUUUCCCCUUCACUUCUGUCCAUUUUGAUUUGCACUUCAUAUCCUGCACUUGCUGCUUAGAAAUAGUCUUAGUCUGGACAUUGAAAGUAGAAAAAGUACUUGAAACAAUCAUUGGCACAGCCCGAGAUUCCAUUGAAUCGUGGACUCCAAGCUUUCAUAGUUCUAUAAAGAAAAUGACAAAACAUCAUACAACUGGCAUUCGGCUUUUAACAUUUGCACAACCUGAGCGCGUUAGCAAGCCCCUUAUUGCGUUCCCAUUGAAUAGACCUACUUCUGUUAUCCACAGAAGAUCCACCUCUCAAAAUGUUUAUCACCAGGCUAUUCUUAAACUGAGCCUAAACUGAGUAGAAACUUCCGCACAUCUCUCAGCAUUUACAUGAAGAAAGCGACAACUAUCCUCAUCUCUCAGCACAUCUCUCAGCAUUCUACAAAGUUGCAUUUCACUAAGCAAUCUAUCCUCUCCAUUCCUAGCAAAGUGACAUUGAUUCCCGUAUUUGUAAUCGCCUAACUUGGGUUUUGGGCAUAGCGUGGUCUUAAAAUUACCACCCAAUACUUUGUUCAGUGCCACUGGCAUCCACAAGCUCUAGCCUUGUUAGCUGAAUCAUAUUCAAUAGGACAGUGAGACAGCAUUUCACUGACAUAUUCAAUUUGACUACUUAUAUUGACGCAAAUAUUAGAAUUUGAAAUCACUUCUUUUAUUGGAAUAUUAUAUUAAAAUGACCCCAAAUGAAAGUUCUUGAAUGGAAAUGAUUUUUAUUUAAUUUUCCAACAGAUUCAAGAAAACCCAGAGAACAUUAAUUUACACAGUAAUAUGAUUAAGAGCUGAGAACGUACAUGUAGUAAAUGUCUAUCAAAAAACACCCAAGGGUUUCUUUAAAAUUAGAAACUAGUAAACAAAAAGAAAGAAUCAUUUUACAUUUUUAUCAACUUUGGGGUGAGUGAGGAGUGAGAAAUUGAAACCCUAAAGUAAUGACAACAGUAAGAUUCAGUAUGAAGUGAAACCCCAAUUUGAAAUGUAGGCAUGAGUUGCUGAGUCAGUAGAUGAAGCUGUAAAUAGGCAUUCGGUUUCCUUCUUUUCGGUUUGGAGGGCCAUGGAAUAGUGUAUUGGAGUGGGCUCCAAGUAAUAGCCUCUAUCACUGGAAUGACACAUCUAUAAAAUGUGAUACAUGGGGAAGGAUUGGACAUUAUAUUCUUAGAUUAGCGCCUUAUUUAGGGUGUAUAUUAAGCAGAUUAUAUAUUACAUGGAGAUGGAGUUUAUGAAAUAGAUUAAAAAGAAAAGGAAAUUUUGGUGCCUAAAGUUUGCCACUUGGAAUAUUUCGGUGUCUAAAAAUUCACUCACCACUUAUUUCAUGUUUGAUUAUAUGUUGAAAAGAUAUUAAAAUAGUAUAAUGCUAUUAAGGCUUAACGUAUAUUUUUUAUUAGUAGAGUGUAGAAUUUUUAAGAAAUAAAUUAUUAAAUUAUUAUAACUAACAUAUUAUUUUAAAGUUGUGUUAUGAAAAAAAUGAAAUAAAAAUGUACAGUAAAUAAGAAUAUUUUAAAACUUUUAUCUUUUUAAAAUUAUUUUUUAACAUAAGGUGAACUAUUUUUUUUUUAAAUCACAUAUUCUAGUUAAAAUCAAAUAUGUAUUUAUAUGAAGCUUGUAAAUUUUUUUUUUAGUACUGAUAUUUGGAUAUUACCAAUAAAAAAAAAGGUAAUGUGCAUGCUGAAUUAUUUUUGUAGCACACAAAAGGACAACACCGUUUAUGUUAUCAUACUAUCACUUCUGUUAUGAUAAUAUUUUUUUGUGGCCAAAUAUCUUCUUUUUUUUUUUAAGUAAAAGUGUGGACAAAAUGCAAAUCAGUUUUUAAUCCUCAAUCUCUCCCAAAAUAUAAAUUCGUAGGUACAUGGGUUGUUAAAACUAUAGCUGACAAAAAGUUACUAACAAAAACAGAAUGUCCAUUUUAUAACUUUCUUAAAAAACUUUCCUUAACUUUUUUAAAAAGUUACCAAUAAAAAGUUAUUUCUAAUUUUUAUUUUGUUAUAAUUUUUAUAACAAAAUUCGUAGUUCGUAGUUAACUAAACUCUUCUUAUUCCCUUUCUCAACUGCCAUACCCUAACCUUGUUCCCCACACUAAACCACGCUCAAUUAAGGCCAUCAGAUUCUCCCGGGCCCACAUUAAUCCAACUGCUCACAGAGACCGACAGCCUCUCUAUCUCCAUUUCAAGCUCCCUCUUCAACUGGCUUCUGCUACCGUCCUACUCUUUCUCGGCUUCGGAGUCCGUAUUUGCUCGGCCUGUCCCACGAAGCUCCCUCUCACUCCAAUUGUCGCCCCACAAGACCAAUUGCUUAAUCAAGACACCGAACAAGAAAAGGAUGAGAAGUUGAAACAAGAAUUUGAGAAUUGGAAAUAAAAAACGUACGCAUUGACCGUGCCUUUGAGAGUCGUUUCUCUUCAGAACUCAGUGCCUCAAUCUUGGGUUAAGGAUUUUAUGCGAAGUCAGGGAAAGAGAUUGAAGUUUCAGAUGAAUUUGUGUGCUAGCAUUGAUGGGAUCUUUAACAAUUUAUCUGUGCCCUUUAACAAAGUUAAGGCUAAGUCAGCUUCUUAUAUGGCUGCUGAUUUGGUUAGUGUUGGUGAUUCAUGGCUUAGUUUUGCCAUUAAAAAGAGAUUGAUUGAGCCAAUGGCUGGAGCUGAAGACCAAGAUUGGUUCAAAUGCUUAAGUCACAAAUGGAAGGUAACAUCUUUGUCUUUGAUCCUCGAGGUAAAAUAUGGGCGGCACCGUACAGGUGGGGCACAACGGUGAUAGCCUACAAGAAAAGUAAAUUUCGAAAGCAUAAUUUGGCUCCGAUUGAGGUAAUAAUUUUCUUUAAACUCAUUUAGUUUUAUAUCAAACAAAAUCAAGACUGCCUUUCUUUUCAAUAUUUUUUAUGAUAAUAUCUUUAGAAGCAUCUCAUUGACGGGUAACAAUGGCAUCCCUGAAAGAGUCUAUAAACUCAAUGAUAUUAUCUUCUACAAAUGGUUCAUUAAACUUUGUCGUUGUACUCAAAUGUACACUCAGAUCAAUGAGAAGCUAUGCUACGUUAGCAUGUAGUGAUGGCACUUAAUAAGUGAGUUGCUAGGAUGUGAACUAGAAAAAUUAAAUAUUGUCUCCUUGGGUAUGCUAGCUGGUAAGUCAGGGUUAAUAUCAGAGCUUAAGAUAGUAUAACCGUGAGAACCUAUUGACUGCCAAUUAAAAUAUCCAUUGAAAUGUCUAGGGAGUUAUGAAGGUGGAGGUAACUUCCAAUUUCUAAGGCCACAGAGUAGACAUCAUCCAGGAUCCUAAAAUAUCCAGUUAACCUCCUGCUCGAUGCGAUUAAUAAAUUUGGUCAAUGCCACUGAAACCUGCUAACUGACGUCACAAUGCGACAUGAGCACUUCAAAAUGGGACAGAUGGUCAGUAGCACUAAAUUUUUCUUGCCUAAGAUUGAGCAAUUGGUCUAACUACUAAUCCCUAUUGUAGGUUGAUCAUUAUUUUUUCAAUUAUGUUCAGUUUGACCCAAAAAGUUGCAGAAUCUUGAGCUGAAUAUUGUCACUGAACACUGUCAAUGUUGUUUAGCAUAGCCAACUAACUUGAUGUUAAAACAAACACACAGUGUGUCUCAUGUCUCACAAUUCAAAUUAUCAUCUGUAAUGAUGGAGAAUUUUUCCAAUGUAUGAAGUAUGCUUUGAUACGUGGGUUACCUUGGAGAAGAUAUCUCAAAAUAAAGAAUAUGGGGAGAAAACAGUUCAGUAGUUUAUUAUUCUGUAGUCAAGUUUUGUCUCGAAAAUGGUCAAAAUUUAAAUGAAUAAGGACAGGGAAUCUUCAUUCUUUUUUCCCUUUUUUAUACCAAGAUAUCUCUCAACCUUUAUAUAAUCCCCACUGGAUAUCUGCUUCUAAUAAUUAAAAUAAAAAUUUCACCGCUCUAACAAUAAAAAGUAACAUCUUUAAUCAAAUAAUUUACAGUUCCUCAUCACCUUAGUGUGAGACUAUCAGUACAUUCCAAAAACUUAAUAAAACUGGUUUGAUCCUGUUUAUUGAUGUUUAAAUGUUGUUCAUUGUGACAUGUAGAAAUGAUGAGGCGAAGUUUAUUUGGACAUCAAUUAGUAAGAUCUUGUUUGAAGUUGUUUUCUGAAAUGAACUGCCCAAUGGUAGUUUUUUGGGGGCAUUUGAUGGCUCUUUUUUUCCUCAUUUUCAACAUGUGCCUGCUUGGAACAGGAAGGAUUAGGCUGCAGAGUUGUUAUAUAUUUUUAGAUGCUCUGGUCAUUGCACAAUUUGUUCACACUGGAAAUUAGAAUGAGAAAUUUGUUGAUGCUGUUUUGAGAGAUCUGCAUUCUAUGCACAAUAACGUGAUUAAUGAAAAUGCAUUGUAGGACUGGAAAGAUCUGUGGCAGCCUGAGCUCGCAGGAAGAAUUUCAAUGGUUAAUUCUCCCCGAGAGGUUAUUGGUUCAGCUUUGAAGAAUAGGGGAGCAUCAUACAAUUCAAACGAUAUUGAUUUGCAAGUUGCUGGUGGGAAGAUUGCUGUUCAGCAGAAUCUGGCAUUACUGGCAAACCAAGUACUCUUACAGAAAUGAUAUCUGGUCAUUGCAUGUUAUUGCCUGACAACUGAUUUUGUUUGUACAAGUCUGCUUCUUCAUACAUAUGAAUGCAUAUGUUAGUGUUUUCUUCUCCUUUUCAUACAUAUAAAUGCAUAUGUUAGUGUUGUCUUUUCCUUUUCAUACAUAUUAAUACAUAUGUUGGUGUUCUCUCAUGAGAUGGAUGCAAUAGAGGCUUUUGCUCCUAAAUUUAGCUGAAGAAAUGGGAAGGGAUGUGAGAUUCUGUCUCAUUAAAUUAACAAAAACCCAAAACAAUGAAAAUCCAUAAUAAUGUGGUGUGGGUAAAUUGGCUCCAUUUGGUUCGUUUCCUUAAUGUGACUGCGCGAGCAAUAGAGACUAACAAAAUGAAGUGACAACAAGAAGUCAGUGUCCUUUGAUGGAUGCAUUUUUAGGCAGAAAUAGGUUUGUAAUUGACCAAAUUUGCCUGGCAUGCCAAUUUCAAAAAAAUUAAAUUAUGUGGUUAUUGGCUGUAAUGAAGGGGGAUAGUCGGUGCAAUCAGGUGGAUCCUGGAAAGUUCAACAAAGUUUGGUAUGGCGUAGUGAAAUUGGUUUGUGCAACUCAGGAGUCUUUCAGGUGAACGAUGAUAGGUUUUGAUUUAUGAAUAUUAUAAAUCUACUGUGCAUAUUAUUCUAGCAGAAUCAUCUAUAAGUUCUAGUUAUUGAAAUUGUAUACUUUGCCCGGUUUGAGUUAAGGGCACAUGUAAUAUGAAAGAUAGUUGUCGCAUCUUUUAGGUUACCUAACAUUUGAUCAAUCCUAUUAUGGGGGCUUCAAGAUGUCUAACAAUAUGUAGAAUGCCCAUGCUCCUCCCCAUUGUUUAUCUUAUACAAUAAUUUGUUUUAGAUGCUAAUAUCUUUGUCGAUACUGGUAACAAUAUUACAAUAUCUGCCUUUAUUGGGUUUUACAUAGGUUCGACUGUUUGACAGUACACACUAUCUGAAGGCAUUUGCAAUUGGAGAUGUAUGGGUUGCUGUUGGGUGGAGUAGUGAUGUUCUUCCUGCUGUCAAACGUAUGUCUAAGGUUUUAUGAGAAACGAAAGAUGAGUGUUUGUUUGAACAAAGUUGUUGCCAAUCUUGCAGAGUUCGAAAAGAAAGAUCACGGAGCGAAUGCCACCGAUUUCUUCAUCAUUUUAGCCUCCAUAGUUGAAGUUUCCUCAUUUGAAGCUGUUUAUGCAUACGCUUUUUCCCUGCUCUAGUACAGGAAAUUGAAGAAUUAACCAGAUGUGAUAUGCUGAAAGAGGGAAGUUUUCUUCCUUGAAUGUGGCCUUUGUGAUUUGUCUUGAAGGAAUAGGAUGAUCACUGGCAAAAACCCUAUCAAGGUAGAUUUUAUGAUGUUAACAUAUUAUUAAGCAUUUUGUUACAUCAGCAAUGAUGCUUUCAUAGCAUGAAAGUGUCUAAAUUUAACUGAAUGAUCUUGAUUAAUCAAUUAUGAGUUUUAAUCGAGUAAAAACUAAAUACAAUAAUCGUUGACAAAUACUGAAAUUGGGUAAAUAUGAUCUUGAUAUUGAGAAUCUGAAAACACAACCCACACAGGGAAUCACCCUUCGCGUGGGGAUGGAGAUGUUUACUGCAGCGAUAUUGCAUAUGUCCACUGCUCUUUGGGUUAUGGUGCGACUUGCGAUUUCAAGGUUUCCCUGAAACAAUGAAAAGAUUGACGUACCCUGCAAUGAAUGAAAGCGGCUGGACUAAUUCUGAUUACCUAAUUGACUCAGGAUCGGCUGGCAAUAAUGACAGUUUAUUAACAAUGCACAGUCCCGAGUACUUUCCAGGAUCAGAUAUUACGUGGUCUAAUGUUGAUAAUAAUAGAUUAUCAAAUGACAAAUCGUUGUUCUUGGGUGUUGAUUUCAGAAAUAAAAUACGUUCUGAGAGAUGCUGGUCUACUAUUGCAAGCCCCCAGAUUUAAGAAUCUUUUGAUGAUAAUUUACCACCUGUAACUGUGCCGGAAGAUUCACCUAGCACUGAAAAAGAUGAUAAUUUAAUUGAUAUGGACAGUUUCCAUAUCACUUUUAAAUCAUCUUAUGUAAUUGUGAUGUUAGGAAGCAUUAGUGAUCUACAUGUGAACUAUUAUUGGCGCCAUUUGUGGUUUUAUUUUAUUAAAAUAUGGAUGACUUCCCGUUACUAUUUCGUUGUAGACAAUCUUAUCAAUUAACAUAUAGUUUAAAAUCAUUAUGAUCUAUUAAUUUUCAUGAUAUUUAACUGAGUUAAAACUAAGUGCAUUCAAUAAAUCUUUCUUCCUUUAAAAAACUGUUGCGCUUUAAUUUUAGUGCUUAAUAUUUACAGAACUCUGGUACAGGGAAUUCGAAAUCAAACUAGUAACUACAGAUUAUCUAAUUGCAAGUUUUUGUCCAUAGUUGCAGAUUUGUAGUGAUUAUCUAAUUGACUGAGGUGACAACAAUUUUUUUUUUAAUUUUCAAUAGCAUAAUGUGGAAUUCAAUAAUUAAAUUCUCCUUUUUAAUUUGUUUCCAGUUAAAUUAUUAAUUACUUAAACUUUGUUUUAAGUCUUUAAUUUUAUGUCUUGGCCUAUAUGCAGGGUUGGAUUCUUGAGCGUGUUGGACACGACCAACAAUGAAAUUGACAGUAAACAAACAUUACAACACGUUGAGUGUCGACUCCAGUAGCUGCCCUACAAGUCUACAACUUUACAAACAAUAAUUGAGUACACACAUUUGAUUCUCGGGACCCUCCAAUGAAUUUCUAGCCCCGUUGACUCCGCCGACAAAAGUUUUGGAAAAUAAAAAAAAUUCAUAGAAUUCCACCAAAUACAAAACGCGUGGAAUUUAAUUUUCGGCCAUGUGGACCAAAACACAAUUUAAUGAAAAAAAAGAUAAGAUUUCUAAAAUGUGUAGAAAGUGAUCCAUAUUUUACUGAAACAACUUGUUAAAUUUUUCAAGGAUUUAGAAUAUUUGAUCAUAAAUUACGCCCAUGUUAAUUUUUCCGCUAUUGACUAUCAUUUUCUAGACUCACUGUCACCUUUCUUGAUGAACGGUACUUAGUCUCUCUUCUCCUCUUAUAAAAAUUAUAUUAAUUGAUUUCUUAUUAUAAUAAAUAGUCUUUAAGAACGUAUAGAUUUAUUGUUUUCGUGACCAAAUUAUGCCUGCUUAAGGUUGAGACUAUUAAUAAAAUUAAUAUUUAAUGUUUAUGUUAAAAGAUAUAAGAUUUUAUGCAUUCAUUAAUUGUUAUUAGCUAAAGGAUUAAUUAUUUUUUCAACCCAAUCAGUUGAUGCAUCUGCAAGAGUUUUUUCUUUUAUUUACCAUAAUUAUAUUCCGGGUACAAUAAAUUAUCUUUGGUGCUUGGAAAAUAUGACUUCUUACUUCAAGUUUGAUGUGUCUCUCUCCGUAAGCUUACUGGAAAUAUAUCCUCAUUUACUGUCAUUUAUCUAAUAUCAAAUGAAAGAUCUCACUUUUUCAAACUAUCACUUCCAAGUCUCAUUGUCACUUAGCCAUUCUUGGACCAUUCAAAACCAAUCUGUUGAAAUAAUCAAAUAUAUGCAAAAUUAGAGUCACGAUUGUUGGUCCCCCAAAUUCUAAUUAUAUAACUUCUAUAUAUCUCAUUGUCAGGUCACGAACUUGUUGGCACAUUUCCAAAUUCCUCUUCCAUCAGCUCUCACACGUUAAUUUUUAGGUUAUCUAAAUUUCAAGGAUUUAAAAUCUUUGAUCAUGGAUUACAUGUUUAAUUUUUCUGCCAUUGACUGUCAUAUUCUAGAUUUAAUGGUACCUUUCUUGAUCAAGCGUAAUUACUCUCUCGUCUCCUCUUAUAAAUUCCUCUUCCAUUAGCUGUUAGCCUAUAUGGCUAUAGAUAUUGAUUUUGAUGAUAACAAACCACAUGUGUUGAUUAAACAAAGAUUUAUGAAUUGUGCAUUUAUAAUAAGAAAAUGAUGUUAUGGAAUUAAAGUGUUUUUGGACUAAAGUGAAAGUAUUUUAAAACCUUUGAUAUUAUUUUAAAAUUUCAGAUUUGGACCUAUUUGAAAAUAUUUAAAUAUUUUGGGUCAUUCUAUAUUUUUACAUGGUUUGGGUGAAAUCAUAAUUUCAAUUUGAGUGUGUGAGACACUUGAGUGAAGAGGUUGGGAGAUAAUCUCUUUGUUGUAAGGGUUCAUUGACACAUUGAAGUCAAUUGUAAACGUUUGAAGCCUUAAAAAAACUUGGAUAGUGAAAUCCUCAAGUUUGAAUCGCUUGGAGGCGUGGACGUAAGCGGGGAUUGCCGAACUACGUAAAAAUUCGUGUGUUUGUUUCUCUUCUCUCUUGCUCAAUUGUUAUUGUGCUUUUAUUGAACUUAUUACUUUUGAAUUUAUUAAUGCAUUAAAUUGGAUUGUUAUGUGGCUUUGUUAGGAUAUUUUUUAAAAUACCAAUUCACCCCCCUCUUAGGUUGCACACUUGUAUUUCAUUAGCAUUACUAGGAAUUUGUUGAUCUCUAAGAUGCUAACUUGAGUGAAGAGUUUCCAAAUUGAUUGUUACAAAACAACAAAAAAACUAGACACACUUGAUCUGUCUAAUAAUUCUCUUUCGGUAAAAUUAAUUAAUUUUAGGGGAAUUUUCGGCCAACCUCUGUAAUUUCAAAGUGAUCAUUAAUUAAUUAAACGAUACAAAUAUCUAAAGUGAUUAGAUGUUUGCUGACAAUACAAGUUCAUGGCUUGAAAUUUGAUCUCUAUCGAUUGGUUUACAAAUGGACGCACUUGUGCCUUUGUGGCGAUAAUUAAACAGAGAUGUGAAGUUGUAAAGAUUUGACAAGUUCCCAUGAUUAGUAUUUUUUUUCAAAAACUUUUUUACAACAAAUUCAUCUCGCCCAAAAAUUAUAUUUUGCUAUCUAACAAUAAUUGAGCACUUGGCCGCAUUGACUCCACGUCUCCACCUACUUUCUAAGUAAAAACAUGGAAAUGUAAUCUCCACAAAAUGUCAAACGUGUGGAAUUUAAUUUUUGGCCUUGUGAACCAAAAUGCAAAUGAAAGAAAAAGAGAGAAAAAAACAAGGCCCAAAGACUACGAAAAGAUAUAAAAGUCUUUGGGCCUUUUUAUAACGGUGGAUUUUUUAAAAGGAAAAAAUAACAACACUUCUAUGGUUUGUUUUGAUAAUCACAUUUACAUAUACUCUCUAAUUUUUAAAAUGGACACAUAAAUCUUUUUUUUUUUUUUCUACAAACGUAUAUUAUUCGUAUUUUUUAUUAUUUUUAAUAUCAUAUUGUUAUUUUUUUUAGAAGAUAUUGUUAUUUAUUAUAAAUGUUUAAAGUAAAUUUUUAGGUUGAAAUAUAAUAAAAAGGUAUAAUCGUUCUCUUAUUAAACACCCAUACUUUUAAUUUCUAUCCAUUUGUCAUCUCAAUCUCUCUCAAUUAUUCUUUAUUGCUAGCUCAAAACGCGUUGCUGUUGCAAAUUAUAGCAAAAAGACAAAUAUGGAAAAGAAAAAAGGGAAGAAAAUUAAUGCAUGAAAGAUUUGGAGAAAACAACGAAGUAAGUCAACUAUAAUCUAGUUGGGUGUGUAAAUUGUUUGAUGCUUUAUAAGCAAAUAACAUAUAGAGACAGACAAUGUGUGUUCGUUUUUUCAUAGUUAAAGAUAUAGUUAGAAUGGGUGGUUCAAAAUCAAAAAUGGUGAUAAUGUUUGUUAUGUUAUUAAUAAUAUUUAAAAGUGGGUGGAGUGAGGGAUGUUUGGAUCACGAGAGAUUUGCUCUUUUGCGACUUAAACAUUUCUUCGAUGAUACUAGUAGUUAUCUUUACGAUUGGGGAGAUGGUGAGGGAGCUACUGAUUGUUGUCAGUGGAAAAGGGUUGAGUGCAGCAACACCACAGGUCGAGUGAUAGUGCUAGACCUUUCUAGCAUGUAUUGGGGAGAGUACAGCUGGUAUCUGAAUGCUUCUUUGUUUACUCCCUUCCAACAACUUGAGUCACUUGAUUUAACUGACAACAAAAUAGCCGGUUGUGUUGAGAAUGAAGGUGCUUCGUUUAAUUUAAUUAAUUUACUUUCUCCACCCUAAUUUAAGUUGAAUAUCAAGACCGAGCAAUUAUACACAUAUUCAUUUAGUCGACAAUUUUGACUUUUUUUUAAAUGAUUAAUUUUGAAAUUACACCAAUAUCUAUGAUCCUUUUUUUUUAUUUUACUUGCAGGUAUAGAGAGGCUAUCAAGAUUGAACAACUUGAAGAUGCUUAAUUUAAGUGAUAACUCGUUCAACAAUAGCAUUUUAUCAUCUCUAACUCAUCUUUCAUCAUUAAGAUCAUUAAAUUUAUUUUGGAAUAGAUUGGAAGGAAGUAUUGACGUUAAAGGUACAUAAUUAAAACUUCAUCCCUUCUCCAAGCUCUUUCAUUAACUUGCUAAAAUAAGAUUCAAGGCUUUGAAUUCAAAUUUUUUUAUGAUUAGUAUUAAAAAAAAACAGUUUUAAGCAAUUUAUAAAUACAAGUUUUAAUGUUUCUCAUAAUUUCAUCUUGUACUUUCAUAUGUCUUGAAUUUAAGAUUAAAAAAAAAAAACUCUAAUAGCGAACCAAACACCUCCACAACUAAUUAUUAUUAUUAUUAUCAUUUUUUUUUUAUUUGUGGUGAGGUUUGAAACAUUCAACUCAAUUUGUACUUAUUACAGAAUUUGAUUCUUUGAGAGAUUUAGAGGAGCUAGACAUUGGCGAGAACAAGAUUGACAAAUUUGUGGUCUCAAAAGGUACUAGAACGACUGCAAAAAAUGUAAACUUCUACAAAUUAGCUAGAUUCUUUGCCAUUUGGUUUAUUAUUUUGCAGGUUUGAGGAAGUUGAGGUAUCUCAGUUUAAGUGGUAUCAAACUCAAUCAUAGCAUAUUAUCUUCUCUGACUGUCUUUUCUUCGUUAAGAGAAUUAUAUCUAGAUGAUACGGGAUUCAAAGGAACAUUAGAUAUUCGAGGUAAGUCUAAGCCCUGCUUUCUCAUUUUAUAUAUGCCAGCUAGACUUGUGUAUCAUCGACAUAAUUUAAUAUUUAAUUUGAUUAGUCUGAAGGAAUUACAUGCUAAUUUAAACAUACUUUUAUUUACUCUGUCAAUCAAUUAAUUAAUUAAUUACUAUUUGGCUUGGUUUGGAUGAAUUCUCAUGAUGUUUUAAUUUCUUUAAAUUAAUUAAUUAAUUAACUCUGUUUUUAAGUCUUAAGUCUGGGCAUGUUUGCAGAAUUUGAUUCCUUCAACAACUUAGAAGUGUUGGACAUGAGUUACAACAAAAUCGACAAUCUUGUGGUUCCUCAAGGUAAACAAUUAAAAUAUUAUUCAAUUACAUUAAUAUAAUUCAUUUGGUUAGGGAAGGCCCAAAAGGUACAAAAAAAAUUAAAUAAAGAAACAGAGAAUUUGUAUUAUUUAAAAAACAGAAUGUAAUAAAGAUUUGAUUCUAGUUCUUUAAUCUUUAAAGCGAUUGAAAAAUAAUGUUGCUCUUUUCCCAAAGCAUAAAAUACGAAUUGAAUGCCAAUUAACUUAAUCAUUCAUUUCGUUUAGCUCUAAAUUUAGACAAUGAAUUUUUAUAUUAUUUCAAAAACAGGACGUAAUAGAAUUUAAAAAAAAAACAGAUUGUAAUAAAGAUUUGAUUCUAAUUUUUUAAUCUUUACUGCGAUUGAAAAAUGAUACAGCUCUUUUCCCAAAGCAUAAAAUACGAAUUGACUCCCAAUUAAAUUAAUCAUUUAUUCCAUUCAUCUCUUAAUUUAAAUAAUGAAUUUUGUUUUCUUAAAUCGUAUUCUAAUUACUAUUAAAAAACAGGUUACAGAGGUUUGAGGAAGUUGAAAAGCCUUUAUCUAUUGAGAGUUAGAAUUAGAGAUGGAAGCAAGUUGUUACAGUCAAUUGGAUCAUUCCCAUCCCUCAACACUCUUUACCUUUCGUCUAAUAAUUUGACGGAAACAGUGACAACUACUACUCAAGGUAAUUAAAAGGUACAAAUGUCGCCAAAUUUAUAAAUAAAUUGUUAAUUAAUUAAUUUUUCCGUAUUAUUAAUAAAGCUAAAUUCGUUGCUCCUUCCUUCUAAAUCUAAACAGAGUUGCACAAUUUCACCAACUUGGAAUAUUUGACAUUGGACGAUUCCUCUCUCCAUAUAAGCCUUCUGCAAAGCAUUGCAUCAAUAUUCCCUUCGUUAAAAAAUUUGUCGAUGAUUGGUUGUGAAGUCAAUGGCGUCCUACGUGGUCAAGGUAAAAGAAAAGUGUUAAUUGUGAACUCGCACAAUGGUGUCCUACGUGUUCAACAUUUUUAUUUAUUUAUUUUAUUGUUUAAUGUUUCUGCUAGGUUUUCCUCAUUUCAAGAGUUUGGAAUAUUUGAAUAUGGAUUUCACGCGCAUUGCACUCAACACCAACUUUCUUCAAAUCAUCAGUGAAUCGAUGCCUUCUCUUAAGUACUUAUCACUGUCAGAUUCUACUCUUGGCACUAACAGCAGCAGGAUUCUUGAUCGAGGUUAAUCAGAUGCUCCCACCCUCCCUUCUUAAUCUAUAAUAUUAAUUUUCAAUUCAAUAUUUAAUUACACAAACGAAUCACUUAUUAUAAAAGAAUAAUACGCAUUCAUUAAUUUUUAUGCUGUAUUAAUUGAUGAAUUUAAUAAAUUUUCAGGCCUCUGUUCGUUGGUGCAUCUGCAAGAGUUGCGCAUGGCUGAUAAUGAUUUAAGAGGUAGCUUGCCUUGGUGCUUGGCAAAUAUGACAUCCCUCCGAAUAUUAGAUGUUUCUUUCAAUCAACUUACUGGAAGCAUCUCCUCAUCUCCCCUCGUUCAUUUGACAUCCAUUGAAGAGCUGAGGCUUUCAGACAAUCAUUUUCGGAUCCCAAUUUCACUUGAACCACUUUUCAAUCACUCAAGACUCAAGAUUUUCCAUGCUAAAAAUAACCAAAUGAAUGCAGAAAUAACUGAGUCACAUUCUUUGACCGCCCCAAACUUCCAAUUACAAUCUCUCUCAUUGUCUUCCAGUUAUGGAGAUGGUGUCACAUUCCCCAAAUUCCUUUACCAUCAACAUGACCUGGAGUAUGUUCGUCUCUCACAUAUAAAGAUGAAUGGAGAAUUUCCAAAUUGGUUGUUGGAAAACAACACAAAAUUAGCAACUCUUUUUUUGGUUAAUGAUUCUCUUGCAGGACCUUUUUGGUUGCCAAUUCAUUCACACAAGCGGUUAGGAAUAUUGGAUAUAUCCAACAACAACAUCCGAGGCCACAUUCCAGUAGAAAUUGGAGAUGUUUUACCAAGUUUAUACGUUUUCAACAUUUCCAUGAAUGCUUUAGAUGGUAGCAUUCCCUCUUCAUUUGGUAAUAUGAAAUUCCUCCAAUUGCUGGACUUAUCCAACAAUCAAUUGACUGGUGAAAUCCCCGAGCACUUGGCCGUCGGUUGCGUCAACUUGCAGUUUCUCAUGUUAUCAAACAACAGCCUAAAAGGUCACAUGUUCUCUUGAAAUUUUAACCUGGCCAAUUUGAUGUGGUUACAAUUGGAGGGCAAUCACUUCGUAGGAGAGAUCCCACAAAGUUUGUCUAAAUGCUCCUCCUUAGAAGGAUUGUAUCUUACCAAUAAUAGUCUCUCGGGUAACAUUCCAGGAUGGUUGGGUAAUCUCACAUGGUUAAUACAUAUUAUAAUGCCCGAGAAUCAUCUUGAAGGUCCUAUUCCAGUGGAGUUUUGUCAACUUUAUUCGCUUCAGAUUUUGGACAUUUCAGACAACAACAUAUCUGGAAGUUUGCCAUCCUGUUUCCAUCCUCUCUCUAUCGAACAAGUUCAUCUUUCAAAAAAUAUGUUACAUAGACAGCUAAAAAGAGGUACAUUCUUUAAUUGCUCUUCCCUUGUGACAUUAGAUCUUAGUUAUAACCUCUUGAAUGGCAGCAUUCCGGAUUGGAUUGGUGAGCUUUCUCAGUUAAGCCACCUUAUCUUAGGUCACAAUAAUCUUGAAGGUGAAGUGCCAGUUCAAUUGUGCGAAUUGAACCAACUACAAUUGUUAGAUCUUUCUAAUAAUAGUCUUCACGGUUCUAUUCCUCCAUGCUUUGAUAACACAACACUUUAUGAAAGUUACAACAACAGUUCUAGUCUUGAUGAGAAAUUUGAAAUAUCUUUUUUCAUCGAAGGCCCUCAGGGAGAUGUAGAAAAGUGAAUCCGUGAAAAAUUUGAGUUCACAACAAAGAAUAUUGCGUACAUUUACCAAGGAAAAGUGCUUAGCCUCCUAUCAGGACUUUAUCUUUCUUGCAAUAAGCUAAUCGGUCAUAUUCCUCCUCAAAUUGGAAAUUUGACAAGGAUUCAAACAUUGAAUCUAUCAUAUAACAACUUGACAGGAUUGAUCCCAUCAACAUUUUCAAACUUGAAGCAUAUCGAAAGUUUGGAUCUUUCCUACAAUAAAUUAAAUGGGAAAAUCCCUCAUCAACUUGUGGAGUUAAAGACAUUGGAGGUUUUUAGUGUGGCAUACAAUAACUUAUCGGGCGAAAUUCUAGAAUGGACUGCACAAUUUGCAACAUUUAACAAGAGUAGCUAUGAGGGAAAUACUUUUCUUUGUGGAUUGCCAUUGCCCAUUUGCAGAUCACCAGCAACUAUGUCGGAGGCUUCAAUUGGCAAUGAACGAGAUGAUAAUUUAAUUGACAUGGAUAGUUUCUUUAUCACAUUUACAACAUCGUACGUAAUUGUGAUAUUCGCAAUUGUUAUUAUUUUAUAUGUAAAUUCUUAUUGGCGACGUAGAUGGUUUUACUUUGUUGAAAUGUGGAUAACUACAUGUUACUAUUUUGUUGUAGACAAUCUUAUUCCAACAAGAUUUUGUCAUUGAAAUUAUUUAGUAGUUUAAUUACGAUUCUUUAAGUACUAAUCAAGUUUGUAUAGGAAAUAAUUUUUUAUUAAAAUUGUAGUAGUAUUUAGCAUUAUAUAGCUUCCAACUUCCAAGCACUUCACAUUUGUCUCUACACUUACAAAACUGAGUGAUCAUGUUUUGCAGAUCUGGAUUUGGAGCAGGAUGGAUCCAAACCCAUAUCUGUCCACCAUAACUUAUAGCUUCCCUAUACUGUGCAGCAUACUUAAAUAAGAGAACCAUCUCCAAUGUUAAAAGCAUUCACUCUAUAACAUUCAUUUAGAAACUAUAUUCAGAAUAAUUUUAUAAUUAAACACAAGAAAUGAAACACCUAGAUACACUUGAUCGCCUAUUUUACUCUAAAAAAUAACGAUUAUGGUGCUAUCAUCAUCUUCUUCACUAGCAACAUUAACACCAAAUCGAUGGACCCAUACAUUUCAUCAAGAAAGGUAUAUAUCCAAUAAAGUUGAAGCCUAACAAAAAAAUCAGGAAGAUUAAUGCCUCACCACAACAAGGGGCAUAACAACAUCAAAGUAGAGAUUAAACAGUAUUCUCAAAGCUAAAACUCUCAAAUCCACCCACCAGAAUUUCAUAUCUCCUCAACAAUUUUAAGAACUAAAGAUAAUUAGGAUUUAACAUUAGUUUUUUAUAUAUUAGUUUCAUAAUUUACAAAUCAAUGAAGAUGAAGAUUAUGCGAAUAAAUUCAAAUUAUACCAUACAUUCUCUAGAUGUUACCAAAAAUUUCUAAGUCAAUCCCACAUAUUUCAUAAUUUUAAGACUAGAAAAUUCACUAGUUAGAAGUUUCAUUACCUUCAAGUGGAAGAUGAAGAACAUUAUGCAAGUGAUUCAGAUUAUAUCAUACAUACUCCAAAUGCAACUAGAAAUUAACAAGUUCAUGUGCACAUAUUUCAUAACAUUAUGAUUGAAAAGUUUCACAAAGAGAAAUUCUAAAUUCAAUCUCUUGCAUGAAGGCAGUUUGAUUGAUUUGAGUUACUUUAUGAUCAAGCUACUAAUAUAACAUUCAAGUCAGGGAGAAAGUAAAUUAAAAAUGGGAAGAAAUAACAGUAAAAAUUUGUUGCUAAACAUGAUGUGUAUUUUUUUCAAGGCAAUUUGGAAACACAAUUGUUACUACAGAUAUUCUCCUCAACUUAGAGAUAAAUACAAAUAUUAAAAUGCACAUGAUCGCACAUAUUACUUGGAGCUUAGUAAGAUUUCAUUAAAAGAAGCAAUCAAACCACUUAUCAAUUGUCGCAGUCAUUCUAUAAACUAAAAUAGCAAAUAUAAUAUAAGAAAAAGAACAUAUAGAUACUUGGCAAGAGUUCAUUAAGAAGUCACAUCACAUUCGGGUGAGGAGUUUGCUUCUGAUAUCUUGCUAGCUGGGGCUUUUUCUCGUCUUUCUAUGUAUGCCGAGGGAAACCAACCAGCUUGGCCCUUGCAUUCACCUUCCAACCAUCCAGUACGAGCCACCUUGAGAAGUUAUAACUAAAACGGUGAAUUAAACAAAAGUUGACCGUUCAAAGACCUAAGGGGAAAACUAAUUCUUUUAUGUAGAAUGAGUGAACUAGUUGUGAUCACUGGAAUAACAACAUAACUAUGGAAGCAUAACAAGAUAUAAAUUCACAUGUCUAUAAGGGUAAACUGGGUGGUUUAGAACUGAGCUAGCAACCCUACUAGAUUAUGAUUUGCAUUUCAAUGUAAAAGGGAAUAUAUGGUAGGAAGAAAGAAAACCAACCAUCAUUUGUUAACUCAUUGCUUUUCAAUCAAAAUUUUAAGAACAAAAUGCCAUGUGCUUUGAAUAUCAAAUAAGUAUAAGCAUUAUUUCUAAAUUCCACAUAUCAUAAGUUGUUAGAAGGAUAAGUUAAUAGCAUAGUAGAAAAAUCUAUGUGUCAGUAUUUAGAGGGGAAAGUACCUGGCGAACCACAACAUAAUCAUCAAUUAAAAGACUUAGCUCUCCAUUUGCUUGAGCAUCAAAUGGAUGUAUAACCUGCAAGAUAAUGGGAUAAAUAGAACUUAAAAAAAGCAUAACAAAAGCAGCAACAGUAGCAGCAGCGUUCAUUGUAACCACUAUGAUCAUGGCCAACAAAGAUAUAUUAGAAACAAAAUUCCAUUUUUACUACGACAUUAAUAUGUACUAUACGAUAUCAUGACGAUUGGGUUACUAAGAGCUAUCAAAGUCUAAUAAGUUAUGUAUAACUUUUGUAGUUAUUUAAAUUAUGGAUCAGAUUUUAAAUUUGAAAUUUUGACUGCUCUCCACAAAACAUGGCCUGUGCACAAAAAAGUCAUAGAUAAUGAGGAUUACAAGUGUCCGACAUCUUUUGAGUGAUGGAUUUAACAUGAGAGCUUAUGGUCAGUCAAUUUCCUCUGCCUAGCAAUAUAAGCUUUCUCGGCCAGAUUUAUCAUCAAAUACAUAGAUUGCCCCCAAGUCACAUCCAUAUAAACAUAAUUUUUCUAGGUAAACCAAGUAAGGAGAAUCAUAAUUCGGACAUAAUCAUAAAAAGGCCCAUCUAACUUAAGAGAAAAUCUUAAAAAGAGGGAUGCUGAGCUAUCAGUCUUGUAUCUAUAAGCAAUAUCAAGACUUUACAUCACCUGCUACAUCGUGAGUGGUUACACAACUUUUAGUGGUUUGUCUUUCUUUGGCAUGCCUAACUCAGCUUUGAUGUUGCUGAGAUAUUGAUAGUAGAGAGCAGAAGCCUUACUUUCGCUAUAAAUUAGACGUCAUUCUGAUUAAUAUGCGUUUGCAAAUCAGCUCUGUUUGAAUCAGUAUUCUGAUAGACACAUGAGGCAUUUACAUCCAUUUCCAAAGUCACAUGUUGCGGGGAGGACUCAUUUGAUUGCUCCUAUACGAUCAUCUAAUUCAAGUAGCAAGGGUUGGAAGAGAAUAAAAAGUCACAAUUAUUCUUUUGCAUAAGUGAGACGAAAAUGGUAAAUGCAAUAUUAUUAGCAGUAAAUAAGAAGAGAACGCUCCAAGGAAUAGAUAGAUGCAGACAAGCAAGUUAAAAUGCAUAGUCCCAAACCUCCGCAUACAACUUCUCUAAAAUAGCAAUAACGUGUUGAUGAUAUAUUUUCUCAGCAUCUACCUGCAAAGGCCCGAGACCGGGAAAACAACAAUAAAACCACUAGCUGAAGGAGAAAGCAAAGAAAAAAAUACACUUGACAUAAAUCUUGACAAGAAGCACAAUUUAAGACAUAACAAACCCCAAUCAUAUUAUUUUUGCUAGUCACACGCUAGUCUGUGCUAGUGAUGUAAGAAGUCACAAGGUCUCUUCAACAUUUGAACCAAUAAAAUUAUUAAGUCAUGGAUGUCACUAGCAAUGAUUUUAAUAUAAAACAUUAAAUAUUUCAGAGUUGUAACUUUAAAAUGGAUUCUUUUAUUCAAUACCAUAGAACUAAGUUUCCUUAUGAGAAGAUAGUAGUUUCGAUAAUAUUUUACAUAUAAUUUUUGCGAUACCUUCGUCUCGCACUACCAGUGAUACCCUCACUCUUNNNNNNNNNNNNNNNNNNNNNNNNNNNNNNNNNNNNNNNNNNNNNNNNNNNNNNNNNNNNNNNNNNNNNNNNNNNNNNNNNNNNNNNNNNNNNNNNNNNNUGUUGAAAUUUAUCUAAGUUCAAAAGUAAUGCAGAGUGGGUUUCUAAACUCCAUUCCACUAGCUACUUCCUUUAAGAAAAAUUCCACAUCAUUGGUUUGAAUUUUAACUGGUGGCAUAGGAUCAUAUGUCUUAAGCUUGAACUUCAUUGUGAUUUCGAAUUCCGAAGUAUUUAUAUCAAUAACUUGAGCUAUCUUCUCCACCAAUUCGGCAUAUGUUGUCGAUCGUGGUAUCAUUAUCCCUUUAGCCUUGGAACCUUUGAAUUUAUACUCGUCAUUUUGCUCAAUCCAUUCACCAUUGAAGAGAAUAAGCACACGUACCAAAACCAUAUAUGAUGAUACAAUAAAAACAAUAAUAUCAAAUUUCAUAUACAAGUAACUACACGACCUACACAACUACAUUACUUACAUGACCUACAUGACCUACAUGACUAUAUUACUUACAUGACCUACACGAAUUAUACGACUUACACGACUAUAUUACUUACACGACUUACAUGACUAACUAUAUGACAUACACAGUAUCAAAAGGAAUGCACGACGCGAAACAUUUUCGCCAUAAAUAAGUUAUAAACAACCUAUAUUGCAUAUAUUUCUAUAUAUAAGAAAAAAUGGUGAAAAUAAAACAUUAUAAUGUGAAGAAAAUUUCUAAAUUUUCCUAAAAAUAAAAAAACUUAAAACCCAACAACAUUAACAUACCUUAUUGGGUUGUUUAAUAAGUAAUGCACAUUAUUUCAGUUAAAAAAAAGUGGGUGUUAAAGAAAUGAAUACAUAAUCAUAUUUGUGUAAGAAGUUAUGAGAGAUUUUGAGAGAUUCUAGGAGAUUUUGAGAGAAUUUCGGCAGCAAGAAGAGAUUUGGGUGUUAAAGAAAUAUGAAGACAAGGAAGUUGAGUGAAUUUGAUUCAUUCAUUAAGGGCAUUUUAGACUUUACUCACAUUUGUUAGGGUAUCCAUGAAAACAAAAAAGGAAAGGGGUAUUUAAAUAAUUUUAAAACUAUUAAAGGGUAUUUAAUUAAAAACCCUAGGAGAAGAUGAUAGUGGAAGUAUGCAGUGUGGCUGCCAGGUACUUGGAUUGUAUUAUCGGGUAAGGUAAUAGUAGAGAAUUAUAAGUUUGAACAGAGCAUGUUGGACUUUUGUUGACCAAAUUCAAAAGCCCAAUGGCACGACCCAGAAGCUUUUGAAUAGAAAAACUUGCUAGAAAGCAUCAGUUUAAAUCACUACUUAAACGCUGCACCGCUUUGUACUGUUUUAGGUAUGUAGCGGUUGUGCAGUUGUAAUUCACGGCUGACGCUACGUGUUUGUUUGUACUGUUCUAUUCAGUGAUAGAGUAUUAUUAGUUAGGCCAAAACUAUGUUGCAACAGUGGUACAGUACCACUGUUGCUUUCAUAGCUGGACCCUAUUAGUUAUUUCAAAGGGAUAAAUAAGAUUGGUUACAACAAAUCUACUAUUUUUAUAAAAUUCAAGUAAUAUAGAAUAAAAUAAAAAAAUAAAUACAAAAUUGACUUUUAUUUUUUAUGGUUGACUAUAUUUUGUGUUCUCUUCGGGCACUGCUACAAUUGUUCCCCAUAUAUCAAUUACACCACAUACUAUCGACACAAGAAAUGAAAUCUAAUAUCACCUGUUUAGUUAAAAAAUCACUCAUGAAAAAAGUUUACCAUUUUGAUUUGAGGAUCCAUAUUUUGAACUGCAAGCUAAUGUUCAUCAAGAAUCACUGAUGGCCGUUGAGUAGAAAAAUUAUUUUUGGACAAAUUAUUUUUGUUGAUAGAAGAAUUUCUUUAGGGACUACUAAAUUAUUAAUAAAAAUGUCGAACACACCCACAUAUCAUCGACACAAUUGAUUUUGAGGAUCCAUGCUUUGAAUUGCCGCCUAAUGUUCAUCAAGAAUAGAGUAUGGCUUGUGAGUAGAAAAUUUUCUUAUUUUGGCCCAAAAUAAAAAGAAAUUAAAUUGGAUGAGAAUCUGCCACUUUCUCAUGAAGAAAGGCAUACGAAGCAUACCAUGAUACCAUACAAUAUAAGGAGCCGCCGUUCUUUGGUUUUUCAAACUUUGAAGGGGCCAAUAUUGCCAAAUUCCCCCUUGAAAAUUCUGACUACGACAUUAUUCAUCGCUUGAUGCAAUCAAAGUAGUGACAAAGUUAGGAAAAAUAUGAGCCCUAAGUAAUUGCUAGGCAGGGUUCCUGAGAGCAAAAUUGUCCUAAGCAUUAUAUGCAUACAUGGUGCGGUACAUAGAGCACGUUGAAUUCCCCACUAUAACACAAAUCCAGAAAGAGAAGUAAUAACUCAACUGAUAUAAAGACAAAAAGAAGAUAAAAUGAUAUAGAAAAAAGAAUUUCAAAGAGACAGCAACAUACGAUAGGCUGAAGCCACUUGAUCUACUCAUUGAUUGCAGCCUUAAACUUGCAAAUAGUUACUGUAUGCUAGUGCUCUAAGAAGUGAAAAUGAUGCAAGCCCUGAUUCCCUUUUGACUUCCAUUUACUGUCAAACAUUCUAGUAAUACAAAAAAUUGUUUAGAUAUCUUGCUAUAAAUAUAGUUGUUUGACUGUCAUAAUAAAGUCACAAAUAACCAUUCAUAUUGAUCUACUGUCACACAGCAUGCUUUAUGCAUACAACAGCUGUAUGUAUACCAACUCCUAACCUUAUCAAUGCAUUUGGCAAAAACUUAAGAAGAAAACUAUUUCUCCAUCUCUUUUUUGAAAUUUCACAAUAACCAGCACAAUGUGAAAGCUAUGUUCUAACCUUAUGAUAAAUGCUCCAGACUCCAAAAGGAUUUUAUAUAUGAGUUUUUGUUGCAGCAGAUAUAUUGACUUAUCAAGUAUGAAUCAUUUUCUGGAUGAACUAUCUUUAGAUAAAAGAAUAUUAGAACCACUGUAGAAUAUCUUUACGCUGCUGGUUCUAACAAGAAUCUGCUUGUGGCAACAAUUGCUAGAUCCACAAUUCCCCAACUUGAAAUACAUAGUUGCACACCAUGAGAUAGUGCUACGAUCUACUGAGAUCUAACUUAUAUGGUACUUUAAGCUACUAAUGUUUGCAUAUUUCUACAUGUUAAAUUAACACUAUCAUCUAUAAUCACUCCAAAACAACAAAUGAUAAGCAGCUUUUGGCCACUUAUUACUAGCAUCCACAAUUAUAAUAAGAGAUCAUGGGUUUACUUGUUGCACCUACUUAAUUAUCUGCAGUUGACAUCCUGACGCAAGGUUUAAAUAGUGACUGCUUAGAACCCUUGUAGUUGGAUCUUGACCUCUCCCAUUGUAGCCAAGAUUGGUUACUCUGGUAAUGAAUCAACACUCUCCUGCUCAGGGCCAUGAAGAUCUGAAAGCUCAGCACUAGUGGAGAACUUCAUCAAUCUCUUCUUCUCAGCAUACUUGAGACAAGGCUGCAUUACGAGACCAAUCACCACAGCACCAACGCUUAAAGCUACAACUUUUAAAGAAGAAAGAGCCAACACAACACAACACAAAUCAAUAUGGUUGGAGGAAUACACAUGAUAAUGGCUCUAACAGUGCCAGUGGGUAUCUUGUAGGGACGAGAUGCAGCAGGAUAUUGUAUCCUUAACCAUACAAAUGCUAUGAACUCCAUAAUCAUUCCAAAACAGUACAGGAAGUUCUCUGCAGCUACAAUAUCUCGAAAGCUCAGCCAUGAUAGCAAAACCACACCAGAUGCUGAGAAUAUGAUUCCAAUCAAAGGAGUCCCAUAACAAGACCUCUUAGCAAAAAACUCAGGUAGCAUUCCACGCUCAGCCAUCCCCAAAAGUUGGAAAGAGUCGCUGCUCAUCUCAGCCACAAACAUGCCCAUAUUGGACAUUGCUGCAACCCCCUGGAUGCACCAACUCAACCAAACUCCUCCAAGCACUUUAGCGAUACCUGAAAAGUAACCAUCGGUCCACAAGUCGCGAUCUAAUGGAAUAGCUCCAGUUCCAACUAGAAAGGGAAAGAAAUAUCCAAAAACGACCAAGAUCAAAGCAUAAAACAAAGCCUUUGGAAGAGUCUUCUUUGGGUUAUCCACCUCUCCAGCUAGUGUACUUAUUGAGUCCCAGUAGUUGAGAUUCCAAAACAGGGUGUUCAAAUACAAAUUCCAAUCCACUUCACCUAAAUUUAAUACAAGCCAUCUUGAAGGCUCUAACUUGGGAAGGGACACAAGUCCCAUAACCACAAAAGGAAGGAGUGAGAAAAUCCCUAAAAGAACAGCAGCCCAUCCCACAAUGGUUAGACCCCUAUAGUUCAUGAAAGUGAGAACAAAAGUCAAAGCUAACGCCGCAAAGGCUCUAGGUAACCCAUCGCCCAAAGCAGGGAUACCAGACUUCAAGUAAUCAAGAAACAGAACUGGGUAUAAAGCAUUAUCAGUAACCCCACUUAGCCAUUUCAUCCAAACUUGCUCAAAACCCCAAUAUGGGCCUAAGGCAGAUGAAACCCAAACCACAUAACCACAAUUUUCAGGAAACACGGUACCCAUCUCGGCAGUAAUUAAAGCUUCAGGGACACUCCAUAUAAUCGGAAACACCAAGAAACCAAGAAGUGCUAAAAGAGGACCAGCUGUCUUUACACUAUCCUCAACACCAAACGGCCCCCCAGAAACCUCAUAGAAUAUAAGGAAAAUAAGUGGCAAGAUUGAUACUUUUUUAGUGCCAUGGACUCUAGGAGAAGAUGGUUGGUCAUUGAUAUUAAAAUAUUCAACAGCAUCAGACUGCCCCAUUUCUACUGAAACUUGCCUAUUUACAGUGCUCCUCAAUUUCUGCAUCAAGUUUAAGCAUAACUAUCAAAAGGGUAUCCGCAUCUAAAUUAUGAAACAAAAUGAGCAUUUACUUAUUAAAAAAAAAAUCAAAAAACAGAAAUGGAUUUCACAGAACACAUGAACUUAAGUUCAACAUUAAACAGGCGCUUAAGAAAACAAAAGGGUCUGUUCGUAAAGCCAUCAGAUUGCAAGAUUGAACAACAUUAACGGAAUCAAUAGAAUGGAUGUAAAGAGAACUGAAAAGAAAAUAAAAUAAAAGAUGAAGAGAGAUAAAACGAACCAUCAAAUAAGUGCAUGCAGAGCAGAGAGGCAGAUACUAGUGAAGCUCCGUCAUGUUAGAGAGAGCCUAAAUCAAUCAGAGCUCACUGAGUUUCUUUUAAACCGACCGGCAAAUUUGGAGUAGCACAACAUAAUAUUUUUGCUUUUAUUUUUGGAACACUUUUGAAUGGAAUUUUUUGUUUUAAAAAAUGGCAAAGGAGAUUAGUAUUUCUAUCGUUAAAAUAAUAAUUUUCCUAACAUUAUUUUUUAUAUUUUUUAAUUUAUUUUUAUAAUAAUUUUUUAUUUAAAUAUUAAUAAAAAAUAAUUAAAUUAACAAUUUAAUCCUAAAAUAAAUAAACACGGUUUUGGGUUUUUUCUUUUGUUCGUUUAAUAUCAUCUGGUUCCCUGAUUUGUGACUAAUUAUCAACGGAAUCCCGUUAGUUUCUAAAUUGAAAUAAUAGAAGGUCAUGAGAUUAUUUACUCCAUUUAGCACUGCAGACUUAGAGUAUAUUGAAAAAGCUUUGUCAAAUAGUAGUAAUAGGGGCAUAAGAAAUAAAUUAUAGCUAUCACAAAUUCGUUAGGAGAAUUUCAAAUUUUUCCAUCAAUAAUGGCUAUGAAGCAAAAUUACUUUAGGUUAUAUUGCAACACUAAUACUUCAAAUCCUGACAAUAAAUUUGAAGAACUUGUUAAAAAGAAAAUGGUAAUGUUAUCAUUUUGAAAGACAAAAAAAAAAAGAGUGAAAGUGGCGUUACCUCAUGGUCAUUAGUGACUUGUUGCAAUGAUAGCUCAAAAUUAAAAAUUUGUGAAGAAUUAGUAGACAACGACGAUAUUAUAUUUAUACAGUCACCAACGUAUUGAUUUUUGUUUAAUGUUUGAUUGAUAGAAACUUUUGUCGUCGUCGCCGUUGUUGAAUUCGUGCUUAGAAUACCACAAGAGAAGAAAAAGGGAUGAAAGGGAAGAGAAGAAGAGAGAAGUGGUGGAUAGCAAAUAUGAUAUGCUAGCUACACACAGGCCUUAGAGAGUUUUUUUUUUUAAUAUUUAUUGUAUUUUUGUUUUUGUUAUUGGUUUGUCAUAUGCUUCCAAGGCAACAAUGCAUUACAUCAUAAAUUGCACCUUUUAGGGGAGGUGGUAAAAAACAUGAGAGCAAUGCAUUCUAGCGCAUACAUGCAGAAAGAGUUUCCAAAUUUUCAAAAGUUUCUUUAUUUCUUCCACCUUUUUUUGCUUAAAAUAAAUUUUAAUUGUAUUUUGCAUUAACUUAGAGAAAAAAAAAUCCAAUUCUAUGCAUAAACGCAUACAUUGAUUAGAAAAUGAGUUUUAUGGACACAAAGGGACAAUAUAAGAGAUUCUUUUUGUUUAUUAGAAGUAACAUAACUAGUUAGUGUAACAUGUAAUUAUAAGCUACCAAUAAUUUGCACUGAUGAUAAUUAACGGUACAGAUUUUGAGCUAUGAAUGUCUUGUGGCUAGUUUAAUUGGAUUUUUGAGUUUUCAGCAGAUCUAUUUUAAUGAUUAUUAAAUUAUUUUCACUUCUUAUGCCUUAAUAAAAAAAAUUCAAUAUUUUUUGCUGUAUUCUAUAUUUUAAAACUUAAUUUUUAGUUCUUUAUAUUGCAAACCAAACUGAGUCAAAUAGAGUAUGCUCUUCAAAUAAUUUUUCCAUUGCCUUCAAGAAGAAUUCAUUUUAUUUUUAUAUAUUAAUUCAACACUUGUAAACCGGGCCGUCAGAUUGCACAUAAAGCAAAUGAUCAAACCGUUACAAGACCGGCCCAGGCCCACUGACUCUAUUUUCUUUAAUUUGACCAUUAAAAAGCUUUUGGCCACCCCCACCAAAUAAAUAAGCUCUUGUUCUCUUUUGUAGGGGUGGGCAAAAAAACCGUAGUCUUAAAAAAACCGAACCGAACCGACGGUUUUUUCUAAUUCGGUUUGGUUUUUAUUUUUUUAAAAAACCGAAAUAUACCAUUUGUAAAAAAAAACCGAAAUGUCGGUUUGGUAUUCGGUUCACUUAGCUGAACCGAAAAACUGAACCGAAAAACCGAAUUAUUUUUUGAUUUUAUUCAAAUCAAACAUGUGUUAAUUUUUAACUGAUUGUGCAAGAUAACUAACAUAAACUUGCAUACACACAAUCAUGAGUAUAUAUAUGUAAGUGUUACAAUUUCGUAAAUCUUUAUUUCCCCCAAAAUAAACCCUAAAGCUAAAAUCAAAGAUUCAAAAUCGAAACCAAAUCCAAAUCACCCACCCCAAUCCACUGCAAUCACAGCCGACGCUGCUCACCGGCGAUAGUGUCACCGUGCAACACGCUGCUCACCGCGAAAGCUGCAGCUUCUUUUCACCGUGGGACAGCUUCAACUCACAGGCCUGAGGCCACCACGCGACAGCUUUGCUCUGCUCACCUGAUUGGAGUGGAAAUUCGAUGGUUUUGAAUGGUUUAUAUAUGCAUGUGAGGUGUUCGGCGCAUAUAAUCAACUUAAUUGUGCAAGAUGGGUUGUCACAAGUGAGUCAAUCAAUAGCUAGUAUUCGAAAUGCGGUGAAAUAUGUUAGAUCAUCUCCGGCAAGAUUACAAAAGUUCAAAACAUGUGUUGAUAGGGAGAAAAUCUCACGUGGAGGGCUUAUGGUGUUAGACGUGCCGACUCGGUGGAAUUCAACAUAUUUGAUGUUAGAAAAAGCGGUAGCAUUUGAGAGGCUAAAGGAAGAUGAUGGCCAUUAUACAAACUGGUUUGAUGAGGAUGAGAGUGAAUAAAGGAGGGUGGGGCCACCGAUUGAUAAGGAUUGGGAAAAUGCAAAGAGGUUAGUCAAGUGUCUUUCGAUUUUUUAUCAUGUGACUUUAAAAUUCAGCAGCUCUUUAACAGUCACUUCCAAUAAUUUCUUGAAUGAAAUGUGGAAAGUUUAUAUUCAUUUGAAGUCACUGGUUGAUUUUGUUAACAUAUAUGUUUUCAUAAUGUUAAUUUUGAUGAUAACAAACAAGAUUAAGAAUGAUUAAUCUUUUAAGAUCAAAUUAUUUUUUAUAUAUUUUAAAUAAAUCAUUAUUUUCACAUUAUAAAUGUUUUAUAUUUAAUGGAAAAAUGAUUUUAUGAAAAAUGAUUGUUUAAAUACAUGAAAUGUUUGUCAUCAUCAAAAAGGGGGAGAUUGUUAACAUAUAUGUUUUCAUAAUGUUGAUUUUGAUGAUAACAAACAAGAUUAAGAAUGAUUAAUCUUUUAAAAUCAAAUUAUUUUUUAUACAUCUUAAAUAAAUCAUUAUUUUCACAUUUUAAAGGUUUUAUAUUUAAUGGAAAAAUAUUUUAUGAAAUUGAUUGUUUUUAUUCUUUUUAAAUAAAUCAUUAUUUUCACAUUAUAAAUGUUUCAUACUUAAUGGAAAAAUGAUUUUAUGAAAUUGGUUGUUUUUCAAAGUUUAUGGUUUAAUUGAAAGAAUUUUGAAAACUUUGAUAUAAACAAGUAUUGCUUGAAAUUUUGGUAAAGGACUUAUUUGAAAAGUGUCAUAGCAUCUUUGGGCGAAAUCAUAAUUUCAGAAAGUUUUGGGAUUAACGAAGAAUUAUUUAGAAAUUCUGAAAUUGGACUUAUUUGCAAAGUUUAAUAACGUUUUGGGCCAUACUACAGUUUUAUAAAGUUUUGGGGUCAAACUAUAAAUUUUGGGAAAUGUUUUACUGUAGCAGUUACUGUAGCAAGCGGCUUACCGGAUACUAAUAAACGGCAAGUCGGAUACGGGGUAGUAAGCACCAGAACGAAAGCGGCUAACCGGAUGUCCAUAAACGGCAAGCCGGUUACGACAAAAAAUGUGCAUAACGGCUAGUAACGGCUAGUUUUUGAGUUCAAACUAUAUAAACUCAAAACCAAUUCAUUUUUGGUAACUCAAGCAAGCAUAAACAAGUGCACACAACUUAUAUUGAGCUUCAAAUUCGAAAAUCUUCAUAGAUUAAAUCUUCAUUGGGCUAUCAUUUGUAAAUCCACUCUUAAAGAGAGUUUUUGUUGUAAUUUUCAUUUCUCAUCAAAUUGUGAGAGUACAAGUGUGAGAAACACUUGGAGUGAAGAGAUUGGAGAUAUAAUCUCUUGUUGUAAAGGUUCAUUGACACCUUGAAGUCAAUUGUAAUCGUUUGAAGCCUUGGAAAGGCUUGGAUAGUGAAAUCCUCAAGCCCGGUGUGCUUGGAGGCGUGGACGUAGGCGGGGAUUGCCAAACCACGUAAAAAUCCUUGAGUUUGCUUUCUCUUCCCUUACUCUUUAAUUAUUGUGCUUUGAUUGAAUUUAUUGUUUUCGAAUUUAUUAAGGCAUUAGAUUGCUUGUUGUGUGGAUUUGUUAGGAUAAUUUUUAAAAUUCCAAUUCACCCCCCCCUCUUGGGUUGCACACUCAUAUUUCAGAUUUUAAUGAUUUUUUGUUAAAUCAAAUGGGUUACAAGAUGGAGGAAAAAUUUGUCAAGUAUUGGGGUCAUUUUUUUGAAAAGGUUAACAUGUUGUUGAUUGUGGCAAAUGUGCUUGAUCCUCGCUGCAAACUUGACUUUGUUAUAUGGUGUUUUAGUAGCUUGUAUGAUAUUAGAAAGGUUGAUGAAUUGAGAGCUAAUAUUAAAGAGUUGUUGUUGAAGCUUCUUGAAAGCUAUGGUGGUGAGAGUAAUCCAAAUAGAGGUGAGAGAUGUACGGCUGUUCAUGAUGGUGCUAGUAGUAGUAUUGAGUUAUUUGAUCCUUUUACACAAUUUAAAAAGAUGAAAGAAAGUUCAAAUGAUGACAUUAGUGGAAAAAAUGAUGUUGAAAAGUACUUGUCAGAGACUUGUGAGAGUGCUAGUAAUCCCCAGUUUGAUAUUUUGACUUGGUGGAAAUUGAAUGGGCCUCGGUAUCUGAUUUUAUCUCAAAUUGCCAAAGAUGUUUUGGCAAUUCCGGUGUCUACUGUGGCUUCUGAAUCAGCAUUUAGUACAGGAGGGCGCAUUCUUGAUCCUUUUAGGAGUUCUUUAACUCAUAAAACAGUCGAGUCAUUAAUAUGCACUCAAAAUUGGCUUCGUUCAACUCUAUUAGGAGAGCGUACAAUACAACCAAGUCAGGAAGAAGCUGAAUUCUAUGAAUUAGUUGAAACAUGUAAUAUUGUAAUUUAUUAUGUUAUUUUUUUCUAUUUCACUUAUAACAUUUUGAAUAUUAGAAUUAAUUAUUUUAAUAUAAUUGUUUUAAUUUCUUGAAGAAUUUUUUAGGCCAAUGCAAUCUCAAGAACAACAGCAAGUAGCUGAGGAGUAAAUGACAAUUGAUUGAUGUUGCUUACCAGUAAGUUUUCUUUAUUUUUUUUAAACUAGCAUCUUAUUUAUAUAGAUUGUUUAUUUAAUUAUUUAUUGUUUAAAUUUUUUUUAUAGAUCCAAAUAUUGAGUUGGAAAAUGCCUAAAGUUGAUGUUGAUAUUGAUGAAGAUGGGAGAAUAUUGUUGGCAUUUGUUUGCAAUUUUUUUUUUAUUUUGUGUUGUAAGUUGUAAUUGUUGUUAUUUUUAUUUCUCUUUAUAACAUUAUGAUUAUGUUUAUAUAGAUGGAGUAUUGGAGUUUGGUUAUGUAUUUUGAAAUUUUAAUAUUUCAUAUUUUGGGAGUAUCUUAUUAAUAGUUAGUAAGAUAUUAGUGAUAAAAUGUGUUUUGAAUACUUUGUAUUUAUUGUUAAUAUUUGUAAUAAAAUUAGAAUAAAUUAAUUGUUAAAAAAAUUAUUACAUUCAUGAGGCCCAAUGGGCUAAAAAUUCAAAAUAGGCCCAAUAGGCCCAGAAUCGAAAAAACCGAACCGAACCGAACCGAUCCGAAAAGAACCGUUUGAGUUCGGUUCUUAUUGAGUUCGGUUCUUAUUCAGUUCUUUUGAUAAAAUAACUGAUUUAAAUCGGUUCUACUUAAUUUCGAUCCGAACCGAACCGUGCCCACCCUUACUCUUUUGUUCCCUCUCAAAGGAAAAUAUCUAAUCACCGGAUAAUGAUUCCGGUGACACAAAAGAUCGAAACACCCCCUAAAUUCCCUAAAUUUAUGAUAAUACCCCACCAUGGAUGAUUCCGUUGAAAUGCCGCCUUACGAUGAAAGGCCUAAAAAGGGUUUUAACUUCACCUCCAUGCGCUUGAUCUUAACCCUCGUUUUCCCAAUUUUAACUUGCUUUUUGUUGGCAUUUUUUAUUGGAAUCGUAGUUGUUUUAUUCGGCGAAUCAUCAGUUUCCAGUUCCAUUUUUGUCCCUUCCCAGUGCAAGAUAGUGUCCAACAGUAAGCUUUUUUUAACAUUUUCAAUUUUUUUUCCAUUUAUGAAGUCCAAAAAAUUUAUUAAUUUUGAUUUUUUUGAAUGAUUUUUCAGGUGUUGAUAUAAGGUCAUCAAAAGUUCGUAAACUUGGGGUGUUCAAUUAUAAGGCGAAGCGCGUGUUUUAUCCAUUUGAAGCAAGUAAAUUUCGCUGUCGGUAUGAUUACUAUUGGGCUUCUAUCUUCAAGGUAUUCAUACAUUUUCCCCUGUACUAUAAGCUUCUUAGUGGCGGUCUUGUGUGCGGAAGUGAACGGUGUGGCUGACAGCUUCUUGAAAAUUAUAAGUUUGAACAGAGCAUGUUAGAGCACCACCAAAAGGCUCUUUAAAUAAGAUUUUAUUAUUUAUUUGAAGAGCCACAUCAAUAUUGAAAACUUCAAAAGACACUUCAAUUAAAAUUCUUCAAAUAAGAAUUGAUUCUCUCUCUUCAAAUUUGGAGAGUUAAUUUAUUCCUCUUCAAUUUAUAUUUUAUUACUUUUCAUUGAAGAAAGAGAGAAGUGCUUUAAUUGCUAUUGACUUUUCCUUUAAAAAACUAAUUAUAUGAUUAAAACAAUAUUAACUUAUUUAUAUUUGAAGAGUCUUUUGGAGAAUAUCAUAUUUUUUCACCCUUCUAUUUGCCACAUAGGUAAACAAAUAGAUAUUUAAAGAGUAAAAUUUAUAGAGGCUUUUAGAGAUGCUCUUAGACUUUUGUUGACCAAAUUCGAAAGCCAAAUGGCACAGCUCAGAAGCUUUUGAAUUGAAUAACUUACUAGGAAGCUCCAAUUUUUUGUUGGCUACAGUAAAAGGAUGUUGUUUUAUUCUUCUUAUACUUUACGCUUGCAUCAGCUUAAAUCACUUCUUAAACGCUUUGCUUUAACUCCACUGCUUCGCUGGGGCGGAUUUACCUUGGAACAAGUGGGGACUUAAGUCCCCACUGAAAAAAAAAAAUUGUUUUAAUAAUUAAUUUGAUUUGCCAAAACUUCUCAAUAAAUUUUUCUUAAGCCCCCCAUAAUUUCUUUCAACAAACAAUUGAUCUAAAUGAGUUAUUUUCUGUCAGUUGUAUCCAAAUGAGUUCUCUGCAAUUGAUAUCAUGGCACUUAAAAUUCAACUUGAUACAUAUAUUUUGGAUAUGCGCACUAGUGCGAGACUAAAAGACAUAAGGUAUAUCCAUUGGUUUACUUGUUAAUAAUAUUAGCAUUGACUUUACCUGUUGCCACUGCUAGUGUAGAGAGAGUAUUUUCAGCCAUGAACAUUUUGAAGAAUUGAUUAUAAAGCUGUGAGUAAUGGAUGAAUGAUAGUUUAAUUAUUUACAUAGAAAAAUACUUAUUUAAUAAUAUUGAUAAUGAACUUGUAAUGCAACAUUAUUAAUGUAUGAAAACUUGAAAGGACAAUUGUAAACAUAUAUUGAAGUAUGAUAAAUCUUUCAAAUUUAUAUAUUUAUUACUUUUUAAAUUUUUUUAUAUUGCCGUUGAAUGAGCCCCCAGUCAAUCAAUAUGUUGUCUUCGCCCUACUUCGUACUCUUCUAUAUAUGUAUCGGGUAUGCAGUUUUAGUUAACAGCUGAGACUACGUGUUUGUUUGACGUGGUAGUUACGUUACGAGUCUGUUAAACAUUCAAUGAUUAAAGUAUUAUCAGUUAUUUCAAAGGGACAAAUAAGAUUAGCUACAACACACCCACUAGUUUUAUAAAAUUCGAAUGAGAUGGAAUAAAAUAAAAAAAUAAAUAAGUAAAUUGACUUUUAGUUUUAGUGGUUGAAUAUAUUUUGCAUUCUCUUAGGGCACUGCUGUAAUUAUUCCUUAAACGUCAGUCAUACCCACAUAUAAUAGACACAAGAAAUGAAAUCUAAAAUCACCUGUUUAGUUAAAGAAUCAUCAUGAAAAAAUUUUGCCAUUUUGAUUUGAGGAUCCACAUUUUGAACAACCAACUUAUGUUCAUCAAAAACGGAUCAUGGCCUGUGAGUAGAAAAAUUAUUUUUGGACAAAUUAUUUUUUUUAAUAGAAUAAUUUCUCAAGGGACUAUUAAAAUUACUAAUAAAAAUGUCAGACACACCCACGUACCAUCGACACAAUUGACUAUGAGGAUCCAUGUUUUGAACUGCCACAUAAUGUUCAUCAAGAAUAGAAUAUGGCUCGUGAAAAGAAAAUUUUCUGAUUUUGGCCUGGAACAAAAAAAAAUUAAAUUGAAGGAGAAUCUGCUACUUUCUCAUUAAGAAAGGCAGACAGGGUAUACUAUGGUACCAUACAAUAUAAAAAGUCUCCGUUCUCUGGCUUUUCAAACUCUGAAGGGGGCAAUAUUCCCCAAUUCCCCCUUGAAAAUUCUGAUUACGACAUUAUUCAUCACUUGAUACAUAAGUACAAGUAGUGACAAAAUUAGGAAAAAUAUGACUCAUAAGUAAUUACUAGGCAGGGCUCUUGAGAGCAACAUUGUACUAGGCUUUAUAUGCAAACAUGGUGUGGUACAUAGAGCACGUUGAAUUCCACACUAUAACACAAACCCAGAAAGACAAGUAAUAUCUCAACUGAUAUAAAGACAAAAAGAAGAUAAAAUGAUACAGAACAAAGAAUUUCUAAGAGAUAGCAACAUACAAUAGACUGAAGCCAGUUGAUCUGCUCAUUGAUUGCAGCCUUAAACUUGCAAAUGUUUACUGUAGCCUGGUGCUCUAAGAAGUGAAAAUGAUGCAAACCUUGAUUCCCUGUUUACUUCCAUUUACCAUCAAACAUUCUAUUCAUAAGAAAAAAAAUGUUUAGAUAUCUUGCCGUAAAUAUAGCCAUUUGAUUGUCUUAAUAAAGCCACACACAACCAUUCAUAUUGAUCCACAUUGCCACAUAGCCUGAUUUAAGCAUACAACACCUGAAUGUAUACUGACUCCUAACCUUAUCAAUACAUUGGCGACAACUUAAGAAGAAAACUAUUUCUCCAUCUCUUUUUUGAAAUUUCACAAUAAAAUAGCACAAUGUAAGAGCUGCAAUGAAAAUGGACCAUCUGGAACUAUGGCGGAAGCUUCAACUAGUGUAGUGAUUUGACCUUCUUAUUAACCUAGCGAGAUCAAACACUGCCCUUGAUCUUGAACAGAUCAAUACGAUACGCACAACUUAUGAUUGAAUCCAGAAACAAUCAAAUCUUUAGCAAGAAUAAUUAAUCAGAAUCAAGAAACAAGUUUAAUGAAUAUAAACCUAUAAUUGGAACAAACACAGCAAAAGAACCCAAGAAUGACACAACCAGCACCAAGGGAGAAGCUUUCCAGUGAGAUUAUAUUGAUGAUCAAAGAAGAAUCUUUUUACAAAGCUAACAAAAGAGAUUUCAGAGAAUAAGCUAUGACCCUCUCUCUUCUCAAUCUCUGUCUAGUUUGUUAACAGUGAUGACCCCAAUCUCCUUCGUUAGCCAGCUUCAUAACUGCGUCAGUGACAAACUAGCAAACCCAGAUUGAGCAGACUAACGACACGUGCAUAACGGCUUUAACGAACUUGGUUAAAGAACUGCUCACAUGUUCGUCACGCGUGUUGCUUAAAUGAUAGCCAAAACGACUUCAACCAGAUGCCGUUUUGAAGCUUAUGAAUUAUAAGUGAAAACACGUGCUUGUCUCGUGACAUUUAAAUGCAACAACAAGCCCAAAACACUGCCGGUCCACUAUGUUGAGUUUGCCAUCUCUAAGCUUCACAACUAGCAGCGGACAAGAUGAUAAUUUAAUUGACUUGGAGAGCUUUUAUAUCACUUUUACAACAUUCUAUAUAAUUGUGAUAUUGGGAAUCGUCGGUGUUGUAUAUGUGAACCCUCGUUGGCGACACUGGUGGUUUUAUCUUUAUUGAAAUAUGGAUGACUUUUCGUUACUAUUUUGUUGUACAUAACCUUAUUCUCAGGAGAUUUAAUCAUUGAAAUUAACAUGUUAGUUUCAUUAGAAGGCUGAGUGGUUAGGGCUGCUACCUUCCAACUUGGAGGGCAAUAGUUUGAACCCACAAGCGCAAUGUGGGGGUAUUUCAUUCUUUAAUUACAUUGUAUAAUUGAAUAAAGAUAAUAUUCUCUCUUACCCAAGUGUGAGUGGAGUAGACAUCCUUCGAAUAUUAGCGAGGGUUAAAACUUGGGCAGAGCUCAAUAAGUAUUGAUGUAAGUUGGUCCUAAUAAUAGUCUGAUUUGUAAAUAUCAGUUAUAGUCUCAUGUUUCCUUCCUUAAUUAUAUUGCAUAAUUAAGUAAAUGUACUCUUUUCUCUUACCCAAGUGUGAGUGGAGUAAACAUCUCUCGAAUAUUAGUGAGAGUUAAAAUCUGGGCAGAGCUCCAUAAGUAUUGAUGUAAUUUGAUCCCAAUAAUAGUAUGAUUUGUAAAUACCAGUUAUAGUAUCAUGUAAUAUGAGUUGUAAUUUGAGUAAUAAUUUCAUGUAAUUACAAAAAAAAAUGUUACUUUCAUUACUUUUUUCUUCGUUAAAAUUCUCAAGUAUCAAUUAUGUUUGCUUAAGAAAUAAAAUUUCAUUAUGAAAAUUGUAGCAGUAUUUCCGAGCACCUCACAUUUUCAAUGAUUUUUCAUAAAUCAAUUAAUCUGCCAUACCAAUAUCAGGUUUAGUUUUUCAGACUAAAUGAUCAAGAAAGCAAACAUACAAAUUCACAUUUUAGAGGGGUAAACUAGCUUUUAGAUUUUAGAACUAGGCUAGCUACCUCACCAAAUUCCAAUCUGUACAGUGAACUACAAGAUUAAGAAAAUAAUGUAUUUAUAGUUUAAUUGAAUCAUGAGAAAACAAUGUAGUCAUAGCUCAAUCGGACAUGAUCACGGAGAGGCAUAUUCUUUUCAAGUUAAUUUGAUCCAUUUAUAAGAAAUGAAGUGGAUUGAAGUUAAAAGUUCAAAUAACAAAUCCUUGUUCUUGAGUUUUACGACGUCGUUACUCCUUCAAGAGGCUGAUUAUGCGAGUGAAUGAGGAAACAGAAUGCAUUAUCCAAUUUCACUCAUAUAGAAAAUUAAUUUUUUAUAUAUACUAAUCAACACUAGAUUGAUUAUGUUUUGUAUGUUUAUAUGCUAAUCAACAAUAAAUUAUAGUAAAUGAAGAAAUGCUUCAAAAUUUUUUAAUUUAAUUUAGAAAAUCAAUUAUUAACAUUAAUAUUCCUAAUAAAAAUUAUUUUCCAUCGGUAUUCAAAAUUUUCACUUAUAGAAAAUGCGUUUUACGUGAAUACAAGUUAUUGUGUAAAUUUGAAUGAUAGCGAAAAAUAUUUUUUUUAAUAAUUGUAAAAAUAAUUAACCAUAACAAAUCGCUUGCGUAAAUAAUAAUCAUUAUUUAAAAGGUAGAAAGAUGGUUAGUGCACAAUCAAAUUUUAAGCCCCUACCUCCUCGGCCCAAUAUUCAAACUUAGAUGAUCAGCCAAAUAAAAUUAUUUGAAAAUCAUUCAAUCAGGUUCUCGGGGCAAAAAUACAAGAUCCUUAUUUGCAUGAUAUAUAUGAAUUAAUGUAAUUUAUUUGAAUUAUCCAAAUUCAUUAGAGAUAAAACUAUAAAAUAUACGAAAAAAGUUAGAAGGAAGGGUGUGUUGGGAUAUUUUACAAACUAUAGGAAUCUGGUGAGAUUUUGAGCCAAACUGUAGGGAGUUGAAGGCAUUUGCCCAAUAUGUUUAGCCGUACACUAACCGUUAUUUGAUCUUGUUGUUGGUCCCGGAUGAGCUAUAGUCUUAUUUUAAUUUUAUUUAAACUCACCAUAAGAUUCGCAGAGCUCCUAACUAACUUAAAUGACUCUGCAGAGCAUGUCAACACAUAGCAUGUUUAACCGUUUUAUUUGUAGAAGAAUUUAUGAUUUCCCAUUAGCAUUAUUAUUGAAGUGGGGCGGGUCAAAUCUCAAUUGCUUGAAAAUUUUAUUUAUUAUUAUUAAUUUUGAAGUGGGGUGGGUAACGGUUCGUUCAAUUCGAGGGAAUCAAAUAUAUCAUCCAAGGUAGAAUUGUGGAAAAUUAAAGCAAAAUAAGAAAUAUGGACAGAAAAGAAGAAAGUUAAUGCAUGAAAGACAUUUACAGUUGAAAUUGAUAAUCAUGUUUCUAUUUUGUUAACUAAUCAAAUGGAAAACUGAACUGUAAACAAACAUUAAAACGUGUGGACCAAGCUAGCUGCCCUACAAGUCUACAAUAAUAAUUGAGUACUUUGAUUCAUCCUUCUAUGAAUUUCUACCCAUAUUGACUCCUCCGAAAUUUCCACAAAAUAAAAAAAAAAAAAAAACUGAAUUUCCACAAAAUG